AUGAGGUCAGAAAUGAGGAGAGCUGGCGAAGAUUCCAACUCAUGGAUGGUAGAUGGACAUACGGAUGAAAAGUCAAAACAGCUUUUUAUGGAGUUGCUUCACCAGAGGCCUGGCCAUCAACCUCUCGAAUCACCAAGCAUGAAUCGUGGGGAACCCUAUGACAGGAUGGCUGCUUCAGGCUUCGGCUUUGCAGACCAUGGUGGUAGGCAAAACGCUUCAUCUUCUUUUGGGUCGCACGCAUCUUCUGAUGAACAUGUAAACGGAUUACCAGGAGAUGGGAACUAUAUGGGAUCGUUGCAGCGUGAUAAUUCAUUACUUUCUGGAAGUACCGAUGGUGGAAGAAAAAAUGAAACUAAAGACUUCAGUAAUAUGCUUGGUAUGAGCAAAGACGUGAAUGACAUCAGAACGUGGAACAAUGCACCACCGAAAAAGGAAGGAGCGGGGUUGAUGUCAUUUGAAGCACAAGACAGAAUGGGAAAGCAAGCAGUAAUGGAUUCCUUGGUUCAAGGGGAGGUUCCUGUUGCUACGCUUGGCAGACAGUCUUCUUCCAGUAUCUCUGGUAUGUAUCUUCCAGAGUUUAGAUUUCCUUUUCCCUGAAUAUAUCAUGUUUUUUUUUGUUAUGGGGGCUUAUGUUGAUAUUUUCUUUCUGCAGAGUCAUACAGUGACAACUUGGUUGGAGAAGUUAGAAAGGAUAGGUAAUUUUGUACUCUUAACGUUUAGCAACCGUAGAUUAGGUUAGUAGUAAAUCGCCAUGUGAGCUCUUAUUUGAUGAAAUGUUUUUAUUGUUAUAGGUUGGUAGUUCCAUCACACGGGCAGGUAUCAGUUUUGUUAAAAAGGCCUCCCUCAUCGCAUGAGGGAUUGCUCGAGCAGAUGUCCGAUGCAACUAACAGAACAGCAGUGGGAAAUAAAGGGUCAAAGGCGUCGUUCAGUGAGAUGUUGAAGAAUAGUAGUAGCAAUAGCAGCAUGAAGAAAGUGGCAGCAGAGCCAUCUUCUGAUCCAAACGAAGGAAACAAAGGCGGUGGUGGGAAGAAGAAAGGCAAGAAAGGGAGGCAGCUUGAUCCAGCUCUUCUCGGUUUCAAAGUCACUAGCAAUCGCAUUCUUAUGGGUGAAAUUCACCGCGCUGAUGACUUUUAGUCAAUUCUGAUACCCUGAGAUCCAUUCAAGCGUUUCUUCUUCUCCGGCGUAAUCAUGGUAUAAUUCGAUCUUUGCUUAUAAGUAAACCCUUCUUAUGUUUUUGUUUCUCUUUGAUUUUUGAUGGUCAAUGAUUUUCUCUUUGUUUGAAAUAUGAAUCACGUGAACAUUGUUUCAAUUAGCUAGAUGAGUCCUAAUAAUAUCUUUACAAAAUCACAUAUUUUUCGAAAUUUGAAUUGGAUUAACUUCCUUAUAUCUGCAUUAUUGUGGAUUGUUUACUUGAUUUGUUUUUGUUGAGUGUGAAUGAAUACUUGAUCCGGGAUGAACCAUUACUAACUACGAUCAUGGUGGAUCCGGGAUAUGAUAUUGAUUGAUUCUGUGUUGAUUUUGUUAUUGCAGAAAACUUACAAAGCUGACUCGCAGACAGGAAAGUGGAGAAGUUUGACAACGUUUAUAAAGAGAGGUUUUGUUCCUGAGACCACUACGUGUACGUUUAUGUGUAUCUCUUUAAGAUAACCUGUAAGGAACCAUGGUCUGGAAUAUGAAUCAUUCCUGUAUACAAUGUGUAUGUUACAGCUCUCUUCCAGAUCAUGAGGACUGCAGCUAGCGGAGAUACGGCUUAAACCGAAUCACAUUCAAGCUAGAAGAAUCAAGUUUAGAAAUGAAUCAUUCUUCUGUUUUUCUCUUCUUUUACCGUAGAAUGCAACUUUAUGUUUACUUGUGCAUGCUAAUGUAAUAAAUAGUAUUUUCUACAAGUUAUCAUAUCUUCAAGUUAGUUCACUUGGUACGACCCACACGCAGUUGAAACUCUCUGUAUACAAGGAGCAAGUGUAGUUUCCACUAGAUCUCGUCAAGUCUUAUGAGGUUGAUUACUCACAGGUUUAAGGAGUUCUGACCAGGUACAGAGAGAUUAAAGGGAAGCAUGUGCGCACGUGGCAUGAUACUCGGGAUCGUUAGCCGAGAAAUCAGAUACGAUUUUUGUUCGAUUUUUUAGUAUAUCCUUUUUCCGAAUUUUAAAAUAAUAAAAACUUUAAAUAACUAUUGCUCAACAACCUUAGAAAAUUGAGCUUGUUCUUAUAUAAAAAUCUCCACUUUGCCAUUAUUACAUUUUUUCGGGCUUUACACUGUACGAAGCCCAAGUCAUUCUCUUCACACAUUAACUAAAGCCCAAUAGCAUUUAAUUGGCCCAAUAAGAAUAACAAAUUUCGAUCCACUUUUCUAGGUUUGCGAAGGUAAAGUUGAAACGAGGACGACCAUAAAAACCAACUCGAAAGGCAAUUAAAAACAAAAUAAUAGAAAUUUUCUUCAAGAUCGCGAUCUUCAAUCCCGAAUCCCUAAUCCAUUCAAGCUUCUCCUCUCUUCUCCGGCGUAAUCAUGGUAUACUUCCUCUAAAGUCAACCCUUCCCUUUUUGUUAAAUCUGUGCAGCUUCUUCUUCUUCUCUCUGUAACUCCGAUCUCCCAGAUCUGAUUCACGAGCUUAACUAUCAAUGUUUGAAUCACGCGAAGUUUGUUUUCAAUUAGCUAAAUUGAGAUCCUAAUUUCGAAUCGGAUUAGCUGAAUUUAUUCCACUCUUUGUUUUGUGGUUGUUAGGACGUUCGAUCUCCUGCUCCCGUUCCCGUUGGAUCUCGGCGGCGUGAUAACAAGUGGUCAUCUCGUUGGGGUCCUGACGAUAAAGAGAAAGAGAAAGAAACCAAGGUUGACUACAACAACAAGGAGGAGGUUCAAAGUGAGACUCAAUCUGUGAUUGGGAGCCUCCGUGACUCUGAGACUCGUGAUAAAUGGAGGCCACGUCAUCGGAUGGAGCAGGUCCAGAGUGGUGGACCAGCUUCUUACCGUGCUGCGCCUGGGUUUGGACUUGAUAAAGGACGAAGUGAGGGACGAAGUGAGGGUCCAAACAUAGGGUUCACCGUUGGUCGGGGUAGGGCGAGGGGUACUUGGUCUGCUUUCUUUGGCGCUGGAGGGUUCUUGAGAAACGAAAGCGUUCCUGGUAAACCUGCGCCUACGUGUCGGUAUGUGAGGGGGAAGUUGCUUGACUUGUAUAGAAACCAGAAGCCUGAUAGGAUGCCUAUUGAUAUGGAGGAGGUUGAUUCUGUAACUCAAGUGGCUUUGAUUGAACCUCUUGCUUUUAUUGCCCCUGGUGUUGAAGAAGAGGUAUGAUCCUUACUUGAGGACUUGCUUUUUUCCUUUCUCAUGAGUGUGUCAUUGUUUUGUAACUAAUUUUCAUGUGUUUGUGGUCUGGGUGUUAUAUAUUUAUUUCAGGAAAGCCUUAAGGGUAUAUGGAAGGGAAGGAUCACUAGUAGCGAAGCUCACACUUCACCUGGGGAAGAAUCUUUAGCUGAGGAGAGUAUGGGUAUGUGUAAUCUUGUUUUUUCGUUGCUUUGCUUCUAUCUUUCCAACUAGCUUGGAUAAUGAAUGCUUCUGUGACUUGAUUCAGGUGAGACGAAAGUGGAUGGUGCUUUGCUAGGGGUUAUGAGUGGUGACAGUGUUUCCAUGCAUAAUAGUAAUUCAGGUAUGUGAAUAAUAGGUGCUAUACGGGUAUUCAAAUUCAUGAGUAUUAAAGCUUAAGUCCAUUGUUAUGAGUUUGAUGGUAUUUUAGUGUUCUAUUAUAUAUUCUGACCCAUAUCCAAACAACUGUUGCUGUAGGAGUACUUGGUAGUCAUAAUGGAGGCUUGUGGGGUGCUUCUGAAAGUGAUCAAGUUUCUCGUGGAAGUCCUGAAGCAGUUAGAUCUGCUUUUGAUAAAUCUUCUGUGUUGGAUGCGGAUGAACCCAUUGUUACGGGAAAGCUGCAGCAACCUGAUAUUGAAGUGAAUCACUCCGAAGGGACUCUGCCACCUGAGGAGUUUAUGUUCUCGUACAUUGAUCCUCAAGGAGUAAUACAGGGACCGUUCAUUGGAUCUGACAUUAUUUCAUGGUUUGAGCAAGGGUUUUUUGGGACUGAUCUACAGGUCCGCUUGGCAACUGCUCCAGAAGGGACUCCUUUUCAAGAUCUAGGCAGUGUCAUGUCGUAUUUAAAGACGGAAAGUAUGCAAGCCCACAUCAAUGAUCAAAUCAUCGAGCUAGAACAGACCAGUAGAAAAGCAAAUUCGGAGAUUGGUUUAUCAUUUGCACCCGUACAAGAAUCUAAUGGUUCAGCCUUAGGUCACGAUAAUGUUCAAAUACAGUCUAAAUCAGAAGCUUAUGUGAAACCACCACAUGUUGAUGACCGAAGUUUCUUGGACUUCUCUGCUCAAGAUGAAGGUUUGUUAUUCUACUGACAUUUUCUCACUUGUGUGCAUUUGUGUGGGUUUUUGUAUACUAAACAUACUUUUUGUAUUUUUUUCUUAAUCAGAAAUCGUAUUCCCAGGAAGAGCUAGAGUUUCUGGUUAUGGAUCGGCAAAAUCCUCUACAAGUAUGCAUGAUGCUUUAAUGGGAGUUUCUGGCCACCCUGCUAUUCCUGUUGAAUCAGCGAAGGUUGCUACUCAAAAUCAGAAUGAGAACAAGCUGCAUCCAUUUGGUGUGUUGUGGUCUGAGCUAGAGAGCAGUAGUACACCAGUUGAUCUUUUGCCUAACAGAUCGUAUGAUGACCAGAAGUAUCUUGAUCAAGCUCAGGAUUUGGAUCAUUUAACUCUCCAAUUGCAGCAGCAGCAGCAACAAAAGAUUCAGUUGCAACAGCAGCAGCAACAGAAGAUUCAGUUGCAACAGCAGCAGAAGAUUCAGCUACAACAACGUCAACUAGAACAAGAGUACCAAUUACAACAGAAGCUCUUACAGGAGCAACAACAGUCCCAUGCUCGGAAUUUACAUUUUCAACAGAUUCUUCAAGGACAGACUCCUGAUUCGAGACUUGGGCAGUCACAUGACUUCCAUCGACUCAACAAUGUUGAUCAGAUGUUAUUAGAGCAGCAACUAAUGGAUGAAUUGCAGAGUUCUGGCCAUAGAUCACAAAAUUUUACACCAUACAUGGAGCAGCUUGCCGCUGGAAAUUUUGGGCAGUUACAACAUGAAGGUCAUCAAAAAGAGCUACUUGAACAGCUACUUUCCGAACAAAUGCAAUCUCAAUACAGACAGAUGCAUUCUCAACAUGGCCACAUGCAAUCUGAACCAAUACGGUCUUUGGAGUACCAGCUACUACAACAAGAGCAGCUCAUGCGAUUGGCAAAUGGAGGGAGGCAAAAUACACUAUUGGAGGAACUGAGACAUAUUGACCCUCAACAUGGACAAAUGCAGUCUGAACCAAUACGGUCUCUGGAGUACCAAAUAAUGCAGCAAGAGCAGCUCAUGCAAUUGGCAGAUAGAGCGAGGCACAAUACGCUAUUGGAGGAACAUAGACAUAUUGAUCCUCUAUGGCCAUCCAACCGUAAUGAUCAGCUUCUAGGAGCUCAUCCUGGGAUCCACCGUUCACACUCUUCUGCGGGAUUUAGACCAGUAGACUUUCAUCAACAGCAGCAGAGGCCACCCUUUGAGGAUCACUUUAGUCAUCUUGAGCGGAACCUUUCAUAUCAGCAACAACUUAAUCAGGAAUUAUUCGAGCAAGGUCUACCCUUUGAGCGAUCUACAUCGGGGCUGAAUCUGGAUGCAGUAAAAGGUCUUAACCUCUCUGAGUUGCGGGAUGCCCAGAUGCAAUCUUCUGGUAGAUUAGGAAAUUCUACUCCGGGUUUCAGUCAUCAGAAUCCCCAUAUACAAUUAGGUGAACCUCAUUUUUCAGAAAUGGAACCAAGGAAAGAACGCUGGCAUGGAGCAGAUACACAGCUAGCUGGUGGCUGGCCUGAAACUCAAUUUCAUAGAUCAAAUACUGAAGCUGACCAUCAUAAAAUGAGGUCAGAAAUGAGGAGAGUGGGCGAAGAUUCCAACUCAUGGAUGGUAGAUGGACAUACAGAUGAAAAGUCAAAACAGCUUUUUAUGGAGUUGCUUCACCAGAGGCCUGGUCAUCAACCUCUCGAGUCACCAAGCAUGAAUCGUGGGGAACCCUAUGACAGGAUGGCUGCUUCAGGCUUCGGCUUUGCAGACCAUGGUGGUAGGCAAAACGCUUCAUCUUCUUUUGGGUCGCACGCAUCUUCUGAUGAACAUGUAAACGGAUUACCAGGAGAUGGGAACUAUAUGGGAUCGUUGCAGCGUAAUAAUUCAUUACUUUCUGGAAGUAUCGAUGGUGGAAGAAAAAAUGAAACUAAAGACUUCAGUAAUAUGCUUGGUAUGAGCAAAGACGUGAAUGACAUCAGAACGUGGAACAAUGCACCACCGAAAAAGGAAGGAGCGGGGUUGAUGUCAUUUGAAGCACAAGACAGAAUGGGAAAGCAAGCAGUAAUGGAUUCCUUGGUUCAAGGGGAGGUUCCUGUUGCUACGCUUGGCAGACAGUCUUCUUCCAGUAUCUCUGGUAUGUAUCUUCCCGAGUUUAGAUUUCGUUUUCCCUGAAUAUAUCAUGUUUUUUUUUGUUAUGGGGGGCUUAUGUUGAUAUUUUCUUUCUGCAGAGUCAUACAGUGACAACUUGGUUGGAGAAGUUAGAAAGGAUAGGUAAUUUUGUACUCUUAACGUUUAGCAACCGUAGAUUAGGUAAGUAGUAAAUCGCCAUGUGAGGUCUCAUAAUUGAUUAAGUGUUCUUUUAUUGUUGUAGGUUGGUAGUUCCAUCACACGGGCAGGUAUCAGUUUUGUUAAAAAGGCCUCCCUCAUCGCACUCGUCAUCACCGCACGAGGGAUUGCUCGAGCAGAUGUCCGAUGCAGCUAACAGAACAGCAGUGGGAAACAAAGGGUCAAAGGCGUCGUUCAGUGAGAUGUUGAAGAAUAGUAGUAGCAGUAGCAGCAUGAAGAAAGUGGCAGCAGAGCCAUCUUCUGAUCCAAAUGAAGGAAACAAAGGCGGUGGUGGGAAGAAGAAAGGCAAGAAAGGGAGGCAGCUUGAUCCAGCUCUUCUCGGUUUCAAAGUCACUAGCAAUCGUCUUAUGGGUGAAAUUCACCGCGCUGAUGACUUUUAGUCAUUUCUGAUACCCUGAGAUCCAUUCAAGCGUUUCUUCUUCUCCGGCGUAAUUAUGGUAUAAUUCGAUCUUCCUAUGCUUUUGUUUGGUUAUGAUUUGAUGGUUAAUGGUGACCUCUUUGUUUGAAAUAUGAAUCACGUGAAUAACAGAAUGGCAUCUAUUUUUCGAAAUUCGAAUUGGAUUAGCCGACUUCUUAUCUGCAAUAUUGUGGAUUGUGUACUUGGUUUUAGAUGCAUGGGUAAAUUUCUUUACCUGCCAUUGCAUUAUUAUGAAUUGUGCAAGUCGGUGUGAAGCUUUUUAUCCGGGAUGAACCAUUACUAUCUAAAGUCACACAUAAUGGGAGAUAUGAUUAUUGAUCGAUUCUGUGUUGGUUUGGUAAUUGCAGAAAACUUCAAAGCUUACUCGCAGACAGGAAAGUGGAGAAGUUUGACAAAAACGUUACAAAGAGAGGUUUUGUACCUGAGACCACCACCUGUAAGUUUAUCUCUUUUAGAUAACCUGUAAGGAACCAUGGUCUGGAAUCUGAAUCAUUUCAGUAUACUGUGUAGGUACAGCAGCUCUCUUCCAGAUCAUGAGGACUGCAACUAGCGGAGAUACACAUUCAAGCUUGAAGAAUCAAGUUUAGAAAUGAAUCUUUCUUCUUCUGUCUUGACUCAUUUUCUCUCCUUAGAAUCCAACUUUCCGUUUACUUGUGCAUAUUAAUGUAAUGAAGAGUCUUUUCUUCAAGCUAUAUGUCCUUGUUGUUAUGCUUUUGUUCACUUGGUACGACCCACACGCAGUUGAUACUAAAUACAAGGAGUAAGUAGUAGAUAGAGUAUACAGCAACCUCUAAGAAAGUGAACCAAAGAGAAGAUAUGUUCAAGCACUAGCCGUAGGGGAGGGAUGAAAAGCUGUUCCGCAAGCGAUCCAAAGUCUUUUUCUCCGAAGCAAGGUACAGAGAGGGACCUUGGUCCAUUCCUUUGUAAUAAAAUCAAUCAGCCGGCGUAGUUAUAGAAUGAAGAGUCUUUCCUUCAAGCUAUCUGUCUGUGGACCCCAAGGACAACAAUAUGUUGCCUAGACGAUUCAUCCUAAAUUCCUAAUGUACUUUCCGUAAAACUAGCGCAAUAUGUUUGCAUUCUGUCAACCUCCUCUACAACAUUGUCAUCUUCUUCUGAAGCUCCAAUAUGCUAAUUCACGUUGCAGCGUUUAUAGUCAGAUGCACUGCUUCCAUUUCCCAUUAGACCAUUUCGUAGGACAAUGUCUAUUUUGGGGUCCAUUAACAUAAAGUAAAGCGUGCUAUGGAUAGUCAUCCGCUGUGACUUAAGGUUAAGCAAUACAGGGAGUUUUUGUUGGACGGGAUGGUCCAUGCAUUUCUCAAGGAACCAUAGACUUCAUACUCUCCACAUCCAACCCACAAGACCUUAUACCCGUCAAUGGUGGGUUGUUGUCAUCACAUCAAAUAUUAUGCUUUGCUCAAAUCAUGUCACUUCCAUUUAUCCAUAGCAAUUACCAUUAUAAUUUUUAAAUAAUGAGAACCCAUGAUGAUACCUCUUAUUAGUGUUUUACUUCUUUUUUUCCAAUAAUAUUCUUACAUGUAUAGAAUAUUCGGUCCAAUUGAUAAAGCGGUAAAACAAGAUUACAAAAGCAUGACAACAACAACGGCAACUAACUUCAAGACAACAUUAAAAGGUUUGAUAAUUUUAUAUAGAAAAGACUCUCAAAAUUCUUCACAACAUGUAGUAAAGUACACAGAAAGCUAAAGCAUUCUACAAUAAGAUUAAGGGAGAAGUGAGACAAGAAAGAAGAAGUGGUUUCGUUUAUGCCAUGCCUCCGCUAGUUGCAGUCCUGAUGAUCUGGAAGAGAGCUGUAACAAAGCGCAUACAAAAGUUAAUCAACAUAUACUAGUGUAACACACAAUAUAUUAUUAUAUAACCAAAUAAUCCAUAUUCAAGACCAUGUUCGUUAUUUGGAAACCAGGAGUCAACACUAAGAUGCUUUCCAACAUAAUCAAAGCUAAAAGAGAUUUAGGAAUACUCACAUGAACCAAUGACGACGAAGACAAAGAAGCCGAGGAGGAUGGGUCCGACAGGGUAGUCCUUACCCUUCUUGGUGGUGGUCUCAGGAACAAAACCUCUUUUAGUAAUGUUCUUGUCAAACUUCUCUAUCUUCCUGUCUGCUAGCCUCUUUGAAGUUGUCUGUAAAUGAUCAAAAUCAACACACACAGAGUCAAUCAUUAAUCACAGCCGACACCAAUGGUUAUUUCUGGUUCAAGCAUUUUCUAGUCAGAAUAUAAUUAUGAACAAAAACAUCUAAAUCAAGCAACACCAUAAAUGCAGACAAGAACUCAGCUAAUUUCUAACACAAAAAAAUGAUCAAAUUUUAUAAUGAUAUUCGAUUUUUUUUAUGAUUUCAGACACAACAUAAAAUCCUUGUUAUAUAAAUAAGCUCAUGAAAUCCUCAAAUAAUGUGAGAAUCAUGAGUUAUAAAGAAAAUGUUUUUUAGCCGAUUCAAAAAAACUAUUUUAGUCAAAGAUUGAGAUCGAUGGAUGUACCAUUAUUACGCCGGAGAAGAAACACUAAGAAGGGAUGAGUGAAUCGGAAUUGACGUUCGCCGUGUCGGAGAGAAACUUGUCUUUGUCUUAAAGAGAGUUCUGUUUCUCCUGCCUGUCACCAACUUAUUAAAAAAGAGUAUCGGCGAACGUCGUCACAGCUCUCUCUGAUUGGAUACUGAGACGCGAGAGGUCUACGUGGCGGUCAAUGAUUGGUGCUUGCGAAAGCCUUAUGGUCACGUGGACUAAAAUGAAAACUUUCAGUUAUAUCUCUCUCAGGCUUUUUAAAGGCCCAAUAAAAAGUAAAUCGAGAGGCCCGUUUAGCAUCUGUUAGUCUCUUGGUGGCUCUCUAUUGAAACAUUUCAGUUGUAUCUCUCAGGCUCUUUAAAGGCCCAAUAAAAAGUAUAUUGAGAGGCCCGUUUAGAAUCUGUUUAGUCUCUUGGUGGUUCUCUAUUGAAACUUUUCAGUUAUAUCUCUCGCAGCCUCUCUGGUCUCUCUCUCUCUCUUUCUCUCUCUCUCUCCAUAUCAACGAUAGAGAGAUGGAUCCAGACGCAGUAGCCAAGGCUUUCGUGGAGCACUACUACACCACCUUCGACGCGAAUCGCGCGGGCUUGGUGUCUCUCUACCAGGAAGGAUCCAUGCUGACCUUCGAAGGGCAGAAGAUCCAGGGCUCUCAGAACAUCGUCGCCAAGCUCACCAGCCUCCCUUUCCAGCAGUGCAAACACAACAUCACCACCGUCGAUUGCCAGCCCUCUGGUCCCGCCGGCGGUAUGCUCGUCUUCGUCUCCGGUAAUCUCCAGCUCGCUGGCGAGCAGCACGCUCUCAAGUUCAGCCAGGUCUCCUUUCCCCCCCUCCCUCGAUUGAUAUGUGAUUAGGGCACUUUGAAGUUUGAUUGAUUUGGAAUUGAAACGAAAUCUCGGACCCUUGUUGAUUGAUAGAUCCGUGAUUAGGUUGUGUAGAUGUGAUCGUUGUUAUCUAGGUUUGGCAUUUAGAUUGUCACUUAAGAGUAUAGCAUCGGAUUGCUAGGAACCAUAUGGUUCUUCUUGGUUAUGUCAACUAUGCUACGUUAGCUACGAUAUGCUGCUGCAUUCGAUUAGAUUGUCUCAGCUCUGUAAGUGUUCCUUGUGUGUGUAUCAUCAUCUGCUGUUAGAGUCUUUUGUUUCUCUUUUUUGAUAUUGGAGACUCUUAACUUGAUUCGUCACAUGGGAAGAAGUAUCAUAUAUCUUUGUUAUAAGUUUUGUGUAAACAUGGUAGAUAUGUACUAAGCCAAGUGGGAUGCACUCAUGUCAAUUUUGACCUACUCACAGUGAGCUACAUUUGCAUCUCUCAUGUUGUGAUCUUAGAUACUGUAACAUAUAGAUCUGAUGACUGCCGUGUUGUUCUCAUUUUGCUGGUACGUAAUGCUAUCUUCCUGACAUACCUGACUUUUGUGCCACAGAUGUUCCAUUUGGUGUCGAAUCAGGGAAACUACUACGUGUUCAACGACAUAUUCAGGUUGAACUAUGCUUGAGGAAUGUAUUGACAAUGGUAUUGGCACGGGUAUUAUAUGAACCAUUCUUACAAAAGCCAAAAGAGACUCAUGGAAGUUUGGGGGUUAGUUCAUGUUGGAUUUUAGUAGAUUUGAGAACAUAAGCUUGUUUAUGGUGUUUUUGAAGUCUGUUUUUAUUUUAAUCAAUGGAAGGUCUUUUGUUACUUUGGUUCAGAUGACUCUGUGUUCACAUGAUUCAGUAAGUGCUUAUUGUUAAGGAUAAAACAAAAAGCUUAUUUGAAAGAUGGUUCUCUGUUGGAACCCUUUUCAUGUUAAAACAAACUAUUCUUUAGCAAUUUCUUCUGUACUCUCCUUCCAGAUGUCUCCACACCCUUGUGUUUUUCUUUGGAUGGUGAACAAUCUGGCGACGAAUCUUCUUCUUUGGUAGUUUCAACUGUUUUUUGGAGGGUGUUUGGUGUGUGUAUAAGCAAAAAAUUAGCAUCAGCUCUCAAGUCCUAUACCACCAAUACAGACGGUUCUGGCCAUCAAACAACAACCUGUCAAAACACACUUUACUUUAUGAGAAUUGACUUAAUUUUGUCUAAUCACACAAUAAUAAUAAUUUGAAAAGAUAAGCUCAUUGUUACAUCAAAGACCCAAGUUGUUCUAAUGAGUAUAAGAAAGACACUGACAAAAUAAAAAUCCUGUUCAUUUACUUUUUUCGAGUAAUCCAACCCCACAACUAAUUGGAGCUUUGUUUUGCUACCAAAAGUGUGAUAAUUGACAGACGACCAAACAGCUUGUUAUUGUUCGAUUCAUGAACAAGCGGAUUUCACCAACUCAAAUCACUCAUUACACAGAGGUAUUUAGUUUUCUUUUCACAAAGUUGAUUUACUCAAACAUCAUAUUAAAUCUUGUACCUAGAAGAAAAAUUUGAUUGUGGGGCAACAGUAGAUUAAUCAAUUUAAACCAAACAUAGAAGGAAUGGAAAAAGCUCAUCGUUCUCGUCUUCGAUGAAAGGAGUCAGCAACACAAGCAGCAGCUUCUCUAUUCCUCUUUUCAUCAAGAAGUUUCUCGUUGGCUCUGCUCAGAACCUCUACAUCUUCACUUGACUACAUUCCACACACGACCUCUUUUCUCCAACUUCUCUCCGCCGCUUGAAAGAUGUUUAUUGCUUACACUUGUAUUAUUACUUUAUUCUUUUAAUUAGCUCAAGUCUUUGUUGGUAAUGGACGUAACUAAGUCAUGACUAGACACGUAACAUCUAUUGACCGACCGCUUCUUGAAUAAGUCACGGUACCUCUUCCACCAUUUUUUCUUUUUUUAUCUCUAAGAGAAGCUAUAAUACAAUUUUGAACCACCAAAUCAUUUCGGUUUAAUUUCUGAGUGCGAAGCUUCAUCCCAUACUUGACAAUUCGAGGUUGCCCAUGAUCUGCACCUGACACCUUUUUAUCAAACUAUUAACCAAUAAUAGUUGACUGCUACUCCAAGAUACAAACAAAUCGAGACAGAUUGUAGUCGAAAUCCUAUAACUUUUUUUCCUAAAUAAAUUAUGUUACAUAAUAAUAAUAAUAAAACCAUCCACGGAAAAAAGCACAAACUCAGAACGCUUUCUCCAUUUCUCUAACAGUAAAAUAUAAAAAUCUUUUUUUUUUCUUGAAAAAGUAAAAAAAAAUAUAAAAAAACUCCCAAAUAUCCACAUAAAUUUCCCCCAAAAUACAGAUAAAAGAACAUAUAUAGAAAAUCUCUAAUCUGGAUUGCGUUGUUAUAUACUCAAUCCAUCUUCUUUGUCCCGCUUUUCCGGAUGAUAAUUGAGGUUUUCGUCGCUUCACAACAGCUUCCAUUCUGGGAAUAUAGAAACAACAAUUGAAUUAGCUUCAAACCCAAAAAAAACAACAGCUUUUAAUUAAUUUCAGAAGUCAUCCACAAAAUAAUGAAAAAGUAAAUGUGAAAAAUGAAUAUAGACUAAUCUGAAUUUGUGGUGCACAAAACAAAAGACUAAUCUGAUUUCGCAUUUGUUGCCGUCACGUUACGUUUGAUUAAUCCGUAAUUAAUCUCAAACACCCAUCUCUAACAAGAUCUUCAUCAAACUACUAAACCUCACGAAAAAUUUAACAAAUAUAAAGCCUAAAAGAUUCAAUAAAAUUACCAGAAAUGUCCUUCCUCGAUGAAAAAGAAGGUGGCGGCGUCAAGACGUAAGAGAGGAUCGACCUCCCAGCCAUGGAAAUGGCGGAGACGAUCCCAGCAACAUAAAGAACCACGAUGAGAGCCAGAACCCAAGGCAACAAGAGGAAGCCGAUGAAGAAAGUCACGGAUCCACACAGCAUCAGAGCCACGGAGAUACCGAGCAGCAGCGACGCGAACCCCGAGGGAGAUAUAUGAGCCAUCGAAGGCGACCGAGUCCUCAUCAUCGGCGAAUCCGGGAAGUGAUCGGGGAGAGAAAUCGGCAUCGGCGGAGAGCGGAGGAGGCUCAGGACAAGAGCCGAGAGGUCGUAGAAAGCCCUGGAGUCUUGAUCUCGUUGGCUUCUCAUCGUUCACAAAAUAAUAUUCUCAAGAAAGGUUUAAUGGCAGGAGUAAUGGAGAGGAUGAUGAUUGCCGUUCAGACAGAACCGAAACACAGACGAGCAAAAUGAAACUGACUUUUUAUAUAAAUCUUUCUCUAUGAACAGAAGAAUCGUGUGUGUCUAGAUAACGAGAAAAAGCAACCAUAAAGAAACAAGACACGCGUGUGAACACGCGAGGGUGAGGCGAGUAUGGACAUGCUGGAUUCGGACCAAUUUGGGGGGGGGNNNNNNNNNNNNNNNNNNNNNNNNNNNNNNNNNNNNNNNNNNNNNNNNNNNNNNNNNNNNNNNNNNNNNNNNNNNNNNNNNNNNNNNNNNNNNNNNNNNNNNNNNNNNNNNNNNNNNNNNNNNNNNNNNNNNNNNNNNNNNNNNNNNNNNNNNNNNNNNNNNNNNNNNNNNNNNNNNNNNNNNNNNNNNNNNNNNNNNNNNNNNNNNNNNNNNNNNNNNNNNNNNNNNNNNNNNNNNNNNNNNNNNNNNNNNNNNNNNNNNNNNNNNNNNNNNNNNNNNNNNNNNNNNNNNNNNNNNNNNNNNNNNNNNNNNNNNNNNNNNNNNNNNNNNNNNNNNNNNNNNNNNNNNNNNNNNNNNNNNNNNNNNNNNNNNNNNNNNNNNNNNNNNNNNNNNNNNNNNNNNNNNNNNNNNNNNNNNNNNNNNNNNNNNNNNNNNNNNNNNNNNNNNNNNNNNNNNNNAACAUAAAUUGAUUAAAUAUUCUAAUUAUUCAAAAUUUUGUUAUUUAGAGAACCGAAUCUUAUCCGAACCGAAGUAUUUGUGUAUCCGAAUUUAUCUAAAAAUAGAUUUAUAUACUUAUAUAUAUUAAUUAUUUUUAGAUUUAACGUAUAUAAAACAUCAAAAAUGAUACUUUUAAAUUGGUUUAAAUACUUGAAAAUAUAUAUAGAUAGUCAAAAGUAAAUAUCUGAAAUAGUUAAAGUAUACUCAAAUCACCAAAAAUACUUAAAAUAAUUAUUGAUUUCGUAUCCAAAAUUUUAAAUCAAGCCAAUUGAUAUGUUAAGCUUAAGUAUUAUGACAUAUGUUAUUCAAAUUUAUACGUAAUAUAUUAUUUUAUUUAUACAUUUUGAGAAAUUUAAAAUAUAUAAUGAUUUAAGACUUUAAAAAUAAUUUAAAUUAGUUAUCCAAACCCAAACCAAACCCGCAAAGAUCCAAAUCGAACUCAAACCAAAAUUUAGAAACAUUCUAAUAAGGCUGAAAUCUUUGACCCCGAAAACCCAAAAUACAAACCGAUCAGAACUAAACCCGUAUGGGUAUCCAAAAGCCCAUCCCUAGUCAUUAUUAUAUAUCGUAUUUUAUCAUCAUAUAAUUAAUCGUAUUUUAUAUGUACCAUCAUAUAAGUAAUCAUAUAAUUAAUAGUAUUUUAUACAUACCAUCAUAUAAAUAAUUACAUAUAUUAUAUUUUUAAAACUUAAUAUGAAAUAUGAAAACCAUAAUUUGAGUUGGUAUUUCAAAUUGGGCUUUGUAUUAUAUUUUUCUUAUAUAUAUUGACAAUAUUUUUUUAUAAUGGUUAUUGAAAAAUAGUUUAGUAAAAAUCCAUUUUUGAAUAUAUGUAUAUUUUUGAAUCAAUUUUUGAUAUAAAUCAAAUUUGAAUUAUUAUUUUGAUUUGAAAUAUGUAUAUAAAGUUUAAAUUUUGUUUUAUGGUUAGUUUAGAAAAAAAAAUUUUAGGGAAUUAGAUUGACCCAUUUUGGUAUAUUUUAAAAGUGGCCUAGAUAACUUUCAAUUUUAAAAAAAAAAAAUAAGUCCAUUACUUUUUUUCUUAAUACUACUAUCCUUGUUUUCAAACAAAAAUAUUUUUUUUUAAAAGACUGCAAUCCAUGUUUCCAAACACUCCAAAUUUUUAAAAGUCCUAUUCAAAUCUCCAAACAUUCCAAUUUUGUACUUGAGUUUUAAUAAGAUAGAUAAUAACAAUAAAUAAUAAUUUGUGAAACAAUAAUAUUGGAGUUUAAGUGACUAAUAAUAUUGUAAGGACCUAACCUAGACAAAAAAAUAUUUAUUCACCAAUAAACUAGCAAUGGAAUUGUUGCAUGUCCCUCGCACAUGUGCUGGUUAAUUCUCUGAGAAGUUUUUUUUCUAAUGAUUUUCUUUUGUAUCUGAUUUUAGUUUACCUUAGGUCGUUCAGUGAAAAUGUUGACAAAUUCGUGGAAUUUGGGCUUUUGAUAGGCCCUUUGAAGUAUUUAGAUAGCCCAAAAUAAUAUUAGAGGGGGGCCUAGAGACACAUGUUGGUGGUAUGCAUAACUACACGAGGCUCUGGAAUCCACUAUACUUAGGAGGUGUUAGGGGGUGUUAGUGGGGAUGAGAUUUAUAAUGAAUCUUAGAAUUUCUAAGUCUAGUGUUAUUGGUUUAUAGAUUCUCAUUGAAAUCUAUUGUUAUUGGUUUGAUGAUUCUAUAACUACAUACAAAAUCAUUUGUUAUUCAAAAAGUUUAAAUUUUAAUGAUUCUACAAAUCUAUUAAAGUAAAUGUUAUUGGGAGUUGAAUUCUUAGAAUCAUUACAUUACUUUAUUUUCAUAGAUUUUCACAAUAUACAAAAUUCUCUACAUCUCUUUCCAAAUUUAACAAAUCUCUUAACUUUUAAAAUCAACAAAUUCUAUAGAAAUCUAAGUCCCACUAACACCCUCUUAACUUAUAAUUUAUUCAAAGCCAUGAAUUGGAGCUAAAAAACGAUUUUGAAACUGGAAGCAUAUACUGUACUUACAAACUUGAAUUACACAGGGGCAUGUAUAUAGAUAUAUAUAUAUUGUCCUCAAGAUCUUAGUGUCACAGUGUACGAGGAAUGCCUGGCUAAAUUAUAUGCGGAGUAUAAUUUUGUUGAAAAUAUCAUAAUAAAACAUUACACACACAUGCACACAAGACAGUAAUGUAGAGAGAGGUAAUCAUCAUGUAGCCUAAGAGGAAAGCUAGGAGAAAGUUUCGAUUUUAAAAUGUCAAAAAAACAAAUAUGAAGAAAGUUUCAAAUAGAGUUGGUUAAGGUAACCAACCCAACAUGUAAUUAUUCGCACUUGGCCCUGCUCCCAUUCCAUGAUCUUGCUGUUGCCCCUGAUGAUACCUGUUCCAGCGUUACCAAGAAAAAACAUCCAAUUAAGAUAUCAAAAAUGUAAUAUCUCAAAAUUGGUUAGUAAUUAUAUAUAAAGUAUUAAGUUACCCCAUUUGAAAAAUGGGCUCGUAUUCCAAAGGCUGGAAGAAAGCUUGUUGUUGCGGUUGAUGAUGCCCGUAGUCAACAUGUACCUCUUCUUGGUUCGGGUUGAGUUGGAAUGGCAUCUGAUACCCAUCAGCUAACUGCCACGUAGUACACUUGUUAAUUAGUGGAUCCAUACUUAAAAAUAAUAACCAAAUUAAUUCGUUAAUAUAUAUUGUGAACGAUGAUAACGUAAGAAGUUACCCUUAGCCGUAGAGUUUUGUUUGUAUCAGAAAGCAUGCGCUCCUGUUCCAAAUUAGUAUUCAUAGGAGAGUGAGUAUUAUUAGUGUAUACAUAUAUGUAUGUCAUUUGCUUCAUCAUUCAAAUUUGUCGUUACCUUGCUCUGGAGAUCAUUGAGCUGGUCAAGCAUGAACUGUGUCUGCAAGUUUGAUAAAGCGUAUUACUUUAUAUGGACAUCAUAGUGUAGCAUAUAUGAUGAAAGAAAUAGAAGAAGUAUAGUACCCGGAGACCUCUGAUCUGCUUCAAAGAAGAAUCAAGCUGUCUCUCAAGUGACUCAAGCUCCUUCGUACUAAGUGGUCCAAGAUCUUCUCCCAAUAGAUUCCUGUAAUAUUUCAAGACAAACAAAAAUACCAUCAUGAUUAAAUUCUAAGUGUAAUUAAAAAAAAAACUCUCUCUGGCUAGCAGUACUAGCUAGCUUCAUUAUUAGUCAAUUAGUUUAACCUUUGGGUUCUCUGUAAAGCGUCGUAACGCUGCUUAAGCUUGAGAUACUCCUGCUGGCUACUAAGUUCCUGCUUUGCCAAAAAACAUUAUUGGAUUUGAAUUAAUAAAAGCAUAUUAGGAAAAAAUAAAAAUCAAGGGUAAAAGAAUAAGAAAGAGAAGGAGGGAGUACAACUGCUAAGGCCUCUCUUGAAGGCACAUUGGGCUCUGGAGGUCCAUAGUUGCACUUUUGGUACCUCUCCAGUGUCUUAAGCAUGCUGCUUCACAACAAAAAAUGGUCCGUACUAAGUAGUCAUGUAUCAAAAUUUUACCUCAGUAAUUAAUAUGAAAAAAUAAGUUUCAAAUCAACAAAGGUAAAUCUUGUUAAAACGUUUUAUAGCUAUGGUUUACAGAAUAAUCUGGGAGUCUUUUCAGAGAUCCAAUGGAUAUAAUAAGAUGAAAUUGACAUUAGCAUCAUAAUCAAACAAAAAUAGGGCGGGUGACAAAAGUGGGUAGCCAAUAAGCUCUAGUUAGUUGAAUCACUCCCAAGAGCUUCUGAAUUUAACAGCAAAGUGCUGACUGAUUUGAUCGGAUUGGGUAAAAUGGUAUAGAAAACUCUUUUAUAUGUAAAUUGGUUAUUCAUGAGAGACCCCUUAUUAAUAAUAUUAUGUUAGAUCAGAUGGCUUCUCAUAAUUCCUACGUCAUCGUCAUCUUAAUUAAGCAGAAAUACUAAGGGAACACAAAAAAAAAGCUAAAAGUUUAAUUAGGACGACACUGCAACAAAACUUUGAAAAGAAAACAAAAAUAUAUUGAAAGAAAAACAAAUGAGAGAAAUCAAAACAGAAAUGGAAAUCAUCGGAAACUCAAAAACAUAUAUAAAGGUUAUAAAUCAUUUUAGUUUCCUCUUUGCUUUCUUUUAAAGGAUGAAAGAAAAAACGUACGACACAAACAACACAUAAGAAAGACCCAUACAACACAUUUCUUUUACUUAUCAAAACAAUAGACAAAAAUGGAUAUAAAUGAAUACCUGGAAUUACUGCAAAACUCGAACAGUUUUCCUCUAUUAGAGAAGAUGAUGAGAGCAACCUCUGCAUCACAUAGAACGGAAAGCUCGUAUGCUUUCUUCAAAACACCACCCCUUCUCUUUGCAAACGUCACUUGCCUAUUGAUCGUGUUCUCUAUCCUCUUCAGCUCUACUCUCCCUCUUCCCAUUUUUUUCUUUCUCUCUUACUCUUCUCUCUCUCCCUUCUUCUAUAUAUAUACGAAUAAGCCCCUCUCUCUAAUUUUUUUUCUUUUCUUUCUGUUUUCUAGUGUGAACAUACAUUCAUUUGUACAAAUAUAUAUAUACACAUGUAUCUCACAUCACUUCUCUAAAGUACAUUAACUUGUCAGCUUCAUUAUUCUCUUUUUAUAUACCCUUCAAUUAUUGUACGUGUGCUAUUUACAGUUGUUACAAACCACCACAUAGGAUUUAUGCAAAUGUUGCAAACAUAAAAUGUUAACUACUCCAUCGAUGCUUAGAUAUUUUCAAACCUAGAAAAAUUGGGUCUUUUUUUUGUUUAUACAAAAUCGGUAAGAGAAGAGAAAUUAAGAUCUUCCCAUUAUUCUCACCAAACACUAGAAGUGGUUUCAGUUUCAAUCUUUCGUUUAAACAAAUGUGGAUGUGACCCUGUUAAAGAAAGUUAGUUCCUUCUUUUACUUUGAUUAUGGAGGAUUAAUUGGAAUUCCAACAUUAAACCCUAACAUUUAAAACCAUUAAAUUAAAGCUUUAGUUUAAUAUGGUGAUAGAGACAGAGAUAUUGGAAAAUGAAAGAUUAGUUCAUUCAACGGUGGAGAAUCGAUGAUAAGAGUAUGUGGGAUGAUGAAUGAUGGCAACCCUAAACUGAGAAGGGUAGGGCAAUGAAUGAGUUUUGACACGUGUCGCAGUCUGGAUGGUAGGGUCUGCUAAACCCACCUGAUUUUAUAUUUAUUUUUUAACUCUUGUAAUCGAUUUCAGGGAAUCAUGUGACCUAACCUUAACUAGGUGAAACCCUGUACGGUCUUUUAACUUACAGAACUACCCUUGUGCUUGGUGUAAAAAUGUAAAGUAAAUCACACUCUUAUUUGUGAUUCGUUUAUGUUGUGCUGAUAUCUAAAUUCUUACUGCUAGAUUCGUUUCUUUUUACAAUGCGCUAGAUAUUUUUGUUUUUUUGGUCUAACUAGAUAUUUUUGUUACUGAUCUCAUAAUAAAAUAUAAAUGUCUGUUUAUUAGUUUAUGAAACACUCCCAUGUUGAUAACUUUAUUUUGGUAUGCGAAUCUGAGACACAAAUACAUACAAAGUUGAUGUAAAACAUAAAUGGAUAGAAUAAACAGAGUUUUGAAUAUAGGUUAUAGUUUAAUUUGGUUAUCUUAGGGUUCGUCCGAUGUUAGAGAUCAUGUCCGACCAAAACUCUUAGUGCUCUAUUUUGACCGGUAAGUAGGUGAUGGACACAAAGGGAUGAUUCAAUUAGAAAAACUAAACAUAGCAUUAUUAUUCUGUCUGGUUAAAUAAGCUUAUUUUCUCUGAUUUGAAAGUUGAUUCUCUAGCUUGAUCGUCUAAGCAUUUCUAGCAAAUUUGUAUGCGUUCUAAUAUUUUUAUAUCCCUAAUUAAGACAUUUUACUUUCUUUUAUUAAUGUAAGAAAUAACUAAAAAAUUAAAUUACUGGUUUAUAUACAAUCAAAAUUAGUUAGAAGAGGGUAUGAUGAGAAAAGUAGUCAAGUACGUAUUCUCUUCUUAUCAGCUGUGGUCAUAUUUUUCAAUGUAAGAUGACGACAAUUGAUAAAGAUGUUGUGCAUUAAACUACAAGAGAAACUAAAGUACAUUCAACUAUUUAUUAUUGAUGUGUCAUUGAUACCAAUGAUCUUCUGUUUUUUUCCUUCUCUUGUUGUACUAUAUCUUCUUCGACCUUUUUUUAAUGCCGAGAAACUUCAAAUAAUCCUCAUGUAUCAUAUAUGUGGUCGAUCUACAUGGUCUAAGACCAAAACAAGGACACUAUUUUUAGUUUUAAACAUUUCAAGAAACCAAAGACAUUCUUGAAGUCUCCGUAAGGCAUUUUUAUCCUAAGGAAAACAAAAAUUCUGUAAGGCAUAUACUAUAUUUUAAUGAUAAGACGUGAGAUAUUGUAAGAUAUAUAAAUACUUCGUAAGUGGAUAUCGUCGAAUAUAAAUAAAAAGGGCUUAUAUGAAAGAAAGAAAGAAGGAAGCACUACUCUUUUUCUCUGUGGGAUCUUAUGCCCUGAAGCACACACAGGACCUACCAAGAAUAAAAAUCCAUCGAUGAGAUCCGACGGUUACGAUGAGUUCUCAAAAUCAAACAUGAUAUAUUACACAUAGGAAAGAUAGAAUCUUGAUGCUAAAGAAACGGUGAUGAACGGUGGUGGAGACCACCACACAUCAACUUUCAAGUUGCACUACAAAUAAAUGCCACGUGAAAUCCUUCCUACAGGACAGCUAUGUUGCGGAGUACUGGUGAUGUGGUCCAUUGGCUGUGAGAUUGAAUCGGACGGUUAUCAGACGAUGUCGUGGAGGAUUGACUGAGAUAUGAGAACCGUCGGAUUAAGCUGCUAAAUAUAGAUAGACAGGGUCCAUGUCAAGACGUAAUGGGAAGGGGACCUCAUUGCCAAAAAUAGAAAGAUGGGGGCUAUCUUCGAAUAAGUCACGUCUCGGGUUUAUUGAGUGGGGUUUUAAGCUUUGGGGACCAGCCUCUCUUUAUUUUUCUUUUUUCACCAACAGGCUGCGAUAUAUAGUAAGUUACUGUAGUCCUCGACUCAUAGUCAUCAUGCAUCAAAUAAAAGGUUUCAGCUUCCAAGAAAAAUGGUUCACACUAAUGUACAUGUUAUUCACAAUCUCAUAUCACAUUAUCACUAACAAAGUUAUAUUAACGAAUGAAUAUUGAUUUCUCUUUUUUAUAUUGCUUUGUUUCUUGCAUCCACUAUUAAGUUUCAGAUUAAAAAAUCCCAUUAAACAUGUUGGCAUUAAUGUAGUGAUUAAAGACAUCGAAGAUAUAAUUCAUCGAUCCUUGUGAAACCUAAGAAACUCUACAAGCUUGUCUUUGUAUUAUACGAGGAGGAUAUGAAGUCACGUAUGAAUGCAAGACAUGUGAGUAUUUCGGCUGACAGAAAAAAACAUACUAAAUAUUUCCCAAGAAAAAUAAACAUACUAAAUAUUUUCCCAAUUAUUAGUACUUAUUAGAACUGGUCUUUGGCUAAAGCUGAUCAAACAAUAUUUAAACGAAGUAAUAUAUUAAAGUCUAUUAACUAAUAAUUUAGAUGUCAUACCUUUGAUGUUGAUUACUAUAAGUCAAUGGCUACAGCUUAGAGGCUUUCGAGUUCUCAGUCUUGUGCUCAAUCAUCUACUUCCAACGUGUUCAAUGCUGUAUAUAGCUACGGAUGUGGCUAACGGUUUUGUCAUGGAAGUGACUAUGAAAAGUCCGUAGCCACAAAAAAAAAAGGAUUUACGAUUUAGCGACGUCGACAGACAUAAAACCAAUCAUUAUCGUCAUUCCGUGACAAAUGACUAUCCAGUACGUCGCUAUGUGACAAUUUCACUCCAUGAUGAUGGAUGGUAACUUUUUUUUUUGGAUGGCAACAUAAACAUAUAUAGAAUUGGGUUAUAAUAAGUGUCCACGAAACGAUUGAAUCCGAUCCGUAACUAUCCUGCGGUAAGUUGGUUACCGCAUGUUGACAAACUCAGGUAUUUUUACAUGUAUUCCAAAGACAUCUCGUAUUUUAAUAGAAACUGGACACCAAAUAUGCUUGGUUUGAACAUCUCCACACUUUGUUAUAUUUAUUUAAUUAUUUUCGGAGCUACAUCAUACAUGGUCUAUUUGUAGGCAUUGGAUGUUAGAUAUAUAUAUAUAUAUAUAUAUAUAUAUAUAUCACUGAGAUGUGAUGCUUAGUUUCACCUCCUAGGGUGAAUGGUUAAAUUCACCUCACUUUUUAUAAUCAACCAAAUUGCCAUAUAGAACUAGUUUAAAAAAUAAUAAAAUUAAAAAAUAAAUGACUGAAAAAAAUAACACUGUUUGCCAUCUGCAAAAUCCAAAACUCUAAAAAUCUAAACCUUAAACUUUAAACCCCAAAUCCUAAAUCCUAAAUUCUAAACUCUAAAUCAUAAAUUCAAAAUUUAAACCGUAAACUCUAAAUCCUAAACUCUAAUCGCUAAAUCCUAAUUUCUAAACCCAAAACCAUCAAUCACAAGCCAUAAAUUCUAAACUUUAAACUUUAUUAGAACAAUUCUAAAAUAUUCUAAAAUUAUUAGAAUUUUAAAAUUAUUAGAAUAAUUCUAGAUGCUGACAAAAAAAAAUUAGAAUAAUUCUAGAAUUCACAAUUUAAAAUAUUUUCAAUAGUUUAAAAUAGUUUAUCAAAUAGAAAAUUUAAUAAUAUUUGAUUUUAAAAUAAUUUUAAUAUUUCUAUUUAAAUAAUGAUGAAUCUAAUUGUUAUUAUACUACAAAACAUCUUUUGUUUCUAAAAGAAUACAAAUCAUCUUUUUAACUCUCAAGUUAAUACACUUUUUUACGUUUUAUUGUAUUAAGUAUUGGCUUUCAUUUGGAUCAGUCACAUGGUUCACUUCAGCACACUCAAUCAUUACUUCAUUAGAGUAUAUAAUCAAAACUCUAUUUUAAUUACUCUUAGUUUACAUAAUUGACUAUACUUGUACAUAAAAUGUAAAUGUGUGUGUUUUUAUACAAGUAUAGUCAACUAUGUAAACGGAGUUUUGAUUACUCUAGUAUCAAUCUAUCUAGUUCCAAGACAUAGAAAGAUCACGAUUAACGAGCCAAAACAAAUAGAAAAUAGAAAACGAUAUCAAAAUCUAAAUAAUAGUAACUCAAUGAGAACAUAUAAAAAACGGGCGAACACACUUGGGGCACAAAACUGCGUAAUUGGGAUCACUAUGAGUGUGAUUGGAAACAGUUCAGAAUAAUUAGGUGAAAAAUCAAUUGACUAAAAGAGAGGAAAAUAAAAAGUGGAAACUAGAGUAGUAAAACGAACACAUUCAAAUAAGAGGGUGAACAGUUUUGCUUCCAAACCAUAAGAAAACAAAAAAAAAAUUGGAGUAAAAUGGAAUGACUACUUUUUUCUUGUUUUCACCUGAUUGGUAGAAAAAAAAAUGAGAAUAAAACACUUUUACUCUAUUAAUUUUAUUAUAAAAAGUCUAUACAAUUACAUCCUAUAUUUUUUACAGCCAAAAAUGAUUUAAAUCAUAAUUUAAAUAACGGCUUAUAUUAUUAUAUUAUAAUUUGGUUCGGAUUUAAUUUGUUGUUCAGUUAUGACAUUUUGGUUCAGAUCGAGAAUUUUUUGGUGGUUAAAGCAUCUCCUGCUAGAAACAAAUUUAAACAAAAGUGGUACCCCUUUGCUUAGUUGCUCAGCAUUUACACAAAAUAAUGAUCUCAUAUCUUCCUAGUUACUUUGCUUGUUGCCGAGGAUGAUCAUUUAUCUGACACUGAGUUAAUCAAAGAAAACAUACAAGUGUCAUUAGAAAUUGCAGUGCUGGGAUCAUCAGUUAAACUUUGGUAGGUAUAAUAAAAGUAUUUGACAAAUGGACCAGCCUUUUGUUUCAAUACAAAAAGGAAAAAAGGAUGAGAGGGCCAGACAAAACCACUGUCGACCGCUAAUAUAGACUGAUUACAAAAGGGCAGAGCAGCAACCAAACUGAUUAAUUGUGACAAUAUAUUCCAAUUAAAUAUAAGCUGCAUCCCCUACAAAAUUUAUGCACCUUCUGUCCACUAAGCAAGGGAUCGAGCAUAAACACAGCAAAAUGUAUAUUCUCUACCAGCACUUAAUCCUGGUUUAUUGAUUUCUUUAUAUCUGAAUGAUCAAACUCUCUUCAGUAUUGACAAGCCACACACUAUUGGGCUCCAGUCAAGUUUGCAGGCACUGCGUUCACCGCACUACGAGUCCUCCCUAUUCUUGGCAUUGAGAACAUACUAAACAGGCCUGAACUCGUGUUUCCAAUGGCUUCUCCAGAAGAUGUUCCAUUAGAGCUUUCGUUUAUAUCCUUCAAACCAGACAUAGACUGAGUGUGCUGAAGUGGACCAUUUGACUGUCCACGAAAAAAAAAAAAAAAAAAUCAGCACUCUGUACAAUGAAAUUCAGUUUCUAAUGGACAGACAAUGGUUUGCGAUACAACAUACCUGUUGAGCUCCAUUAGGGGUUGACGGCAACUGGGAUUCACGAGGAGAAGCAGGAGGCAAAGACAGAGACUGCUAACAUUCAAACACCAGGGGAGAAGUAAGCAAUAUAGAACAGAACAACUCUCAAUAACUUGAUGAAUGUUUUCUCGUUUACCCUUAGUGAUGGUGUCACAGGAGCUGGCUCAAGGGCUGGCACAGAGGAAGUCGAUGGCAAAGCCUAACCAAAAAAAAAAACAAGUCUGUGUAAAUAAAGAGAAAAUUCAGAUAAAAUGAAGUGCAUACUGAAGAAGGUUCAUGCUUUAUUGGACUCUUGAAGUCUUUUGUGCUCCCGGCACUGAGCAUGCAGAGCUCCAACUCCUUUAAGCGUCAGAUCCUUCAUGGACAGCAAAGAAAAUUCAAAUUCAAUCAACACAACGCCUGAUGAACAAACAAACAAUUCUCCAACUACAACUGUGACAAAAUGUUACCUGAUUUCCCUCAAUGCGAUAGACUUUGCUUGCCUGAAAUUAUUAAGAUCUUAAAAUCAUCUCUUUGUUUUAGGAGGAACGAAUUGGUUAACAUAUAUGCAAUUACUAAAAUUAUUCUCACCAAAGUUUCAACAGCCUCGAAAACAGACCUAACGUCAUCCUUCAUAUUUGCUGUACCAUCACGUAGUUCAUUCACCUAACAGUUUUGAUACAUCGUCAGGAAAUCAUCUGAAAGCUUUGCCAACGCAGUGAGUACAUUCAAUCUAACAUACCUCUCUUCCUGUUUCUUUAAUAAUAAUUGUACUUUCAUCCAAACUACGAUCCAUCCUGUCAAUUUCUGAACCUAACUCCCGCUUUGUACCCUGCCAUCACAUGUAAACAGAACCAAAUGAGACAAAAUAUUAAUGCUCUGCAACUCAAUCAAAAUCACAAAAUGUACUAAAUCUGUUGGAUAGAUUAGCUCACAAAAGGAAGCAUCAUAACUGAUCAAAAUAUAGUUCAAUGGUCAUGUCAAGAAAAUAUGGGAAGUAAGAACUUACCGAGAGGGAUUCAUAAAACCCAUCGAUCUGGCUGCCAACGUUAUUACACGCAUCUGAUAAGCUGCGCCUUGUCGCAAACAUAAAAUCAGGAAGUUUCCAGCCCUGAGAAUGUUGCAGAAUAAAUCAGUGCGCCAGUCAUAGAAAAAUAAACUACAAACAAAUGAGGCCAGGUCAAAGUAAUAGGCAAGGAGAACCAAAUGAGUUGUUUUCCAAAAAUACAAAACUUUUGAGUAGCAAACAGCAAUUCAAAUGAGCAAGUAACUAUCUCAGGUAGAUCAAUUAUGUGUGAAGUAUUGUUUACCUUCCACCAUACAUAUCCGUAGCCUAUCACCCCAAUGAUAAUGAUCCAACCAUACUUCUUACCACCUGGAAAUUAAAGGAAACUGUCAACUAUUUGAUUUUAAGCUAAAAUUAACAGUAAGCAAAAAAUGAUUCCACAUUAAUGAAAUGACACUGAUCAGACAUAAGUCUGCCUUCUUUGAUGCCAAAAAGUAGCAAGAGAAGAAAAAAAAAGCCUGAAAAUGGAUCUCAUAAGCUAUGGACAGACAAAAUAAAAGAUUGAGAAAGAUUCUACUGUCCUGUUUCAUAUCAAUAUAAUAACCGAACCAAAUUGCUCAUUUUAAACAGAUUUUUAAUGCAGAAAAUUUCAGAGCAGAGAGGAACUCAAAGCUUCAACAGAGAAAUUAUAAAGGACCUGAUCCUCCUGUCGAAAUUAUAGUAAUCGGUCUGUUUGAAGCCAGCAACUGCAGUUCAUGCCGAAGACUGUUAACCUGCAAGAAAAUUAGAGAUCAUACAAGUAAAUCUAACUCCCCCUCCACAAGUCUUUCUAAUACUCGCCACUAACUUAGAUUCAUUUCAAACUAACCUGGGCUGUAAGUGUAUCAUUGCGAGGCCUGCUGCCUGACUUGGCAGGUUCAUCUUGUUUCAGCUGCCUAAGUACAAUCUAUCAAGAGAAAACAAACCAUUACCCUCAUUAUUCCAAACAGUACCAUACACUUUUGGCACCAAAAACUUCGUUGAAUAUUGAAAAAGGAUAAAACUUUUUCAUGUCAGAGGAUGGGUGAGAAAAUAACAGAAGCUUAGGUAACCUUAAAAGCACCAGAGACGAAAUGGGAUACAUCAGGUAAGCUCCCUUCUUUUGCAAGCACUGACCCAACAAGACCUAUAGUAGUAAAGACGCGAGUUAGACAAGCAUUAAGCUCAGUGAACACACACUAAAAGAUCAAAAGCUUCAAACUUUGUGCCCAAAGAUGAUUCAUUGAUUGAUUUAAAAGUGAUAAUUCUACAGGAAUCAAAGGGUUUAUGAAAAGCCCUAAUUUUCUAAUCCUCCAAUUGCGAUGUCCCAAUCAAAAAGCAAUUGUUCAGUAAUACAAUAGAAGACCCAAUUCAUGAACGGACCUGCACCGAUGAGGAUGGUGAGCUUCCCGAGCGGAAGAGCCAUAUACGAUUGAUGCCCAGAGACGAAAGACUCUGCCUUGCGAGCUUGUUACGGCAAAGGAUUAAGGUGGCAGAGGAAGACGCAUCAGAAGAUCGAAGAGAGAAUUGGUAGAGAAGAGAGCUUCGGAGAGGUGGAAUCGGCGAGAAAGAUACGCUCUUGCGACGACUACAGAGGGAGGGAGGCGGAGAGAGAGAGAAGAGAGACAAAAGAAAAAUUGGAGGCGACAGUGUUGUGUUGUGUUCCUCAAGUGACUUGAGAAACAAUAUUUUCUCUAUUUUUUUAAUAUUUUUUGUGGGCCGAAAUAAAUUCAAAAUUGUGAUGAAAAGGCCUUAGAAUAUGCUCUGAAAAGAUGCCCACGAGUUUAGUUUUUAUAUUUGUUUUAAUUGGAAAAAAAAAAAUCAUAGUAGCCUUUUCUAUGCUAAUGAGUCAUGAGGCUGGGCUCAAGAAAGGCGUCUGUUUCAGGCAUACGUGUGUUUCUUUUGGAUACAUAGAUCAGAGCAGGACGAAAUGUAAUUUGGAAACAGAUACCACAUUACAAUAUAUAGGCGCUUUUGUGCCUGCUAUAGAGUUGUACUUGUCCUAGUAAUGAUAAGUUAUGUGUCAGUCAAAUUCCAUAUAUGCGUCAUCUGGACCAAAAUGAAAAAGCUCUGCAAUAUCAAAUCUAACAUGAUUGAAAAAGGGGCUUCCAACAAUUAAAUCUAAUAAUCUCAAAAUGGGAUAUGAAAAAAAGAAAGAAAAGAAACAAACUAUAGAUACGAUAUAAUGAUCAACAACCCAGAAAUUGUCAAGUACUAGUAGAUGAGUUGAAUACUUUAUGCUCGAUACCUAGCUUAGUUGCUAGAAAGAUCUAUAUGAGAAUCUCUCUUUCUUUCUUUCUUUAACAUCUGCUUAAAUCAAACAAAAGAUAGAUUUGCUGUGGCCCACCUUCUGAAACUAUGUACCUAUUACAUUAACUUUGUUACUAAGCAAACAUAUAGAUAUGAUUUUUCUAAAAAUGUUGUUGUAACUCUAAAACUAGAGAGUGAGGGUGUUACCACACAAACCUACUGGGAGAAAGAAUCUGCAAACCAUGAAGAGAAUCAUUAUACAGUUUCAACACAACUAGGUAAAGACUUGUAUCAAUAUUUCAUAUUAUUAUAAGCAUUUAGCUUUGUUUAAUGGAUUCCAAGAACAAAGCAUUUGUUUAGAAAUUUCGAAAGGAGCUUUUUAUUUUUGAAGCGAGAUGCCUCACGCAUUCGGAUUCCAAAGCCUCCAAAAACGCCAAUUGAAUAAACCCAGCACGUCCGGUAACACCUUCCUCGCCAAGCCCCUGUGCCUAGUCCCCGCAGUCACCGGAAACCUCAACAUUUCCGGUGACUCCUCAGGCUUAACUUCAUCUACAGGCUCCACCGGUUCUUCGGGUCGCUCCACGACCCGGCGACUACGUGAUUUCUCCUUCUUUUUUCCUCCUCUGCCGCUUGACUUCUCGCUCUUGGCUAGAUGGUCUUCGUAGGCUUCGAUGAUCUGGUGGAUGAGCUCACGGUUAGGCGAGGAGUCCCACCUGAACCAGUAGCUCGUGUAGCAUUCGAAACAUUCACAGUCGAAAACCGGAGCUUUACGAUGAGUCCUAGCUUUCUUGUUCUUCGAACCAGAAGAGCUUCUUCUUCUCCCGGAGGAUACGGCGGGGGUGGUGGUGGUGGUGGUUUUGAGUGAACGGGUGAUUAAGUAAGCAAGGACUUGCUUGUCUUCGGGAGAGAGAGAGGAGAGGAGAAGGAGAAUCACAGCAGGGAGAAGCUUCAGGACAGAGAGACAGUUGUCUACUUUGGAUGAAGAAGAAGGAAAUGAAGGAAGAGGAGGAGAUGGGUGGACUUGACCUUUCUUCUUUAUUUUCAUGGCUGAUGAAUGAACGAUGCAAGCUUUACAGAGAGAAGAGUUUCUUUUGGUGCGUUUAAUUAUAUUAUAUAUAGUUUUAUUAAAAGAGAAUUUGUACUUCCUACACACCACUUUUUCCUUAUUUGCACUUCAUACUCUAUAUCCCUCCAAUUUUCUUCCCCCCAACAUUACCAUUUCCCCCCAUUCAAUGAUAUCCCACCUUUGUUAGUAUAUUUAGCUAAUUUACUCUUUUUUUAAUAGGUUAAGCAGAAAAGGAAGGAACACAGAGUAACGUGGUGUUCUUUUUCAUGUUUGUUUAUUCUCUACUCUUAUUAUUCCCUUAUUUUAUUAAGAACAAUAGUAAUUUUUCCCUUUUUUCUGACGGCAAAUCUCAAAAAAAAAUAUUCUCUUUCGCUAAAUUCCUUUAUUUCUUUUCAGUUUCAGUAAACUCCAAUAAAAUACCCACAAUUUUUGUGUGGUUUUCUCUAAAUUUCAUAAAACUUUUUAUGGUAAAAAAUAUGGAAUUAGAAGUUAAUGUUCAAAAGAGAGAGUCAAUGAACCAAAUUUCCUGAAAGUCCGAAUGCCGACAACCGGAAUAAUUGCGGACGGUCCAAAUAGAAAAAAAAACGUAUAUAUUUUUGGUAUUAUUAACUGCGGUGUAGUUUUUUCCGUUACUAUUCACACUUAAAAACAAAUACCAUAAAUAGCUUAGAUAUAUAAUUUAUGAUUUUACUGUUUUUUACGAAUGCUAGAAUAUUAUUGGCUUAUGGAUCGGACUAUCCAAAUUGUAUCUAGAUGCUCAGUUGGUGUGAGGUGAUGUUGAUAAGGAUUACUUGGUGAGGGAACUUGAUAUAACAUGACAAUUCUGCUAGAAAUAUUAGGGUGUUACAACUUUGGCGGUGAUAGCAUUUAUUAAUAAAUGUUAGUAUAACGUUCCGACCGCUCAAUGAGCAAUCUAUGUCCGUUCAAUCGGUCUGCGAGCUCCAUCACGUUUGACGGGCGGUGCGUUAAUUUUUUGGAAGGCUUGAAAGUCUUGUUUACUGAUUCUUGUAAUUACCACAUGACUUUUUCCGUGUUUUGACUUCAUUUGUACGAUAUUACGUAUCACUUUUCAUUUAGUCAUAUAAUUUUUUACUGUUUUAGCUCAAACAUGCUUAACUCUAAAAUUCUAAAUAGAUGUGUGUGCCAGAAAAAAUAAACAUAUUUUGAUGAAAUAGAUAAUUAAAUCAGUUAUCUUAAGCCUUUUAACAUAUACCACAGACCUAGAGAUAUUAGAGUUAGUUUGAAUUCUUUUGGACUCCGAGAUGCCUGAAAUGAUAGCGAAAGCUUUGAAGAUCAAGUUGUUUCGGUCAUCGGGUCCUUUUGCACAAAGUUUUGGCCUAUGCCGUUAUUUAUAUUUUCAUCGUUUACAUUGAACUCAGGUGGUAUAAACCUUAAUAACUAGUUUGAACCAAAAAAAAACCUUAAUAACUAGUUACCAUAUACUAUUUGUUCAAAAAGAAAAAACUAGUUACCAUAUACUCAAUGAACACAAUAACUAUAUCCUUUCUGUUUCAUCCAUCAAGUCAUUUUCACAAAGCUCUCUCUCAGCGGAUAAUUAUUAUAUUUGUUUCAAAAUAUAAGAUAUUUUAGGAAAAAUGCAAAUAUUAAGAAGUAUAUUUUUACCUAUGAUAUUUUUCAAAAGUAAUACUAGAAAUAUAAAUUUAAAUUAGUUUAACCAAUUAUAAAAUAAGCUAUAAGCUGUACAAUGUUGCAUACUUUCUAAGAAAAGAAAAACAAAAUUACAUAGAAAGUUGAAAACACGAAGCAUAACAGUAUAUUCUGAAACAGAGGGGAAUAUUGUCAAAGAAAAAUUAUAUAGCAUCAGCUAAUCACAUGAGAUGAUUAGGUUAAGAGUCCACUUGUAAUUUCGUUGAACCGAAUAAUCAAAAACACUUUUGGUUAAACAGAGGGAAUAGCCUUUCGCUGAACCAUACCAACAAAAGCACCAACUUGGCAAAGGCCUAACCUUUGGCAUCCGUCAAAAGGCUCAAACAUUUCGAACAAUUUGUCCUUAAACACUCUUCUUAAGCGCAAUUAUCAGAUUAACAUCAAAACCAAACCCAUCUUACUAACUUGUCUUAAAUCAAUUCGAAGAUGUCAUCGUCUCUCUCCCGCCCUUCCUAUUCUUCCUCCUCCCGCACCUCGUCUCCUUUCUUCCCGAAUCACUCUUCCCUCAUCAAUGGCGGCACACGAAGCUCACUCUCAUUCCUCUCCGCCUCUCCUCAGGAGCUAUGUCUUAGAUCGAAGAGGAAGUCCGUUCAGAGCUCUGUUGUAUUGCAAGAUGGUAACUUUACUUGGAUUCUCUCUGCCCUUUUUAGGUUUUCCUCUCUGUGCCUUUGGGUUGCUGGUAUAGCGUAAAGGUUGAAACUUUGGAUUGUAUACAAUUGGUUUCAGGGGCAGUAGUAGUCACGAACUCGAGCCCAAUUGAGAAACUUAAAGACGGACUUUUAUCGGUUCCGUCACAAGAAGUUGUGGCAGAGCUUGGUGGCGGCGAACAUGAGUCAACAGUUAGUAUCACGGUGGUUGGAGCCUCUGGUGAUCUUGCCAAGAAGAAAAUCUUCCCAGCUCUUUUCGCACUUUACUAUGAAGGCUGUCUUCCUGAGGUAAGAGAUCUCUUCAUGUCUUUACUGUCUGAUGAGUCUAGUAAUAAAUUGAAUCUAGUAAGCUAUUUUGUUGUUGUUGUGGUUGCAGACUAAUUGGUUUUAUUUUGUUUCUUAGCAUUUUACAAUAUACGGCUAUGCAAGGAGUAAGAUGACAGAUGGUGAACUUAGGCACAUGGUCAGCAAAACACUGACUUGUAGAAUUGACAAGAGGUGAAUAAUAACUGUAGAUAUGUGUGAUUAUGGUGUCUUUUCAGUUUGGUACUUUGCUUGAGAUGAUUGAGAUUUUAAACUGUGACUGUUCAAUUAUAUUUAUCAGGGCAAACUGCAAUGAAAAGAUGGAAGAGUUUCUCAAGAGAUGUUUUUACCAUACGGGUCAGUAUGAUUCUCAGGAACAUUUUGUUGCGUUGGACAAGAAGCUCAAGGAGCAUGAGGUACUUACUUGCUGUUAUCCCCUACUAAUUAACAUCUUCAUGAUUUCCUUCCAACGAUAUUGCAUCAUUGCCUCAUUCUUCUGAAGAGUAUUUGUUGUUUCUGUGAAACUAGAAAAGUUUGGUCUUCUUACUUCUGUGUACUUAAUCAUCACAUAACUAUUUACAGGGUGGAAGACUAUCAAACCGCCUUUUUUACCUCUCAAUCCCUCCAAACAUCUUUGUCGACGCGGUGAAAUGUGCUAGCUCAUCUGCUUCAUCUCUCAGUGGGUGGACUAGGGUCAUCGUCGAGAAGCCUUUUGGCCGAGACUCCAAAACCUCAGCUGCUUUAACAAACUCCCUUAAGCACUACCUGGAGGAAGACCAAAUAUUCAGGUGGGAGAUCUUGUCCUUAUACUUACAUUGUAGUAAAAGUCUAAUCAGUGCUAAUAUGGAGAGUAAUAUUUCUUUUUACAGGAUAGACCAUUACUUAGGAAAGGAGCUAGUUGAGAACUUAUCAGUACUCCGAUUCUCAAAUCUCAUAUUCGAACCGCUAUGGUCAAGACAGUACAUACAGAACGUGCAGUUCAUAUUCUCUGAGGACUUCGGCACCGAAGGACGCGGAGGUUACUUUGACCAUUACGGAAUAAUAAGAGACAUAAUGCAGAAUCACCUCCUUCAGAUACUAGCUCUCUUCGCCAUGGAGACGCCUGUUAGUUUGGACGCAGAGGAUAUCAGAAACGAAAAGGUGAAAGUUCUGCGUUCGAUGAGGCCGAUACAGCUCGAAGACGUGGUGAUAGGACAGUACAAGGGGACUACCACCAAAGGAGGAGUCACUUAUCCAAGCUACACCGAUGACAAAACUGUGCCUAAAGAUAGCUUGACGCCGACGUUUGCUGCUGCUGCGCUCUUUAUAGAUAAUGCGAGAUGGGACGGUGUGCCUUUUCUGAUGAAAGCUGGGAAAGCAUUGCACACUCGGAGGUAACCAAAAACUUUUUUGGAAUGUUUUGUUUUUUUUCUUCUAAUAAGUAAUAUUAUUUAUGCUUAAAUUGUUAACAGUGCGGAGAUAAGGGUGCAGUUUAGGCAUGUGCCUGGGAAUUUAUAUAACCGGAACUCUGGUGGUACUAAUCUUGACCGGACUACAAAUGAGCUUGUGAUCCGUGUUCAACCAGAUGAAGGCAUUUAUUUGAAAAUCAACAACAAGGUUCCUGGUUUGGGAAUGAGAUUAGACCAGAGUCAUUUGAAUCUUCUCUAUUCAGCACGGUGAGUUGAGAAACAGUCAAGGAAAAGCUUUUGGUUUUCUUAUGAUAACAUAUUUGUAUAUCUUCUUUCUUUGUUGUUGAAGGUAUUCAAAGGAGAUACCAGAUGCAUAUGAGAGGCUGCUGCUGGAUGCAAUAGAAGGUGAACGAAGGUUGUUUAUUAGAAGCGAUGAACUUGACGCUGCUUGGGCGCUUUUCACUCCGUUGCUCAAAGAGAUUGAGGAAAAGAAGAUGAUUCCAGAGUUGUAUCCUUACGGAAGUCGUGGUCCAGUUGGUGCUCAUUAUCUAGCCGCUAAACAUAAUGUUCAAUGGGGAGACUUUUAGUCUCGACCAGUGAAAGUGUGUAAGAGUUAGUUAAUCAACUUCUUUUUUUGUUCCGUAGAUCCACGUUUGAGUAUUCUCACUGAUUUGUGUUGGGGACAGAAAAUAUUUUUGAAUAAGAAGGGUUCCGAGGGACUGUAUCUUGAAUAAUAAGUAAAAGGGUUUCUCUUGGUAUGUUAUUGUUUCCACAAUUUUAAUUGAAUUUAGUUGCCCACCAUAAAAAAAAAGAAGUUGAGUUUGGUCUAAUUAGUAUUUUCUUCGGUUCUACAAAGAUGACAUUUUUAAAAGUCCGAAACACUUUAAAUAAUUUAAUGAUACCAAAAAUAAUAUAUUUAUAAUAUUAUAGUUUUAACAAAUUAAUAUUCUGCAUAUUAAUUAAUACAAGUAAAAUAGGUAAAUACACAAAAAUGUUUGCUAAAAACAUAAAUAAUUUUAUUUUUAUGAAACAAAUAGAAAAGUAUCAACAAUUCACAUAUUUAUUUUAAUUGUAAUACAUCACACGUAUCAGUUUAUCUAUAUAUAUAUAUAUUUAGUUCACUUUGUAUGUUUUUUUAUUUGAUAAUAGAAGUUUAGUUGACAAAAGGAAAAUCUAAAAAAUUACCACUAUGGAGGGAAUAUGUUUAGUUUAACAAGAGGGUGAUUUUAAACUCGGUAACACUUGGUCAAUCAAUCUUAUCAAGUCAUUGAUUACUCAAAGUCAUUUUUUUCUUUUUUUUAUCAAACUCAAAGUCAUUUUUUAUUUAUGUUAACCAUUACCAAUGGUUGCAAUGAGCGGUUAAUCAAAAUCGUUUAAGGACAAUUAAAAAAUUAAAAUGGAGUCGUCGUCACCGUCGUCGUUAAUACCCGGCUUGACGGACGACGUGGCGGAGCUCUGCCUCUCGCGAAUCCCGCGCUGUGACUUUCGGAUCAUUUCUCAGGUCUGCCGGAGAUGGAGGACGUUCCUCAAAAGCAAGCAUUUCUCAGCCGUUCGAAAGUUGACCGGACCGGUGGAGGAGUUCAUGUGUGUUCUGAUGAAAAGCAAGUCCCCAGAAGACGGCAGCAGGUGGGUAGAAUACUUGUACGGGGAAGUUUACGACGCCUCCGGAAACAAUCUGGGACAGAUCCCCAGCGUCCCUGGGCCUUUGAAGUCCCAAUUCGGCGUCGCGGUGCUCGGCGGCGGAAAGAUCGUGCUCGUCGGUGGAUACGCGGAGGUUGAAGGAUUUCCGAUCGAUGGGACCACCCGUAUCUCUGCUUCUGCCGAUGUUUACGAGUUCGAUCCUGCGUCUAACAGGUCUUCUUCAAUCUCAAUCUCAAUCUCAAGAUUAUCUAGCUUAAUGUGGUAUUAAGCUUUUUUGGAUUGCAAAUGUUGUAAUACUCUAUGGUUUCCAUCAAACUUGUAACAAACUAAUAUUAGUCUAAACGCUAUAUCAGUUACUUUUAUUUUAAUGCAUCAAAUUAGUUCAAAAAAAAAAAAAAAAGAAACCGAACUGAUUCUCUUUUAUCUGAAUUCCGACCAAAAGUGAAGAGGUUUUGUUUCUGAUUUUUCUUGUCGGAAUGAUAUUAACAGCUGGAGGAAACUGGCGGGUAUGAACGUGCCACGUCGCGAGUUUGCGUUUGCUGUAGUGGGCGGCCUUUUGUAUGUGAUACGAGGCUUUUCCUCGGAUGGUGAAUGCCUUCAAAGCUCGGAAGUGUACGACCCGGAAACUAACCAUUGGAGCCUCAUGGAUGAUUGUCCAGACCGCCCCGACUUUCAUCGUGCAUUCGCAUUCUCCUUCAAGUCCAAACUCUUCGUUGUAGGUGGGAAUAUAAAGAGCUAUGGACAUGGGAAACUAAGUUUUUUCUUACAUAAUUUAAUGAUGAUGACUUUUUUUUUCAGGCAAUGAAUCGAGGUUCAUUGACAUAUAUAACCCCAAAACUGAGACAUGGGAAGAGUUAGACUCGGGGCAAUCACUUUCGGUGUACUCCUACACUGUUGUUAGGAACAAAGUGUAUUUCUUUGACCAUAACAGUGACUAUAACAAGCCGGAACUACGAGUGUUUGAUCCAGAGGAGAAUUCUUGGAGCUCAGUGUCUGUGCCUCGGUCCCCGGGUGCUUACUGGUGUAAAGUAGGGGAAUGGAACAAUAAGGUUAUACUGGUUUCACCGCUCGGGGGACGUACCUUAAUUCGCGACCUUGAUAAAGAGAACGCGUCCAAGUGGAGAGACACACACAUUAAACCAUCUGGUUCUAACCCGACCAUCGUUCUCAUCAACUUCUGAUGUCCCCAUUUGGCUUCAUUUGUGCUUUGGCCCUCAACUUCGUCAAUGGUUUCUACAUUUAUAGUGUCUAUGCCUACUAAACUUGUGUAAACAUGUUUUCACAGAUUGUUUUGCAUGGCUUUGUUUCUGAAGCAGAGGGAGAAAAUUUUAAAAACCCAUUUAUGAUGUUUAUUAAUCAUCUUUUGUAUGUUCCUGAAAAAAAAAUCUGCCGUAUGUUCAAGAAAGUAUCUUGUUGUGAAAGCCUGAAUACUUCAUUCUUUUUAGUGUUGUUAUCUCCUUUAACUUUGUCAGAUAAGUUGUGACAUGCCCAUGAAUUGUGAAUAAUCUAUAUCAGUUUUUGACAAUCUGUUUCAAAGAGACAUGUUAAGUAGUUUUUUUUUUUUUUUUGUGCACUAUGACAUGUUAAGUAGUAGAACAUACAUUUCAUUCAUGAGAAUGCUUCAAGUUCAGUAUAUAUUGGAGAUAAUAAAGCGUAGCUUCUACAAAGACUUGAACAGCAUGAUUCUCUCCACAUUUCAUUAGCUUGGUUGGAGUGUUUCUCACGUGUAGAGGGAUGCCUUCAUUCCGUCCAAAGCUUCUAUUGCUUUGGUAGACAUCAAUGGAUUUAGGAGACAAGUGCCAAGUAAGCGUGCAUUGAGAAAGAACUACAUGCAUACUAACCCCGGAGAUUUGACCUGAACCGAACCAAAAUUUUUUGGUUUUCUGUUUAGGUCCGGUUUAGAGUUGGGUUCAAUUAGGAAAUUUAGAAAACAAUCAGUUAUGGGUUUGGUUCGACAACGGUUAGUUCGUUUUAGAAAAAAAAAUAAACCAAAUCAUAACGACUUUAACCAAAUUAUGAACCAAACUAAUCAAAAAUUUGACUCAAGCUAACCAGAAUCUCGACGAACCAAAAUAACCAGAAUUAUUCGAAUCUUUUUUAUCAAAAAUAAACCAAAAAUCUAAUUGAAGCUGAAAAUUUUGGUUAGUUUCAGGGAAUUUUCACAAAUUAAUCGAACCCAAACCAUAUUUGUUUUCGGUUGUGUUAAGCACAACUUUAACCGAAAUAACCAUAAACCGGACUAUCCAAAUCGAAUUAUCCGAAUGAACCAAACCUGCAGGCCAAAGGCAUACCCAAGAAAUGCGAAGCUUUGAUAGCACGCAACCACCUGAAUAAGAGCUGAAUAUGCUCGCUUUGAAAAUUGAACAGUUUAAUUAAGAUGUUUUAGUUAAUGAAGAUGGAUUACUCGUCAAUUUAUUUAUAUCAACCAUAACUAACGAUUUAAAACGCGGAAACACUUGGUCAAUCUAAUGUUAUCAAGUGAUUUGAUUACUCAAAAGUCAAUCAGGCAUAACUAAAUGAUGCAAUGAGCGAUUAGUCGAAAUCGUGGAGAUCAAGUAAAAUGGAGUCGUCACAGUCGUCGUUAAUCCCCGGCUUGACCGACGACGUAGCCGAGCUAUGCCUCUCGCGAAUCCCUCACUCUGGCUUUCGGAUCAUUGCUCAGGUCUGCCGGCGAUGGAGGACGUUCCUCAGGAGCGAGCAUUUCUCAGCCGUUAGAAAGUUGACCGGAUCGGUGGAGGAGUUCACGUGCGUUCUGAUGGAAAGCCAGUUCGUAAGAGACGGCCGGUUCGUGAAAUACUUGUUCGGGGAAGUCUUCGACGUCUCCGGGAACUGUCUGGGGAGGAUUCCUACCUUCCCUGGGCCUUUCGUGAGCGGUUUCGGCGUCGCGGUGCUCCGUGGCAGAAAGAUCGUGUUCUUCGGUGGGUAUACGAGGGACGAAAGGUUUGCGAUCAAAGGCACCACUAUCUAUGCUUCUGCCCAUGUUCACGAGUUCGAUCCUGCUACUAACAGGUCUUCUUCAACCUGAAUCUCUCUUUCCUUUGAAACAUAACAUCUUUCUCUAAAAAGCUGUUUUGUCUGAAUUUCUUUUUUUCCUUCUACUAACAGGUCUUCUUUAACCUGAAUUUCUCCUUCCUUAGAAACAUAACAUCUUUUGUCUGAAUUUCUUUUUUUUUUUUGCAAGAACGUUAAUUAAUUCAAACAAAAAAGCUGUUUUACACUUUUGUCUGAAUUUCGACCAAUGUGGAGAGGUUUUCAUCUGAAUUCUUCUUUUAUAUCUUGUCGGAAUGAUAUUAACAGCUGGAGGAAACUGGCGAAUAUGAACGUGCCACGUCACAACUUUGCAUAUGCUGUAGUGAACGGGCUUUUGUAUGUGAUCCGAGGCUUUUCCUCAUUUGGUGAUAGCCUUCUCAGCACGGAAGUGUACAACCCGAAAACUAACCAAUGGAGCCUCAUGGAUUGUCCAUACCGCCCGGUCUGGCGUGGCUUCGCAUUCUCCUUCAAGUCCAAACUCUUCGUAGUAAGUGAGUAUAAGAGCUAUAGACAUGGCCAUAUAUAGAUUUCGAAUAAGUCUGGAGGUUGAAGAAACUAAGUUUUUUCUUACAUAAUUUGAUGAUGAUUUUUUUUUUCAGGCAAUGAAUCGAGGUUCAUUGACAUAUAUGACCCGAAAACGGAGACAUGGAAAGAGUUAGACUCGGGGCAAUCACUGUCGGUCUACUCCUACACUGUUAUUAGAAACAAAGUGUAUUUCUUUGACAGGAAAAUGCCGGGACUGGGAGUGUUUGAUCCAGAGGAGAAUUCUUGGAGCUGGGUGGGUGUGCCGAGGUCCCCGGGUGGUUACUGGUUCAGACUAGGGGAAUGGAACAAUAAGGUUAUUCUGAUUGCACGGCUCAGGGGAUGUAAGGCCUUAACUGGUGACCUUGAUAAAGAUGACGCGUCCAAGUGGAGAGCCACACACAUUAAACCAUCUGGUUCUAACGCGACCGUCGUUCUCAUUAACUUCUGAUUUCCCCAUUUGGCUUCAUUCUUUUGCAAAAAAAAAUGUGUGUAGUAAUUUGGGGCUGUUAACUUUGUGAGUUUGGCCCUCAACUUUGUCAAUGAUUCUUAUAUUUGUGGUGUGUAUGCCUGCUAAGUUUGUGUAUAUAUGUUUUACGAUUGUUUUGUAUGGCUUUGUUACUGAAGCAGAGCGAGAAAUUUUUUAAAAAACCCAAUUUAUGAUGUAUUCCUCUUUUGUAAUGCGCCUGAAAAAAGAUAGAACUAUCUAUACGCCCAAGGAGAAGUUUGAGAAGCUCUUGUUCAUCUUAUCUACAUGUAAAAUGUUUUGUACAAAAGAAAAGUUCGGCGCGGGCAAAUGUGGCUGGGUAUAAUUUUAUUUAUUUAUUUGAGGAUCAUUUGGAUAAAAUUUUGAAUUGAAACGACUCAAUGAGGCAGGUAAAAUGGAGAGGAUUUGACUUUCCAACAUUAAUUAUGGAGGGAAUAUAUGAUUAGUUCAGCAAGAGGGUGAUUUUAUACUCGGAAACACUCGGUCAAUCAAUGUUAUCAAGUCAUUGAUUACUCAAGUCAAUUUAUUUAUGUUAACCAUUACAUAAUGAUGCAAUGAGCGAUUAAUCAAACUCGUUCAAGGACAAUUUUAACAUGGCGGAGUCUUCACCGUCGUCGUUAAUACCCGGCUUGACGGACGACGUAGCGGAGCGCUGCCUCUCGCGAAUCCCGCGAUAUGACUUUCGAAUCAUUUCUCAGGUCUGCCGGGGAUGGAGGAUGUUCAUCAAGAGCAAGCAUUUCGCAGACGUUCGAAAGUUGACCGGACCGGUGGAGGAGUUCAUGUGUGUUAUGAUGGAUGGUCGGUUCAUAAGAGAUCGCCAGUUCGUAAAUUAUUUGUACGGGGAAGUUUUCGACGCCUCGGGAAACAAUCUGGGACAGAUCCCUCGCGUCCCUGGGCCUUUCAAGAGCCGUUUCGGCGUCGCGGUGCUCGGUGGCGGAAAGAUCGUGAUCAUAGGUGGAUAUGCGGAGGUUGAAGGGUUUCCGGUCGAUGGGAACCGUAUCUCUGCUUCGGCCGAUGUUUACGAGUUUGAUCCUGCCUUUAACAGGUCUUCUUCACUCUGAAUCUCUCCCUCCUUUACAAAGUGAAGAGGUUUUCAUUUGAUUUCUUCUUUUAUAUCUUGUCGGGAUGAUACUCAACAGCUGGAGAAAUCUAGCGCCCAUGAACAUACCACGUUACAGCUUUGCAUUUGCUGUAGCGGACGGCCUUUUGUAUGUGAUCCGAGGCCGUUCCUCAGAUGGUAAACACCUUCUCAGCUCGGAAAUAUACAACCCGGAAACUAACCAGUGGAGCCUCAUGGAUUGUCCACACCGCCCCAACUUUCGAUGUGCCUUCGCAUUCUCCUUCAAUUCCAAACUCUACGUUGUAGGUGGGAAUAAGAGCUAGACAUGGACAUAUAUAGGUUCCGAGGUAGUCUUGUUGAAACUAAGUUUUUCCUUACAUAAUUAUUGAUGAUGAUUUUUUCAGACGAUAAAUCGAGGUUCAUCGAGAUAUAUGACCCCAAAACGGAGACAUGGGAAGAGUUAGACUCGGGACAAUCACUGUCGGUCUACUCCUACACUGUUAUUAGGAACAAAGUGUAUUUCUUUGAACAUAACAAGCCGGGACUGGGAGUGUUUGAUCCAGAGGAGAAUUCUUGGAGCUCGGUGUUUGUGCCUUGGGCCCCAGGUGCUUACUGGUUCAGACUAGGGGAAUGGAACAAUAAGGUUAUUCUGAUUGCACGGAUGGGGGGAUGUAAUGCCUUAACUGGUGACCUUGAUAAAGCGAACUCGUCCAAGUGGACAGCCACGCAGAUUAAACCAUCUGGUUCUUACCCGACCAUCGUUCUCAUCAACUUCUGACACCCCCCCCCUUUUUUGGCUACAUUGUCUUUGAAAAUGUGUGUAAUGUUUUGGGGCUGUGAGCUUUGUGUGUUUGACCCUCAACUUUGUCAAUGAUUCAUAUAUUUGUAGUGCGUAUGCCUACUAAACUUGUGUAAAUAUGUUUUCACAAUUAUUUUGCAUGGCUUUGUUUCUGAAGCAGAGGGAGAGAAUUUCAAAAACCCAUUCAUGAAAAGAUUUAGAACCUUGGUUAGUGAAUCUACCGCAGCAUUUUAAUGUUCAAGGAAGAAUCCAGUUGUGAAAGCCUCUUCGUUUUCGUGUUGCUACCUCCUUUAAGUAGGCAUGGACAUUCGGGACCAUCGGUUUCGGUUCGGUUGAUUUGGAUUUUCGGUUUUUGAUAUUAUGCACAUAAGUUUCAUUCGAGUUUUACUAAUUAUUGGAUCUUCAGACUGUAACCAAUAUCUGAAAUUGUCCAAAAUAUUUUUUUUUAAAUCUGAAAAACUGACCCAACAAAUUCAAAAUAUAUAAAUUAUUCAUAAAUCUAACUAAAAUUUAAUUAAACUAUCAACACUAAUUAAAAAUAUUCAAAAUAACAAAUAAUCUUUAGAAUACUAUAAAAUAUGUAAGUUACUUACUUUAACGUAUAUAAAAACAUUAAUAUAUUUAACUAAUUUCAGAUAUAUUCAUAAUCUAGUUCGGAUUUCAGUUGGUUGAGUUAUACCCAAGCUGCAAAGUACUAAGCUCAUAAAUUCCGUUCGGAUAUUUUUAUAUAACACUUUGGAUCCGGUUUCAGUUUUUUCGGUUUAGGUUUAGGUAUGUAUUUAGGUUUGGGUAAAAACGUCCAAACCUACUUUUAACUUUGUAACAGUUGUGCCACCCUUUUUUUUUUGUUACUGGUGCCACCCAUACGCAUGGAUUGUGAGUCAUUUUUAUCAGUUUUUGACAAUAUGUUUCAAAGCGUCGACAUGUUGAGUAGUAGAACAUAUACUUUUUUUCAUUCGUUCAUAAGAAUCCUCCAACUUCAGUGUAUAUUGGAGACAGCUUCCUCCUCCAGUUUUUGACGUCUAGAAUUUAAUAUAUUUUACCUGAUGCAUUUUUCCAAAUCCAAUCAUAUAUAGCUGGUAAAAUGUAAAUUUUAACGCCACGUAUCAUCUCAUCAACCAUACAAAUAUUUUGAAAGUUUAUGGUUUUUAGUUUUUUACGAUUGAAGAUUUAUUGAUUCCAAAAGUACAUUAAAAUCAUUAAUUUGUAUCGAAUGAUAAAUAGUUGGACGAAAAGGCAAAAAAUGAACAAAAUCCAACAAAACCCUAAAAGCUCACGACUGACGGAAGCCAAGGCUGGGAAUAUCGUCGAACACUUGGGCUGCGUUUUUAAGUUUUCAUAAUCGCGCCUUUUGCCUAAAACCUUUACCUUCUCUCUCCCUCCCUCUAUCUUCUUCACUCAGAUCUAACCUCUCUCGUAUCCCCAUGUUCGGCACUCCGUCCUCCUCGCCGGCGUUCGGCACUCCGUCGUCCACGCCGAUGUUCGGUUCCUCCUCAACCUCCGCCUUCGGCACUCCUUCUUCCACCCCGGCCUUCGGUACGCCGUCAUCCACUCCCGCCUUCGGAACGCCCUCAGCAACGCCUGCCUUCGGCACGCCUUCAUCCACGCCGGCGUUCGGAACGCCGUCGACAUCUUCCUUCGCCUCUGGAGGAUUUGGAAACUCGCUCUUCUCCACUCCGUUCUCAUCUCAGCAGCCACAGCAACAACAGCAGCAGCAGCAGCAGAACUCGCCGUUUCAGCAACCGGCGUCUUCUGGUUUCGGUUUUCAGUCGCCGUUCAACACGGCGCAGCAGCAGACGCCUUUCCAAACUACGCAAUUGACUACUCAGAUGGCUCCCGUUGCUCCGAUUCCUUUCUCCCUCGCCGAUCGAGAUAUUCAGGUUUGCGAUUAGCUUCUCCUCAAUCAAAAUCUUUUGGUUUCUUGCAAGUCUAGAUCUGAAAUUCACUAACUCGCUUUUUGAUUUAGGCCAUCGUUGAAGCGUAUAAGGAAGAUCCGACGAAUCCUAAGUAUGCGUUUAAGGUUAGUUUCUGUGUAAAAUUCAGAGUUCUGUGGUUGCAUCUGUUUAAGUUUAACAUUGUUGUUUACAUUUGCUUGCAGCAUCUUUUGUUCAGUGUGACUGAACAGCAGUACCGUGUGAAGCCUGCUGCUGUAUCAGAUGUGAGAAUCUUCUUGAAUCAUGUCAUGGAAAUGUGUAGCUUUCUCGUGUGUAUUGUUAUUGAUUCCUCUUCGUGGGUAGAUAAUGUGGGCAGAGGCUAUGAGCAAACUUGAAGGCAUGGAUUCAUCAGAAAGGGAGCGCCUUUGGCCUCAGCUUGUGCAAGGCUUUAAAGAUCUUUCUCAGCGACUUAAGGUAGAUUUUUAUCAACUGCCAAGUUUCUUAAAUUUUUUUUUGUUCAGUGGGUUUAGUUUCUUUUUCUAUAUGUGAGCAAGUUUGUUUAUGAGGGGGAUUAAGCACUUACUGUUGUUUGACAUCCAUUGAUAUGUAAAAAGUUAAUUCAUUCAUUGAUACUCUUUUUGUUUGGCACCUGCAGCUUCAAGAUGAAGUUCUCGUAUCAGAUAGGGAAAGNNNNNNNNNNNNNNNNNNNNNNNNNNNNNNNNNNNNNNNNNNNNNNNNNNNNNNNNNNNNNNNNNNNNNNNNNNNNNNNNGAAAGAAUAAAAACGACUCAGAGCAACGUUAAAAUGGUGAUGUGUCGUUUCUCCACUGUCUCUCUCUCGUAUUUUUUUACUGGAUGCUCAUGUUAUAAGAAAUUGUUUGAUUUUAUUGUUACAGCUUCAGAGACAUUUGCAAGCACACACCUUUCCAUCUAUUGAAAGAUUGAGACAGAAGGAGCAGAAUCUUCAAAGACGCAUGUUGAGGGUGAGAGAAAUCGUCACACUGAAAAUCUGACCUCGUUUAUGUCAGUCCAUAUUAUAGUCGAAGUUAUAUUUACUCUUGUGUGCUUGAAGGUGAUGAGGAUAGUAGAGGGCUUAGAGGGGAAGGGUUUCCGGUUACCCUUAACAAAAGGAGAGGCCGAACUGUCUGAGAAGCUAACUGGAAUAACAAGACAGGUCUGUGUCAUUUCUAUCAGAUUCAACUUUUUGAGGUUUGCACAGUUUGAUGCAGAACAAGAACAUGGAUAUAUUCUCAGGUGAAAGGUCCUGGAGCAGAGCUUUCUAGGAGAGUCCAAAGUCUGCAGACAAUAUGUCGCGCCCAAGCAAAUUCAUUUUCUGCUGGUAGCUCCAUUUAUCUCCCGGGGUCAACUAAAAUAGACGAGCAGAGCCUGAUUGAUAUGCAGGAGGUAUGAGACGCGACAUCUUUAGUCUUUGCUUGCUUUCUUUAAACCAAUUCAUUGUAAAACUGUUUGGGACUUUGUAAAACAGGUAUUGCAACAGGAGACGGAGGCAAUAGGAAGGCUUGGGAACGUAUUGAAGCGAGACAUGAGGGAUAUGGAAAUCAUGGUGGCUGAAGAUACAGAGAUGACCGAGGACACAUAGAUGUCUAUUGUUUCUAAUGUCUCAUUUCCUUUACUAUUGGAUUCGCACAAGGCUUUGGACUUUUGACAUGUACUUUAGUAGCUGAGCUAUAAAAAUUCUCAAUGUAUUGUGUGAUUUCUUUUUCAUCAAUGUAUGCAGUUUACUAAAAUAGAGGGUCCUCUUCGGAAAUGAUUCAGAGGAUUAGUACACCGUUUCAAGUUCCUUUUGUUUUAACGUAUUGUUCCCAGAUAUAUCUAGUCUGGUCAUAGUUUCUAACCACGUUCCUGCAUAAACCACACAAGGUACGUAAGGCUACAUAUACUACAGUGCCUUUUAACAGGUUUGUGAAGAAGCCUUUUUGUGGAUCCGGUACGUUUAUAUAUCUGCAAUGUUCAAAUUAUUUUUCCCCUUGUCGGUUUUGUUUUGGUGUUGUUGCGGCUUUAAUGCCACACGUGUGUUAUUAUUAUUUUCCUCUUCCAGCUUUUUUUUUGGUUUUGUCGUUAUUGUGGCAAAAAAAUUCGCGUCAGGUUCGUGUUUCAAUAGUGGUCGUAGAAAUUGCUGGUUUUGUGGAGCUGACACUUCCUUUCUUUCUCAUCAAACCCCACUUUUUUCGCCGAGGCUCUACCGUUCCGUUAUGCUCCUAACAUUUACUUCCCUUUCUUUCUGUUUUUUUAUUUUUUUUUCUUGGUGAUAACAAAUAUUUCAGAGUAUUCUUGGUAAUUUUUCAAGAAUCGAAAUUUCCAUAAAAUUUGGAAAAAAAGGCCAAAACUUUGUUAUAGGGAUAUUCAUGAUUCUUGCUUAUGUUGUUUCUUUUUGGGAAAAACAAGAUUGUUUUCAGGUUUGUAUAAAGCUGUGGCUUAGGUGAUUUUUGGAACAUGGAUGUAAGCGAGCUAGAGGAGAAUUUGUUCGCUGCUAGCGAUGCCAAGGUAUAUUCUCUUUUAUUUAAAAUGUUUAAAUUAUCUCAUUCUUUCACAAAAAUCCCUGUCGGUGGCUGUUGGAAUCAUAUAGAACAGGAAAAUGGGGAUUUUCUUUGUAUGUUAUGUAUUUUUAUUACGUUAUAGCAAUGUGAUUUGCGUCUAGCUGCCUUUAGCCUGAUCAAUGGUAGCCAAAGGCAACACAUUGCUCUACCAUAACGUAAAAAAAUUCAUCUCUAUGUUAUCAUCUCAUGUUCAACAGUUAUCGUUCUGUUUUUCUUAUGUUUAUAGCAAAUAAGUUAUAUUGAGUCUAGUAGCUGCCUUUGAUACAUUUUUUUUCCCAUUGGUCUUUGUUAAUUGUAACCAAAUGUUGGGUUGAUAGAUGUAAUUUGAUGGGUUUUGUUCUCUCUAUGCAAAACUAAAGUUGUGUGAUAAUGGCUCAAUUACUGAAAAUGCAGUUACACAGAGAUAUGUGCAAGGAACUAUCUGCUGUUUAUUGCAAGGUAUUGUCUAUCUUCCCUUCCUUGGAAGAAGCACGUCCGCGGAGUAAGUCAGGGAUUCAAGCCUUGUGCUCCUUACAUAUUGCACUCGAGAAAGCCAAGAACAUUCUUCAACACUGCUCUGAGUGUAGCAAACUUUACUUGGUCAGUUUCUCUCUUUCUUUGGAUGCAGUUCCUCUAUUUUGUGUUAUGGUCUCUUCAAUUCCCUCCAUUUCUAUUGUCCCUUCUGAACAGGCUAUCACUGGGGAUGCUGUUCUGUUAAAAUUUGAGAAAACAAAGUCUGCACUUAUCGAUAGUCUUAGACGCGUGGAGGACAUUGUCCCUAGCUCAAUUGGCUCUCAGGUGAUGUCUAUUUAAGUGAAUAUAACCAAUCUGAUUGAUAAAAUGGUCUCAACGAGUUUCUAGUUUCGAAUCCUAACUACAAUUUUUUUUUUUUGGUUUCCUCAGAUUUUAGACAUUGUAGGUGAACUAGAACACACCAAGUUUUUGCUUGAUCCAUCAGAGAAAGAAGUCGGUGACAGUAUAAUCUCACUACUCCAACAAGGCAAGAAAUUUGACAACGCCACCGACAACGCCGAGCUUGAAAUAUUCCACCAAGCAGCUACUAAACUCAGCAUAACUUCUUCCAGAUCAGCUCUAGCAGAGCGGCGCGCUCUAAAGAAACUCAUCGACAAGGCACGUGCGGAAGAAGACAAGCGGAAAGAGUCAAUCGUGGCUUACCUCUUGCAUCUCAUGAGAAAAUACUCAAAGCUUUUCAGAAGCGAAGCUGUGGAUGAGAAUGACUCUCAGUGUUCACCACCAUGUUCCCCCACUGGUAAUGAAGACCGUCCCCAUGCGUUUGGGCGUCAACUAUCUAAGUUUGGUUCUGUUAAUAACAGUAGGAAACCAGGACAGAUGAUGCCCACUCCACCAGAAGAACUCAGGUGUCCCUUAUCUUUGCAGCUUAUGUUUGAUCCUGUCAUUAUUGCUUCUGGACAGACUUAUGAACGUGUAUGCAUCGAGAAAUGGUUAAGUGAUGGACAUAACUCUUGCCCCAAGACUCAGCAGCAGCUCCCACAUCUUUCCUUGACUCCUAAUUACUGUGUGAAAGGUCUGAUUGCGAGCUGGUGUGAGCAGAAUGGGAUCACAGUUCCUACUGAACCACCACAGUCUCUCGACCUCAACUACUGGAGGCUAGCCUUGUCUGACUCUGAAUCCGCCAAUUCAAAGUCUGUUGAUGGUAUAGGACCGUGCACACCGAAGGAAGCAAAACUCGUUCCUUCGGAGGAGAGUAGUACUAUUGGUCCGGAACAACAACAACACAAAGAAGAAGUCAAUGCGCCUGACGUCAAUGUUCUAGAACAGUAUCAGGAUAUAUUGGCUACCUUGGACAAAGAGGAGGACUUGGGUGAAAAAUGCAAAGUAGUAGAAAACGCCAGGCUGUUGCUGAAGGAUGAUGAAGAGGCCAGGAUCCUCAUGGGAGCCAAUGGGUUUGUUGAAGCUUUCUUGCGGUUUUUAGAAUCAGCUGUUGAUAAAAACAAUGCAGCCGCACAGGAAACUGGAGCUAUGGCUCUAUUUAACUUAGCAGUCAACAAUAACAGGUUAGUUAGCACAUCCUAUCUUUGUUACCAAUCAAAAUCCUAAGCAACGUCACUGUAUGCUCUUUCCUAAUAUCUUCUGUUUUGUUUGUUUUGAUGCGCUGUAGGAACAAAGAAUUGAUGCUGACUUCAGGAGUCAUCCCGCUGCUAGAGAAAAUGAUCACUUGUCCUCACUCCCAAGGGCCAGCAACUGCGUUGUACCUAAACCUCUCCUGCCUCGAGAAAGCUAAGCCAGUGAUUGGCUCAAGUCAAGCAGUUCCCUUUUUCGUGAAGCUUCUUCUUCAGGGAGAAACACAGUGCAAGCUGGACGCUCNNNNNNNNNNNNNNNNNNNNNNNNNNNNNNNNNNNNNNNNNNNNNNNNNNNNNNNNNNNNNNNNNNNNNNNNNNNNNNCACGCGCUCUACAACCUCUCAACCCACUCUCCCAAUAUCCCCACUCUCCUUUCAUGUAACAUAAUCAAAACCCUCCAAGUCCUAGCAUCAACAGGUGACCACUUGUGGAUAGAGAAGUCAUUAGCGGUAUUAAUAAACUUAGCCUCUAGCCAAGAAGGGAAAGAAGAGAUGAUAUCAUCACAAGGGAUGAUCAGCACUCUCGCAACGGUCCUGGACGCCGGUGACACGGUGGAACAAGAGCAAGCCGUUUCUUGCCUUGUGAUCUUGUGCACGGGAAGCGAGCAGUGUAUCCAGAUGGUGCUGCAAGAAGGAGUGAUUCCGUCUCUGGUUUCCAUCUCGGUGAAUGGAAGUAGCAGAGGAAGAGACAAGUCUCAGAAGCUUCUGAUGCUGUUCAGGGAACAGAGGCAACGAGAACAGGCGUCGCCGAAUAAAGAUGAAGCUCCCAGGAAAAGCUUGUCUGCGCCAUUGCCAAUGUCUGUACCUGCUCAAGCUUCAGGUCCACCAGGGUCAGAAGGGAAGCCUUUGUUUAAAUCAACCUCUGCAAGGAGAACAAUGACGAGAGCAUUCAGCUUCUUCUGGAAGAAAAGCUACUCCAUCCACCGUUGAAGAAAAAAGAUACAUUUGGAGUGUGUCACAUUUACAUACUCCAAUGUAAACCUGUUUUUUUAUUCCUUUGAUCCUUAACUUCUUACACAAGUCAUCUGCAUAGGGAAGAACGAUAUGUAAAUGCCACUUUGGGACCUCACCAUUUUUGCUCACUUUUCCUCUCUCACCAGAGGUAAUCGUGUAGAUAGCUUACUGAUGUAACAGUUUUGUUUUUUUUUUCUAUAUAUGAAACCUCACUUUCAGUACAAAAACAGAACCUAAUUCGACCAAAAAAAGAAUCUGAGCCAUCAAGCCUUUAAAGCAUAACUCGUCUUUUAGUUUGCUUUCAGACCAACAGAUUGGUUGGUGUGUGAAGUGUAGUAUUCCUUUGGACCAUCCUCUACAGAUGAGAGAUGUCUUCGCUAGCUUGGUAAACAAUGAACAAUGCCAAUUAAUCUACAAAUUCUUUGUAUUCUAUUUAUUAUUUUUUCCAAAUAAAGAUCACGAUUUUUUUUUGUAAUGGUGUUUCAAGUUUUCUUUACAUUUCAAAUAGAAUAUUCAUGAAUAGGAUUAUAUUUAUAUAGUGAAAUCAAACUAAGGCUUUGAUUGUAAAAUCUGCUUCGGUUUUGUCCACUGUCCAGUGCUUUCACUAGGCAAUGAAGCAAGGCGAGUUGUGUCUAUGAUUGUUCGUUCACGUUAGCUAGUAGCUACCCUGGUAAACAAGUAUCCAGUGACUGCUGUGACACUUCCAAGCAUUCCACCAGCAAUGACCUGAUCUCUCAGCAAAUAGAAAACAGAAUCUUAUGAGAACAAGAACUCGAUUCCCCAAACCACAGUAACAAAUCAAGAGUGGCUCAUAUAUCAAUCAAAGUAAAACAAACUUGACUGACAUUGUUCUAGAGUUCAACUUCAUUCAACUCACAUAAGACCUCUAAAAGGCCUCAAGGUACAUAAUUGUUCAAAUCAAGUGUAAUAAACAUUACCUGGGGAGGGGUAUGGCCGAGAAGUUCACGCAAAGGUCUGCUUUCAGCCAAGGGAUGUUCUGCAGGAAGUUCGUAGACAAUCUGAUUGAGAACCUGUAAAAUGAAUCAGACCCCAGAGAUCAGGAUACCACAGCUCAAAUGCAUCAUGACAAAAUCAAUACUAGGAAACAAAGAAAAGCUAGAGCAGCAGCAAAUCAAACCUCAGCUUGGCGACCAGCGUGUAACCUCACACCAGUAGCAUCAUACAUCACCUGCCACCCAAAAAAUCAAUCACACAUAUAAAGAUAAACAAAAAAAACAGAAAGUAGUAGCUAAGAAAGAGUUCCAAAACUUACAACAGAAGCUAAGAUCAAAGCAAUAGCGAAAUGAGAACCACCAAAGCCCUCUUGUAAACCAAUAGCAACAGCGAGAGCAGUAACGGUAGCUGAAUGAGAAGAAGGCAUUCCUCCAGAACCAAUAAGCUGUUUGAGAUCCCAUCUCCUUUCCCUAUACCUGCAGAACCACCAAGUAAAAAAAAAGAUCCUCCUUUUAUGCAUAAACAUAUAUUGGAAACGCUAAAGAUCUAUCCUUUACACUAAGAGAGAAUCACACAGACGACGAAAGUCAACGGCUUAAGAUGGGGAUUCAAAUAUCAGGACAGAUAUGUAUCAAAGAUCACUCCUUUUUUAACUAUGUACCAGGAGGUGAAGAGUUUGAUGAAUUGAGCGAUGGUGAAAGCCGUGAGGGAGGAGAUGAGAGGGUAGUUCGUGAAAAUGGUGAAAUAAUGAUGAGUCGUCGUCGUCGUCGUGGCCGUAGAAUCCUCCAUGGUGAUUAAUGGAUCUCGUCAGGGAUGGAUGGAUGGAUCGCGCGAUAUAGCUUUUAGGUAGAGAAAUGAUCCAUAAGGCAUAUACCGAUUCGCUUUCUGUAUCUCUAUUCAAACUUUAUCCCAAUGGCGUCUGCGUAGACGUUCAAUCUUCUUCUUCUUCUUCGUCUUCGUCUGUCUUUUUUUUUUUUUUUUUUUUUUUACCAAUUUNNNNNNNNNNNNNNNNNNNNNNNNNNNNNNNNNNUUGUUUUUCUUUUUUUUUUUUUUUUUUUCUUUGACCAAUUCUCCUUUUUCAAAAAGAAUCCAAAACUAGAUUUAUUUCAUUUUUAACAAAAAAAAAUUAAUAAUAUUUGUUUCUAUUAAGAAAAGUAAAACAAAUUGGAUUAAUCAAAGUUUUGUAUAUGCUCAAGUAUCUCCAAAGGAAUGUCAUAUUAUGCAAAUUCAAGAUAAAUUCUUUUUUUUUUGGUCAUAUAUGUUCAAUUACUAGUGUAAAGUAAACCCCAUAUAAUAUAAUUCAUUUUUUUUGACGUCAUAAUAUAAUUCAUAUAAAGAACCAAAAUUAUACUAUAUGAUUCGUCCUACAUCUCCAACGUCAUAAUAUAUUGCNNNNNNNNNNNNNNNNNNNNNNNNNNNNNNNNNNNNNNNNNNNNNNNNNNNNNNNNNNNNNNNNNNNNNNNNNNNNNNNNNNNNNNNNNNNCUUUCCCUGGGCAAAGCUCGCUGCAAGGUUACCACUUUACACCUAUUCGAUUUUCACUUCCUUGUUUUCAAAAGAUUCUCUCUUCUGUCAAGCAUUCUUCUUUGCACCGUACUAGUCAUAAGCUCUGGUUGUACAGGGGUGGGCGUUCGGGUACCCGUUCGGGUUCGGAUCAGGUAUUUCGGAUUUUCGGGUAUUUCGGUAUAGAGGUGUAGAACCCGUUCAGGUAUUUUUGUACUUCAGGUCGGGUUCGGGUAUUUUUAGUUCGGAUUCGGUUAUUUCAGAUCGGGUUCGGAUAUUUAGAUUUUGAAAAAAAAAAUUAAAAUUUUUAUUUCUCAAGUUUCUUGUAUUUAAGAAUAUAACUUUCUGUUAACUAAUUUUUUUAUUUUUAAUAGAUUGAAUGGUUAAUAGAUUUGGACAUAACAUUUUAAAACUAUAAAGGCAUUAAUUUAGUUAUUUUUUAAAAUAUUUUGGAUGUAACUUUUUGUUAAUUUUUGAAAUAAAAAACUUGACAUGCAUUUUAAGUGAGUAGCAAAUUAUUUUUUUCGUAAUUGUAUGUAUAUCAUAUGAACUUAAAGUAUGUGUAAUAUCAAUAUAAAUAUUUUAUAUAAAAUGAGAGAUGUAAACUAGAAAUAUAAGGUUAAUUAUACAUAUGUUCGGUUAUCUUCGGAUAUCCAUUCGGGUUCGGGUAUUAUCCAUUCGGGUUCGGGUAUCCAAUCUCUCUUUAUUCAAUACCCGUUCGGAUAUUUUCUUACUUUGGUUCGGAUUUCGGUUCGGGUUUUUCGGAUCGGAUUCAGGUGCCACUUCGGAUAUCGGGUAAAGUGCUCACCCCUAUUGUACACCAUACGUCUUAGUUAUUUAUCUGUCUAGUUUUGCUUGAGUUAAACAGUGUUUUAGUUACUCAGAAAGAAAAAAACAGUUGAGGUACAGUCUUGUGCUAUAACAUUGUGUGCAGGUCUUAGUGAAUUAUGCUAGGUCAGCGCAGGAGGCUGAAGACGUUUCUAAACAGGUGUGAUUCGUGCUCUGAGUUAGAGUACAAAUUUUGUUUCUUGCUUCUCAAAUGUAUUUGUGAUUAGCUUUUAUUUUAAAAAUAUAUCUGUUGCAGUCAAUUGUAUUUUUAUUUCUACCACGUCGCCUUAUUCCAUGACAUUUAUUCUCUAUGGACCUGUAGAUUGAAGCAUUUGGUGGCCAGGCUAUUACUUUCGGGGGUGAUGUCUCGAAAGUGGCUGAUGUGGACGCCAUGAUGAAAACCGUAAGUGAUCAAUUCAAUUGUACACUAUCUUAUAAUUCUCCUGCACUCUAUAAAUUUUUUUGCAGGCGAUUGAUGCAUGGGGAACUACUGAUGUCGUUGUUAACAAUGCAGGUAUAUAAAAAUCGUGGUUCCCUUUGUUUCUUUAUCUACUACACCAGUACCUUGUACCUUACUGACAUGGCUACAUAACUUUCAGGAAUUACUCGGGAUACCUUGUUGAUACGAAUGAAGAAGUCCCAAUGGGAUGAAGUGAUUGAUUUGAAUCUCACUGGAGUAUUCCUAUGCAACCAUGUUUGUGUUCCUGCUUAAGUUUUGAUACUCAGAAUCUCAGGGACUGAAGUCUGAACUCAUAUUUACUCUCUGUAGGCAGCAACAAAGAUCAUGAUGAAGAAGAGAAAGGUACUAUUGAGCUCCUCCUCUAUAAGAUUAAGAACAAAGAAGAGCGUGAUUCAUGUUAUAGUUUUGACAUACUCGAUCAUCUUGCAGGGAAGAAUCAUCAACAUAGCGUCAGUUGUUGGUCUCAUUGGUAAUAUUGGCCAAGCAAACUACGCUGCUGCUAAAGCUGGAGUUAUUGGCUUCUCCAAGACUGCUGCCAGAGAGGGUGCUAGCAGGAACAUAAAUGUACGCGACCUAGCUUCUCUCUUUCUUUCCUUGGAGUCUUGGACAAGAUUUUAAACUUGGUCAGUCAAUGAUAUACUCUAUUACAGGUCAAUGUGGUUUGUCCUGGAUUCAUUGCAUCUGACAUGACUGCCAAGCUUGGAGAAGACAUGGAAAAGAAAAUAUUGGGAACAAUCCCAUUAGGUAAUGGAGAGUCUUAACUUUUUUUUACAUUUGUUGCGGUUAUUAGUAUGUCUCUGAUACAAAGCAAACUGGAUUGAUUUUUCAGGACGGUAUGGACAACCGGAAGAUGUGGCUGGCUUGGUAGAAUUCUUGGCUCUCAGUCCUGCAGCCGGUUACAUCACCGGACAGGUUAACUCAUAGUCUCAUACUCUCUCCUAUGGUCAAAUGUAUAUUUGGUUAUUAGGCUUGGUUAUCGGCCUAACCAUGGUUAAAAUCGUUGGUCUGCAGGCAUUCACCAUCGAUGGAGGUAUUGCCAUCUAGGGCAUUUGGUAAAAUCGGCUUUUGUCUAGGCACAACGAUUUGGUAAAACAGACAAAGUUGAGUUAUUUCUAGCACUUGGUGUACUACAAAAAAAAAACUGAUUACAAUAGAGUUUUUUCGUGUAAGCGUUGUCCUUGCUAUUUUUAUUUGAGUGUGUACGUGUGUUUACAUUCAUGUUACACAGUUAAAAAGCAACUAAAAACAGAGGAGACCAAAAAUAAGCAACCAAGAAACUUAGACACUGAGGCAAACCAAUAAUGUCUACAAAUAAGUAGAACUCAAUCUUUCUUUCGCCCUAUCUUAUCUUUUGUUACUAAACCUAUUCAUUCAACAAAAACUUGAAGAUAGAACAAAAGAUGGAUUCAGGACUAUCUUGGGCUGAUCAACGGGAUUACAACUCUGACCCUCCUUCAAAUUCAAAUAAAGAAGACGAUAAACAAGAAGGAAGAUGUAAGCAAAAGCAGUUUGGGGAAGGCCAUACUUGGCUUCAAAUGGGUCAAGGAACUUCGCAAGAAAUCUGAUAAUAAGUAAAUCAAAUAGGGUUUAUUGUUGAAGUUACAAAAGGAGCAUUGGUUCAUUUGUUUCUUGUGAUUAAUCCAUUAAACGUUGCUUCUUUCCCUUUGCCCAUUCUUCUGAUUCUAAUUGCCACAUCUUUCAAAGUUUUUUUAAAAAGUGUUGGCUGUGGAUGAUUGUGUAGACGAGCCAUUGCUUUGGUUCUUUAUCAAACGGUUCUUAGAUCUACAUUAACCAUUCGUGUUGCAAGAAAAAAACAAACUCAAACUCUCUGGAAAUGACUUAUAGAUUACAUGUUUUUCAAGAUGAAAAGACAUUCACACUUGGGCUUGAAGAGACAUAGUAAAGCAACUCCUCAUCGGUUCAAUUCUAGACAUAUCACUCUGGUCAAGGUUGAUCCAAGCUUCUAUGCCAUCACCUUCUUUAGUAUCACUGAAAGCUACCAAGUUCUUGUAACUCAUCCUUGCAGAAGCAACCCAAAAAGGUUUGCUCCAUCCAAAAUAUGCUUCAUACACUGGAAAGUUGCAGAGACUCAUGAAGCUGAAGGACACAAUAGCUCUUUCAUCUGAACAUUCGCUAGAUGUUAUCAACGUGUUUUAUGUAUUCGAGCAAACAACUUACAAAAAUAUAGCAACAUUUGAAAAGCUUAGAACAGAAUAAAAUAUGGUUUUAGAAAUAUCAAAUCAAAUCCCAACAUCAUCAUUAUUAUAGUUACGAUCGAUCGUAUGAUCUUUACCGUAACACAUUUGACUUUUCCUUUAGCUCAGUUUAUUUAUUUGGCUCUAGUUUAUACUUAUUUUUGUAUUGCAACUUAAAACAUAAAGAAAUUCCCUAGUUUUCUUUAAGUUUUUAUCACAAAAAUAGUUUUCACUGAUCAAAAUAAAUUUUAUUAAAAAUAAAAAUAUAUUUAUACUUAACUAAUCUAAAUUUGGAGUUUAAAGUUAAGGAAUAUGGUUUUAAAGAUAAAAUUUCAAAUUUAAAAAAAUUAAAAAAAAAUUAAAAUUUUCAAAAAUAAAAAGAUGCUAUUUUGGUAAUGUUUCUUAUCGAAAACUAUUUUUGUGAAAACAACUUAAAAAAACUAGUGAGAGAAUUUUCCUAAGACAUAUAGUUGUAUUAUUUGUAUAUUUGUGGUCGAUAGAUUCCUCUUUUCCAAGUCAAUGGAACCGUUAGGCCAAAGCUUUGAUUAGUUCAAUUCUACUUUUGAAUUGAAAAACUAGGGUAUGAAUUAUUCAAGUUCUCAUUCUUUUGCGCAUACAUGGGCUACUUUGAAUUAAUUUGAUCAAUAAUGACGACCAAUAACAACCAACCAGACGAAUAAUAUAUAGUCGUAUUCUAUAAUUCUAUAAAACAAUAUUCUAUAAUUUUAUAAAACAAUGUUUUAUAUACAGUUACUUAUUAUGACAGUCUUACCAUCAUAAGAUGUGAUCUGAUCAAACCUUCGACUGAAGAGGAACAACCUAUCAUUUUUUUAAAAAAAAUCACAAUUUAUAUUCAAAGUUUUAACUUACAAUUUUUUUGAAUUUUUUUUUUAAUUGGAAUAUUUGAAAGUUAAACUCUAAAUCUAAAAAAGAUUAUACUGAUGUAAAAUUCAGAAUUUCCAGCAUUUAGAAAAGGAUUAGAACAACAGUUUUAGAGCAUCUCCAAGGAGGCUCUAUUUUUUUUUCUAUAAUUUACAUUAAAAUAGAGUAACUCUAUUAUAGAGUUGGAUUUGUUCCAAUAGUUCACUCUAUAAUAGAGUAAAAUAUAGAGUAAUCUUAUUUUUUUACUCCAAAUAUCGAGUGAAAAAACAAGAAUAUUCUAUAUUUCACUUUAUUAUAGAGUAACUCUGUUAUAGAGCGAACCAUUAGAACAAAUUCAACUCUAUAAUAGAGUUACUCUAUUUUAGAGUAAAAUAUAGAAAAAAUUAUAGAGCAGAACCAAAAACGUAGGGUUUUAUUAAGGGUUACGUAUGUCAGUUCGCAACACGAUCCGCGUCACGUUCAAAGGAUUACAUCUGAAUUGAUUAUUCAACGAACUUAAUUAGUAAGAGAUUAUCCACUGUAGUCAAUAGAAAACGUACAAACUUCUGAACUGUUAAAAAAUACAUUAUUAUUUUACUUAAUGUUCUUAACUGCCUGUGACUGUAGUGACUCGUGGAUUUGAAUGAAGGUUUUGUAACUGGUUCUUAAAAAAACAAAAUUGGUCAACGCUAACUAAUAGUAAUCGAAAACACCAAAUCCAUAAGAUAGAUACCCCAAUGUGGAUACUCAUAAUUAGGAAUGAUAAAAUCUUUGAAUAAGACAAGAGGAAGCAAAUACAGAUUAUUCAAAAACAACUUGAUACAUUGAUUCCAUAAUUAACAUAAGUGAAUUGGCAAUAAAUAAUGUUGGAUAUGACAGGUCACAGAUAUUAAAGACUUUUGAAUACUUUAUUAUAUAAGGAGAUGAUUAAGAACGCCAAUUUGGUAAAGAAGACCUGCCAACAUAACAGCAUAAAACAUGUUUUUAUAGAUAAGGACCUUAUCGCAUCAUCUCUUCUUCUGUUACAGAAAAAAAAAUUAAAGAGUUGGCAAGAACUUUUUUUGGGAGGAAAAAAAGAGAUAAGAUUUUUAUUUAUAUUAUUUUUUUCAGUUUUGCCUUGGCUUUCACGAAGGCUGUCUCUUUAUCUGGCCGCAAUAUAUCAAAAGUUGCUUUUUUCUUUUAUCUUUUUAUCUUUUCUAGACAAUUUAUAAAGCAAAACGGAAGAGAUAACACAUACGAGGAGAAAGGAAGCAGACAUAUCUGUGUUUUGUUGUUUUGUUCAUCUCUGGUUCCAAGACUCGAACUUUGGAUUCUCUCUUCUUCUUCUUGUCUUUCCCUUUUGUAAUAGUUUCUUAAAAUCGAGAGAAGAGAGAGGAGAUGUAUUAUCAGUUGACCAAGUCUUCUUACAUGGACUCUUUGAAGAUUCUUGAAGCUGACAUUGAGCACGCUAAUGGACUGUAAGUCAUCUCAAUUCUAUCUGAGUUUCCUUUUUUUAUUUUUUUAUUUUUGGUUUCUGAUUUUCUGGGUUUAGGGUUUUGAUGAUUAAAUUAGCAGUUGACUAAUUAAGAGAUUGAAUCAAUCAGCUGAAACCCACUUACCCUUCAGUUUUCUGCAUAUUCUUAAACUUGGAAUAUUGCAGAAUUGGUCCAAAGUUGUAAACUUUAUUGCAUCUCUGUGUUGCUGUCUUUGAAGCAUAUGUUGUCUGAAGAAAGCGAGUUAUUUGAUUAGAAAAAUAUUAGUAACUGAUUCGUGUCAAAAUUUUGAUUCAGGGCUGCUGAGAUUCCCAUGGGGAAGNNNNNNNNNNNNNNNNNNNNNNNNNNNNNNNNNNNNNNNNNNNNNNNNNNNNNNNNNNNNNNNNNNNNNNNNNNNNNNNNNAAGAGCGGUGUUCGACUUCAGAUGAAACUGGUUUGCAGCAAUCUAGCUCCUUUCUUCAUUUUCCUCCUACAAUGGAUGGACUUCUCAUGUCUCCUCCCAAGAUAUUUCGAUUUCUUCCACAUACUCAUCUACAAGGUUCUUACUUGUUACCAAUUUACCAUAUGGUAGUUUCUUACACGGCUUGUGCGUGUGUAUGAGGUUGGAAGCUGAUUGUUUCUUCUUGAUCUUGUAUACAGGUACGUGCUGAUGGGAGGUGGAAUCGAUCCAGAUACGGAAGGAAAGCUACAAUCAGAGAGUUCUACGGUAAGUCUUAACGCGUUUGUGUGUGUGUUCUUACACUAUAUUGGCUUAGUCUUAUAGAAACAGAUGAUUUGGUUAUGUGCAGGUGUUAUAUUACCAUCGCUAGAGCGUCUUCACAUCAACUUCUCUGACUCACCAGGCGACAACACCUUGUGGUAUCCUAAUCCAAAAGCCAUCACGUAUGACAUCGAAGGCAACAGAUUCAUUACUAACAGCGUUGACUCUGAGAGAGAAGAGGAAUGUGGGAUCUGCUUAGAGCCUUGCACCAAAAUGGUGUUGCCUAACUGUUGUCACGCAAUGUGCAUCAAGUGUUAUAGGAACUGGAACACGAAGUCUGAGUCGUGCCCGUUUUGUCGAGGGAACAUCAAGAGGGUUAACUCGGAGGAUCUGUGGGUGCUGACUUGCGAUGAGGAUGUGGUGGAUCCUGAGACUGUUACUAAAGAGGAUCUUUUUAGGUUCUAUCUACACAUUAAUAGUCUGCCUAAAGAUUAUCCUGAAGCUGUCUUCUUAGGGUACAACGAGUACUUGAUAUGAUUUUAUUGUGGGAAGACACAUCAGUGGUGGGUGGGUGUAGAGAGAGGGGAGAGGAAGAUCCCAGACCUUUGACUAAGUGUAUAUAAGAAUCUGGUGAUCCAAGAUUUUCCCUUCAUUUUUCUAGAUUAUGAUUAAUAAGAUGAUUGUGUACCCUUUGUUAUGAAAUAUUAAGAGAGAAAAUGUUUUUUCGCUUUUACAUUUUACUGGUGUCUUGCUUCGAGAAUCAACACCAAGGUUUUCUGAAAAGUGCAUGGAGAUAAGCUAGUGUCUAUGUUGUAAAUAACUGGUGUUUUAAAGUCUAUUUAAUUCUUCUGAUGUCAAGUUGUAAGAGAGAUUUCUUUAGGAGCUUUAUAUGGUACUAAUCGGUUGGUUCUUCUUUUAUGUGAUGAGUCUUUGAUGACCAAAACAUAAUAUUGGUUGAUGUUGUGAGGAUCAUGUAAGGGGCCAAUUGAAAAGUCCCCACUGCAAUGUGUAAUGUUUCAAACUUUCAACUAAAAGGGCUUUAACAUUAAACAAAAAGAGACAAAUGUAGACUAAAUUCUGUGUUCAAAAAUGAUGGUGUCUUUUGCUUGUUGUGCCUUUUAUCAUCUAUCAUUGACCUUUAUAUCGCUUAGGGUUUGAUCAAUUUCCUUUGCUUACCUGUGUCCCCAGUUUAUUUUCAAAAAAAUAAUUAAUUAGUUAGAGAUAUUUUAUGUCUGAAUCUUCUGGAUGGAUAUUCACGUUUGUUAAAAAACCCCAUCCAAUUAUUUCAAAUUUAAUCCAUUCUAUACAAAUUGCUAAACAAAGCAAAUCCAGUAUAUCAUGAACCAAACAUUGUUUGUGGUAGACGACGUCUUUGAAAUUUGGUUUAACAUCGAGAGCAGCUCUCUCAUUUUCAGACGACUGAGCAUUAUUAGUCCAUUACAGGCCUAAUAAAACACCAACUAAUUGAUGUAGCUUAGAUAUUAUUGUAAAUUUGCUUUUACGUACCGUCAGAAAAACAAAGCAAAACAAAUUUCGUAAUUAGUAGUCUCUUAGAUUAUAUGAGAUGGUUGUGAACUUCAUUAAAUCUUUCUAUUUGUGCUUCACUUACAAGUGAAGCCAUGUCAAUCAACAUAAAUACAAUAUUUGAUGGAGCUUCUAUAUGACAUUGCGUCUUAAAACACUAUCAGAAAAGAGAGAUCUUUAGAAAAUAGAAAAAGAUUACGUUUGAAAACCAGUAAAAAUGUCAUUUUAAAAUUCCAAUACAAAUUAUACAUAUUUUCAUCCUCCCAUCCAUCAUUAUAGAUUUUAUUUUCGAUGGUAAUAUUUAUAUGUUACAUAAUAAGUGUCAUUCUAACAUUUUUUUUAUUGAUGCACAAAAAAUGUCAUUUUACAAUUUUAAUGCAAAUUAUACUUAAUUUUAGCUUAAAAUAAAAUAAUUUUAUUUAUCUCAAAUAGUGGUGGUCAAAUAUGUAUAACUAAUAACAACUUAAAUACAAUUCAAUCAUUUUAAUAAUCUAUAUGAAAAAUAUCAAAGUGACACCUAUUAUGAAACUGAAUGAGUAUUAAACUUAGUAUACUCAGAAACUUAGUAUUAAACUUAGUAUCUAAAGAUUUUAUUAUAUCAGAAACUUUAUGAUCACAUUCUAAUUUUGUUUCACAUUAAGUAAUACUUUUUGACCAAAAGUAUGUGAUCCUUGGAUUAGAUUACUACAUUAAAAAAAAGUUAGUCACGUGAUCUGAAGAAGACACGUCACACACUUCAAUCUCACGACAUAAACACAAACUGGUGAGAAAACAAAACGCACCGUGUCGGUCUUGCUCUGCAACGCCUUCUAGCCUCCUCUCUCUCUUGCUGAUUUUAUUAUUUACUCACGGGUCCAUCUCCGACUCUAACCAACAAAGCAAAACCGUUUCUUUUAGUUCUUACCUUCAUUUUCUAGACUCUCUUCGCAGUUUUGUCUGUAGACUCUCUCUCUCCUGUUUCGAUCACGAAUAUUGCUAAUCUCUGAAUUGGAUCUGUUUGGAGAAAGGGGUUGGAAUCGUGAUAAUGCACGAGAAUGAUGAUCCUCCGUCCGAUUCCGUAGCUGCUGAUGAAAAUGUGAAUGAUGAUGAUCCUCCGCAGGACUCGCCUGAAUCUGUAGCUGCUGAUGUGAUUGAGAAUGAUGACGAGACAAAUGAGCAAGAGCUUGAUCCUGACCAGGUGAGAUUUGUAAAUUAUUACCAUAUGCUUUUGUUGUUUCUUGUCCGAAUCUUUUAUGUUCAUUUUUAGAUGCUGAAAUUUGGGUAAAAUGAUUGUGCAGGGAACAGGUUUUGUUGAUAGUAAGGAAGAUAUGUUUGUUGAUGCUCCUGAAGAGUUGAACUUUGACACACCUAGCAAGGAAGCUCUCACCACAGAUGAUGAUGACAAUGUAAUUUAUAUUUCUUAAUUAAUUAUUGAAAGGAUAUUUCUUUUGUUAAUUUAUGUUUAUUUUCUACCAUUCAUAUACACAGAAUGAGAAGGAGGAGGAAGAUAGAGAGAAGGGACUUGUAGCGUUGCAGGAACAGUUUAACCUCUCAACUGGUGAGAACCAUUCCAAAGUUGAAGAAGAGAAGAUUCAUCACGAGGAUGCACUCAAGGAGCUUCAAGGGAUUAUCAUUAAGAAAGACGAGGAGAUUGCUCACCUCACCGCAAAGAUCUCAGAGCUUACUUCUUCCUCUUCCUCACAGGACGAGAAGGAGCAGCAGCUUGUUUCUGCAACGGAUAGGAUUCUGCUUUCUCUUAGUAACGUGUUUGGGCAAGAAGAGCCGCAGCUUGGCUCUUCCGUCUCUGAAAAGAUUACUAAUCUUGAAAACGGAGUUGCGUUUCUAAGCGCAAAGUACACUGAGUUCUACUACGGUGCUGAUCAGCUGAGGAAGUGUUUGUCUAGUGAUGAUGCUGAUCUUCGUUUCCAAGAGGAUUUUGGUUCAGCUCUCGGCGGUGCUUGCUCUGAGCUACUUGAGCUCAAGGAGAAGGAAGCAUCCCUUCAUGAAAGACUCACCCAUCUAGAAGAUGAGAAUAAGAAACUGGUUGAGCAAAUGAACAAAGAUAGAGAAGUGAUUGAGUCCAUGAAGGCAGAGCUUGAGCAGGAGAAGACAAGGUGUGUCAACACGAAAGAGAAGCUCAGCAUGGCUGUGACCAAGGGUAAGGCGUUAGUUCAGAACCGUGACGCGCUAAAGCAUCAAAUCUCCGAGAAAACAACGGAGCUUGAGAAUAGGUUGGCUCAGUUACAAGAGAAGACGGUUGCUCUUGAAACUUCUGAGUUACUCAAGGGGCAGCUUGAGCAAUCUUUAGCUGAGAUGGCAGAUGAACUGAGUGAUAAGUCUGUAUCCUUGGAAGCAUGUGAGGCAGCAAAGAGAGAGGUGGAACAGUCUCUGGAUGAGAAAGCAAAAGAGCUUGAAGAGUGUUUGGUGAAACUACAAGCAUUGGAUGAAUCAGAACUCAUCAAAGGCGAGUUAGUAAAAUCCGAAGCCAUGGUUGCGUCAUAUCAAGAAAUGGUGUCGUCAAAGAGCUCAAUCAUUGAAAACAUUGAAUCCAUCUUGCCACACGUUAAUGAUAGCUCUGACGAUAUCAUUGAGAAGGUUAGGUCACUUGUAGAAGAGAGGGAAGAAUACAACAGACUUAAAGAUAUGAACCUCUCCAUUGACUUACCUGAGGAGAUCUCCGAAUCCACCUUAGAAGCUCGCUUUACUUGGCUAAGGGAAUCAUUUUUACAGGCAAAGGAUGAAGUUAGCGCCCUGCAGAACCAGAUAGAAAGAUUAAGUACGUCUCUUUCAGCAGAAAUGGAGGAGAAAUGUAGCAUUAGAGAGGAGCUUGAUGAUAUAACUUUGAGGUUUAAAGCAUUGGAGGAAACUGCAGAGAGAGAUUCUUUGGAAAGAGAAGAGAUUAUAAGGAGGCUUGUGGAAACCUCUGGCUUGAUGAUGACAGAAGGAGUUGAACAUCAUGCUGUCCUUGUUGAUAGAUCUUUUGAUCAGAUAGAAAAGAAACUCAGGGACUCUAGUGAGAGUUCUUAUGGCAACGAAGAAUCAUUUGAAAAAUUUCAAAGUCUCCUUUAUGCUAGUGGUCUGGAGUUAUCACUUUGUAAGGAAAUGUUAGGAGAGGGAAUGCUGGCUAGUUUGCAGGUAAGCAAUCUCUCAAACGAACUUGCUUCGGUGAGAGAAGAAAAACUUGCUUUGGAGACUGAUCUUGAGAGGUCAGAGGAGAAAUCUGCUUUGCUCAAAGACAAACUUUCCAUGGCUAUUAAGAAGGGUAAGGGACUUGUUCAAGAUAGGGAGAAGUUGAAAUCUCAGUUGGAUGAGAAGAACUCUGAGAUCGAGAAGCUGAUGCUGGAGCGGCAGGAGUUAACUGGUGCGAUUGAUAGCUACACGAAUCAGAUGAGUACGUUAUCAGGAGACUUAGAGCGGACAAAGGAGCUAGAGGAUGAGCUUGUUGCUAUUAAAGACGAAAGAGAUGAGCUUAAGCAGUCUUUAUCUCUGAAUGACACCUUGUUGGAGAAAGUGAUGAGCAUCCCUGUUGAUUUAGCAACUGAGGAUUCUUCAGAAAAGAUUGACAGACUUGCUGGGUACUUCAAGGAAGUGCAGGAAGCUAGAGUAAAGGAACAAGAAGAGCUGGAAAGGAUAAAAGAAGAAGCAAGUACAUUAGCCAGUAAAUUAGAAGAAACCAACACAGCCUUGAAGUUGGUUGAGGAUGCCUUGUCUGCUGCAGAGGGUAACAUCAAUCAACUUGCUGAAGAGAAUAGGCAAGUCCAAGCUGCCAAGGAGCUUGUAGAACUUGAGCUGCAGAAAGCAGUUGGAGAGGCAUCCUCUCUGUCUAGCGAGCUGGAUGAAGCUUGUGCAAUUAGGAAUACACUUGAAGCUGCACUUAAGCAGGCUGAAAUAAAUAUAUCUGAUAUCAUCAGCGAAAAGGAAGAGGCUCAAAGCAGUACUGCUACUGCAGAGAUGGAGCUAGAGAAGGUGAACAACAAAUUAACAGAAGCACAUAGCACCAUACAAUCACUUAGAGAUACACUUACUCAGACAGAAAGCAACGUGGAUUCGUUAUCCAAACAAAUUGAAGAGGACAAGGUUCUUACUACAGAUUUGAAGAAUGAGUUAGAGAUGCUUCGAAAUGAGGUAGAGCUAGAGCGGAGCAAGAUGGCUGAGGCUUCAUUGACAAUAGGAUCCCUGGAAGAGGCACUGAUGAAGGCGGAGAAUAGCCUUUCUGUCUUACAAGGAGAAAUGGUGAAAGCUGAAGUGGAGAAAUCAACUCUCAGUAGUAAACUUAAUGUGUGCAUGGAAGAGUUAGCUGGAUCAAAUGGAAACUCACAGAGCAAAUCUAUGGAGAUUAUUGCUCAUCUUGAUAAUCUCCAGAUGAUUCUAAAGGAUGGAGGGCUCAUUUCCAGGGUGAAUGAGUUUCUUGAAAGGAAAUUUAAGAACCUGAGAGACAUGGAUGUCAUUGCUAGAGAUAUCAUGAUAAAUUUUGGUGAGAAGGGAUUGGCUGGGGAAAUGGACAACGUUACAGAGGUAACAAUUAUUCUUGAACCUUACCAUAUCAAUUGUUCUUCUGUUCCUUUUUGCAAGUUUGUCGGUUUCAAACAUGCUUUAUUCUAUAGGAAUCCAAGUUGUUGUUUGCUAAGGAUGUGCACACUCUAGCUAGAAUAUGUUCUGUGUAGAAGUUGAUUAACGGAUAUAAGAUUGAUGAUACUAUUCUGUAAAUCAUUUUUCAAUAGUACAUACAUCUAUCUAUCCAGCAUGCGCAAAUUUAGCAAUAUAGAUAGAUAUACCAGAGUUUAUGGAUCUUCUCUUGACGAAUUUGUGAUAAUGAUGUUGUUCUCUUGGCGCUGUUUAUAUUUCCAGGAUGAUUCAACUGUGGCAAAAUCUUUGUUGAAUGGUCUUGAUGAUUCAGUUGACAUAGAGCUAGAGAAUAGCAAAGAGAAUGCAGGUGAUGAAGACGAGAUUUCUUCAUCCCUUAGGAAGAUCACAGAGGGGGUCAAGCUUAGAAACAAAACACUCGAGAAAAAUUUCGAGGUUUUCUCAACUUCCAUUGACACACUCAUUGCGGCUUUGAUGGAAAACAUGACAGCAGCAAGGGCUGAUGUGAUAAACGUCAAGGGUCAUAACGAGUCCCUGCAAGAACAGGUGAGGAGUGCUGAAGAUAUUCUCCGCGAAAAGGAAAACACUAUAGCUGCAUUAGAAACAGACUUGUCAUCUUUGAUGUCUGUAUGUGGCGAGGCUGCCAGCGAACUGCAGUUGGAAGUGAAAAAUAAUCUCCUAGAGUUGGUUCAGUUACAAGAAAAUGACAACGGUGGUGAGACUGAAUCAACCGAACAUCCACAAGAGCUUCUUGAUGUAACUGAGUGCUCCCGGAGAGCAAAAAAACUAUCUUCUGCCACAGAGAAGGCAUGUACUACUCUUAAGCUAUUUGAGACAACAAGUAAUGCAGCUGCUGUACUCAUCCGAGAUAUGGAGGACAGACUAAAAGAAGCAUCUACUGCUCUAGAAAAGGUUGUGUUAGAAAGAGAUUUAAACCAAACUAAGGUUUCAAGUUCCGAGGCCAAGGUGGAAUCUACGGAAGCGCUUUGCCAAGAUCUGAAACUUCAGUUGGAAAAUCUCAAAGCCGAAGAAGAGAAAUGGCAUGAAAAAGAGGUGGAGCUUUCUACAUUAUAUAAUAAACUGCAAGAGCAAGGUAUAUAUAUAUUUUUUUCUUUUGUCAUCUCUCAGUUCCUUACCGCUUUACUAAAAUGCCACGUGCUGUUUCUCUGAGUUGCAGAAGCAAAGGAAAACCUAAUUCCAGCUUCUGAUAUACAUGCUCUUUUUGACAAGAUAAAUGAUAUUGAAGGGCCUUCAGUAGAUCAAACCAAUGAGUUAGACCCACAGAGUCCAUAUGAUGUAAGGAAGCUAUUCGCGAUUAUUGAUAGUGUUACUAAGAUGCAGCAUCAGAUAGAACUCUUAUCAUAUGGGCAAAAGGAACUCAACUCCGCCUUGGCAGAAAAGGAUCUUGAAAUUCAAGGUCUGAAGGAGGCAGCUGAAGCAAAGAGUACGACCGAGCUAGAGCUAGUAAAGGCAAAUAAAGAAUUGUCCAAGCUUAUAUCUGGCUUGGAGAAACUGCUGGGUGAUGAUCUUGUUGUAGACCUAGACUUCUCCGAGUCAUGGACGCUCUUACAAGCACUAGAGAAGAAAAUAGCUUCCCUUCUACUAGAGUCAGAGAGUUCAAAAUCAAAGGCACAAGAACUUGGUUUAAAGUUAGUCAGCAGUGAAAAACUUGUGGAGAAAUUAUUACUAAAAGUCAAAGAGUUUGAGGAUAAAAUUCAAAGCAAAGCUGUUCAGCCUGAUGUUGUUCAUGAAAGGAGCAUCUUAGAAGCACCAAGAGCGUCUUCUUCCUCAGAGAUAUCUGAGAUUGAGGACAAGGUAAAAAAUGUUUAUCUUGUGCUGUUUCAGCUUAUUAUUGACACUUGUAAAUACCAUCUAUGGUUUCAUUGUCUAGGUAUAUGUUUACUAUAUCUGCAGCCAAGUUAUGACCUUAAAACUAGAUAAUGUUGUUUUGAAUAUCUUAAAACUUGCGUAUGUUUUGAUCAUGAAAUUUGCGGUGGAAACAUUUUGUGCUCAGGGAGCUCUGGGGAAAAAAUCAAUAUCAGCUGUGCCUACAGCAGCGCAAGUGAGAGUGGUGAGGAAAGCAUCGACGGAUCAUCUAGCUAUCAACAUAGAUUCAGAGUCCGAGCAGCUGAUGAACAACAACGAAGCAGAUGAAGAUAAAGGUCAGAACUGAGGCGUCUCAAUACCUAUCACGUUUAUUGCCAAACUAUCGCUCAUUUUAAAUACAAUAUAUUUUUCUUUGACAGGACAUGUUUUCAAGUCUCUCAACAUGUCUGGUCUGAUUCCAAUGCAAGGGAAGAUGAUAGCAGAUCGUGUCGAUGGAAUAUGGUAAACACUCGGUCAUAUCAAAAGGGCUGCUGAGAUGUAGUUCAUCUUAUUGAGCGAUGUGUUUGAUUUGUGCAAUGCAGGGUCUCAGGUGGAAGAGUAUUAAUGAGCCGUCCUCAAGCAAGGCUUGGCGUUAUGGUAUACAGUCUCUUAUUGCAUCUGUGGCUCCUAGCUUCCAUCUUGUAGCAAGACAGGUGAUUGAUAUCUCUUAGGCUUCUCACAUGAAACUGCCCACAACAGAAACACACAAAUUGCUAUUCUUCCCAUUCUUUGUCGACCCGUAGGAAGAGAAUGAUAGGUGUCGUCUUGUAUAUCCUGAAUAAUGUCUCACCCUUUUUUCAGUUUCAUAGUCCUAUAAUUUUAUUUAGGACUCAGUACGUUACACUUGUUUUGUCUUGAACAUUUGUUCCAGGACUUGCGAACAGUUUUGCCUGCCUUCUGCGUCUGCUAAGACUUUAAGUUUGUUUUAUUAGAGAACUCUUAGUGGGGUCUCAAAGAGGUUCUAGAUAUAAUAAAAUAAACAAAAAAAAAUUAUAGGAUUUGCUCUAAUACGAGAAUACCUUAAUUUCUAAACUAUGAGACUUCGCUACUAUUUGUGCUGAAAAGACAAUGAAUAGAAAAUGCAAUCUGUCAUGGAAGCUUUCAUGCUGUGUCGAAAAAGUGGAACAAAUUCAAAACCAGGAACACAAAUGAGGAUUUUCUUAACAUAAAAGCUUACAAGAGAGGAAAAGAAUUGUUGAAUAGUCAUCAAAAGCUAAUAGAAAGCACAAAAGACUAAAAGAGGCAAAAAGGAAAGAACUAAAAAGGUUGCAGCAGUACUUCAUCAGUAUUCAGAAUUAGAGAUGACAUCGUCGAUCUUUAGAAUCAUCUUAACGACUUGAGUUGCAAGCAAAAUCUGCUGCUGCUUUCCUAUCAAUGUUUCAAACACAUUUUGCUCCCUCAUAUCGUUUGUUCCCACGUCGUUGCAAUCUAUCCCAUAGAAUGGAAUAUUCUCCUGUUCAUCAUACAUACACCCACAAGUGUCAAGUUUCUUUUAGUUUCUCUGACCAAACAAACCGAUGGCAAAAUAGAGAGCCAAGUCACUUACCUUAAUUUGCUGAGAUUUAACCGCAGAGAGUGUCUCGAUGGGCUGUAGUCCACUGUUCUCUGCAAGAGCCAUGGGGACAGAGUCCAAAGCUUCUGCGAAUGCCCUUAUUGCGUACUGCAUAGACCAAAGUGUCUUCAGAGUUAAGAUUUGUGAAAUAAAUUAUUCAAAGAGAAGAGCAAAGAUCGUCUUUUACCUGCUCGACGCCAGGGUAUUUAUCAGCAGCUGCAUCAACAGCAAGUGAGCAUGUGAUUUCAGCUGCACCACCUCCAUAUACAAUUGAGUUAUUGCGGAUGAGAUUCCUAGCCACACACAGAGCAUCGUGGAUACUACGCUUCGUUUCUUCUAUCAUCAUUUUGUUACCUAAACCAUAUCCCAUUAACCAAUUGUUAAUCAACCGGAACAAUACUUUUGUCCACUCCACCAUAUACAUUGAAGCAUAUUAAACUCAGUACAUAAAUGUUUAUAGCUUAUUCAGCUACUUAAAAAGUCAGUGCUGUUAACAGUAUUUUUAAAAGAAGAGAAGGCUAUGAGUGUACCUCCACGGAUGAAAAUAGUAACAGCUUUGGAGUUCGCACAGUGCUCAAUAUACAGCAUUCGUUCUUUCGUUGUGCCAAAUGAUUUUUCACGGACCAUGCCAGCCUAAGAACAUGAAAAUAGUAACAGCUUUGGAGUUCGCACAGUGCUCUGAUUAAAACAUUUUUAACAUUCCACUCAUUUUAUGGGUAACACUAACUGAAGUGAAUAGUGUACCUUGCCUAACUUCUCUGGGGUCAGCUCCUGGAAUCUAGGAACAAUUCUGCCGCCUACGUAAACACAAGUACCCUAUCAGCUAUAAAUAACGGGUUACAUCACUAACGGUAGUAGAGAUGCUUGGAGAAAUGCCAGACCUGUGGCUAUUGCGAUAAGUUCUAAUUCAACACCCCCGACCCAUCUGACAGCAGGCAAGUUCCUGUGCAUCAAUAGAUGGUUUGCCUCAUCAUCGAAUCCCCAUUGGCAAAUAACCAGUGUAGCACCAACAUCCUGCAAUUUGAAAGCACAAGUAAAAUACAUAAAUUACGUCAUUUUCCGUCAUAACUGCAUUGUGGCAACUUAUAUUUAUUGUCAAAGUAAAAGCUUUCACAAGUCGCUCACUGAAUUAGCCAAUACCCGCAAUGAAAAGAUAAGAUUAGAAUAACCUACCUUGCACUUUUGAACCAUCUCAUCGAAAUACUGCUGCUCUUGCUUGCGCAACGUCUCAAACUUCUCCACUGUGUCAAUAUCCACCUUAUGCUUAGUUUUCGGCUUCGGUGGCUCAAAGGGACAAGUCAAAAUAGCAAUGUGGGCAUCUUCAAUCUGCUUUGGCAUCUGUGGAUGGCUCAUGUCUUUGUCAACCAGUAUUCCAUAUAUAAGCUCAGUGUCCUCCAACUUUCCCCCGACUUUGCCCUCUACUUUUAUCAAAUCUAAGUUAACGUCCCUUCUCUCUAAAUCAGCAACAGCAAGAACUGCUUUCACAGCAAUCUCAGCUAAACUGCGCUUGCAUCGAUUCACACUGCAGCAACGAACAACAACAACAAAAAGUUAGAACAAUGUUCUACAAGCAAAAUCUAAAGGAAACUCAAAUAUUUAAAAGAAAUAUUACAUCUUCGAGGAAAGAGUAGUCAUGCAUGUCUGAACCAACGGCUCGUAGUUAUUAACGUCGAACUCAAACUUCUGAGCUAUACGCUCCAAAUGUUCAACAGCAACUCUAGAAGCCAUCUCGUAUCCUUCAGCGAUACGGAUAGGAUGGAUUCCCCUAUCUAACUGACGUUCAGCUUGCUCCAGAAGUGCACCAGCCAUGACAACAACACCUGUUGUGCCGUCACCAAUUUCAUAAUCCUGACUCCGCGAAAGUUCUACCAUAAGCUUCGCAAUCUGGUUGUCAACAUCCAUUUGCUCCAAGAUGGUCGCACCGUCGUUUGCUGGAUAAACGAAAAAUGGUGAAAGUUAUAAACAAGAAAGCAAAAAAAAAAAAAAACAGAUCAUGCUUCACACAAAAAAAAAGAACACGAUUCUGUAGGAUGAAACUAGUAUUACCAAUUUACGCAUAUUCAACUACUGCUAAGUGAAAUGAGUUCAAUUUCAACAGACAUUGUAAGCCAAGAAUGAGAAAGGUGUACACAAAAUACCAUCGGUUGUCAAAAAAAAAACAUAUUAUGCAUAUCCAGCAGAUGAAAGUAAAAUUUUUGUCAGGAUUUUAACGGAUCUUUGUUAACUUGACAUCGAACAUGAGCUUGAUAAAUUGUCUUAAGAUUCCAAGAAGCAACAUGACAAAAGAGACGAACUUUACAAUUCACUGCUACCAAAUGAGAGAUUCAUUAGCAUUUAAGCCGCAAAAGAGACUAGUUUGAGCUUCAUAGCCAAUGGCGGAUCCACUUCCCCCAACUAAAUUUUACAUUUUUUUUAAAAAAAUAGCCUAAAAUCUUGACUAAUUAGUUUGAUGAAAAUGUCUCUAACGAAUUCAAAAUUUACGAUAGUGCCCCUGGUUUAAAAAAACUCUGGAUCAGCCCAACACUGUUCAUAGCUAAGUUUGCAGUCAUAGCAACUCGAUUUUCAAAAACUAAACAGCGAAAAGCUUAGAUGGAUCCAUUCAUCAGAGAAGUAAACUUUGCUCGAUACUAAAAAAUUUUAAAAAAGAAAAGUGAGAAACGAACAGAUGGUGACGUCUCCGUCAGGUCCCUGGAGCAUCUUAUCCAUCCCCUUAGGUCCGAGGGAGGAACGGAGGAUCCGAGCCACCGCUUUGCCGGCGGCGAUAUUGGCUUUCUGAGCAUCGAUGCCUCGAAGACGCGUCUUUUGAUCCUGCUCCCUUAGUAUAAUGAACGGUCGCCCGAACUCAUCGAACGCCAGCGCCAUUUUCGAGCCUUAGCUUUUCUCGAUCCGAUCCACGUACAGAUCUUCGCUUUCCUCUCUCUCUCUCUCUCUCUCACUGCGAUGGAGAGAAGAAAGGAGUGGGAGAGUGACUGUGAAAAUGGUCCGAGUGUAAAACCCUAACUCGUUUACGAUGGCAUAAUCGUAAUUUCAAACCGAUCCAAGGGGCUGUGUUUCUGUGAAAAGUAUUUGGGCUUAUAUAGAUUAAAGCCCAUCUGUCUAUUUUUUAGGUUUGACGAGUUACUUAUCUUUUUUAUUACCAUGCAACUACGUCGAGUCGUCGACUAAGCUAGUUUCUAAUUUUCUUUUGCUAAGAAUGCUAAUAUCAUAUUAAUGAUGUUCAGAUUAUACAAAAAGCUUAAUCUAAAAAACUACUCUACCUUGGCAAAAAUAAAGAAAAAACAGCUAACAAAGCUAGCCCUACUAGUUAGAUAAUCCAACUUGACAAGAGAUUUUCCAUCUUAGAAUCUCUAUGGUAAGUGUUUAUGAUUCAAGAGCUCCCAGAAAUAUCGAUUGUUUUUUUUCUUUUAACGCCAGUUAAUUAUAAAAAGAAUAUUGCAAAACAAUUUUACAAACAAUCUCUAUGGUAAAUGUUUAUAAAUUAUGAAAAAUAUUACAAGACAAUUUUUAAAAAAUAGUGGGUCAGCUAUUCCUACUUAAUUCGUGAUAAUAGUUAAUAACUAGAUAUUCUACCAGUAAAUAUAGACAUAUUUUUUGUACAAAUAUUAUUAGUAUAUGUUUUGUUAAUUCAAAAACCAGCAUGAUAAGUUAUUAUUAUGUUUUAAAAAAAAUCAAACAUUUUCAACAAGUAUACAGUAUAUGAUUAUUAUUAUGUUGAAAUUUUUAAAACACUCACAUAUAUACUAUACUUAUUAUUUAUGUCUGAAAACGCUUUUCCAAUAGUGGAUUUGGAUUCGAGACAGGACUCGUUUCUGGUGAAUCUGGAGAAAAUGUUGUACUGUCCAACACCUGAGUCACCGAUUGGGACGAUAUUGAACAAGUAAUCAUACUCAUUGUCUAAUCUAUUCGACACUCUCAAAUCCUAGCGUCUGGAUCAACCUGUGUAUGUCGAACGAGAGAGAAUCAAACGAAUCAGAGGUGUAAAUCGAAAUCCUAGAAUUCGAAUGUUUACCCCUUCAGCAAGCCACAAGGCCACAAGGUAGAAACAUUUGUUUUUCGGUGCUCACGAGGUGAAAAUGGAAACACCCAUUCCCAUUAUUUACUCGUAAGUUGUGAAUUAUUUAUAGUGACAAUUUUAUAAAUAUUUUAAUAAAUUUUAGUGGGUUCCAUAUAGAUAAUUUGUUGAAUUGAUUAGAUUAAAUGGUUAUAUUAUUUACUUUUUAUCAUUUUUGAAAGAAAUAAUUGAUAAUGCCUUUUUAAUUAUUUUAUUUCGUUGUAAUAUUUUCAUAUAUCUCAAUGUAAUAAACUAUAUGAUACGUGAACUAGAAGUUUGUGAAACUGUUUAAUACCACUAAUAUUUUUUUGACAUGUUCUUCUACUGAUGACAUACACCACAAACAUAGAAUAUUAAGAUUGUCCUUAUUCAAAGAUAAUAACGUCAAACAUACAUGUUUUAGCAAAUAGGUAACAGUGUACCUUGGACUGACCCAUCAUGGAAUCACUUGCACACGAAACGUCCUUUAAAGCUUUGAAGACGAUGAAUGAACAAAUCAACACGAUAAAACCAUUCACGGGACCAGCGUGAGUCUAUGCAGAGGGAAGCAAACAAAACCAAUGAUGUGGAGAUGAAGACUGCACCAGACGUCCAGUACAACCACAUCAUAUCUAUCACACCAUCACCCUCUUCCUCUUCUUCUUCCUCUUUGAACUGCUUUUCAAAUUCUUUCGAGGUUUUGCAACUUUUAUUGGUAGGAAGUCCACAAAGCUGAUCGUUGCCUAUGUAACUUGUUGCUUCAAAGGUCACAAGAUGGGCUUUGAAAGGGAUUUCACCUGACAAAUCGUUAUAUGAGACAUUGAAGUAUCCUAAAUUGUUGAGAUCGGCUAGCUGAGGAGGGAUGUUUCCAUGUAAUUUAUUGUUAGAUAAAUCCAGACUCUCCAAACUCUUCAGAUUUGAAAUGCAAUCUGGUAUGGAGCCGAUGAGGCGGUUGCUUGAAAAAUUCAGGGAUAUGAUGUUCUUAAGAUCCCAAACUUCAACUGGAAUCUCACCGGAUAAUUGGUUGCUUGACAAAUCCAGACCAUACAUAUAGCGAAGAAUAUCACCUUGAUAUGUUUCAUAUCUGCUUUUCGAUAAAAAAUUAACUGUAGUUGCUGGUGUUGACUGAAGGCCAAGCUCUAGUUGGGUAUCAACAAGGUAAAGAGCUGAUGGAUAGCGCCAGCGUUGAAAGGAUGAAAAUCCUACUGAAUAAUCAUAUGGAUUGAUUAUUGCAUUGUAUCCAAAAGACAUUUUACCAAAACAUGAUGGUAUGGCGCCUUUGAAUUUGUUGUGAGAUAAAUCCAAGAGACCAACAUUACUUAGCUGACAUAUUUUUUCAGGGAUAUGAGUCUGAAAGCUAUUAUUCCCUAGAAGAAGAACUCCCAAGUCAGAUGUCUUCCCAAUAGUAUUCAGAAUCAUUCCAGAAAUACGGUUGUGCCGCAAAUCGAGCACCUGUAAUCCCUUAGCCUUGAAUAAAUAGCUCGGAACUGAACCCAUAAACUCAUUGCUGUGUAGCCUUAAUUCCCUGAGAGAUGAAACAUUAAAAUUCCUUGGAAUGGAGCCAGAAAAGCUAUUGUGGGACAUGUCUACAACCGAAAGCUGUAGAUUUUGUAGUUGAUGAGGCACCUGACCUUUUAGCUUGUUUCCCCUCAUGAGUAGAAAGGAUAGUCCCGAGAUUUUACCAAUCCAAUAUGGAAGCGUGCCGGAAAAGCUAUUAUCUGAUAUGUCCAACAGACGUAGAGACUUUGAGUUCAACAAACCUUGUUCAAGACUCCCGCCAAAACGGUUGCCAUUAAGAAACAACCAAACUAAACUAGUAAGAUUUGCAUGCCUCGGAAAUACUUUCCCCUGGAGUUGGUUAUUGGAGAGCUUCAGAACACUCAGCGAGUAGCAACCACGUACAAACGUAUUGGGUAGCUGACCAUAUAGACGAUUAUCGGACAUGUCCAAGAAUUCUAGACUUUUCAUCUCGCCCAUAGAAGAUGGAAUGGUUCCAUGAUUGUGGUUUGAAGAAAAGUUCAUGUACCUUAGAUGUGGAAAAACAAUCCCUAUGUCUUCUGGAAGUGAACCAUAUAUCCUGUUACAUGAGACAUCAAGAAAAUUUAGUCCAUGAACAAGCCUAGAAGGUAGUCGAAGCUCUGUCAACAAAUUGUUGGUCAGUCUAAUAGCCGCCAGCCUUGUAUUAUUCUUCACAAGCCAGACCGGAAAUGCUCCUUUCAAUUGGCUAUAAGUAAUAUGGAUGGAGCGUAAGUCAUGUUGAUGAGCAAGAAAGGUAGGGAUUGUGCUGCCAAGGUUGAAUUUCUUUAGCUUAAGUAUCUUCAACUGAAACGGUGGAAGCCAGGAGCUCUCAGCCUGAGUUUGGAUCGUACCAAGUUUCGUUGACAACUUGAAUACUGUGAGUCUUGUGUGAUUGGCCAGCGAACUGAACCAGAAGGAACCGUUGAAGUCAUUAUCAAAAAGGGAUAAGUACUCAAGCGUUGAUGGUAGACCAGGUACAAAGGAAGACAAGUCUCCACUGAUUUUGUUUUCGGAUAGAUCAAGAGUUCGAAGACGGCUUAAGUUAGCCAGACAAUAAGGAGUAUUUGUCAAAGCAUUGGAGCUUAAAUCCAGCUCUCUAAGAUUCAUUAAUGCGCAAAUCUUCAAGUAGCCUGGAAUUAGUCAAAAUAAGACUUGUUAGAGGAUGAUCACACUAAGACUGAUAUGUAAAGAUGAGACACGAUUUUUAAUAUUUUCACCUUUUGGUGUCGAUGGUAAUUGAUUGUUUGCAAGAUUCAGUACGUGUAAAGAUGAAGGAAGCGUUACACCUGCAAUUGAAAGGAUAGACACUAAAUAGAAAACAGUCUUGCAUGCUCCACCAGCCAUCUAAAAAAACUCGAAUUUCAAAUCAUUCACUUGCUUAGCUAAAAUUAAACUCUUGCAUUCUAACACACAAAUAAUUAUUGGUUGGACCGUAAUUAAUUGUAAAGAUCUUAGAAUUUAGUUUGUAGGAUUUAUUGAUUUAGCUGUACGGAUAUAACAAGUGGCGUUUGGAGCUUCAUAGGGGGCCAAAGCGAAUAUGAAUAGAAAUUUAUAAAGUUUAAUUCAAAUUUAAAUAAUAAAAAUAUAUUAUUGUUUUAACAAAGUUUUAAAUGUUAAAAAAUUAUUAUAUAUAUUAUUGUUUUAACAAAAAUAUUAUAUUGUAUGAACGAGUAUAAAUUAAUGUGAAAAAUAUACUCAUUAAAUUGCUAAAAAAAUUAGGUAACAUGUAAAUUUUUACAUAAUUUCUUUAACUUACUAUACAUAUAUAAAAAAAUAGUAAUAGAUAAAAUUAUAAAUGUCAAAGAAAGAAUUACACCAAAAAUUUAUCUAUAUAUUACUUCACUAAAUUAUCAUGAUUAUAAAAUUGGUAACUUUAAAAGAGCAAUUAAGUCAUAAGAAUUUUAAAUAAAACAUAAUAAACUGAUGAGAAAAAUACUUAUUCAAACAAAAAAAAACUGUUUUUGAAAUAUGUAGAAAUCCAACAAAAAUUGUGAUUUAAGCAUACACUCAAACUUUUUUUUUAGAAAUUAGGGAAUCCUAAAAUUUGAUAUUAUUUGGAGCCGUAAGAGCAACUUUAUUGGUGUCCCUUAGGUUGAGGUUCUUAAGCGUAGGGUCCCUUAACUUUUAACUAAAAACACUAAGGGACUUCUUUCAAGUCCUUUAUUUAAGAGCCGUUCCUUAGUUUUUUUAGUUAAAAGCUAAAGGAUCCAACGCUUAAGGACCCAACUUAAAAGACACCAAUAAUGAUGUCCUAAGUCAAAUGCUUUUUUUUUCUCUACAAGUCAAACACGGCUUUCGAUGUAACUUUAAAAUUUGUUAAUUUUAGGUAAAGAUUAAAGCUAAAAACAACUCAUACAGGCCAACCAACCCAAUCACCCCAGUAUUUAUCAAACCAAACAAUAUUAUCUAGAAUCGUUAUCACUACAUGCUUCUCUUCUUUUUUACUAACCGGUCUAGAUGUUCAACUAUUCUUCUGGUUACGUUUUUUUUUAUUAACUUCUUCUGGUUAUGUAUAUGACGAUCUUACCUAGCUUGUCGAAGUCGGUGAAUCCAUUAUUACUUAGAUCCAGUUCUUGCAACAUUGUCAUACCUGUCAGUACUGCAACAACACAAGUAUCAUUCUUACAAAGAAGGAAACAAAUACUCUUCAUGCAAGAAAAAUUGGGGUUAAGCUGGCAAAAAUGUACCAUUGAUGGGAUCAAACAAGUCACUGAACUUAUUGAACGAAAGUUUAAGGUUUUGGAGUCGAGGGAAGCUAUGGAACAAAGACAGAUUUAGAGACUGGUUUUCUAACUCAUAACUGGCGGGUAUGAGUUCAUCAAGCGAGAGGUGGACUACGUAGCCACCGGUAGUAGCGUCACUACACUUUACCCUUUUCCAGUGGCAGCAAUCACUGAUAGGAUCAUCAUGACUCCAUGAUUUCAGCAUGCUUUCUUCUUCUACUUUAAAACCAUUCUUGAGAUACGACUUGAGUUGCAACAGACCCAUCCGUUCAGUUUCCAGACAACCGACACAUCCUUUCAUCUGGAGUUGAAGCAUCAACGUUACUAUCAUGAACAACACCAAAGCCAUUUGCUUCUUCUUCUUAACCCACCACCAGUAUCUCUCAUAUGUUCUCAUUAUUAUUUUUUCCUGUGGUACACAAACUGAAUCAGAAAUUAGAUAGGUUGAAGAUUUGUAAGAGGUAGGUCCCAAAAACGCCCCAGGACAAGUCCAAAACCAAUGAUCAUGUCCCCCUGACUUUCAGCAUCCAUCAUGUUACGCAUUUUGUUGGUUUAGUAUGUUAAUAAAUAUCAUGGUACAAUCUGGAGGGCCCACUCUAAGUUCUUUCAUAUUGGCAACUCAAAACCAGAGAUAUAACUGGACCAACUUGGACGGAUUCACAUUUCUUUCCAUUAGCCUGAAAUUCUUCAAAACUACCUCCAUAAGCCUACUUAAGUUCACAACAUCAUGUAAUAAUGCUUUCAAGAUCACCUCCAAAAACAGCGAAGACACUCUUGCAUCUAUUGAUUUAUUAGAACUGUUUGACGACACAAAAUAGAAAAUGUAUCAUGUAUGUACCUACCUGGUAUUCAAUACAAUGAUCAAUCGAAAGUAUUUGGGCUUUCAGCUUAAAGCCCAUCUGUUUAUUUUUCAGGUUUAACGAAAUAUCUAUUUGAUACGGAAAGAUCUUCUAUUUGAUCUAAAAAAAAGGAAAGAUCUUCUAUUACCAUGCAACUACGUCUAACUAGUUUCUUUCUUUUUUUUUAAAAUCAAUUACAUUAAUUAUUCAAAAGAGCUUACAUAGUCAUUAUGCAACAAAGGUGAAAUUGAUCUAGGAAUGUAAUAGUAAAAUUCAAAUAAUUCCAAUGUAUCCAUCUUAGAAUCUCUAUGUUAAAUAUUUCUGAUUUAAUGAGAGCUCCCAGAAUUAUCGUUUGUUAGUGAAAUAAACAGUUAACAUGAUCUAUCACAAUCACAUGCCAUGUACUUUUACUUGCGGAUGUGAUAUGCAGCUUGUUGUUAUUUUUGUUAUUUUUACUAAUAACUAGCUGUUUUGUUCGCAAAUACGUACAUAAUUUUUUUUACAAAUAUUUACUAGUUUAUAUCUUGUUAAUUCAAAAACCAUCAUGAUAAGUUAUUAUUUUUUUUUGAAUUAUACAGAGGUAUCCUGGUGUGAGUGAUCCAGACUAGUUAUGUGUUGCCACGUGUCGGUCUUCUGUCCCUGGCGAUGUCAAAAUGUUAAUUCCCCAGUGACCAGGAUUCGAACCCAGAUGGCGGUACUCACAGCUGUAAGCCCUUUACCACUAGAGCUAGAAGUCCCAGUUAAUAAGUUAUUAUUUAUGUUCUUAAAAAUUUAAAAUCAAACAUUUUCAUCAAAUAUAUAUGUUUAUUAUUAUGUUGAAAUUAAAAAAAAACACUCACAUAUUAGAAAUCUUUUUUUAAAUAUCUUUAUACAAGUAUUUUUGUUUGAUUAGUAUUUAAUUAUAUAUAUAUUUUUUAAAUUUUUUAUAAUAUAAAAUAUUAUUUCCAGAUAAUAACACGAUAUAUAAAAAAAAUUAUCUUACUUUUUUAAUAUGUUUUUGACAAUUUAUUAUAUUAAUUUAUAAUCAAAUAUCAAGUAUAACAUAUAUAUUUAAUAUUAUUAAAAAAAAUUAUUUAUAUAAUAAAUUAUAUAAAAUUUUAUUAAGAAUAUUAUUAACUUUAAGCGCUCUAACUUUUAACGCUCGAACGUGAAAUAUCGCAUUGCAAAUAAUAAUAUGAAUAUACAUUGAAACCUCUAUAAAUUAAUAAUGUUAGGAUUACACCAAAACUAUAAUUUUUUUAUUAAUUUAUAGAGAUAUUAAUUUAUCGAUAUACUAAUUGAACCAAAAACUCAAUUUGAGACUAUAAAAUUAUAUUAUUUUAUAGAGAUUUUUAGUGUAUAUUAAUUUAUAGAUUAUUAAUUUAAAGAGGUUAUACUGUAUAAGACGAUAGAUAACUGAUUGCAAACCAUUAAUUAAUAUCAGUAAAAAGUUAACGAUUUAAAUUUUAAUUUUCUAUGAUCUACAACUAAUCGAUGUGACAAAUAACAAUAUUUGAUUAUAAGUCGCAUAUCACAAUCAUAAACGAACAAGACAAUCCAGGGUUACUAUUUAUAAAUUUCACAUCUAGAUUCAAUAUCUAGUUAAGGCCGAGUGAACAAUGUAUCAAUUCUUCUCAUAUUUGAUCAAAUGAUCAAUUCAUUUAACUCGAUAUUAGUUAUAUUGUAUUCGUAUUAGUAUACUCUAUAACAAGCGUAUAAAAUCAUCUUCAUAUUGUCUACAUUCAUUUUAUCCGUUCGUUAACGAAUGAAAGACAUGUUCAAAUAUUUGUAUUGAAUCAAUUCAUUGGCAUGUUAUCAUUCUUUUCUCUUGAUUGGCUUGUUACCAUUGAAAAAUAUAUCUUAGCAAACCCAUUUUUAGGUACUCCAUUGAUUGAACGGUAUUCCUCCAUAAUAGUACAAAAGUUUUCUAUUUUGCUUUUCUUAUCUCAAUCACACAAGACAACUACAUAAACACACCAAACCCAUCUCUUCUCCGAUCAUCACAAUCUCUAAACCUCAAAUCCUAAAAUAAAUUAAAAGGAAUCUACGUUGAAGGAGAGAACAGAGAAGAAUGGGUCGCCAAAACGUUUUCGUAGUGUUUGGCCUCGUGUUCUUGGCCGUUCUUGGCCUCGCCGCAGCUGCCUCCUCUCCAUCUCCUUCAUCGUCACCCUCCAAAGCUCCUUCUACUCCCACAACCGAUGUCGAAGCUCCAGUGUCCGAGGACACCAUUGGAACCACCGACGACGAUGCAGCUGCUUCUCCUGGUGAUGGUGACGUGGCUGUGGCUGGUCCUCUAGGAAGUGACUCCUCAUACGGUAGUAUUGCACCUUCAGGCCCAGCUGCUGACAGCGGUGCGGCGGCUCUUGGUGUCUCUGCGGUCGUCGUUGGUGUUACAUCCAUCGCCGGUUCUUUCUUGUUUCUCUGAGUUGUGUAGUAUCAUGAGAGAGAUAAGAUUACAUUGACUGGAGACUAUUUAUAUAUAUAUGGAUGAUUGUGAUGACUAUGUUGUAAUUUGUUUCCCCCUUUGUUAUGAGAAACGUUGUCUUUGUAAUAAAACUGAAAAAAUAAAACGAAACUUCCCAUUAACAAUGAUAAAAUUAAAUACAGAAUUACGGAUCGAAUAGUAUGUCAAUUUUUUAUGUUUUCAAAAUGCAAAAUACAUGAUAAUUCGGUAGAUUCGUAACCACUGAAGGCAAUCUUUUUUGAAAUGCAUAUGUUUGAUAAGAGAAUCCCUAAAUUAUCCGAUCCUUUAAGAAGUCGUCAUAAAGUUCAUAAAUAGUUUCCUGAAUCAAUUAACUUAUAAGAAUAGCAGCGGUGAAGUUUGCAUUGUCCUCAAAACAUGCUGCAGUUAUCAUAAUGACAUAUCACCAUUUAAUGAAGAAAAACUUCACCUCCACUGUUUUCUGACAAGUUUAAAACAAGAAAUUCAAAACAGAGCUGCAGGGAAGUUUGUCCUUGUUAAGUUUCAGAAAGAAAAAAAAAUACAAUUGCUAUUAUUUUGUCUGUUUGAAGUAAAUGUUGCUUAUCAAAAACAUUAAACUGAGAUAUUUAGUUUAAAUAUAAUUUUUACAGAGCCGGAUCUGAAAUUUCGGGGGCUUGAAAUAUUUUUUAAAGGAAUUUUAUAAAAAAAUUGUUUUCAUAAUUUGGAGGCCUUUAUCUAUAUAAAAUUUGUCCAAAAUUUUUGGAGCCGAGACCAAUGUUUUAUCCGGCUGUACCCAAAUCCGGUUUUGAAUUUUUGUCAAGUAGGCUGCAAACAUAUGCAUGGUCAUUCAUAUUCAGACGUCAGUUCUACAAUUGUAAUAACUAGUAGUUCCACUUACAAGUACUAGGCAACUUAUGAAGGGAAGCAACUUUGUUUCACUAAAAAAAAUAUUACAUCAUGGAAUUUGAAGGGUGUAGUCACAAGCAAGUUUCUCGGUUGGUGUUGAGGAUCGUUCACUUUUAGAAGCUCAGUGAUGGACCCAUCUACGAGUGAAGAAAGAGCGGUAUGCAUAGUGCGUACGGGUUCAAAUAUUGGUGUAUUACUCUUUUUAACCGCAGUACCAGUCGUACAAAUCUCUUAAAACCGCUAGAAACUGCAACCGUCCGCAUCCACAAACUCCUGCAACCGCAACCGCAAUCGCUGCGUUUGAACUAGUCAGGCCCUAAAAGACAUGAAGCGAAUCUAUAUUGGUGAUUAUUUAGGUUUAGUGUCAGUUGUUUAAUCUUUUUUUAGGCUACACUGGUUUCACAUUGGUCAAUUUUAAAAAUGUUUUCCUCUAGUUUGUCAAAUAAGCAUAUUUUUGUUUUGUGUUUACAUAGGUAUAUUAUGACUUGUGAUAGACCUAUGGCAAACUAAAGCAAAGUCGCAUAAAACAGCUGAUAUUUCUCCUUAGUACAAAGCAGAUUGUAGGUUCUUGGGAAACAUAUGAGAAAGACUGCAUGAACCUUCCUACCAACCUUUCACUAUUCUUGGCUGACUAUCUCCUGUCAUCGCUGCUUCCCAGUCUACUCAAGAUAACGACCUGAGUUUUCCAAUUUGUAUAGUUUCUUUACGAAGAAACAAACAUUAUUUAUCCAUCUGGUUAUUUUACCAAAAAAGAAACAAACAUUAUUUAUCCAUCUGGUUAAGCUAUUCAAUGUGGCUCCCUUCUGACAUUGACACCAUUCAUUGUGUCUUUCUUUUAGUUAGCAACUUUCCAGCGACGAUGUGACCAAUCUCUUACACUUAGUCUCUUGUUUCGUCCAAGUUCCCACUUAUGCACUCACACCCGUUCAUUUACUUCCUUUGAUCGCAAUUAUUCAACAUUCAAAAAGUGCGUCUACAUCUUCAUAAACAUCAUAGUUUUAGCUAUUGAUGAUAGAAUUGGCUCAUAGUUACAGUGUCCUACUCUCUCCUUGACUCAUGCGCUAUCUUCCAACCUCAUCAAUGCUGUAACGCAGACCCAAUGUCUUUCUUUUUCAUUGAUUUUUAAGUUCUUGUUCUUUACCCUGCAAACACACCAUUGGGUAUUUGACUAUGCUUCUUCUUUUACCAAAAUACCCAAUAAUUCAAAUAUAUUACAUGAUACUUCAGUUUUAUAUAUAUAAUAUGUAUAUUGAAAAUCUGAUGUUUUACCUUUUAAUUAAUGUAUUUACUUGAAAAUCUGAAUAUAAAAAUAUGUGUUAAAUUUUAGUUGUUUUUCUUUAAAAUAGAACAAAAAUAAUAAAAUAAUAUUUAAUGUUUUUAAUAUAUGUUAAAAAAAAUCUGUCAAUUUUUUAAAAUACAUAAACUUACAACCUUUUAGUCUGGGGCUUUUAAAGAGCCGGUUGUAAAUCUAGUCUAGUAUAUAUAUACUUUGCAUAUCUCUUCGUCAUCUCUACCUUCACCUACAAGAAGCUAAAACAUCUCUCACCAAUCGAAGCUUACCAGAAACUGAAAGAGAAACUUAACGAGCAUGCGGGUUAUCUCAUGGCUGUUCGAUUCAGAACAUUCUUCCCGGAGAAGACGAACACCAAAAUCUCCAACGCAUUUGGAUUCCACCGACAGCGCCACGUCAUCUUCGCUCAGCGAAGCCACCGGCUCCACCAGCCUCCACAGCAGUCUCUCUCUCCAGACCCUCCCUUCCGUUCCCUCUCUCCAGAAAAUCCCCGCCGAGACUCUCGCCGUCACCGUCUCUCACUCCGUUACCUCCUCUUUUAAACUCCGGGAACGGAGUCUCCCCGUCACUUGUCUCGCCGUCAACGGCGGUUAUGUCUUUGCAGUCUCCGGACACGAAGUCAGCAUCUACGACCGCGCCAUGUGUGCUCAUCUCGACACUUUCAACGGCCAGGAUCCGUUCUCAGGAUCCGUCAAGUCCGUCGGUUUCUCCGGUGAAAAAAUCUUCACUGCUCAUCAGGACGGUAAAAUCGGAGUUUGGAAAUUAACCGCCAAAAACGGUUACAAACAGUUAACGACUCUGCCCACGUUAAACGACCGUUUGCGACGUUUCGCUCUUCCUAAAAACUACGUUCAGGUUCGCCGUCAUAAAAAACGUCUCUGGAUCGAACACGCUGACGCCGUUACCGCUCUCGCCGUUAAUAACGGGUUCAUUUACUCCGUUUCUUGGGACAAGACCUUGAAGAUAUGGAGAGCUUCCGACCUUCGUUGCCAGGAAUCUAUUAAAGCGCACGAUGACGCCGUUAACGCCGUCGCCGUUUCUACUAACGGCACCGUUUACACUGGAUCCGCGGAUAGACGUAUCCGGGUUUGGGCGAAACCCGCAGAUUCGAAACGGUACAAGUUGGUCGCGACUUUGGAAAAGCACAAAUCGGCGGUUAACGCUCUGGCAUUAAAUGAGGAUGGUUCGGUUUUGUUCUCCGGUUCGUGUGACCGGUCAAUUUUGGUUUGGGAGAGAGAGGACAGCUCCAGUUACAUGGCGGUGAGUGGUGCUUUGAGGGGACACGAUAAAGCAAUUCUGAGCUUGUUUAACGUCUCCGAUUUGCUUCUAAGUGGAUCUGCUGAUCGGACGGUCAGGAUUUGGCGGCGCGGAACAGAUGGUUGUUAUAGUUGCUUGGAGGUGCUUUCCGGUCACACGAAGCCGGUUAAGUCGCUUGCAGCGGUUAAAGAUUCGGAGUUAGACGGUGUCGUUUCAAUCGUUAGUGGAAGUCUUGACGGGGAGGUUAAGUGUUGGAAGGUCUCCGUCACCAAACCGGAUAAUUCAGUUUACACGGAUCUCGUUUCAUGAUUUUUUAAAUAAUUAUUUAUUGUUUUUCUUUUUGUGAUAUUACUAUUUUAUUUGUUUGGCGAACAACAAUUUGGCGUUUUUUAACCGUCACUUUACAAAAAAGGAUUAUUACAAUACGUGACAGAAGAGUUUUCUUUUAUAUAUUCGUGUCAUGUAAGAUUACAAAACAAAGGAUAGUAAUAAACUAAUAGUGGUAUUAAGAAUAACAAGGUCAUUAGUGGUUUAAUAAAAUGGAUAAACCGAACGAGUGGAAACACAUGUACAUGUUUUCAGGCGUAGGAAUGAAGAUGCUGUCUGUGCCACCUUGAAACCUGGGGAAAUCUAUGUGGUGAUGUUUGAUAAGUCUAUGACAUUUGCACUGUAUUAGAUUCUGUAGAGGUUUGUGAUUGGUUUUAGACAAAUAUACUUUGAAAAUAUGAUUGGUGGACAUUAGAUUUAGACAGAGGGAGUACAUUAUAAAUAUUCGCAUGCAAAAGUUAAUGUACCAAAGUGAGAUUUUCAAGACACAUAAGAUACACCGAAACAAGAAGUCCAAAGACCCGUGAGAGUGUGGAUAAGACAUUUUUAUAACUUUUUAAAAUAACUAAGAUUUCUUGUCUUGGACGAAAUUAGCUAAAAUUGUUCUAAAACUGAAAUCGAGACUAACUCCUAGGCUGUUUCCCUUUUGAUAGGGCUUACUUUCCAGAAGCAUUCAGUUGCUUGCUGGCCUAGUUUCCAGAAGUACUCGUUGCUUGCUGGCUUUGUAUCUUACAACCGCAUUCCACCAUGUAUCUCAUCUUAAUAAUAUAAUUUUAGUGUUUAAAAAAAAAAAGACUAACUCCUAGGCCUAUAAAGUAUAAUUUUUAGUUUUACACAUAACAUCUAUUAGUGCGAUACGAAUUCAAAAGAAAUGUGUGUUUAAUUUUUUCUUGGUCGAAAAAUGUGAGUUUACCAGGAAAACAUAAUUACUGUGUUUACCUGUAUAAUGAUCAUUGAUGUAUUUUAGCCCAAAGUGAGAAUCUGCGAGAAAAAAGUAAUUCGUUAGGUGCUUCAUCUCUUGUAUUAAGGUGAGAAGUGGAGAAGAUAGAGUAGACAGACCACACUAUAAUAAUGUUUUCUAAUAUUGAAGGAAUCUUUUUUGACAAACAAUAUUGUUGGUAAAAAACUAAAAAAAACUUUGUAUCAGACUAUACUGAAUGAAAAAGGCCUCAAACUUUUAUACCAGUGGAUAAGAUUAUACUAUUGAAUAAACUAUCACUGAUAGACUGUAAUCCAUUCAUUCUGAUUACACAAAGCAAAACUACAGUUAUAGUGAAACAUCUCCUUUUCAUAGGUAGAUCAGAAAAAUGGAAUUACAAGCUUCUUUAGCAUAAACAAAAAAGUACAAAAUCAUUUUCAUAGGAAGAAAAUUACUUGGAAAUAUUAAAGAAUGUUACUUGGAAAAGCCGACAAAGAAAACAAGGGCGACUUAGAAACUGGACAAAGAUGAAUCACAUAAAAUGCAACUUGUAAAUAGUUCUACAAAAAUUGCAUGAUAAAAUACAUUUUUAUUUAUUGUCUUUGGUCAAACAAGUACAUUUUAAUUAGUUAACAUUUAACAUGGUGCUGACUUAUUAUCAAAACAAAUUUUAAUACUUUUUUGCCAACCAAUCAAUAAUACUGGAGUCCGAGUAUAUGGACGUAGCCAUUACAGCUAAAUGGCUAUAUAAACUUUGAAUGAGUAGUAGUUAGUAAUAGUCUAUUCCUCACUAUAGGUGGUAUAUCAAAAUCUGACCAUAGUAUUAAGGACUUUGUAAUCGAUCAAAAGGAGUAGCUACAUUAAUAUUCGAAUAAAAUCUUGAUUAUGACACUAAUUGUAUUUACUAAUCUGUAAUAUAUCUAGAACAUUUUUGUAUAUUGCUCAAUGAGAAUUUGCAUAUGUCCAACUGGACCAACUCUGCUUCAUUGAAUAAAAAACAGAUUAUGUUAAGUGGUAGAGCUUCAGCCACCACCACAUCACUUCAGGGCUUCAACGUUAUGAGCAUAUGAAAGUUGACUGUUUUUUCUUUCAAAAUGAAGGUUGACUGCUUAAUUUUCAAAGUUCCUCGUUUUACUCCGAGAAUAUUCGAAGUCACCUGAAACAGAAUAACUGUUUUUUCCUACGUAUCAGAGUUAAGGGAACACAACCUCAACAAAUGUAAUAUCAAAAUGAACACAUCUUUUCUGUGAAGAUCCAACAAUGUAUAUCCCCUUUCUGCAUAGGGAGAACUGAUCAAAACAGCAUGUGGACUGUGAACUACAACUAGAGAAUUGUGUACAUAACACUCUCAUUGUAAUUUGUAGCUCGAGGCCUCUCGAAUAAAGCAAUCAUAGGUCUUUACCACAAUGCCAGUCACAUGGUAUGUGUGACCGAUUUUAUAAUGUACUUUCAUUAUAUAAAAUACUUAUAAAUAUAAAAUAUAUAAUACAUUAAAAGAGUUAUAGAAGAUGUUUUCUUUGUAUUUACAUAUAAUCCCUUACAUCUCUGUGAAUUAUUAGAAAAAAAAUUGAAUUACUUAAUUUUUUUGUGAUUAAUCAUAGUUUAUAUUGCUUGUACUAUUUUCUACUACUGAGACGACGGUCAGACAAAUGCAUGGACUGUUCAUCACACAUUUUUCCAAAUAAAUGGAAUGAGAAGACCCAUCUUGUGUGACAAAAGUGGACAAACUUGACACAUACCUUAAUACGUGUACGUGACCGUGAGAAUGAAAAGUAGACAUACAAGUUGGCCAACUUGACCUCGUCUUAUUACCAAAGAAUUCAGUUCUCAUGAUGAUAUACUCCUUUUUCUAUUCACGUAUAGAUAUUAAUCUUACUAUAUAUAUAUGUGUGGCCCAAACUUAGGCUUCUUCUACGGUUAGUGGAGAAGAUUGAUUUCCGAUUACGACCUUAGACCGAAAACAUGAGGAUUGGGCAAAUUCGAAUAUAACUAUUGGAAGUUCAUAAAAACCCUAAAGAUCUCAUCAUCUCACAAGUAUGGAUUCACGUGUAUCUCAUUUGCUGCAGGAGAAUUAAGUAGAAGAUGACAAAUGUCUUUAAGCGUAUAUCUAGAGAUAUAUUGGUAUGAAUAUUUUUUUUUUUUUUGUAGAAAACCAUCUUUCCUAGCUGAUUUUCUUAAGAUAUGAAUAUUUACGUUACCUCAUAUAUACGUACGUGGAUACGUAUAAAUCCGUUUUAUACUUUUAUAUUUAGUGUAGUACGAUAUUAUUGUGGACUGACUUCUGGGGUUUGCUGUCUCGCGAUUUACGACCUCAUAACUCAAGUUUAAUAAGUCUACUAGUAUAACUUUUUAACGAAAUAAAACCAACUAUAGCUUAUAAAUGUCAAGUCUGUUAUCUAUGUUUCCACACUACAUUUAUGCACAAAGUAUGUUUGACAAAAGAAGAGAGUUCACAUAACCGUUGAAGUGAAAUAAUUAAUAGUCUGUAGAGCAUGUCAAUAUUAGGCCUAGUCAACAUGUACAUAUAUUUAUUUGAAGUUUAAUUUAUACUAUAAAACAAGGGGCAAACUUAUAUAUUUUUUUAAAAAUUAUAUUGUUAAUGAACUACUUACACUUUUGCAUAUACUAAAAGACUAUCAAAUAAUUUAGUAAUUCAUAAGUAAAUUAUUGUCAACUAUGGUUUUUUUUUUCACUUUGUUUUUUUUCUUAUCUUGCUACUUAUGGUUUUUCGCCGUUCGAUAAUAGAACCGGACUUUUUCACUCCUCCAAUCUAAAUGCAUAGAUUUGUAUAUGAUAAAACAUUAUACAGUAAUUAUUCUAUAAAUUAAUAAUAUUAGAACUUGAUAUUUUAUUAAUUUGCAUAAAUUUUCUUUUCUAUACUUAUAUAUUUUAAAAUAUGCUAUGUAAAAUUAUGAAGAAUAUGUAAUGAUUAAAUUUUAUGUAUACAAAUUUAUAUUUUUUUAUUCAGUUCUAUAGUGUAUAGAGUAAAAGUUCUAUAAAUUAAUAAUAUUAGGACAUUGAUUUUAUUAAUUUACAGAUUUUUUUUUCAUAUUUAUAUAUUUUAAAAUAUGUGUUAUGUAAAAAUAUAAAGUAUACUUGAUUUUACCGUAUAUGUAUAUUGAUUAAAUUUUUAUGGUUAUAAAUUUAUAUUGUUUUUAUUCAAUUAUAUAAUGUACUUAGAAAUAUUUAAAAGAACUUAAAGAUAAAUUUCACUGUAAAUAAAAACAAAAUAUAAAUUUAUUAUUUUCUUAUGUUAUUGAAUUGUGUCAUAUUUUUAGAAGCUGGUUCGGAACCAGUAAAAUUUAUUAAUUUAUGACACUUAUUAAUUUAUCGAAUUUUUAGCAUGUAACUGAAAUAUAAUUUUUGUAAUUAAACUCUUAAACGGGCUUAACUACCACGGUUGGGCCUAAAGCAAAUGAAAAGUUUCCCAUCAAGUUCUGUAACUAAGGAGUAAGUUAAAAUAUUGUAAAAAAUAAAUCAAAACCCGAGAUUCGAAGCUCCAACGAGGACGCAGAAGCUGUCCUCAGCGACGUCGAGUCCGACGAACCAUCUCCCCUUGCUCUAAACGAUCCUCCUCGUGAAGACGUACAAGACGAGAGGGUGACGGAGCUAAUCGCGAGAAGAAGGCUCGAGAAGCGGCCGAGAGUUCGAAAUCGGAUCUCCAAGCGUCGUUCAAUCGGCUCAAGGCUCUCGCUCACGAGGUGAUCAAGAAGCGCGAAGAGUCCAAGCGGGAACGAGACGAAGCGUUUAAGGAGAAGGAGAGACUUUCAAAGGAGCUUGAGAGUGUGAGUAAAAGUAAAGAUGAGAUGAAGUUUAAGCUUGAUGAGGUUGUUAGAGAUAGAGAUGCGUUGAAAGGGGAGAUUGAGAGUUCGUCUCGUAUGCUUGUGUCGGGGAUUGAGAAGGUAUCUGGUAAAGUUAGCAGCUUUAAGAGUUUCUCAGGUCUUCCUAUGGUGUUAUCAAGCGUGCGAAUGAGAUAGUGGAGGAGCUCGUUAGGGAGAUUGAUAAGUCUAGGAAUGAAGCUAGUAAAGUAAAUGAGUUGGUUUACCUCAGAGCAGAGCAUAGGGUUGCCUAGGAUUCAUAUGUAUCAUUAUCCAGACAAGUCCAAAUAGUAGGAAUCUGAUUCCCCAUGUGCUUGCGACAUCUUAAUUGAUGUUUAAUGAAAGUCCGCACAAGUAACUAUUUGUCCACUGCAGUGAUCAUUUUCUUGCUUUUGUUGGUGUAACUUACGUCGACCACGUUACUUUUGUUAAUCAAUCAGGGAAGAGACUAGUUCUCUGAGGAAACAAUUGGACUCUCAGACAAAGGAGCUUAACUAGAGAAUGCGGCAAAUAGAACAACUUAAAGAAAAAGGAGAGAAUAGCGAAUGAAAAUGUGAGUGGCUUUCUGCUUGCUGUAGAGUUGUCAAGUUAAUUGUUUUAAUUUGUCAAUGCAUGAUUGAAUUUAUAUAAGUGAUGGUCUGAACUCUUAUGACUCCUUUGUUUGUUCAGCUGCAUGUGCUUAAAGAAGAACUUGAAGAAGCAAAGCAAGCGAUUAAAGAAUCAGAGAAGAAACUAAAGUUCAAGGAGGAGACGGCAGCAGCAGCCAUGGGAGCAAGGGAUGCAGCAGAGUGAUCUCUAAAACUCGCAGACAAUAGGGCAACUAGGCUGAGGGAAAGAAUGCAAGAGCUAAACCGUAAAGUUGAAGAGUUAGAAACCCAUCGAGAUAUGAACAGUUCAAACAGUGCUAGAUACGUAUGCUGGCCAUGGCAACUUCUCGGGAUUGACUUUGUAGGAGGUCGAAGAGUUGACUCUGUACAACAACAACAGAGUUCGAACGAGAUGGAACUCGCUGAACCUCUACUAUGACAAAAGCGGGUACUUUAUACAGUUACUCUUCAGUAUUUAGUUUUUUGAUUCUUAUGUAUAUUCCAGCUGUUAAAGUUUUAAAGCUUCAACAUGUAAUGUUAAAACCCAUCAAUAAAUCUGAAACUUACAUUCUUUUUAGGGCAAUUGUCAAUAAUAACACCUUUUGAAGUUUAUGUCUUAAAAAGAGCACUAGAAGGAGAAAGUCACAAAAAUGACAUUCAUUGAAGGGCAAAAUGUCUCUAAUAUCCUUGGUUUAAAUUAAAUAAACAAACAAAAAUAAAAAUUAAAAAAAAAUAAUAAUAAAAAAAAAAAAAAUUUAUAGUUUCAGAUUAUAUGUUUUCAGAUUCGAAAUUUUUAUAAUAAGUAAUUUUUGAAACUGUUUUAUAAAUUUUUAUUUUUUAUUUUAGUAUUUAUUUUUUAUAAAAUUUUAAACCCUAAUUCCAAAACCCCACCCCCUUAACUCUAAACCCUAAGGUUUGGAUUAAUUAACUCAAAGGGUAUAAGUGUAUAUUUAUCUCUUUAAUAAAACCUAUUUUUGUGACUUUAAGCCUUGAGUGCUACUUUGGGAACAAAAACUUGGUUUAGUGCUAUACUAUUCUUUUUCUCUUCUUUUUAUUCGCAUUCUUAAGUGUGUAAUAGGCUGAUACCUUACAUAGUUACAUGGAUCAAGAGAAUGCCAUUUUUGUUGGAGCCACGAGCUUACGUAACAACCCGUGAGAUUUGAGUUUCCACGUGUCAGCUGUGAGUUCACCUCGGGAGAACAAUGAGCUCUCCACAGCGCACCACCUGGAUGGCUGUUCACAACACGUGUCAGAGAAACAGUAACCACAGAAACACAACAGAGAGACACAUUUUCGAUUUAUUUCGUUACAAAAGACGAAUAUCAAGUCACCACCACAAUCAUUGAGAGGUGAUGAGUCUUUAACCUCAACCUCUCUCGUGGUUACACGUGGUUAGACCACCGCUAGUUAAAAAAAAAUCGCCCACCGGAAUAUGAGUGGCGGCUAAUCCUUCCUCUCUCUCUCUAUUUCUUCUCUCCCUUUGGAAGAUUUUCAAACUCUCAAACUUUUAACUCACGCUUCACAAUCUCUGUGUAAACGAUACGACAAUAAGAAAAUACAAGACAUGGGCCUUUCGCAAUUUCCGACAGCGUCAGAAGGAGUACUACCACUUCUGGUAAUGAACACGGUUGUUUCAGUUACUCUGUUAAAGAACAUGGUGAUGUCCGUUUUCCGAAUUGUCGGAUCCGAUACUGAAGACUCCAUGGAGAUAGAGGAGCGUGAAGAGGAUUGUGUUAGGAGGAGAAGAAGAAUCUCGAUAACGCAGUUCAAGUCUCUGUGUGAGAACAGAGGAGGAGAAGAAGAUGAAGAAGAAGAGGAAGGUGUUGAGUGUUGUGUGUGUCUUUGUGGGUUUAAAGAGGAAGAGGAAGUGAGUGAACUGGUUUCUUGCAAGCAUUUCUUCCACAGAGCUUGUCUAGACAACUGGUUUGGUAAUAAUCACACAACAUGUCCUCUUUGCAGAUCCAUUCUCUAGUGGUGGUGGAACUAUCUUGUUUAACACUUUCCAUUUUUAUUUUGCUUUUGUUAUGAAAACACCAACAUUCUGUAUCCUCUGUUUUGUCUCUUUUUCUGCUAUGUCCUAUGUUUUUUUUACCCGUUUGGUGUUUUAUGUUUUCCCCCUUUUUGGUAAUGAAAAAGGGGUUUUUUCAUAAUAAUAAAGGACUUGAAUUGCUGUGUUUUAAGCUCUUCUGUUUACAUUUUAGAUGAAACUAUAUGCAUGAAAUUUUAUAUCUUGUAUUUGUUAAUUAAUGCGAUAAUCAUGUAGGGUUUGAGCGUAGGCUAAGGAAACAAUGGCUUUGCAUCUAGAAUACAUUUAUUUGAAAUUUGGAGAUUAUUAGGGUUUUCUCCAUUAAGAGGUUGAUUGUUUGUGGUUUUUGAAACAAUUUUUGGUUUUUUUUUCUCUAAAAACUAUUUUUUUACAAAUCAAGUUUCUUAGAAAAUAGAUUCCCUAAUGAUUUUGAAUCUAGAAACGUUUGACCCCUUCCUGGGAUAAUGAUUUUACAAAUGAAUAUGGAUUUUGAUAAAGCCAUGAAUCGAACGAACACUCAUCCAAAUAAUAAAACUAGGUAAAGUUGGAUUAAUGACACUUCUAUCGCUCAAAUAUUUCAAAUUGAUAUUUAAAUCAAAGAAAAUUAAAAAUUAAUUAAUUUGUAAUACUUAAAAAGUCAUUUAUAAUAUGGUCGAUGUUAUUGUCUUAGAAUUUCUAAUUUGACUUUUGUCUUUUCGUAUUAUUUCUAGUUAUUAGUAUUGUUCAAUUAUUUAAAUACCUAUUAAAAUUUUAAAAUGUAAAUACUAUAAAUUGAAAGUACUCAAGAAAAUUACCAAUUAUAGUUUUAAAUUUUUAUUUCCAUGCACCCUUUUAGAUAAAGGAAACAAACGACAUCAAUUUUCUUACAAAAAGUAACCACAGUAAGAAACCAGAAGAUAGUGACAAGAAAAAAGGAAGAAGACAGAGCACAAUACAUCGAUAUAAUUCAAUAAUAUAUAUAUAAAAUAUGGUAUAUGUCCUUAUUGUUUUGUUUUUUAAUUAUUCAUCCCCAAUGGACUAGACGGCUCUAGAUGCUCUUAGCCGUCGUCCACUUACAGAACUUCCUAUGCUCAAACUUGAUGAAUUCAUCUGCUUCCUUGUCAACAUCCACUUGUUUUGUAGCCUCUCUCCUACUCAUUCUCUCGCUCUGAGUCCUCCUCAUAUCCUCAUACUCCAAGACAUGGAUCGGUUCUUCAGCUGCAAAGGAAACUCGAAACUCCUUCACCGAGUCGCGGUGAUGACGAGGAUGAUGAUGAGAUUUGUGGUUAGAGGAGUUUCCAAGUGUCAUUCUUCUUCAAAUGAAAACCCUCUUUAGCUCUUUUUUUUUUCUGUUCUUGAAUAUGAUUUUGUUAGUGAUACCUUUGAAACUAUAGGAAGUAUCCUUAUAUAAGGGAUGUAAUGUGGUACAUGAAGAAAACAUAAAAAGAUGAGGGUGAAUCGUAUUCCCCUUUUUAUUAUGUAUUUGCGAGAAAAUAUAGCAAUAUAAUAUUGAAGGAUUUGGCCGAUUUAAAUUAUUCGACGCACAUGUCUACAAAUAUGGUAUAAUGAUAGUCUAAUAGAUAAGGAUCUAAUACGAUAUAGGGUUAAGAGAUAAUUAGCUUCAACAAUAAGCAAGUUUAUUGAUUCGAGAACAUUUUACAAUACAUACCACAUUAUUGGGACCCUUGAGACGUGGGCCAACGGGUUAUAAGGUUCAAAGCCUCAAAGGUAUAUGCCAUGAGUAUGAAAGGAACGGUAAAUGGUAGACAAGGUAGUUACUGUUGGUUAUUCGUCCUAGUUUGAUCGAAUUAGAUGCCUUAAUAAUGCGCAAUUUUGAGUGGAGAACGUAAGAAAAACGUGGUCCUAUAUAAAGAUUUGUAUUUGUUGCGUGGUCAAAAAGAGAUGCAGCUUCUUUUUUUUUGCAAACCAGGUUGAUCCGGCCCAUCGCUGGUUUGACUUUGCACCAUGAAACAAGCCCAAGCGGCUUAGAAAGAGGAUGUGAGGGUCCAACUUGUAAUCGUUUUUACAGUUAUUUUCUCGAAUAAUCUAAACUAUGCCGAAGCCCAACUAAUCCGGAGUUGGAGUAGCUCAGUGGUUAGAAAUGUACCAUGUCAGAUAUUCAGAAGUGAAGUUGACAUUUAACUGCUCUAAGCAAUGUAACGUCUUGCAUUCAUCCAGUCAACUACACCCGGCUAUCAGCAUUAAGUUCGUUUUUACAGUUGUCCUUUGUAGUCUCAUGAUAGACACCAAUUUUAUACAUACUGCCCUUUGAAGCACUUUAAAGGCCAAUAUCUUAAGGAGCCGAAUUUAUUAAUACCUAGAAAAAAAUAUAUGUUUUUGACAAAAUUUAAACAUCUGAAAUAUUGAACCAAUAUUGAUAAGUGAACAAAUUAUCAAUAAAUAUAUGUAUCAGACAUUCGAAGAUAGUGAGUUUAAAUGUUUUUUUUCUAACAUCUAGUGAGUUUAAAUGUUUUACACACUCUUAAGUAAUACAUAAAGCCAAUAAAUACAAGACACAGAGGAGAAAUGAAAAAUAGAAAUGUUACUAUCCGGCUGGCCAUCCAAAUGGAGAAAAUUUGUAGGGAUCCGAUUUCAAACACCGGCGGUUGAGAAUCGACUAAUUUAACCUGUUUUGGUGUCCGGUCCAAGAAGAUUAUAGGCCUACGUCAAGAAAAAGUUCGUUGGUCAACAACAAAAAUGAAACGCAACCUUGUUUGGUUACUACUCACUAGCUAGCAAAAAGAUCCAUGAUACUCGAAAGAACAAAAAACACUUAAGCGAACCUACUAUUCCAGCGACUACUUAGCCGGUUCAUCCCCGGUGCUAGAAGCACCCGGCUUAGCCAUAGAAUCUUGAAGUACGUUUGUUGCCUCAACGCUCUUGGUACGUUGUAGGGAAGGAGUUCGGUGUAGCCUGCACCUAAAUGAGCCCGGGUGAGUGGUCGGUGAACAAAGGCAAUUGGUCUUAGUGAUGCUGGUCUGACGAGAUAGCCCGCCAGUGCUUGCUGCUGCAGUACUCUCCAUGGUAGCUUCGAUCUCGGUUUUGUCGUUCAUAAUUUCAAUAUGAAAGGUAAGAGGAUUCGAGAUGAAUAAAGAGUUAUCCUUCUUUGUGUUUAUAUGGUCAAUUUUAGAUUUGAAUAAGCUAUAACUUCCUUUUCUGUUUUGUCAUCACGAGAAUGAUGAUGCAUUCCAUUAAGGACCAACUAUAUCCUUCAACUUGUCAUAAUGCUUCAACUACUCCUAUUCCCACAAGCCACGUCAGUCCUUUUCUUGUGUUUAAUGGAUGAUGAUCAUCCAUGAUUAUUACUCCCAUCAAUUAUCUAGUAUACACUUUCUUACUCUUUCUUAGGUUCAGUUUAAAAGUAUAUAUUAACUUGUACAAAAGGAAUUUGUAUAGUGGCCUCUUUUAUGUGCAAUCCAAAAUUUUAAUUUUAUACGACUACAAUGCAAUGCACUGAAUAUAAAUGGGGUAAGAUAUAAGUUAAUAGCCGGCCAAAAAGGGGUAGUCUAAAAAAUAACAAUUAUUAAUAAAAUAAUUAUCGUAACAACUGAUGCAUUUUUUAUACCAAAAAUACUGACGUAUUUUUUAAAACCAAAAGACAACCUAUGGCAGAUGCCUUCAGCUUAAGAGUGCUUCGUGAUGUUCAUUCACUCUGUGUUUUUCAUUUGAUUCUAUAUGUUCUCGAUUUAUACCCCAUUUGGGAAAUAUAGAUGUAAUUACUUAGAAUGCAGCUCUUUGUGCAUUCCUAAAUUCGCUAUUACAGGCUGAGUAAUUCUAUUCUUCCUGUUUAAUGAAGCUUUUGCAUUGUUCGAGCUCGAAUUAAUUUGAAAUUACCAAAGUUAAAAAGAUCUUGGAUACUGUUUGUAUAUUUUAUUACUCUUUUCGUUUCUGAAUAAAUGUCAUUUUGAUACUGUUUGUAAGUAUAAUUUGUAUAAAAAUUAUAAAGUGACAUUUUUUGUGUAAUAAAAAAAAUGUUAGAAUGAAAAUUAUUAUUAAAUAGAAAGAAAUAUUGAUUUUGACUAAUUAUAGACCUUCUUUAAUUAAUAACAAAUUUGAUAACAAUAAUAAAAUUAAACAUCAAAGUUCUCACAACUAUCAAAGUUCUAAUUAUUUCCUUAUUCUCAGUAAAAGAGUUUUCUUAAACCUUAAAAGAAUGGAUUAUCUUCUCCUUUUUUUUUUAAUGAAUGUUAAAUUUAUUCACCUCAAAACCUUUUUACAAUAAAUGGAUUCUCUUCUCCACCUUUGAAGUAGAUUUCCUAACCCAAAUAUGACUAGAAAAAUUCUCCGUUGUAUUAGCUUGAUAUUUUCCUCGGUACCAUGCAAUUAAGCACAUCAAAACUUAGUUUUAAAGUAUGGUUGUGCCAAAUACAUACAUAUUUUCAAAAAUAAUAAUAAUAAUAAUACAUAUUUUCAUAUCUGAAUACCUGAAUUAUUGUGACUAAUACCUGAAUUACCUAAAGAAAACACAAGUAUUCAGACAAUUAUCCUUUUCAGAUUUAAAAUAUGUACUUCCGACUUGACGAUAUAGUAAACAUCAAAAUAUGUGCUUCCUAUGAUUUGAGAGGGUGAGAGAAAAGAUGAAAAAAGCAAGAAGACAAAGGCUGUCUUUAUGAAUUCUGAAGUCAACUUAUUAGACAAUAGUAUCUAAUUUCUAGAGAUCUCCUUUUGUCCUUUUGGUGUUGUCUUUUUCCCCAUACGUUUUACUUGCUCUUCGUAACUUUGCUCAUACUCGACAUAUGUCCAUAUGCAUAUACCAUCAAUUAGUUGUUCUCAUACACUACUGUACCCCAAUAAGCAUACUCAGAUAAAAUUUCUUACUUUUAUUUUUAAAGAUAAAUAUAUUUUUUGGUAAAAUUUAAAGAUAAAUAUUGUCCUUGCAAAAACAAUCUAUCAUGGGCGAUAAACUGAUCAUACAACUAGACAGAAACAAAGGACACAUGACUUUUGAGCUAGUUACCCAUAACCUCAUUUCUCAUAACCUUAAAGAAACGUAAGAAGAGCAACAAUAAUGGUCUAAUAAUCAUGAAAGCAAUACUGAUAAAACAUUCCGCCAUUUCCAUUCUGAUGCAUCUUAGCUGCAUCAAACCCACUCGCAUGAUCGGCCCAAGCCAACUCUCCAUGAUACUUCACCUGAUUGAAUCCGUUCCCUUCCACAUCGAUGUGAUUUGGUACACCAAGAUCUGUCUGAAAACCGUUCUCUAGCAUUGUCGGGAAAACACCAACAAACGGUUGGUUGGUCUUAGGAGGGGUUGAAGUUUGUUGAGAGAUAGGUUUUGGCAAGAAGCCUUGAACAACUUCUUGAAGAAGACCAGACCCAGCUGGUUCUGGUUCGAGGAUUGAUAUCAUGUUGUCGCUGUCGAUGGUACUUGACCUCUUCGCUUUAGGCGAAUGAUCUUCGGAGACAUCGUUAACGUUAGUGAAGGACUCGUUAAGGAGGCCGCUUACGUUAGAAAGAUUGUAAUGUGGGUAAGCGAAAGGAGAAAGAGGCUGAGAGUUUAAAACGUCGCGAAGAAGGAACAUGUUCAUCGGAGGAGGCGAGAGAAGACGGUGGUGGUAAGAGUCAAAUGGGUAGACGAAGUUGGUUCGAGCUUUAAGACCACGCAUGGCUCGAGCGGCGCAGUCGUAUGCGCAAGCUGCUUCCUCGGCUGUGUCAAACGUUCCGAGCCAUCGUCUCUCCUUCGACAUCGGAUCGCGUAUUUCAGCAGCGUAACGACCCCAUGGCCUACGCCUCACGCCUCGGUACCUUAUCGUUGUGCCACCGGAAGCGCCGCCGGCGGCGCCAGGGGCAGAUUUUGCGAUGGUUACACCUCCGGGUGAGCCAGGAGCGGUGGAGGAAGUUCUUGACGGCUUUCUCUUAAGAGAAUGGUUGUUGGUUUCUCUGUGCUCAGCACCUUCAAGUCUCAUGAUUGCCUCUUCCAUGAUUUGACCUAAGGAAGUUUCUUUUUGUAAGCAAAGAAAGUAUUUGUUUUGUUCUGUGGGUUAUCUUAGGGUUUUGAGUACCUGAAUGUGAUGAUGGUAGAUGAUAUUUAUAGAUAGAGAUAAAAAGAACUACACUGUUCAUUUUAAAUUUUUAAAUAAAAGAGACUUGCGUCUUUUUUUACUUCUGAUCACUCUAUCAGUGAUGUAGAAUGCAAAAGUAGGUUUAGUUAAAGACGCUCAUGUUCUACGUUCGGACUUGUGUCUUUAUUUUUCUACGGACUUGCAUAAAAUUGGAAUAAUAUGUAACAUGUCUUUUUGAUAAGUAACAAUAACGUAGUUAAUAUAUUCUCCUUUUAGCUUCGUUAUUGUCAGGAGUAUAAAGGUGUCUCGAUCAUGUUAUUUAUAUCAUUUCGAUUUAUUCUUUUGUUUUUAGUGUAAGACAUGGAUCUUUCAGAAAACUUUAUUGAAAACAACUGAAACUAAACUAAUAUAGAGUGAAAACUGAAUUAUCGUUUCAAAAUGUUCCCCGUUCUAACUAAUUUGAAACACGCAAAAGUUGUUUUGACUAGUUAUGUUUUGAAGUUUUAACUACUAUAUAUAGGCUCCGACUGGUGACAUAUAGUAUUGAGUUCGAGUUGCAGUAUAUAUUGUAAUUUGAUGUAACUUGCAGUAAAAAUUAUGUGGUAAAAACUGUAAAUUUAUGUGGUAAGUUUGCAGUAGAAACAAAAGUUAUCAUUUUAUUAAAAUUGAUGACUGGUAACAUUUUUGAUGUAUAAGUUGCAGUAUAGUUUUUUUUUUUUUGACGUCAAACGGCUAUUCUAUUACUCAAGCUUGAGGUGGUCUGGGUAACCAGACCGGAAUAGAACAACCAACAAAAUGUAACUUCCUAUGGAAGGAUCUAGCAGUCUUGGCUAAAAAAUCUGAAAAAUGAUUGCGCGCUCGUGGAACAUGAAUGAUGUUGAAAUCCGGAAAGCAAAUCAGCAGCGUCUCUAUCCUUUCCAAUUCUGUCGCAAAGCUGGGCCAUGCAUGAGGAUCCUUUAUCAUUGCUAUCAGCUCCUUACAGUCUGUCCCAAAGUUCUGGCACGUUGAGUGUUGCAGCAUAUUCUCCAUUGCCCAUCGCAGAGCCUCUACCUCCGAAUGCAAAGGUGAUUCUCGUCGAUUGAGAUUUCUUGUCCCCAACAGUUGAAUGUUUCCUCCAUUGUCCAACCAGGCCCAUCCACAUCCAGUAUACUGAGCGGAGGCUGUCCAAGAUCCAUCUAGCAAGCAAAUGUUCCCCAAGCUUAUGACUUGGGUCUCCGCUGAAAUGACUUCUUGUACCAUAGGUUGUACCACUUCAUUCGCAUUAAACCAUGCCUGACAUUCACUCUCUGCAUGUCGGACUGUCUCCAAAGGAUCUCUAUCUAUUCCUCUGAAAAGUUUGUCAUUCCUAGCCUUCCAAAUGUACCAAAUUAUCCAGGGAUAAAGAUCCUUGCCCUGUUCCGGCUCGAUAAUGUUGUUUUUUCUCCAGAAUAGGUAAUCCAUAUUUGCGUAAAUGCUUGAUACAGGAAAUAGGCCAGGACUUGACGGGGUAGAUGCUAAGGUCCAGACCUGUAGAGCCGGUGGACACUCAAAAAUAGCAUGGGUUACAGAUUCUUCUAGCUCUCCACAUCGUGGGCAGUAGUUGUCACAUCUCAUAUUGCGUCUCGCUAGAUUCCUCGUUACUGCAACAUGGCCAGAUAGCAGCUGCCAUAUAAGAUGACAUAUCUUCGUAGGUGCUUUAACCUUCCAAGCAAAGGCUUGAAGCUCUGUGAUACAAAUAAUUAAAAACAUAUACAUAAUGAAUAUUUAUUAAAAACAAAAAAUACAUAAGCUUAUUCUAAAAUAAAUAAUAAAUAAGAAUAUAUUUUUACUUUUAAUAUGUGAAAUAAUUUUGACAAGAAAUAAGUUGUAAUUUGUACGUAUUAUUUUCUAAAGAGUUAUAACUCUAAUAAAAUUAUUUCACCUAUUAAAAUUUAAAAAUAUUAUUAUUUAUUUUUUAUUUUAAAAGUAAAAAUAUUAUCAUUUAAUAUUAUUUUCUAGUUACAUUUUGUUUUAUAAUUUUAAAACAAUAAUUUAUAAUAAAAAUGAUAAACAUAAGAUACUUUUAAAUUUGUGGGUUUAAAACCAUAAAUAAAAUUUUCAAAUUUACAAACAAAAUAGCAUACAAACGUAACUUAAUUAUUUACACUAAUAUAUGAAAUUAUUUGUUUUCAGUUUCCUAAAGAUGUUGCUAACUUUGUGGGUAUAAAACCAUAAAUUAAAGAGAAACUACUAACGUAACUCAAAUUUGACAGUUGUAGUUGAUUUUUUUAAUUGUCGUUAGUUUCUUUUUUUUAAAUAGAAAAAUUUAUUAAAAUGCUAACCCAACUUCUAAAACAUGGAUUUUUCCUUGAUGUUGCAUUAAGUUUUGAGGUAUCAAAAUUACAAAGGGUGUAAGUCAAAAUCUUAACUCAAAGAUACUACAUGUUAACUCAAACUUUAAAUCAGAAAAUGAAACUUAAUGUAUGAUUGGUAACAUUUUUGAGUUGCUAAUGAUUUAGACCUCUAACUCAAACUAAAUUAAUGAUACCACAUGUUACCAAUCAAAGCCAUAGUCUAAAAGCGGAAAAUAUGAUUUUUGCACUCAAACAUCUCUAACUAAUUUUCAAAAAAAAAAAAAAAAAAAAAUCUCUNNNNNNNNNNNNNNNNNNNNNNNNNNNNNNNNNNNNNNNNNNNAAAAAAAAAAAAAAAAAACAUCUCUAACUAAACAUUAAAAAGCACAUUAUUGUAAUGCUGAAACUUAUAUUAAUUUAUUGCUGAAAUUACCCUAACUUUAUCGCUAAAGUGGUGUUAUGGUAAUAACAAUAAAUCAAAUUAGUUAAAAUGAUUUUUUUGACAGUAGUUUGUAGCUGGGAAAGGAAAUUAUGAUGUUGUGAGUUGAAAGGAGAGGGAUUGAGAAUCGUGAAAUAAUGUCUCUGAAUUAAUAACACUGGCGGCGCUCAGAAAUUGUUCCUUCUACGUGGGGUUAUGUUUUGUGUGUUCUUUUUACGAGAUUAUGGCAGAUUUGCUUAUUUGGGGUUUUGCUCUCUGUAUUUAUUUGUAAGCCUCACGUGGAUUUGUCUCAACUAGGGCUCUUUCUUCAUGGUGUGUACUGUGUAGCCUCUUUAGGGGCUUCCUACUGUUGCUUGAUUGUAACUAAUGACCUCUCGCGUUUAAUUACGGAAAUUAAUGUCCACUAAUUUCAUAUAUUUGUGCUAAAAUUCAUAUCGUUAAUAGACUAAAAAAAUGUUAAGAUUUAUCCUAAAUCUCUUUCACCGUCUUGAUUAAUGUCGAUAGAGUAUCUUGAACCGAUGAAGUGAUAUCAUGCACGUCGCUACCGUCCGAACCCAAAUGUUUGUGCCAAAUGGUUUCGCCAGGAUCUAGAACCCUCUAUUUUACUGGGAGAGCAUAGUAGUAUAUUGAUAAAUUAUGUAACAAAAAAAACAUAAUAAGAUACUAUGGUAAAAGAGUUGUGCGUACAAGCUAGAAUUGGAAUGUUGAUCACAUAAUAUGGUAAACUUAGCAUACUUUUUUAAAAUCGAAGCAUGCAUGAACGCCCUUUUUGGAAGGCCAGACUAUAUACUACAUAAAAACAAAAAUAUUUUGCUCGAUAAGAGUUGAUCUAAUUAAGGUGCAACUGAAAACCAUUUAUAAGAACAUACAGAAUAUGAAUAUAUAGAACGAAGAUGAAUGGAAUAGUAGCAAUCAGAAAAAUAAAAUGAAUAAAGCAGAAAUUAAGUGUUUCGUUAUUUCUUCUACCUUUACGUUGCAGAAUCUUUUUAGAAAAUAACUAUUUCCUCCCAUUUUUUAACAAAAAUUUUCUGAAUGUUUUCUAGAUAAUUUUAUCAUAACUGGAACCUUUUCCAUGUGGGAUCAAAUGAAAUGAUUCCUUCCACAUAUUCUUAAAUGGAAGGAUUUAUUUAUUUUUGUUUCACUUAAUAUGUGGAAUUGUUUUAAAGUGUAUUUUAUGAAAUUGUAUGGAAUGAUGCAUUCUAAAUAAUUUUAUCCCAGCAUCCAUAACUUUCUUAAGUUAAUAAUUUGGAUCAAAAAUAAUAAUAAUUUUUUUAAAGAUUAAAUUUGAGCUUGACGGAAGCGUAACUGUCCAUAGUAGCGGAUACUAGUUUGCUUUACAUUAAGAUCAAAUUAAAUUAUAAAUUAGAUCAGAGUUGAAAUAUUGCUUGAACCAGAAGAGAAAAAAGAUAGAAGGCAAAAAUGAAGCGGCAAAGCUAGGGAAGUAGGUUACAUGCAACGGUACGACAUUAAAGUUGGUACCAGAAUUGUCUCCUCUCUCCUAAACGCGUGGGUUUUUCUCUGCGCUAUGCCUCACUUCUCUAUGACUAUUAUUGUGCAUGUGUUUGACUUUUCUUAUUUGCACGCACGAACGUAUCAUGUUAUAUAGAUCGCCAAAAAAUAUAAAACCCAAUCUACGACGUUAUAUAUAUGGUUCUCAACUCAACUACACAAACUAGGGCAUGUACUCUUUUUCUAUUUUUCUGGGGUCAAAACUAGCCCACGUUACAUAUCUACGAUAUUCAACUAAAACCCAAUCUACGACGUUAUAUAUAUGGUUCUCAACUCAACUACACAAACUAGGGCAUGUACUCUUUUUCUAUUUUUCUGGGGUCAAAACUAGCCCACGUUACAUAUCUACGCUAUUCAACUAAAAUAACGCAUGUCAAGUUACACUAACAAAAGCCUCCGUUCAAAAAAAGUUACAAUAACAAAAAACCAUAUAAAUACUGAAAUACAAUGUAACACGCACUAGCAGUUAAAAAAAAUGUUGCAAUUUUUUUCUGUCAAAACAAAUGUAACCAACUAACCACGACGAAAACCGUUGCAUUGGUAAAAUUAAAAAUCAGGGCCGGGACAUGAAGUAUAAAUUUAUCAACUGGGAGUUGCCCCCUCCACGCUACGAAAGUCCCAAAUUUAUCAAUUCUGAGAUGAUCAAGUGAACUUGUUUGUGAUCGUGUUUUGAUCGAUCUUGAUUACAUUGCAUCAAUUACAAUUUACAUGUUAUGACUUAUGCCACAUUAUUAUAUAUAUGAUUAUUCCGAUUAUAUAUACCCUAUAAAGUUUAUAAGUACGUUAGUUUGCAUGAAAGAUAUGAAUAUCAAAAGCAAAGAUUUGGGUAGAUAUCCUGGUUCCCUUUUAAACAUACACCAGGUCUGAAUUCUAACCUACACGUAUAACAAUCCACGCACGUACGUACGAUUCAUCACUCGCUUUCACGUGAUCCCUCAUCUCUUUUAACAUGUUUACAUCUAUUAUCUACUAUAUAGUAAUUAUUAUUGUGGUGGAACUGAAACUCAUAAUUAAGGAAACAGUUCAUGUGCCAAUAAGUUUUCAAAUAAGCUCCAUAAUUUCCCUUUUACACUAUUGAGCAUUGGUUCAUUGGUUGAUUAUCAAUUUGUUUUAUUUUGGUGACCGUUUCCGGUUGUACUAUAAGUAGAGAUGUCAAAUGGGCGGGUUUGGGUGUGUCCGAAUGGGCUUCAGUUUUUUGUUGGACAUUUCUGGUCGAAGCCCAAAUAGAACCAUGUCCAAAUGAGACCAUAACCAAAUAAGACUAUAAUUUGUUGGGCUGUCCAUGGGUCCCAUAAUCCAAUUAACGUAAACAACAUAAUUUCAGUUUUAAAAAUUCAAUGAUUCAAGUUUCAAUUUUAAAGAUGUCAUAUCAGACUUAAAUUUCAAUUUUAAAAAUAAGUUCAUCUAAACAGCAAAAUGGGUCACUCUCAUGAAGAAUUUCCCUUAUUCGUGAGUCGUGAGUCUCGUGACUUUGGAUUGAGCUCUUGCGGAAGCAGUCACGACCAACUUGUUAUGAACACAAAUCACCGAUCUAUCAAAGUAUCUAAUACGUAUCCAAUGAUACGAAUCAAUAGCUUAUAAUAAUGAAAACACAUAACACAAAUCACACAUAAACAGUUCGAAGAUGACGAAAUCAAACCUUUAGUUGACGAAAUCAGAAGACAGCAAAGAAGAAUCGAAGCAAUCAAAGAAGAAUCGAAGCAAUCCGAGAAGAAACGAAGCAAUCAGAGAAGAAACGAAGCAAUCAGAAAAGAAAUCGCAUAAGAAUCACCGAAAUCGCAGAAGAACGAAGACGGUGCAGAAGAAAGUGUUUUCCCCUAAUUUUCUGAACUCUAGACAUUUAAGCUUAUUGGACCAUCCAUUGUCUAACUGGUUAAGCCCAACUUUGUCCAUGGAUGUAGUUGGGUUCGCCCAUUUGGACAAAAAUUAUUUAUGGUUCACUAUGGGCCUGUCCAUUUCGGACCAUAUCUAUUUGGACACGGACCACCCAUUUAUAACCCGCCCAUUUGACAUUACUAACUAUAAGUCUAUAAAUAAUAUGCAAGCCUUUAGAAAGGUAAAAAAAUUGACUGUUGAACUGAGAGUUACUUCAUGUCUCUCCUGAACAAAUUGUCCCCUAUGUGUUAAUAAAGCUACCUUACUAAUAAGUAACUAGGUUAAGACCCGCGCCUUGCGCGGGAUGAAUAUUAUAUAUAUAAAUAUAUAAAUUAUUUUAUAUAUAAUAUGUUUAUAACAUAUUAUGAAAUAAUAAAUAUAUAUUGAAUAAUUAAAAUGUCAUUAUCUACUACUUAUAUAAUUAAAUUGGUGCGAACAUAUAAAUAAAUUUUAUAAAUCAAAAAAAUAUUUUUUUCUAUUUGAUAUGAUAUAUAAUUAAAUUAAAAUGAUAGUAACAUAUAUAUGGUAUAUUUUAAUAUUAAUAUUUAUUAGAUGAUGUUUUUUUCUCAUAUUAUUUUUUAUCAUUUUUAUCUGUUAUAGCAAAAACCCUAAAUUAGUGAUAACAAAAUUUUCACUGUGGGAUUAAUGGUUUAAGUAAUUUUAAAAUUUUAAGUUAUCAAUAUUUUUUCAAAUUUUUUAUCAAAAAAAAUGUUCAAAGUAAAUUUCAAAAUUAAAAUAUUUAUGUAUUUUUAUAUGGCAUAUAGUUUAAUUUAAAAUGAUUUAUAUCUUUUAUUUUUGAUACUUAUUAAAUGAGACUUUCAACUUAUAUUAUUUUUUAAUUAUUUGUAUCAUGUCAUAACAAAAGUUUUAAAUCAUAGAUCUAAAAAUUUGAAUUUGAAAUUUUUAACAGUUUUAGUAAUUUAUACUCGUUUUUAAAAAUUCAAAAUAUAAUAUAUAAAUAAUUGUUUUAAUUUUUAUUAUAUGGUUACUAUGAUUGUUUAAUUUAUUUUAAUAGCUUAAAAUUAAACAAAUAUAAUUAUAAUACACAGUUAUUUUUAUCAAAUCUUUAUUAUUCAAAAUCAUUAAUUGUCAUAUAUACUUUAGCCACAUUAGGUAAUUCCGUAAUCUUAUUUAAGGAAAUAAUGAAGCACAUUAAUGAUGUAUUUAUUGUGGUUUAAUAAAAAGUUUAUUAUAUAUUUAGAUGGACCAACAUAUUUCUCUAAGGAUUCUAAAAAUCAUUCUAGUGAUGACACGUGGCUACAAAAAAAUGUUGCAAUGCUUCUCAAAUAAUAUAUAGGGGAUAACUUUAUGCCUAGAUACACACAUUUGGAAUUUACUUUUUGUCGUCAUUUGUAAAUAUUUUUAGUAUUAACUUUAUUUUUUGUCAGAGUAAUUCUCCUGCAGCGAGAGCAACUAACUUGUACAUUUGUAUAUACAUGUACACAUUUCCUAUCUGUAAAAAAAAAGUUACACGUUUCCCUUAGCAAUUCGGAUGUCCAAAAAUUGACACCCAGUCCUGGUAUGUUUGUUAAGAUGUCAAAAAUAUUGUUUAAAUUUAGAGAAAAUAAAUAGUGAACUUUUUAUUAUACAAUUGUGAAAUUAUUACGUGACAGUCAAAAUCACAAGAAAAAAUGUACUCGUUCCCCUUAGCAAUUCGGUUGUCCAAAUAUUGACACCCAGUCCUGGUAUGUUUGUUAAGAUGUCAAAAAAAUAUUGUUUAAAUUUUUAAAAAAUAAAUAGUGAACUUUUUAUAAAAUUGUGAAAAAUUAUUAAGUGACAGUCAAAAUCACGUCCAAAAGCUUGGCUAGACUAUAGAUUACAUCAACAAAAUAGAAAUAAAAAUGUUUUUUUUUUCUUGUCUUGGUCUAGAAUGCUUACAAUAGUUUGUAAUUGUAUCAUGCAGAAAAAUUAGUCCAACGGGCAUCGCUAUUAUACUUUUUCGAGCGACUAAGCGACUCGUAUGAGAAAAAUUUGCGUUGUAGCAUACGUAUAAAACGUGAUUCUGUUUUGAAUUUUAUAAAAAUCCCUAGUUCUACAACUAAAUGGUGUACAGUUAUGGUACUUUUUCGACAUCGUUACAUUUGUGGUACUAAAUUAUAAGUAUCCUAGUUUAUUUCAUCGUUAUGUCACAUCAAAUUUUUAUUUGUUUAAUUUUUUACAAAAAAAAAACUCAGGGAACGUGCCAUAAAAAUAAGUAUCCACCAAAAUAAAAAAAAGAGAAGUGGCCGUAAGUUUUCUCUCUCCUUCUGCUCUGUUCUCUCUUAGCUAUUUUAUACAGAGGAAGGUAUGAGAGAAAACUCAGAUCAGUGGUUUACGGUGAUUGCGUCCAUAGUUUGGACCUCUUCCAGCGUCGCACCUUCCUUACGAUGGUCGGCUGGCUUUGGCUCCGGUUUGUUCGCGUUUUCUUUGACGGAGCUUCCGGCUUUUGGCUCCGGCGAUACAUCAGACACUCCGGUGAUCGCUGGCUUUGAUUUCCACAAUGGCCGUUUGUUCAUCGGUGGUGUUGUUGGAUUAUCUCCGGAUUUCAUCCGGAUUAUGUUAGAUCUACGCUUCCUUGAUCUUCAUCGUUUCGAUUGACUUCCGAUCUUGACAUGCGAUUGUUUCUUCCUCUCCUUUGUGAGGGCCGUGACAUUUUCAAGUGAAUCGAUGUUUGAAGGUUGGUUUGUGUUCAAUUGAAGCUUUAUUGAGACAAAGAUUAUCGAGAUUUUAUUUUCUAAAGUCGUCCGACGGUUUCUUCUCAUGCGACAUCCUGUUCCGGUGGAUUGCCGGUGAGCUGCUCCGGCGACGUCUUUCAUGCCGUGAAGUUUGGUGGAGUUUCAUUCAUCGGGCACGUGUCUCCAACGCUAUCAGAAUGACGCGUAGAGUGCUCGAGUUGACUCACCUCUUCCUCUUGGGUUUCUUUUGUUUUGUGUGAACGGUUGGGCUGGAGGCCCAUGUGUUGGUUGCUCCUUUGUUUGCCUAUCUUUGGGCUUUUUUUGUUUCGUUUGGGUUUUUACCUUUUAUAAUUCUAAUAGAUGGAAAAAAAAAAAAAAGUAUCCCACCAAAAUAAAUAAAAAGAUAUAAAAACAGUUGGAACUCUUCUAUAGAAGAUAUUAAAAACAAUAUAAUGAUAAUUUUAAAUAAUGGAGCUGCUCGUAUGCAUGUCUGUAAAUUUUGGAGUCCGCAUCUGUUCUUGUAUGAAACACACAAAUAUAGUUUUUUUAGUUUACCGGUCUAAAUGAAUCGUCGGUUAUAGAUGGAAACUGAUUAGACUACCGUAAAUUGAAUGGCUACGACUUUCGACAUCGGGAAAAACGAAGAUCUAAUAAGAAAGAACACGUAAAUCUAGUGGCCUUUUUAGAUAAUCAAAUCUGAGUUUGAUUGAAAGAAUGGGUCCCAAGUGAAUAGAAGAAGCGUGGGAUCAUUCUGAACUCUGAAGAUAUAAGAUUUUUCUUGUUUUGAUUUGAUGCUCUGUCAUUUUUCGGUCGUCAAAAAAUUCAUUUAAAAUUUAACGUUCUGAAACGGUUGAUGCGGUUUUAUUUUCUAAUGGUAAUUUAGUUUGAACUGUUCUCAACUCGGAUUCUGAAGAUGAUUUCAAUAUAUAUAUAUAUAUAUGUUUUAAUGUUUAUAUACUAUUUUUUUCAAAAAUUAACAAAUAUGUAUGAGAACAAAAAGGAGGGUAUUCUCUCUUUUAUAUAAGCAGCCAAAAAAGUCAUGGUAAAUGACUUCUUAUAAGAUUUACAUUCAAUUUACUUUUGUAAUUCUAUACUAUAUAGUAUUUAUAUUGAAAAUUGUUUUCAAAAGGUAUAAUAAACUCAAAAGUUCAGAAUAAUUCAAGUAACAUGGUUGUAUAAAAUGUGAACUAGUUACUCUGUUUGCAGUGUCGUGAAAAGGGUUUUAGGGGCCUAAGGCGAAUUUUAAAAAUAAAUUUAUAUAUAAUUAUAAGAAAAAUAAUUUUCUAAUACGAUAUAUCACAUUCGCCAAAUAUAUAAGUUUAACACUUACAAGAAUAAGUUUAAUACGUAAAUAUCUACACCAUUUAGUUGUAGAACUAGGGAUUCUUAUAAAAUUCAAAACAGAAAUUGAGUUAUUCGAUUCUCGUGGAAAGUGUUUUUAGAAAUAAGUUUAAGCAGCACAGUGUUUGGUUGUUUCAUGAAUCCUAAGGAUGGAGUUAGUUUUAUUAAAAAUGUAUUAUUUUCUCAUUUAUGUUUUUAUAAUUUUAUUAUGUUUACUUGAUAUCUAACAUAAAAAAAUCAGAAGUGAUUAGAGAGCCCAUAGUUAGAGCAUCUCCAAUAGAACACAAAAAUGUCAUAUAUAUUUCACACUAAAAUAGAGUAACUCUAUUAUAGAGUCCGCGUCCGUCGGAUCCGUGGAUUUAAUAUCCGGAUCCGGAUUCGUGGUUUUCGGAUAUCCGGAUUUCGGAUAUUCGUCUCGAUAUUCUAUUAUCCGCAGAUAUCCGGAUCCAGAUCCGAAUAAAAAUGUAGUAUUUUUUUAAUAUAAUACAUAAAUUAAAUAUUUAUAAAUAUAUCUAUAUAUGUCUGUAAUAUUGUAAAAACUAAAAUAUAAUAUUAUAAGAUUAAUUCAUGUAUAAAUAUUAAUAUAUCAAAUAUAAAUAUUAAUAAAAAUUAAAAAUUUAAUGUAUUUUAAAAAUACGGAUCCGGAUAUCCGGACCUAAAAAUUAAGAUAUCCAGAUCCGGAUUCGGUUUGCAUGGAUCCAAGAUUUUACUAUCCGGAUUCGGAUCCGGGCACCCCAGAUGUCCUAUUUUCAGAGCGGAUCCGGAGCGGAUCUUGAAUCGAAUUCGGAUCUCGGAUAAUAAGUCUCAUGCCUAGUCUUAUGUCCUAUAUUUAGAGUGUUAGGACUUAUGGUUUUGCUAACCAUUCAAAAAAAAAAAAAGAAGCAAAUUAUCUGUUUUUCUUUAAUCAAAGAAAUCACAUUAAUUAUAAUCCCUUAAGAAAGCCAAUGCUAGCCUUAUAAUAGAAAGUCUUCUACUUCCUCCGUUCCCGAAAGUAAGAUGUUUUAUAUUUUUUAUUUGUUUCACAAAGAUAUUUUUUUUAUAUGUUUAAGAUACUUUUUUAUACUUUUAAGAAGCAUUAAAUGAAAAUAUUUGAAUUGAUUAAAUUUCAUUGGUUAAAAGUUAUUGGAAAGUGUAUAAUAAAGUUAACAUCGAUAAAUAUUUAAAUAAUUAACAUAUAGAGGUAUAAUAUUACAACAUUAAAUUAUAUCUAUUUAAUUUAUACUAUCUAUAAAUCCAAUGGAUCAUCUAUUGUUUAAAUCCAAUUAUUGAUAGCCCAAUAAAAAUAUUAGUUAGGCCCAAAAUUUAAAUGAUAAGAUUAUAAUUAAAUACUAGAUUUUGACCCGCACGUCCGUGCGGAUGUAUUUUUUAAAAUAAUAUGAUGCUAUUUGCUUUUUAUGUCACUAUUUAAGGUUGGGCAAAAAACUCGAAUUCGAAGAAUCGAACCAAUCUCAAUCCGAAUAAGUAGUACUAAAUCCGAACCGGAAUAGAUUAAAUAUCUGAAUUAUUCAAAAUGUUGGUAUUUGAAGAAUUGAAACCUAAUCCGAUCCGAACCGAAUUAAUUUGGGUAUCCAAAAUAGAUUUAUAUACUUAUAUAUAUUAAUUAUUUUUAGAUUUAAUAUAUAUAAAAACAUCCAAAAUAUAUAUGAUACUUUUAAGUUCGCAUAAAUGCUUGAAAAAUAUAUACAAAUAAUUAAACGUAAAUAUCUUAAAUAGUUAAAAAAUACUCAAAACUCCAAAAAAUACUUAAAUAAUUAUUAAUUCUCUAUCCAAAUAUUUAAACCAAACCUAUUUAAAUUGGUUAUCCAAAUCAGAACCAAAUCCUCAAAGAUCUGAACUGAACACGAAAUCCCAAAAAGAUCCGAAAACGAAUUCGAACGCCCAUCCCUAAUCACUAUUAUAUACUAUAUGUGUUAUCAUAGAUUACAAAAUAUGUGUUAUCAUAUAAUUAAUCGUAUUUUAUACGUACCAUCAAAUAAGUUUUCUUAUAAUUAAUAAUAUUUUAUACGUACAAUCAUAUAAAUAAUCAAAUAUAUUAUAUUUUAAAAUUUAAUGUGAAAUAUAAAAACUAUAAUUUAAGUUGGUGUUUGAAAUUGGGCUUUGUAUUGUAUUUUUAUUAUAUAUAUUGAAAACAUUUUUAUAAUAGUUAUUGGAAAAUAUGUUAGUAAAAAUCAAAUUUUAAAUAUAUGUAAAUUUUUGAAUGAAUUUUGAUAUAAAUUAAUUUUAAAUUAUUAUUUUGAUUUGAAUAUAUAUAUCAAGUAACAUAGAUCUAUUACUUUUUAAUAUGAUGUAAUGGACUUUCAAUUUUUUUUAGUAGCAUAAGCCCAUUAUUUUUUUAGUAGCAUAAGCCCAUUAUUAUUUUUUUCUAACUUACUGCUAUCCAUGUUUCCAAACACUACUAUUUUUUUAAUUACUAUUCAUAUUACCAAACAAUCCUAAUGUGUACUUCAACUUUAAUAAUAUAGAUAACAUGACUUUUUAGGAAUGUGUCUAUUAAAUCCAUUUUUAAAAAAAAAAUCACACAUAAAUCAAAGUUGUGACUGUUGUUUUAAUAUAUAAGAUGUUACAAAAUCUGGAUUCUAGUGUAUGUGAUAUAUUCAGAGAGUUAUGACUUAUGGUUUUGCUAACCAUUCAGAAAAGAAAGUAACCAAUUUAUCUGUUUUCUUUUGGUGCUAAAUCAAAGAAAUCAAAUUAGAAUCCCAUGAGAAGCCCAUUCUAGUAUUCUCUAAACAAGUCCAUGCUAGUCUUCACUCGUCAAACAAAAGCAAACUUUUUUUUCAAACAAAAGCAAUUUCUAAUGAGUAGUUUCAAUUAAGUCUCUUUCAACUUCAAGCAACUCUUCUCAAUUAAAUUUGUUUAGCUUCUAAACUUUUGAGCGCCACAGAAAGAAGGUCAGAAUCUUGAAGAAUCUCUCGGUCUUGGGUUUAAAGAAAGAAGCAGAAAUUGGGAAAUACGUACCAGUUAUCAUCACUAAUCGAGACGUGUCCUGCCUUUGAAGCUGACACAUUAACACAACUCACCCAACACCGGACCCUCUUUUCAUGCUGUUUACAAGGAAGAAUGAUACGUCUCUUCUUUAUUACAUUACAACACACAAAGAGAUAGAGAUGUGUAAUAGACUAUUUUGGCGUUGCUCACCAACCUAAUUUCCCUUCAUCAACAACUCGUGUCGUCCUUUUUUGUUCAAGAUACUAUUAUAAACACGCCUCCCGCGUGAAACUAAAAAGCAAACAUCAUAAAAACAUACAAACAUAAUUCUUCUGGCCUCACUGCCGAUUUGUGAUGGAGAAGAAGCAGGCCAUUCAUGGAGAUGAUGGGCAUGAUUGUGUUCCUCCUAUCCAUAGCCAAGUCGUUAAGAUCAAGAAAGAGUUUGAGAAGAUACAACACCCGUCGCUAAGGCAGCCUGAGAUGCCAAGAGUGCUUCGAGAGAUCACGUUUCCACGGCGGUCCCGUUCUCCGCUCGGGUUAGGAGAAAGAGAGAGACCCAUCCCCGUUGGAAGCUGAUAACAAAGAGAUAUAAAGAGAGCGGGGAUAGGUUAUCUUCUUGUGUAUUAUGGUUUCUCUUUUGUUUUGCAAUGUAAAUAUAUUUGGUUAAUGUGAUGAGUCUCUUUUCAAUAUCCUGAAACAACAAAUCUUUUGUUUAUCUUCUGAUCUAUCUUGCCUCAUGUGUUCUAAUCUUUGAGGGGUAAACUAACUAGUUCAUAGAGAAAUCUAGAUCGCUAGAUGUUUUCAAAAUGAGACAAAUGGGGUCAAUUGAUGAAGGGGAAGUUUUGAAAUUCGUUUUAAAUCUCUAAUGGGCCUUUUAAUAAGUUGAUAACUGAACUUUUCUGGGCUCGAAACUAUAUUAUGCGUUUGUAGUUUAUAAAAUUCAUAGAAAAUUCUUCAAUUAAAUUAAAUAGUAAUAUUUGUAAAGAAAAAGAUGAAAAUUAUUUUAUUUUUCAAAUAUUUGAUGCUCAAAACAAAUCAUUUCAGGUGUGUCAUAAAACACAAAAAUAUCAUCGAAUAUUCAAAAAAUUAUUAGGUGAUAAUUAAACAAUUUAUUAGAAAUUAGUGUUUAAAUACUGUUUAAUUCAUUUUUAUCUAUAACUGAUUUUCUGAUUAAUCAAUAGAUGCUUAGGCACUGUCUAAAACGAUUUUUAAAAACACAUGUAUCAUCUGAAGCAUACGCAACAGACCAAUGCUAAAGAAAAAAAAUGGUUCUUAUUUAUAUCCACAUUGGUAAAAUAAAUCCGCAUAACUUUAACUGUAUGCAUCAGUUCUGAUUAGAAUCGACUAAUUUAACUCUCACUGUAUAUGCAUCAAAUUUGUUAAUUCUAAGCAGAACUGAAGACAAAACAAAAAAAGAGUUACAUUAAUAAAUGUUUUUUUUUUAAAUAACUUUAGAAUGAAAAUUCCAAGAGAACAAAAGAAAAAAAGAAGGAUUGAAACAAUGGUGGAAUAAUAAACAAUGGAUGAAGGAAACAUGACAACAAUGAAGAUGAAGCCGUGUGAAACUCUACCUCUGACCACCUCCCAUAACAUUAUCACGCCUAGAUCCCAACGUCAUCAUAAUCUUAAACUCCUCGAAAUCAAUCGUCCCAUCUCCAUCCUUAUCCACACCACCGAUCAUCUUCCUACACUCGGCGAUGGAACACUCAUCACCAAGACUCCUCAAAACCUCAUGCAGCUCCUCCGCCGAUAUAGACCCGUUCCCAUCGAUGUCAUAGACCGAGAAGGCGUCCUUCAGAUUCUCCAACACCUCGUUCUGAUCCAUCCCUUUCGUGUUCAGCUCAACGAACUCCUCGAAGUUUAUGUAACCGUCUCCUUUACGGUCGAUAUCUGUUAUGGCCUUUUGCAACACCUCCUCUGGAACCUCGUGGCCUAGGCUUGUCAUUAUCGCACCGAGCUCUUUGGAGGAGAUCUUACCGUCUCCAUUCACGUCGAAUUUUUUGAACACCGCUUCGAGUUCUCUGAUCUCUGUUUUCCCUGAGCGUGCCUUGUGUAGGAACGGAGAGUCUGCUCCGGUUCGAGAGGCCGAGCCACCGCCGGAACCAUUGGUUUGGUUUUUGUUGUUGGACAUGGUUUCAAAAUCUCUGUGAAGAAAAAAAGAAUCAGGAGUUUAGAGAAAUAUCCGUAUUUGUUGUGAUUCCAAAGGAAGCGGAUGAAUCUCUGGAUCACUAACUAUUUUGGGGGUUCCCUUUCCCACAAAAAAUACACAAAUGGACUUAGUUGUGUUUGUUUUGUCAUAAUUUCAAAAUGGAUAUAGCGAUUAGGUAAAGUAUUUUGGUAGUAUUUUGGAAAUGGGAAAAUAGAGGUGGGAGGCAUGUUGAUGAGAAGAGCUUGAGGUCAUGCGUGAAGUACUGGUCAAUAAUUACAAAGUCAAUAACAUGGUCAUUAAUUCCCUAUUUAUAAUCAUAUUCAUUUAAUUAAUAUUAAUUAUCGGUUUUGUUUGUAAGGAUCAUGCAAAUUCCAGCUCGUCCCUCAAAACAUGUAUUUAGAUCACAAAUUCACAAUACCACAUGAGCAUGGCUACCACUGAGUCAUUCUGUAAUGCAAUCUUGAGUACAUCUUGGUCUCCAGAAUGUUGUUGAGGCUGCAUCUUAUGGUAUGCCUUAGCAAAUCCAUUAAGAAGCAAACCCGUGUGACCACCAAUAACAGAGCCCACAAUAUUUGCAAUAUCUAUAAAAUUAAUAAUUAACUCUAAUAUCUAAUUUUUCAGUAAAAAAAAAAAACUCUAAUAUCUAAUUUAAUAUAUACUAGACUUUGACAUGCACAUCCGUGUAGGUAGACUUUCAUUUUAUAAUAUAUAGUUUUCAUAUUAUAUUUUGUCUAUAAUAAUUUAUAUAUGAUGCAUUGUUGUGAUUUUCAAAAUAAAUAAAUUGAUAAUAUAUAGCUGUAGAUAUGAGAGUAGAUAUAAGAGAGCUUGAGGUCAUGUGUAAGUACUGCUCUCCCAGUUUUCUAAAUGGGAUUUUAGAUAAUUAACAAGUGGACGAUGGAUAAAUUGAUUUUGACCAUUAUCAAACUAUCAUAUGAAUUGUUAAACCAUUCAUUAUAACUCCAAAGUCAAUAACAUGGUCAUUAAUAUUUAUAAUCAUAUUUCAUUGGUACAUUUAGUUAAUAUUAAUGAUCGCUUUUGUUUGUAAGGAUAUCAUUAGUUAGCUAGGGUGGACCAUGAUCUCUGCGAUAAUUCUCCAUUUAUUUUGCCUUCCAUGGUUGUUGUGCUCUUUUGUCUAUUUACCAACUCGUGUUUCGAAAUCUCACAAAUUUGACGAAGGUCUUUGCUUCAAUUACCUAGGCCAUGUUUAGUGCUGGAUAUGUAUUUCCAAAAGAAUAUAGUAAUUUUUUCAGUCUAGUAUGGUGCUUCAUAUUUCGGUAACAUAUAAUCUCCUUGUUUUUGUAUGUUGCUUCAUGUUUCAGUAGCAUUUUUUUAUAUCAUACUCCAAUAUAAUCUCCUUGGUUUUGUGUUACUGGUUGAUGCGACAAAAUUCUUGAUAUUCCACCUUUUUUUCUUUGUCAGCAUUGCCUAUAACAAGUUGUGCAAUUUCAAAUAAAGCGCUUGUUCACAAAAUAAAUUAUCUUACAUGAAACUCAACUAGCAUAUCCUACCAUAUUUGUUAAACAAAAACAUCAAAAAAUCACUUUCGAGAUGUUAAAUUAGUUCAUGAAUUAACUAGUGAGAGCUCUAACAAAAUAUCAAAAUGUAACAAACUUCAUUUAUAUAACAAGAAAAGUUUUGCAUCAAUUUCGGUAAAUCUGUCUUCCAACUUAUCUUCUGAUAUUUUUUCUAACAAUAGAAAAUGAACACACGAGAUAGUGAGCUUAGAGUCUCAAGGUAAGAUCAGGCUUUGACCUAUUGUUAUUAUCUACUAGACUUCCAUCAGCUGCAACCGAGUUAAGAUCAAGACCUGACUCUGUAACAGCCACCACCACUGGAGCUUCAGCUUCCUCCAGGACCUGACGAAAACUCCCCGGCCAGAAUAAUUCACUGCCAUCAUCAUAGUCAAAGAACAAUGGCACAGUGUUACCAAAAUACCCUUGAUGAUGAAACCUUGCAAGAUGAGGAGGAGGCUGAGGCUGGGAUAAGGUGUGGUGAAGUAGACCGGAGUGAGCUUGCAUCCCUAGAGAAGAAGAUGCGUAUGUGUAAGGCCUGUGGUGGUGACCAAACAUUCUUCCCAUGUGCACUGCUCGUUUAGCCAUUGUGCGUUCUCGCUUGUGAGCGUUUUGGUGACCUCCAAGGGCUUGAGAGCUAUAGAACUUGCGUCUGCAAUAGUUACAAGAGAAGACUCUCGGGUUGGAUUGACACUUUGUGCCCUUUUGAUCAUCGUUGAAACUAUCGUUGAGGUUGAGAUCGAGCGAGACAGGGAUGAUAGAUUCUGGUUUGGAUAGAUCUUGAUUUAACGAGGUAUCUCCUUCUCUAGCUGGUAAUUCUCGUGAGGCAUCAUCAGAUUCCGUCAUUUAAUCAAACUCUUUUUAGUCUUAACCUGAAAAAAAAAUCAUAUUAAAGUCAAAAGCAGAUCAAGAAAUUGUUUUAGUCCCUCUAAAUUCACUGUUAAACACAAGAACUAUAUAAAAAGAUAUGGUAAUAAAGUCUUAAACAGAGUUACUAUAUCAGCAAGUUCAGACAAGGAUCAGCAAGUUCGAAGCUUAAAGAAGACCAUCCAAAAUGAAGCUUUUGAGCUUUAACUAUGAGGAGAGAGAGAAUCUAAGACAACAAUUAAGGAUAUGAUUUACAAGAAAAGAUCUGAGAGAGAGAGAAAACAAGGUGGAGACUGGAGAGUACUAUGCUUACGAAAAUUAUGUUGAGAUCUGGGAAGAGACAGCCGACAGAACCUGAAGUGGUUGACUUGGAAGCUUAAGAGAAGUUUGUACUCUUUGAGUUAACCAAAAAUGGGUCAAAUCCAGAUGUAAGGAAAAUAAAAGCCAGAGAGACGAGAUAGGAUUGGUGAAGAAAAGUAGAGAACAAACAAGAGGUACUGAAGAAGAGAGAGAGAGAGAGAGAAUUAUGUCUAAACAAAUAUGGAAAACACAAAUGUUAGAGAGAUGGGCAUGGUCUGGUGGAAACACAUGUGGGAAUCUAAAGUGUCUGCCAGUUAGACCUCUGUUUUUUUGUUUUCAAUAGUUCAACGACCUUUUUUAGGGGGCAUUUAGUAAAAUAGUACUAUAGUUUUUUCCCUAAAUUGAUUAAGUAAAAUACUUUUUCUUACAACAGCCGUAUAGGCGUUGGUAUGCACGUUGAAAGUAUUGUUAUGCGUUCAUCGUAAUGGGUUAUACACUUAUACUACUACCCUAUAGGCAAUCCUUAAACCUUUUAAAAUCCACAAAGAUUUUAUCCAUUUAAAAAUUAAGUUUAUAAUUAUAUUGUUUAGUUCUUGAUAAAAAAAAUUGAUAAAAAAAUAAUUAUAUUGUUUAGUAACAAUUUUUUUUGUUAUUUUUCAUGUUCGUCUCGUUUCGGUUUUUGUAAUUCAGUUUGAUUUUAGUUCGGUUUUUGUUAUAACAAACUUAUUAUUUGGUUCAGUUUAACACCAAUUUGGUUGACAAACAUUUUCUCGACGUAGUAGUUCACAUUCUCAAACAAACCCAUAACAAAGACAGAUUAGUAGCCAUUUACAUAAACAUUUCAAAAACUUGUGGCAAAAUAACACAAAGGGUUUCUUAAAUAAGAGUUUGUCUUGAAAGUGAACAUUACAUUGCAUUAAGGAAUCAACUUUCACAUCUUGCUGUUGUUAAAGUCAACUUUUACCUCUUACAAAAAAAAAGAACAACCUAAUUAUUUUUCAUAAAGUUAAAAGAACCAUUAUAUUUUUCAAUUUUAAUCUCACUCGUCAGAAUUGUUCAGAAAGAUUUUAAUUUGGAUCUUUUCAUGAAUAUUUAAUAAUUGAACUCGAACAGUUAAUUUAAAAAAUAAUGGAGCAGCGCAAGGGAUUUGAUAAUGUCGCACGGAGCCCAUACAUUCAUUCCCCCGGCUUCACCUUUUCCAUUUGACGUCGACAUUUUCUCUGUGUUUUUCUGAAAUUUUACAUGUGAUUCAAAGUCUCUGCUUUUUCUGUUCCUUUUCAUUUAUGUUUUCUUUUCCUUUUCCUAGAAAGGUAAAAUAAAACAUUUCUUUCGAUACUGUGAAGGUUGUUGUUACCAAUAGCUUGUGCGGUAAGAAAACAAUAAGGUGUUUUGUUUCAUUAUACUGCUUUUUUAGUUGAUUUCACCCGUUUCAUUGUGCAAGAUAGGGUAAUUAAACCUUUACUUUAGUUUUUGUUUUAAGCGAAACCUUUAUUUUAGUUAUAUAACCCAACAACCCAUAUUUUCAUUGGAAGACAAUGAAAAUUUGAAUAAUCAGAUUAAUUAUACUAUCUUUAUAAAAAUGACCUAUAAAUCAUUUUAAGACUAAUUUACCUUUUUAGUAGUUUCUUUAAUUUUCUUUGCUAUUAUUUUUUCAUUUCUAUUUUGUAUUACAAAAUGAUGUGUUUUCUUGUAUUUUUUUUUCAUUUCUAUUGGAUCGCCAUUUAGAAAAAACAAAACAUAGUUUUAAAUUAGUUCAUUUUUCAUAUAAGCUUUUAUGGUUUUCUUUGAGUGUUCAGCUGUUCGAUUUUCAUUGAACUUCUGAUGAAGACAAACUCAAACAGUUCACAAGAUAAUAGUUGAGAGUUCUUGUAUUUGUUGAGAUAUGAAUAUUGCAUUAAAAUUUGUGAGUAUAAUGUGAUUUGGGUGAGGACGGUGGUAAAAUAUAAAUUGGCGUAACAAGUUGUAAUGACUCAAUUAAACAAAUAACAAUAAAAUAAAAUAAAAAGUCAUUUAGAUAAUUUUCACGCUAACAUUAUAUAUGUAUAUGUUAAUCGUAAUUUAUAUUAUACCAGUAAAAUAGAUUUUUUAAGAAGGUGUUGGGUCUGUGUGGACCAAAUCAAGUAAAGACAUUUAACAUUUUAUCCCAAAAAUAUCAAGUAAGGCAAAAUCAGUAUUGGAGAUUUUGGAAUAGUGGCAAAACAAAACUAGAUAAGGGUGUCUCCUUAUUUCUUUUGUUUUUAUGCAUUGAGUGAGUGACCAGUGACCAGUGACUAGUGACCAGUGCCCACUUUUAUUUUAAUUUCAACCUCAGACCAUGCGCAUCAGGAGCUCAUGAGGGGGUCGUGGGCUCGAGUUCUUAGGCCCGUUUGAUUUAAAAAAAAGGAAAAAUGGGUUUUAAUCGUUGAACCGGGCCUUACGCUUGAACCCGUAAGAGGCGGGUUCAAGCCACGCGUCGGGCGGUGAGUGGCUUCUCCUUUCCGCGUCGAAGAGGAAGAAAGGAGGGGAUACGCGUGAACCAGUUCAUUUCUCUCAUCAGUGAAAAAAGCUAGGGUUUUUUCUCUCCGAGGCGAUAAUCGACGCCGUGGGUUCUCCGUCGUUAUUUCUCCAUCAAAUCGAUUCCGCUUUCUCUUCUCCACACUCUUAGGUCAGUAUUGUGUAGAUUGACGGUGUGGUAGCGUAGAUUUUAUGUGCGAUAGGGAUUUCCGAUGGGGUGAUUUUAAAUCGAUUUGGGGAUUUUAUUUUUUAGGGUUUUUAAUCGUUAUGGGAGUUCGAUUGAGGGUUCAGUUACUCAUAUUCUUUCUUAAUUAUGUGCUAAUAAUUUGAUUUCUGUCACAGAUGGAUCCGGCAGAGGAGAGAAGACAUUCAAAGAGGCAACAGGAUCACAUAAACAUGCUAGGGUUCGUCAGCGAUUCAGAGUACGGGAUUCCCAAAAGGUGUCCAUGUGGUGGGAGAAUCAUCGAUGAGGUACGCCGGAAGGACGAGUACGACUCUCUUCCGGGGAAGCGGUUCUUCACAUGCAAGAACUACGAGGUUAGUUUGAUCUUAAACGCUUUGAUUAUCGUUUAUGGGUUUGCAAAUUGUAGAGUGUCUGAUAUUUGUUUAUGGUGUAACCAAGGCUGAUGGAUUCCACUAUCGUCAGCCUUGGGUGAUAGGUGUGCAGGAGGAGAUCGAAAGGUUGACUAAGCGGGUGGUGGAGGCUGAAGAAGUGAUGUUGGGGUCGUCGAAUCUCUGUAAACUGAUCGACAGACUGGAGGUUAGUGACAACACAUUUUCAAUACUUGUGUGGUAUGUUUUGCGUGACUAACACUUUUUGUUUGAUGUUUACAUGUCCAGGAUCAGGUUAAAAUGCUCUCUGAGCAGGUAGAUGACCUCACCGUCCAGGUUGCUACGUUGGAGAAGGUCUGCUUCGAAUGAAACCGAAGGUAAGACUGAACCCCACUUUAGAUGUAGUUCGAAAAUGGCUGUUACAAAUUGUUGAUUGGUAUAACCAGUUUAGCUAUUUAAUAAGUUAACUAAAAGUGAUGAAAGCUUAAAUGAUAACUACUACAAUAACUACAACUCCAACUAGAACUCUAACUACAACUUUUAAAAAUCUGUAAUUAAUUUUUUGUUGGUUGUUGGUUGCUGUGAACUCUCAAUAGAUUGUACUUAGGUGUAGUUAAUAUUUUCCAGUGAGUUGAUGUGUAUUCACUGCGGUUUGUGAAGUACUUGUGGUAGGUAGAGUUUGUUUAAUUCUUCUGUUUUAGUUAAUUAUCUCAAAUGAAAGCAAAAACUAGUUUAUAAAACAUAGCAAAUCCACAACUAAAAACACACAAACAUUGAAACAACAAACCAAACCCAAAAGAAAAUGGAUCCUUUCUCCUACAACUCUCCCGGGUUUGUGAACCUUUUAGCAUCGCAGAGCAGUCCCCCACAGGACGUGGACUCUGCUGAGGCAGUUGGUAACUCACCCGGGUUAGUUAAACCUGUAGAAAGAAGAAAGUGGGUUGUCAAAGAAGACCUUGUGCUCAUUAGCGCUUGGUUGAACACGAGCAAGGAUCCCAUAGUCGCUAAUGAGCAGAAGGCAGGGGCGUUUUGGAAGAGGAUAGAGGAGUAUUUUAACUCAAGCCCUCAGCUCAUUGGCGCCGUUCCUAGAGAAUGGAGUCAAUGUAAGCAGAGGUGGGGAAGGGUGAAUGAGCAGGUGUGCAAGUUCGUUGGUUGCCAUGAAGCCGCUUUGAAGGAGCAGACCAGCGGGCAAAAUGAGAAUGAUGUCAUGAAAGCUGCACAUGACAUCUUCUUCAAUGACUUUAAUGUCAAGUUCGCACUUGAACAUUGCUGGAGGGAGCUGAGAUUUGAUCAGAAAUGGAGGUCACACGCGUUGUCGAAAGUUGGUGGAAAGGAGAAGAGGAAGGAAGCAUGUCCGGAGGUGGUGGGUGACGAUGAAGAGGUGAGGCCUCCUGGUGUAAAGGCGAGCAAAGCAGCCAAGCGCAAGAAACACGGGAAUGAAGCAGCUUAUGAUCAAAUAGAAACCAUGCUAGCUGUGAAAAAUAACAUUUCUAAACAAAAGAUCCUUGAUCGUCUCAUUGGCAAAAAUGAGGAGACUCUUUCUGAUCAAGAAAAAUCCCUUAAGUAUAAACUAAUUGGUGAAAUGCUUUGAGUUGGUUAGUGCCUUGUAUUGGUGCUUUGUUUACGUUGCUUAGCUUAACUUGAAUCGAUGCUUAAAAUGAAAUAUUGAUUGGGUUUUAUUUUCUUUCGCAGGUCAGAGAGUGCAGGUCACGGGUUGGAGUGAAGGUGUUGGAGUUGAUCAGUCGGUAAAGUUUGAAGCCUAGUUUUUUUUUUUAAUGUUGCGGGUAGUUGGACUGUAGUCCAUCUUUGGUCACGGGAAAGUGUAGUGUUUUGUUUCUUGCUACACUUUUUUCAUUCACGGAUUGACUUAGUAUGUUUUGUGUCAGUCACAACUUGAUUCACGGAUUAUGUAUUAUCGUUUCAAACUCUCUAUAUAUGUUUGCAUUGUAUCAUUAUAUGAAAUAGCACUUCUCUCACUUAUUACUCUCUAUCAAGUUGAUUCUCUUAUAGCACUUCUCUUUGUAUUGACUGAGAUAAGAAUGUUUAGUUGUAAAUGGUAAAAAGUCGAGAUCAUUCAACUGAUUCCCAUUUAGUACCAGUUCAGAAGGAUUCAUCUACAAUUUGAAGGCUGAAAGCAAGCCGACACAUUCAAGUGAUUCCCAUCUCGCUGCAAGCCGACACAUUCAAGUGAUUCCCAUCUCACAACCGGAGACACACACAAAGAUCCCCAACAAGGUAUAAUAUACAACUUAGUAAAGAAAACAUUAAAGAUUAUGAAAAUAAAAGAUUAUGAAAAUAAAAGAUUAUAGAGUAAUAAUGAUAGAGUAAUGUAUAAAAUAGAUUAUAGAGUAAUAAUGCUAGAGUAAUGUAUUAAAAAAAAUCUAAUGUUAUGACAACUUUUAUACAAUAAAGUCUAAGAUUAUUCACAUAAAAGAUGAUAGAGUAAUGCUAAAAAAAAAGAAAAAAUAGAAUAUGAAAAAAAAUAAAAGAUUAUGUAAUAAAAAUAUAAUUAUGACAAUUAUUAAGACAACUUUUAUAUAAUUAUGAUGAAAGAGUAUUUUUAAAAUAUAGAUUUUGAAAAUAAUUUAUAUAAUUAUGACAACUUUUAUUAUUAAUAAGAAAACUUUUGUCAUGUUAGGAAAAUAAACACCAAUGUCUUCCUCAUCAAGUGAUGAAGUUGAUGAAGCUUUAGAAGAAAUGGUCGACCAAGUAGUUGAUAAUUUCUUCGACUCAGUGAUUCAUGCUCAUCCCAACAAGCCGACGAGAAGAGCUUAUAUCGAAAGACAUCGGGAACAAGGACACAAUCAACUAUGGAACGAUUAUUUCACGGAAAAUCCUACAUACCCACCGGAAAUGUUUAGGAGGCGUUUUCGAAUGAACAAGCCAUUGUUCCUUCGCAUUGUCGAACGUCUAACUAAUGAAGUUCCAUACUUUCAGCAAAGACGAAAUGCUUGCGGAAGGAACGGGCUUUCUGCACUUCAAAAGUGUACGGCAGCUAUACGUAUGCUGGCAUAUGGUCAAUCGGGAGAUACAUAUGACGAAUAUCUCCGACUUGGUGACAGUACAUCACGUUUAUGUUUAGAAAAUUUCACUAAUGCAAUAAUUGAUUUGUUUGGAGAUGAGUAUCUACGAAGCCCUACACCUGAGGAUCUUCAACGAUUACUCGAUGUCGGAGAGGUACGCGGGUUUCCAGGGAUGAUAGGCAGCAUCGACUGUAUGCAUUGGGAGUGGAAAAACUGCCCAACAGCUUGGAAAGGUCAGUACACACGUGGUUCAGGAAAGCCGACAAUUGUCUUAGAAGCCGUGGCAUCACAGGAUCUUUGGAUAUGGCACGCUUUUUUCGGAUUACCAGGUACCCUCAACGAUAUCAAUGUUCUUGAUCGGUCACCAGUUUUUGAUGACAUCUUACAAGGUCGAGCACCUAAAGUGAAGUUCAAGGUCAACAACCACACUUAUCGUAUGGCCUACUACCUUACGGACGGAAUUUAUCCAAAAUGGGCAACAUUUAUCCAAUCCAUCCCACUUCCUCAAGGUCCUAAAGCUGAGCUAUUUGCUGAACGUCAAGAAUCCACCAGAAAAGAUGUCGAACGGGCUUUUGGAGUAUUGCAAUCGAGGUUUGCAAUUGUUAAAAACCCAGCUCUACUAUGGGACAAGGAAAAGAUAGGAAAGAUUAUGAGAACUUGUGUCAUAUUGCACAAUAUGAUAGUAGAGAACGAACGACACGGAUACGCUCAAAUUGAUACAUCUGAGUUCGAGUCAGGAGAGUCAAGCAGAAGUUCGAGGGUGCAACGGAGAGAAAGUAUUCAUGGCGGUGAUAUGUUAGGCAUUCGCAGAGAAGUCCGAGAUAAAGAGAAGCAUGAUCGUUUGAAAGCGGAUUUAAUGGAAAAUAUAUGGCAAAAGUUUGGUAAUGAAGAUUAAUAAUGUUUUUAUGUUCUUCUAUUUCUCAAUUUAUGUAAUCUACUCUUAUGUAUUGAAUAAAAAGUUUUAAAAUAUUUAUAAUAUAUUUUAAUAUUUUAUUUAUGUAUUCUCAAUAAUUUGAAAUUUUCUUUUUUUUUAUUUAUAUUAUUAUUUUAUUCCUAUGAACUCCUUCUUCGGGUUCACUAAUGCAGAAAACAACAAAUACAGGUUCAUAACUAUUUAUGGCCCCACAAUAAAAUAUUAAAAAAAUUGGGUGAACCCCAAAGGGGGUUCACCAAUGCUCAUGCUCUCAACAUGUUUUCGGAAGGCCCACUUCAAUUCAUUAGCUUUUAUAUUCGUCCACUACCUUAGUUGCUUUCCAGUCAUACUUCACAAAUAAUUGUUCCAUCGUUUCUAUAUCGCUGGUAAUAAAAAAAAUAUGAUGUGUCACCAUCUUUAAUAAGUCUGAUCGGGUUAAGAAAUUUGAGAUAGUUCAGACUAUUCUUUACAAAGUCGAGUACUUUUGACUUUUGAGCUUCCAAUGGAUCAUUCGCGCACACCCGUUAAACUUUAGUCUCCACAGUUUGAAGAAUCUAUUCUGCAUUGCCUGCUGAUUAAUAUAUUCAAGAAACUGUGUAGCGGUUGUAUGAGAUAAGGUAAAGUAUAUAUAUGCACGACAUCCAUGUCCCCUCAUCUCAAUUAGUAAGGAUCAUCGAACAGUUUAAAUCAGGCUAGGUUACUUGUAUAUAUUACCAGGCUACCACGCAAGAAAGUUACAUACAAAAUCUUAUACUGCAAAAUGGAGUAAUGAGUUUUUUGUUUGGUCGUCACUCUAUUUUCCACUCUAUUUUGCAGUAAAUUAUGGAAAGGGGUUAAAAAUGCUAUAACAAUAUUGUAUCUAUUGAAUUUUGAUGCUAUGAAAUAUUUUUCUCCAUUACUUUAGUUUUAAUUUCUUUUAUCUUUGUUAUUUGAGGAUUUAUUUCUACCAUCUCCGUACAUUUUUUACUCACUUCUUUAUAAUUGUAACUUGACUUAUAAGUAAUUUGGGUUGGCUCUAUUUUCUAAAAUUUUGGUUUGCUAAUUCUGUAUUAAAAUUACUGAGCUAAUACACAAAUUAACUUUAAACAUUUUUUACCAAAUAAUAAGUCAGCGCUACUGUCAUUGUUUAUGUUUGGUAAUUUUCUUUAUUCCUCAAGUUAAAUUUGCAAAAAUAUCUGCUCUUACCAAAACUAUGAAAAAAAGACAAUGGUAAUUUGCGAUGGUACUCUUUCAGAACAAUGGUAAGAACAAUAACAUUAUAAAUUUGCGAUAUUAAUUUAGUGAUGAGCUAACAUUAUAGUUAAUUUUGUAAUUUACCAAAUGUUGAAUUAUAGUAUUAAAAUAUUUUAGAUUAUGGAAAUAUUAAACAAUUCAACCAGUUAAAUGUUCACUCUCCUCAUCAGCUUAUAUAUAAUUUCCAAUAACAAAAAAGAAUGGAUAUUAAAAUUUUUGAAAUUUGUAAAAGAAAUCAAUGAAUAAUUUAAACUAAUACUAUAAUUGUUUAGCUACUUAUAUAUUUUAUAAUAUAUUAUAAUAUUUAUAUAUUAAAAUUAACAUAAUUAAAACUAAAUUCUAAACAAUAACCCCGGGCGUAGGAAUAUUUCAGAUAACUGUAUCAUACGCUAAUUACAUGCUAGAUAAUAUAUUAUAUCACGUUAUGGAGCAACAACCUGAACAAGCCCUAAUCAUCAAAAAUUUGUGGACUCGAUGGAUGAUCACUAAGCCCAUGGGCCGGUUCACAAUUAGAAAACGUCCUUGCGCUAAACCGAACCCGGUUCGUAAGUAAAAUGCACACGAUAUUAAUGGUUAUUCAAUUUUGCGUUUAGCUGAAACAAAACAUAGCCAAACACCGUCAUCGUCUUCAAUCUCACUUCGCAUCGAAUCAGACGAUCUCUCCAAAACCCUAAUUCAUCUUCUCCGAUCAAUUGUUCGUUCCCUUGCUCUUCCCGAUACCAGGAAUGCUUAUUUCCAUCCGCCAAUCGGAUUCUCCAGCAGUCUAAACGCUAUUGUCUUCGUCUUCUAGGGUUUCGAAUCGGGGAGUGAAGGAUACAACAAGAGAGGGUCAAAGAUGUCUCUUCCGCUACUUGAGUGUAAGUACGUGACGGAGGAGUUCGUUCGCGAAGGGAAGAGUGGCAGCUACGGUUCCAAGUUGCCCAGCUCGGUACCGAUGCUUCGUUUCCUAUACGAGCUUUGUUGGGUUUUGGUAUAUACACGCUCACACACAAACCUUCUCUUCCUGUUAAUCCAAUCUAUGCGUAUGUGUUCGAGUUGCUGAAGGUGCGUCGUAAUGGGUUUAUCAGGUUCGUGGCGAGUUGCCGAUUCAGAGCUGUAAGGCUGUGUUGGAGAAGGUGAAGUUUUUGGAUGAUCCGUCGAAGGAAGAGUUAGCUUCUUGUUUUGCGGAUGUUGUGACUCAGAUAGCUCAAGAUGUAGGCUUUUCCUAUACUUUAUUAGUAGAUCUUAAAGUUUCGACCUUUUUUUUUUGUUUUCAAUUGAUUGUACUGAUCGUUGGAUUGUUUGCUUUGUGCUCUCUUUGGUUGGAUUUGCAGCUUACUAUGUCGGGGGAUCACCGUUCUCGCCUAACAAAAUUGGUCAGUACUUGUACCUUCUAGUUACUGGUUCUGGUUUUGCCUUGUUAGUCUUGGUUAUGAAGCAUGAACAAGAAUUUACUGGCACAAAUCAUGUGAUAGCAUUCUAUGCUAGUAAUUAGAGCAUGUGUUGUUUUGCUAUCAGUAGUGUUCUAAGGUUCAGCUAGCUGUAUGCUCAUUUUGGGCGGGUUGCAAGAAGGAGCCUUAUACUUGAUCCUUAUCGUAAAAGGUUCCUUAAGCCUAAAGAGUUGAAACUUUGACCGUAUUGCCUUCAAUUCUUAGUGCAGUUUCGUCUAGACUUUACAUUGUAUGUUUGAUCAAAACUUCUUGAAGCUGCUUACUUGGGGGUUAUUAGCAUUCGUGGUGUUUUGGUAGUUUUGAUUAUUACGUACUUUAGUCGCUUCGUUAAAAUAUUCUCAUUUACCAUCGCCUCAAGUUUUUUUAUGCUCACAGCUAAAUUUAGUUGUUUUCUUUUGUAGGCAAAAUGGCUUGUGGAAUCACAGACAGUUCCUCAAAGGAUUUUCCAAGAGCGUUGUGAGGUAAACAUUAGGUGACAUCCAGCCAAUUAAUGAUCCCUCUUCUCACCAUUCUCUCUAUUUUCUUGGUUAGUAAGAAAGUAAGUCUUACGAAGAAGCUGAUGAUUGAUUUCUUUAUUUUUUAUUAGGAGGAGUUUUUAUGGGAAGCUGAAAUGGUUAAAAUUAAAGCCCAAGAUUUGAAGGGGAAAGAGGUGAGGUUUCACACUUCUGUAACUACUGUAUUAUUGUGACAUACAAAUAUGCUGUAGGGACAACGGUAAUUUGAUAAUGAUAUUAUCUCGUUUAAUAGUAAAUACAAAUGUACUGCAGUCUGAUUUGUGUAAUAGUUUGUUUGAGUGAGUUCCUUUUGCGGUAGAUUUAUCUCUUAAAGAGUUUCUCCUCUACCAUUGUAACUACAGAUCAUUGCUUAUAACUCACAUUUCUGGCUUGUGCUACUCAGGUGCGAUUAAACACUCGUCUUCUGUACCAGCAGACAAAGUUCAACUUACUCCGUGAAGAAAGCGAGGGAUAUGCCAAAUUGGUUAGUGACGAUCUCCGGCUUUUAUCUGUUGUCAUUCUUUCUGUCCACUUCUUUUCUAUGCUCUGUUGUUAGAUACAUCUUCGCUCUUUACUGCCUUCUCUGUGAGAUCCACCUUAGAAAUGCUCGUCUUUAGUUUUUGGAUGCGAUGAUCUCUUCAACGAUACUGAUUUGGCCUUUACUUUUCACACGGUUCCAAUUGGAAGGAAAAUCUUCUACUAGUUUAAUUAUAGUUUUGCAGAGUAACUAACAUAUAUGUCAGCAGGGUUUCUUUUGUUUUUUGGAGUUUAAUUGAAGCAGAUUGUCAGUACUACAACUUCAUUAAAUAGAUUCUUUGGGGAGUGCAGAUUACCCUUUUAUGCCGAGGAUCUGCAGGUUCUUCGCAUAAUGCAUCAGCAGCAACCAUGGGAAUUAUCAAGGUUUUACUUCUGCCGAUACGUUAUGUUUCACAUACGUAUUCCAUUUAUCUUUUCUGAACUAAAAUAUUUAUUUGCAGUCAUUAAUUGGGCAUUUUGACCUUGAUCCGAACCGUGUUUUCGACAUUGUAAGUUAUUCUGUCGCGUUCAUCUUUUUGUUUGAUAUCAGAGAGUGCAUCCCUUUGUCCUUCCCUAUUAUGUAUAUUCCCUUUGUUUUGACGAAUAGGUGUUGGAUUGCUUUGAACUUGAACAAGAUUACGACACGUUUCUCAAUCUAAUUCCUAUCUUUCCCAAGGUUUGGAAUGUCUCCUCGUGUUGUCAUAUUUUACCACUUAGCCUGAGAGACUAUUUUUGUGCUAAACCCAAUCUCUUUGAUAUGCAGUCUCAUGCUUCACAAAUUCUUGGAUUUAAAUUUCAAUACUAUCAGAGAUUGGAGGUGAAUAGCCCAGUUCCAUCUGGGCUCUAUAAGCUUACGGCCUUGCUAGUAAAGAAGAAUUUCAUCAGUCUUGAAAGCAUGUUAGUAAUUUUCCUUCAUCUGUUUUUCCCUUUCUUUUCUUACAUUCUAGGUCCUUAGGAGCCACUGGGGAAUUUUCAGUCGACCUUAUAUGUUGCCUUAAGGAAAUAAACUGGUUUUAUCCCUUUUCUGCAGAUGAUACCUUUGUAAUAUCCUUUUGAAUUGGAUACUUGUACUGUUGUACAUAACGAUUGCCUUUCUUUUCAUUGUGUUAGCAUAAGGAUAUAUAAGUUGGAAUCUAAAUGAAAGAUUUUUCUUCAUUAUGUAUUUUUAGCUAGUUGGUCGCUAUGUCUCUUAAGCUUGUUUCUUGAUGCAAUCUGAUAGGAAAUUGGUGGGGUUUUGAUUGUCAAAACUUAGUUUGGCUGCUCUAAGAUACUUACUUCGAGAUUGCUCUUGGGGAUGACUACCUAGUAGAUGAUUUAUUAUCUUGCAAGUGAUUCAUUCAAAUCAAUAUCUUGUUUUACCAGUGCACUGAUUCGGUGAUCACGAGUUUGCUACAUUUCCUUGUGUUAAUAACAAGUGAAGCUAUACUCCGUAUGUUCUGAUGUUGUUUUCCAAUUGUUGAAAACAGAUAUGCACAUCUGCUACCUAAGGACGAAGAAGUUUUUGAGGAUUAUAAUACUUAUUCUGCAAAGCGUUUUGAAGAGGUACGAUUCAAAUUGUUGUCUUCCUUUAAGAAGUUCGUAGAUGCAUGUGUAUAGAUGUUUUAAGAUAGUUUUGUUCUGGUCCAGCGUAAGUUGUCUCUAUGUUUCUUCUGAAUUAAUACAUUUUUCUCUCUUAAGACAAACGAAAAAACUUGUUUCCACUGCACAUACGAUGGUCUGCUCAUCUUGCCCAGAUUUUAAUUAAUACUUACAUACUAAGCAGUUGUCCAUUUUCCUGGAAGCCAGCCAAUUAUUUGUUGUUUUCGAAGCCUUUCUUUCGCAUGUUUAUUGACGAGUUGUCAUAUUUUACAAAUUUUUCCUUUCCUACAGGCCAAUAAUAUUGGAAAGAUAAAUCUUGCUGCUACUGGGAAGGAUCUUAUGGAGGAUGAGAAGCAAGGAGAUUUCAAAGUUGAUCUCUAUGCUGCUUUAGACAUGGAAACUGAAGCUGUUGCUGAGCGAAUACCAGAGCUUGAAAAUAAUCAGACUCUGGGCCUCCUUGAUGGUUUCCUCUCUGUGGACGACUGGUAUUCCUCUUGAUUUAUAUUAAAAAAAUUGAACUCUUCUGAAAGCUUUGCCAUCCCCAUUUUCAUUUCUUUUUUAUAACAAAUCCACUAUCAUCAAAGCAGCUUGUUUAGUUACACCGCCUUGAACUAUUGCAUGUGAAGUUUCAAAUUAUACUUCUUCAAAGCUACUAAUCUUAUUUAUAACUAAGGCCAUAGUACUUACUCUUCCCUUUCUGUUCAACCGAAGUGAAAGCUCCUAUUUUUUUGUUAACAAUUUACUUUUCAGGAAACAUGCCAAUAUCAUGUUCGAGCGUCUUGCGCCUCUUAAUCCGGUGGCUCACAAUCAUAUAUGUGAUGGCUUGUUUAGGUUAGUGAGUGAGCUCAGCUAUUUUUUCCUCAGAUGUAUAGCUGCUUUGUUGCUUUUCAUUGUUCACUCCAGCUCUAUGUAUCACCUAAGUAGUACAGCAGCUCUGGCCACUAAUUUAUGAUGAAAACAAUGAUAUUUUUGCUCUAUGUUUCAGGCUUAUAGAGAAGAGAAUCACUCAUGCUUAUCGCAUUGCCCGUCAGACACGUUUUCAAAAUUCUUCUUCUGCGAGUUCAGAAAAGAUUGCCCACGCUGCUAAUACAAGUGCCAGUAAAACUUGUCCAGAUCUUAAAGAAGUGUUUCAGAUACUUGUUACAGUUGGACCCUACUUGUACCGUAAUACACAACUGCUGCAGAAGGUGCACUGGCCUUUAAAUUUCUGAUUAUACAAAAGAUUGAAGAUUGAAGCUGAUACAUGUUUACCAUUGUGGCAGAUUUGUAGACUAUUAAGGGUUUACUACUUGUCGUCCUUAGAUCUUGUUCGCAGUAGUGAUGGGUCAUCAAAUCAAGAAGGUAGUGCAGAUGAAAUCAAGCACCUGAAGGAAGCUAGGUUUAGAGUGGAAGAAGCCCUUGGAACAUGCCUUCUGCCAUCGUUACAGUUAAUACCUGCAAAUCCAGCAGUUGGUCAUGAGAUUUGGGAAGUGAUGAGUCUCCUUCCAUAUGAGGUUAACUUGCUUCUGUUUCUUAUCCAAAUAGUUUUUCUUCUGUAGAACGUGAUGGUUUAUCCAGCUGCUUAAUUUUGUGUUUAGGCUCGUUAUCGCUUAUAUGGUGAGUGGGAAAAGGACGAUGAGCGGAAUCCUUUGCUGUUGGCAGCAAGGCAAGUGGCUAAGGUAUUGCGCAGUAUAACUUCUUCGACCUUUUAUCCUUAUAUUAUACAGCUGGAAAUAUACAUCUUCAGACCCUCAUGAGCUAUUCUCGUAUGUCAGUUGGACACUAGAUGGAUUCUGAAACGGCUUGCAAAAGAAAAUUUGAAGCCGUUAGGAAGGAUGGUGGCAAAACUUGCGCAUGCCAAUCCCAUGACGGUGCUUCGGACAAUUGUGACUCAGGUGUCAAUCUACCGCAAAAUUUGGUUUUGCUGCUAUUUUUGUAGUCAAAGUUGUUCAGACGGCUAACUGUUAGGUUCUUGUUGCAACAGAUUGAAGCAUACAGAGAUAUGAUUGCUCCUGUUGUAGACGCCUUCAAGUACUUGACACAGGUCAGUACCGCCUUAUGCCUCUUGUUUGUAUGCUAUGCCGUUGUUGACCUUAUACCCUUACACACCUAGGUUUUCCUACACAUGCUUUAUGAAUAAAAAGUAUAACGGAUGGUCUUUUUGCCAGUGUCUUGUUUCAGAGUGCAAAGUAAAUUUAUUUUCAUACGAGUCAGUGUGAUUUGGCUUUGCAGGUUUAGUGUUGCAUUGUAGUCAUUCGUUCUAGCAUUCAUUCGGUUAGGUUUAGAAUGUCGGAAAUGGGGUAUGUUGGUUUGGCGGAUACCCAAACAUGAGCUUCUGAAGAAGGCUUCAAUGAAGUGAAAUAUUACAUUGUAAACCCAUUGUAAAUUGGGAUGCAGUCAGAUGGAUCCUAAUAUUUUCUUUCAGAGACCCUUAAUUUAAUGUUCUAGUACAUUUAGGGAGUUUGUCAGCUUUCAUUUCUAAGUUAUUGUUGAUAUUGAGAAGCUUCUGAUGCUUUCCAAAUUCUUCCUGAUACACAGCUCGAGUAUGAUAUCCUGGAAUAUGUCGUGAUUGAGAGACUGGUGCAAGGCGGACGAGCUAAACUCAAAGAUGACGGGAUUAAUUUAUCAGACUGGCUUCAAUCUUUGGCUUCAUUUUGGGGUCACCUGUAUGUGUUUUUCUUAGAAUGCAUUGAUACAUGCUAGAAUAGUUUCAUUACAUUUUCAGAGUGAACUGAUUGCUAAGGGCGUUUUUUUCUUUGUGAUUGCGUAGUCUAGGCAUAUUUGCAUUUAUGCCCAGGAUAGAAAAGCACGUUCUGUACGAGUGCUAACCUCUAGAAGUUGACGAGUACCUUAUAUGUGACAUGAUCUAUACUAGUUUGCCUGAUAGGAUGAAGAUUGCUUAUACUAAUUUUUUAUGUGUUCAUCGUGUUAGUUUCUCCAUGAGUUUCUUCUCCUAAGUGGUUUAUCUUUUUCUCAAUUCCAUUAGAAUAUUGCCAUUUCGCCAAAAUUUUAUCUGCAUGAUGCAUAUAUAGUAGUUUCAUUCAUAAAGUAAUAAAAGCUGUAAAUGCCAUCAUUUUGGAGUAUUUCGAUAAACAACAUCAUACUAUACAGGUGUAAGAAGUAUCCAUCAAUGGAGUUAAGGGGUCUUUUCCAGUAUCUCGUUAACCAGUUAAAGAGAGGCCAAGGGAUUGAGCUUGUUCUUCUCCAGGUUGGUUUGUAUUCCUCAUAUUCUUAUGAUCCAACUUGUUCAAACUAAUGGUGGUUGCCUGUCAUUUGACAAUGAUUUGUAGGAACUGAUCCAGCAGAUGGCAAAUGUACAAUACACUGAGAAUCUUACUGAAGAUCAGUUGGAUGCCAUGGCAGGAAGUGAGACAUUACGUUAUCACGCAACAUCCUUUGGCAUGACACGGAACAACAAGGUUUGUCUUUAUAGAUCCCCAGAAACUUAAAAUAAUAUCUUAUUAAAUCUUGAGAGGAGCCAACCUUUGUUCUUCCAUAAGUGCAUGUAUUUGUUAAAUGUUGUUAGAGAAAAUUGGCGAUGUUGUUAGCUUGAAACUUAGGUUCUUUUUUUUUCCAAGUAAUCUGAAUGAAACAUUAUUGAUUUGGUUGUAUUCAAGUUUGAUCCCCUACAUUUUUGUUUUAGCUCAUCGUUUGCAGCUGCAUAUAUUCCGACACUGUUUUGUCACUUGUCUAUGCGUUCACAUGCAUACAUGUCUGCAAGGUUGUGACAAAGUUAUUUAUCUAAAGUCUUUCAUUUAGAUGCAUUUCAUUCAAAACCUCUUUUAUACUUCUAUAGAUGCUAGGUUCCGUAGAGAAAAAAACAUAUGAGCUUGCGACAGUGCCAUUAGUAUAAAUAUGCUUUAUUUGUUUAUUUAAUGCAUGUCUUCCUGGUUUUUGCAGGCACUUGUCAAAUCAUCCAACCGUCUACGAGAUUCGUUACUUCCAAAUGAUGAACCAAAGCUAGCUAUCCCCCUUUUGUUACUUAUCGCCCAGCAUCGUUCUCUGUAAGUUGAUAAAUCUGACUGCGCAAAAUUGUUUGCAUGGAGCACUAGUCUUAAUUGUUCUACAACAUAUACCUUGAAACUAAAAUAGACACGGAGAGAAAAAUGCCCUAUUAAUAGGUGUCUAAAUCUACAUAUCGACAUUGUAGAUUUUAUAUUUGGUCUGACCACGGACGAUGUUCAUAUCUCUAAAUCGAGUAUAUUCAUCUAGUCAACAAACUAUGAUUUUCUAGAUUUAUGUUGUAAUUGUUAUUAUAACGUAAACUACUUUAUAUGCAGGGUUGUGGUAAAUGCGGAUGCACCCUACAUUAAGAUGGUCACUGAACAGUUCGACAGAUGUCAUGGAAUUCUCCUCCAAUACGUGGACUUUCUUUCUAGCGCUGUUACUCCUGCUACUGCUUAUGCUCAGCUCGUACCUUCGCUUGAAGAGCUUGUUCAUACAUACCAUCUUGAGCCAGAGGUCUUUCGAUCUUCCUUUCCUUUGUCCCUUGUUCUUUACCCUUGUGUUAUUGCACUCUUUAACAAUAUGAAUUUCGUCACUUUUCGCAUGUCUUUCUGGUCUACAUUGUUAGGAAUUAUUAUCUUAAUUUUGCGAUUACUUCACUUUGCUAUUAUUGCUUUGCAUUAGCCCAAACUUAUGUUUUGAAUCCCCUGCCAGGUCGCUUUUUUGGUAUUUCGACCUGUGAUGAGGCUCUUCAAAUGUCGACGGAAUGGUGAUGUUUCAUGGCCUUUGGACAGUGGGGAAUCUAUUGAUGCAGAUUCCGAUGUAUCAAAAUCUGAGAGUUCCAUGAUUCUUGAUGUCGGCACAUCUGAAAAAGCUGUAACGUAAUAUUUCAACUCAAAACUUUAGUAUAUUUGGUCGCAGCAACAUUGUGGACGUGAUGUUUAUUUAAAGUGUCAAGUAGUCUUUUUCUGAAGAUUUGAUGUGUGAUAAGAAUCUAUUAUUUAAUUGAAUUACACCUAGAUGCUGAUCUAUUGGACUUUCUCUUGUGUUAAUAUGUUUGCAGGUGGUCUGAUGUUCUUGAUACAGUAAGAACAAUGCUGCCUUCGAAAGCUUGGAAUAGUCUGUCGCCAGACCUCUACGCUACAUUUUGGGGGCUUACUCUGUAUGAUCUCCAUGUUCCCAGAAGUCGUUAUGAGUCUGAGAUAUCUAAACAACAUACUGCCCUUAAGACUCUUGAAGAGGUUGCUGAUAAUUCUAGCUCAGCAAUUACGAAGAGAAAAAAAGAGAAGGAAAGGAUUCAAGAAUCUCUUGAUCGUCUAACCGGUGAACUGAAAAAGCACGAAGAACAUGUUGCCUCUGUCCGUAGAAGGCUUUCACGUGAAAAGGAUAAAUGGUUGAGCUCCUGUCCUGAUACUUUGAAGAUCAAUAUGGAGUUCCUGCAACGUUGUAUUUUCCCUCGUUGCACAUUUAGCAUGGCAGAUUCUGUGUACUGUGCUAUGUUUGUACAUAUGCUCCACUCUCUUGGAACACCCUAUUUUAACACAGUCAACCACAUUGAUGUACUGAUAUGUAAAACGCUACAACCGAUGAUCUGCUGCUGCACUGAAUACGAGGUUGGAAGACUUGGGAGGUUUUUAUUCGAGACCUUGAAGAUUGCAUACCACUGGAAGGUAACUCUCCAAAUUUUAUUUUAAUUAGACGAUGAAGUAUAGAAUUGGGUUAUUUCUUGACCUAGUUUCUAAUGCUGGUGUUGUCGCGUAUAUUUUCUCAGAGCGCAGAAUCAAUCUAUGAAAGUGAGUGCGGAAACAUGCCUGGGUUUGCUGUUUAUUAUAGAUACCCGAACAGCCAGCGUGUCACAUUUGGACAAUUUGUGAAGGUUAGAAAUUCUGAUCCUUGACUUCUGUAAUAUGUAUAAAAUCUAACGAUCUCAAGUUUGAGGAGGGUAUAAUCUCUUUAGCUGUUGAGUAUCCUUGUUCAUUAUUAUGUAGUGUUCUUUAUUAUGGUCAGCCGAAAGUAGAAGGGCAGUUUUAUACGUUCUCUGGAAGUAUUAAGGGCUAACGUAAAGAUCUUCCAAUAGCUGAGACGUUAUCGCAUAGAAAUUUUGAAUCGUUGACAAGAUAAAACGGACAGAUCAGGAAAAUCAAGGCUAUGAUGACACUAUAACUAUUAUUUGCUAUAUUUAAGACUCGAGAAUAGAUUUUAUACUGUUUCAACUAAAGGGUUGUUUUAAUAUCAGCUGGGUGUUCUUACCUUUUUUAUUUUUGAUUUGUUGAACUAAUGGCAUGACGCGUAGAAAAAGCAAUUAAAUAUAUUUUAUAUGAUGUGACUGCAUUGCAUCUAUUCAGCGAUGAUUUUGAUAUAUUUAGUUUCAUCUUUGGAUAUGUUUUCCCUAUAUAUUUCUACUAUUUAGCUGUCACGUGUUAUGCUUUAAUUACUAGUAGCAAUAUCAUGUUUCUUACGUGUGUUUAUGGCUGUUUCAUCUGUUGAUGUCUCUGAAGGUACAUUGGAAAUGGUGUGCAAAAAUCACAAAGCUUUUGAUCCAAUGUCUGGAGUCAAAUGAGUACAUGGAGAUUCGUAAUGCGCUAAUAAUGCUAACAAAAAUAUCUGGUGUUUUCCCAGUUACUCGGAAAACUGGAUAUAAUAUCGAGAAACGGGCAAGUACCUAUUUACUAGCCAGUCUUAUGAAUAUGAUUUAAGUUGGUCUUAUGUGUACAGCUAUUGUUUUCAUGUGUUGUUCUUUGUGAGAAGAUUAAUGUUUCCGUUCUUUGUUGAUCUUGUCUCACAGGUAGCGAAAAUUAAAAAUGAUGAGCGAGAGGACCUUAAGGUCUUGGCAACUGGUGUUGCCGCUGCUCUAUCUGCAAGAAAAGUGAGUGCUAACCACAACAAUUUUUUAUAGUGUUUUUUGCAAUUUUCACUGAAUGUGGAUUAUUUGCAGUCAUCAUGGGUUACUGACGAAGAAUUUGGCAUGGGUUACCUUGAACUAAAGGCUCCGCCAGUACAUACUCCUAAACAUACUCCUUCCCAGAAUGGCUUGGUAGGUGGUGAAUCAACUGGGGGAAGAUCUACUGCUAACCAGCAGCCUGAGUUUGGCGGCAAGGAUCAGUUGUCAAAAACUAAAAUACCAGAUGGAAGAACGGAAAAUAUGCCUUCAAAAUCUGAUCAAGGACAUCCAAAAUCAAAGGGAGGCAAUCCAUCGGAUGCCCAACCAUCUAUGUCUAAGAAACCAGUGGACCAAAAGGAAACAGAUGAAUCACCCAGGAUAUCUGAUGAGAAUCCUGUCAAAGCUGGUUCAAAGUACUCUGAAGCCGAGGUAUCAUCAUGUUCCCUGCUCUUUUAUUUAUUUAAGUUAGCAACUCCUGCUUUACUUAUAACUCCCAAAGUUGUCACUGGCACUACACAGAAUUUAUAUAAGAUAUUUAUCCUGCCCCUUCUACUUAUUUGACAGCUCCAUUUCUAAAAGACUGUUUUAGGAAAGUGAUGAUUAGGUAUUGUAUUUGGGAUAACCUAUCCCCUUACGUGGGCUCUUGGUUGUGAGUGAAAACUCUUAAGGUCAAUUGAUUUAAUCCCAAGAUAGUGCAGUAUACUAUAAUCUUAUAUUCUUCAUCUUCACCCCAACCUAUCCCCACCCUUUUUAUGUUGGAAGUUGCCAUCGCUACAAUAUUUCAGCUAAUCAACAUUUCAGGCUUCAAUUCUAUAUCAUGCUUAAUUUAUUUUUUGGUUGGCAGUUAAAACCUUCUUCUAAACGAGGUGCAUCGGCUACGUCGACGAACAAAUCAACAAAGCAAGAUUUUGGAAAAGAUGAUGGAAAGUCCGGUAAAGCUGCUGGAAGAACAUCCGCAGCUGAUAACGAUGUUAUUUAUCUGGGGAGCAGGCAAGCAAGUUUGACCAAAGCUUCUCCCAGCACAGCAGGCAAUGGUAGCUUAGCUACUGGUUCGUCCAAAGGUUUGAUCUCACCCACAAAAUCAUCAGACGUUCAUUGAAGCUAGUGAAAAACUGGGCGGACUUGUCAGGUAUCCUAACUUUAAUCUCUGAUGCAGUGAAAGAUGAUGGUGCUGAAGCUACAGAUACUCAAAAGCAAUCUACUCGGACUGCUCAUUCCCCUAGGCAUGAAAUUAGCACUUCUUCGAGGUCGAGUGAUAGGUUACAGAAACGAGCUAAUGCUGUUGAAGAUAGUGACAGAACAAGUAAACGCCGUAAAGCAGACUCUGAGCACAAAGAGCAUGACAGUGAGGCUCGCCCGAGUGAUAGAGACAGAUCAGCAGAGGCUAGGGUGGAUUUAAACAAAACACCCAGUGAUGACCAAAGCACCCAGAGAGAUCAAGACAGGGCAAAGGAUAAGGGUAAUGAAAGACAGGACCGAGACCACAGAGAAAGAGUCGAGCGUUCUGAUAAAACUCGUGCAGAUGAUGCGGUAAAAGCACGAGACAAAUCCAUGGAACGUUAUGGCAGAGAGCGGUCAGUUGAGAGGGGCCUUGAUAAAGGAAUAACUAGGAGUUACGAUAGAAACAAGGAUGAAAGAAGCAAAGAUGACAGAAGCAAAUUGCGUCAUAGCGAGGCGUCACUUGAGAAAGCUCAUGGUGAUGAUCGUUCUCUUUCUCAAGGCUUACCCCCACCUCCACCUCUACCUCCUAACAUCGUUCCUCAUUCUAUGGCCUCGAAAGAAGAACCCGAAAGGAGGGCCGGAGUUACAAGGCAUUCCCAGAGGCUUUCUCCGAGGCAUGAUGAAAGAGAGAGACGACGCUCNNNNNNNNNNNNNNNNNNNNNNNNNNNNNNNNNNNNNNNNNNNNNNNNNNNNNNNNNNNNNNNNNNNNNNNNNNNCUGAAGAGAAUACAUCAGUUUCUGUUGAAGAAUCAAAACGAAGAAGAGAUGACGAUUUUCGUGACCGUAAGCGAGAUGACAGAGAAACAAUCAUUCUGAAGGUAACAUGGCUCUUCUUUACACAUGUUGGUAUCAGAAACUGUAGCAUAAAUGCAAAUGGAAUAAAAUUCUUAUGUCUACUCUAUGUGCAGGGAGAAGAAAGGGAAAGANNNNNNNNNNNNNNNNNNNNNNNNNNNNNNNNNNNNNNNNNNNNNNNNNNNNNNNNNNNNNNNNNNNNNNNNNNNNNGGAAAGAGAAAGAGAAAAAAGUAUCCCAUUGAAAGAUGAUUUUGAAGCGUCCAAGAGAAGGAAGAUAAAGAGGGAUCAACAAGUCUCAUCUGCAGAGCCAGGGGAAUACUCUCCAAUGCCACAUCAGUCAUCUUUGUCAAUGGGUAUGGGACCAUCAUCGUACGAAGGCAGAGAGCAGCGAAAGAGCAGUAGUAGUAUGAUUCAACAUGGAGGUUAUCCUGAAGAGCCAAGCAUCAGACUUCUUGGCAAAGAAGCUUCCAGCAAGAUGGCUCGUCGUGAUCCUGACCCGUAUCCUUGAAUACCAACUUAUAUAAUCUAUCUGCUUAGUGUUUUUGCAUCAUGAAACACUCCCUUAUAUUAUGCAUCUUUGAUGGUAUCUUCAUUGUUUCCUUGACCAUUGGUAUUAGAAUGUAUGAUCGUGAGUGGGAAGAAGACAAGAGGCAAAGGGCAGAACGGAAGCGGAGAGAUCGGAAGUAGACUCUGAUUAUUCCAAGAUCCUACGUUUGUUUUAAGAUUAUUUAUCUCUCUCUAUUGGUUUUAUGAAAAGUUGGAAUUUUGUGUUAUAGAGUUUUAAACAUCUACAUUAUUGUGAUUGAUAUGUUUACUUCUCGACAAUGCCUUAAGGUUCCAAUAACAAUCACGGUUUUGGCUUAUACUUUACUCGUUCGUAGCUGAAUAUUUUGUGUAUAGGUAUUACAAAUGAAUAUAAUAACCGAAUGUGUUUUACUUGGUUAUAAAGAGAUUCCUUUUAUUGUCUUGUCUAGUGUCUGUAAUGGCUCCAAAUAUACUCGAGGCAGAGUCCAUAACUUAGGAAACACGUUUCUGGUUAGAAGAGAGUCUCUAAGAUUUUCUUUUUAAUCCAAUGUGACUAUUAUAUAUUGAAAUAAAUUAUGUGAAAGUUCCAUCAAAUUCUUUUUCUGUUACUACUAGGUUCACUUACAAAUUCUAUGAAUAUGAAGUUGAUUAUAUGAAGAUUAUCAGCGUCUAAUUAUCGCUCUUGGUAGUUUAAUGGUCAGAUAAUUAAGAUAAUACAGUAUGUCCAAAACGUUCUCUUUCAAUCUCUUACUGGCCAUUGGAAUUUACAUUUUCAAGGCAAUUUCUCUCCUUAAAAUCAUGUGGCUGCAAAGUGUAUAGUUUUGUAAACUUCCAAAUUGAAUAAAGAUGACAAGAGUCUUUUUUUUUUUUUUUUUUCGAAACUCUUCAGUUCAGGUCUCCAAUUUAUUUCAGCACAUUGAAAUCUCAGGAGAACGAAAGUUAAAUGUUUUGACAUCAUCAAAGCAAACUCAGAAAAAUUACAUUUAAAGUUAACCCCAAAAACAAGUUUUGAUCUACAAGAAGUUCAUAAUGAUAUGUAGUAAUUGCCUCUACUCAGUUCAGGUCUCCAUAAAGUUUCCGCAUGAUGAAUCUCGGAAGAACGAAAGUUAUGUUUUGAUCAUCAUCGAAGGCAAUUACUACAUAUUAAAACAGAGAUUAGGGAUUCGUCAUAAUAAAAAAAAUUUAUAAAAACGAAAACAGAAAGAAAAAACAAUUAAGUAAAGUAGAAGAAGAUAAAGUUUAAACAAGCGACAAAGGUGACUCUGUUCGAAGAUUUACGACCCUAUUUAUAUGCCACUAUAAUGAGGGAGUCGAGUAAACCCUAGCUUAAUCUUUGGGUCAUCGUCCCCUAUAAUGGGGCUUUUGUUAUUUACUUAUUGGGUCUCUUUCUGUAUCAGCCCAUUAUCUUCUUCCUUGAGUUAUUAUUUGUUCUUUUUUUUUUGCUUGAAAAAGAUUGUUUCGAAAGAAAAUAGACUCUUCAUUUUUUUUGUCAAAUAAAUUUGAUAAAAGGACAAUACUAAACACUAUCACCGUCUUUCCAUCUUAGAGCAUCUCCAAUGUAAAACUCCAUUUUUUUCUCUAAAAUAGAGUAAAAGUGAAAAUAGAGUAAAAUUGCUCCAACCCUACUCCAUUUUCUACUCCAUAAUGGAGUAAAAUAGAUUACUCCAUUUAUAGAGUAAACAUCAUUAUGGAGUGAGAUAUGAAGUUGGGUUGGAGCUUUCCUUACUCCAUAUUCACUUUUACUCCAUUUUAGAGGAAAAAAUGAAGUAGGGAUGAAGAUGCCCUUAUAGAGGUCAAUGGUUAGUUUUAGUUGGAUAUGGAGAGAGUCAAUGGAGCGGGCGUGUAGAAGGUGCGCGGUAACCUUCGUCUAAAGUUCAAUGGUGAGUUUAAUUGGUUUUGGAGAGGGUCGGUGGAGCAGAGGUGCUUAUGAGACACAAUCUACAACAAUCGCCGGUUUGUUCUCUUUAUAGCUGGGUUUGGGUCUUAUCUAAGAUGUUUAGGCGUUGGUGUUUUAUGUCAUUAGCUAUGUUUUUGUAGUCUUUGCAUGUUAGUUUAAGCGUGUCUAAGUAUGAUUUUGCUUCUGGUUUGUAAUUGUGCAAUCGCCGGCUUAUGACUCCAAGAUUGUAUCUUUAAACUGUCCGCUCUAGAUUAUGGUGUCGUUUUGUUACGACAUGUUCUAACAUGCUUUUUUCGCUAAUUCAGUUUGGAAUCAACAUAACAACAUAUGACAAAAAAAAAACACUAUAAGAUCACGCUCAAUGCCAAAUUGUUCGAAAUAAGUUUUUUCAGCUAUAAAAUAAUUAUUUUGAUAUAUUUUUCUUAAAUAACUAAAAUCUAUUUUGCUUAAAAAGUUUAGACUAUUUAAAACCGAUGUGUGUUUAAUGGGUUUCUAAAGAGUACUUUGUGAAUUCUCAUUUGAGAAUAUGUUUCUUUGUCUCUCUCCAUCUUCUUGUAUUUUCUUACUCAUAGAUACUUAACGAAAACUUGUAUACUAAAAAUGUGGUUUUAUAAACUUUUAGAUAACAAACAAAACGGAGAAGUAAGCAGCUGAUCAAGAUGAAUAUCUUCAAAAGGAGAAAUAACUUGGAUUUGUAUAUGAACCAACUUUCUUAAAGUAGUCAACCAAAUUAAGUAUUAGUUGAGAAUGAUAAUGGAUAAUAAAAAGUAUGUUUGUGUACUUUUAAUAUCUCAUAAAUACAGGCCUACCAAUUUUGUUAUAAAGCUAAAAGUAGAACUGGAUUGUUGGCCACUCAAUAGAUACAAUCAAUGUAAAAUGUUUUGCCCAAUUGAGAAGGAGAAUGGACACUGGAGUAACAACUGAUUUCUGAGUGUAAAUAGCUAUAUUUAAACAAACCUUCUGUUUGAAAAUAGGUUGAUUAUAGUUAUUUUUUUGUUGUUAGUAAGUCUGAAUGUGGAAUUUGAUUGAUAACCUACAAUAAUAGUUUGUAACUGUCAAUAAAAAUAGAGGGUUAUAUAAUAUAGUAGGAUAUAGCUAUCAUAUAAAAAAUAAACAUGUAUUCAAUUUGUUUUAAAAGUACAAAUCUAAUACACUAGAGUUCCAAACAACAACAAAAAAUUCUUGAAACAUGGCCAUGCAAGUUGCAACCCAUUACCGCCAUCAUGUAACAUCUACUUUCUAUACCGACACAAAUGUACCGCUUUUUGCAGCUUAUCAGAGUCGUUUUUAUUAAGAGAAUGAUCUUUAUUAAAAGUAGCACAUAAACGUUAAGUUCUUUAUCGCUGUAACCGAAAGCUUUUGAAUGUCGAGCCCAGAUCCUCAAGGCAAACGUGGUGCCAACUGCAAAGCUAUCGAUAUCUUUUGAUUAUGACAUGCCACCAACUCUAUCACCUUUUGCGAUUCUCAUUAAAUAAAGCAAUGAAGAUAACUAUAAAAGGUAAUAAAGCCAUAAAUAAAGAUAUAGUAAAAAGGAAAAAUAAAGUAAUAUAGUAUAUGUCCAUAAGUAUUGCAAAGCUUUUUGAAGUUGAAGGCAUCACGAGAUGGAGCCAGAUAUGGAGAAUUUGAUUCCGUCCAAAGGAAUUCUCAAGAACGAGGAACUCAAAAAGGUAUGUUAAUCAAUAACUAGAUUUUUCUUUAAUUUAUUGUUCUGGUUUUCUCAAUUAAUGUUCUUAGGUGCGAUUAUAUCAUCACUAAUGCACUUAAUCCCAUCGAAUUUUUGCAUUAAACAUGCUUGGGCAAGAGUAAUAGACAUCCCAGAAAGUUCUGGUGUUGCACCUCUUUGUUUACCAAAGAUUUUACCAUGUCGGAUGUGUGAAUGCUAAAUCCGAACCAACCAAUAUAUAUAAUACGGGCGUGGUCGUGAAUCAAAACUUGUUAUAUGUUCUCACAGUACAUCUUUGAAACGUCGGCAUAUCCAAGAGAGCAUGAAGAGCUCAAAAAGUUACGAGAAGCUACGGUUCACAAGUAUGGCAAUUUGUAAGUCUGCCUACAAUCUCCCUUGUCCAUGUUUCAAUAACCAUUAUUCACUUUGAUGAGCUAUUAUAUUGUGAGAGAUAUGAUCAUAUUUCUUUUCUUUCUACAAAUUUCAAGUUUUAUAAAGUUAAGAUCCUUAUCCUAACUCAAACAUAAAACAUUUUUGUAAUGUUAUUUUUGGGGGGGUGUGAUGCGUGUGGAAGGUGACAUAACUUCUAGAAGGGAUCUAUCCUUAUCUACAGAGUAACUAAAAUAAGUAUAUGAGUAACAAUAUUCAUCAGGAGCGCAUGGGAUGUUUGAUGACGUGGAAAGGCCUAUGCGUUAGUAUAGAUAUUAGGAAUGAAUAAUGAGAAAAGGUUAUCCAGAGAAAGGAUCAAAUGAGGGGAAGUCUUGAGAGACUCCAUUAACCUUGUAAUCAGUUUAUCAACAAUCAACGUUAUUUGCUUUAUCUCUUUGUUUUGAUCCAACAAAGAUUCAUUUCACGUAUCAGGGUAUACUAAUACUAACAAACAAAAGGUAUUUAUGUUUAAUUAUGUGUAGAAGCGAGAUGGAGGUACCGGUUGAUGAGGGACACUUCUUAUCGAUGCUUUUAAAAAUGAUGAAUGCCAAGAAUACGCUUGAACUUGGUGUUUUCACGGGCUACUCGUUGCUCACGACGGCCCUCGCAUUGCCUGAAGAUGGCCGUGUAUGCAUGCAACAACUAUCCUUAAAUUUCCAAAAAGAAUAAAAAAUGAUAAUAACUGCUAACAUACUAUGAACUCUUUGGAUACAUACAGAUUACUGCAAUAGACAUUGACAAAGAAGCUUACGAGAUGGGUCUAGAGUUCAUCAAGAAUGCUGGUGUUGAUCACAAAAUCAACUUCAUCCAAUCUGAUGGUCUUCAGGCCUUAGACAAGUUGCUGAGCGUACGUAAUCCUUUACAACUCUCACUCAUGUUUUUUUUUGCUUUUGUUAUAUUACUAUAGCUAUUAUUUUUUCAUAUAUUCUUAUGGCAUUGGUUUAUACAUUAUGGAAAACCACAGGAGAAUCCUAAACCGGAGUUUGAUUUCGCAUUUGUGGACGCUGAUAAACCAAACUAUGUUCACGCACUCGAGAGACUAAUGAAGCUAGUGAAGGUAGGUGGAAUAAUAGCUUUUGACAACACAUUGUGGUUUGGUUUUGUGGCUGAGGAAGAGGAAACUGUGCCAGUGCACUUGAGGGUUAACAGAAAAGCCCUCAUGGAGUUGAACAAGCGGCUCGCUUCUGAUCCUCGCAUCGAGAUCUCUCAAGUCUCCAUUGGUGAUGGUGUCACUCUCUGCAGACGCCUUGUGUGAUUCAAGAGAGUCAUCCAAUGUUCUUGGUUUUUACUUAAAUCAAGUUUUAAGUAUUUUUAAUGUUUUCUUGUCUCUUUAAUCAAGUUCUUGUUCAUUUCGUGUGUGUUGGAUUAUGCUAAAGAAUAAAGAUUUGUUCCUUUUUCAUGAAAUGCAUGCCGACCACAAGAAUCUAUAAGCAGAAGUUAACAAGCAUGAGUAAAGAGAUUCUAAGCUUUCAAGAUGAUUGAAGAGAGUCAUUUAUAUAGAUCAAUAUAUCACAUAAACCCAACAUACAAUCGAAUGAUCACACAAAGACUGAAGUAGAGUACAAACAAACAAGGAAACACAGGUACACAACUCUCUCUAUUUCUCCAUAGAAGCCAAUACAAAGCUCUCUAACCUAUACACACCCAAACACAAACUAACUUCCGGAUAAGGGAUGAAAAUGCUAUCCAAAAAUGUCAACAUUUAUCUCCUUCUCUCUCCCUCUAACCAGUUUAACCACCCUUCUCUCUUUACUGGGUUAUAUAGGUGUGAGGAUGGGAUUAUCAUCAUGCUAAGCUAUAUGGUGAUACAAUCAAGCACAUGAGGUAACAAAAAAAAAAACACAAAAGUAAAAGCAAGUGAAAGAAGAAGAUAUGUAGCGCUAAACAAAUUAAUAGCAAGAGCCUAUAAGAUUAUUUUACUUGUUAUAUCUUGAAGCUCAUGCUCACUGUGUACUCUUGGUUCAGCCGCUUCUUCCAGCAGCUCUGCGCAAAUUCAAACGUCAAAUUCAGUUUUGACUAUCAACCACUCUUAACUAUAGAUAUACCUUCCAGCAAGAAUCUGAGCGGUGUUGGAUGAGCUUUUGAUAUUUGAAAACCUUUUGGCUCUGUUGUCUUGAUCUUUCUCCACACGCAUUGCAGCUACUUCUUUCUCCAUUGCAGCUACUUCCCUUCUCAUUUUCUUCGCUUCAACUUCCAUUGCCUUUGUUAAUGUUUCCGCUUUCUUAGCUAGCAUCUACAAAACAUCAAAAUUAUCAUACUUCCUUCCAUUUACAACUAUAAAAGAUUCAUUAUUCUACCUCAAUGGCAUCAUCCUUGUCUUUGAGACUUUGGUCCUUUUCAUGAGAAGCUUUCCUCAAAGAAACUACUUCUUUCUGUAGUAAAUCAUACAAAACACCUGGGACACUGUCCUCACUUGCUGCUGGAGUGUUUUCACUUUGUGUCUUCUCCUCUGACUCUGGUUCCUUAGAUUCAUCAGAAGCCUUGUUGAAAGAAUAGUUCCCAGGUCCAUUUAAGAGUGCUUUGCCCCUGUCCAAGGAUCUUGUACCUCCAUCAAAUGACGUGGAUGUUCCUUUAGAAUUCUUCAACAUAGAAGUUGAGUUAAUAGACAAGGAAUGUCUCAUCUGAGAAGCUGGAGCUUUCUUUGACAAUGCACCGUUUGAUGGAAUUUUUUGCAAGUUUUCAGAUCCACCAAGCGACUGUCUGCGAGAGGGUCCACUACUCAUGGUCCUUGUCUCGGAUGUGUUCCUAAUGCUGCUGCUUGAAGUUCCUUUAAGUGUCUCCUCAAGCACUUUAAGCCGCAGUUGAAACUUUUCCUGCACAAACAAAUAUUUUACUUCUUGUCUUGUGUAACAAGAACAAGACAGAGAAGCUGACUAAUGAAUAAGAUCCUUUUUUUAAUUAUCAGGGCCUAAGCCCGUAAUCCCCGAGGCCUGAAACCACAUCAUCAUGUAAUAUUAGUUUCGUCCCACUCGAACUGGGGACCUCUGACACAAUGGUCAAGGUCAUUUCCAGUUAAGCUAAUGACCUCUAGUACGUAAGAUCCAUUACCUUUAACUGUGCUUCGGAUUUAGCAGCUCGGUCUGUUAUGGCAAGCUUAUCGCGAAGUUGCUGCAUUUCUCCCUGCAAAGAGUAAAUAAUCAAGAGUUGAGAAUGUCGAUAUUGUUCUCACUGUUGCAUCCUAAAAUUCUAGGAGAGGGGACAUCAUAUCUAAAUUUAAACCUGUAGAAACCUUCUUUCUUCAAGCCAUUGCUUCACAGGCAUCACUUUAUCAUUACCAUCUUUCCACUCAUUUGCUACCACCGUUGCAAUUCUGUUUGCUGUAACUUUUGCACGUGCAAGCUCCCUGUCAAGAGUUUUCCUCUCUUCCUGAAAGACAAACAAGAAUUGAAUUUAUGUGACAAGAAAAAACUAAAGACUUUAUGACUUUUUAUGACAGUCUGGUGAAAGGUGGUUAGUUUACAUUCAUCUCUUGGAACUUUCGCUGGUAAUCCCUCACGGAAUUUGCAGCUGCUCCACCUGCAAGAACAGCCUCUUCAAGCUCUUUUACUGUCUGAGUGAGCUUUUCCACAUCAGCAACCUUCUGCCUAUGCAUUUUGUCUAAAAUCUUGUUUUCUUCCUGAACAUAAGAUAGAUAUUCAAUCAGAUUGUUGGUAGAUGACUGACUAGUGACAUGUGAUGGGUAGAUCUCAUCUCUAGUGUGUUUAAAGUAGAUGCAAAGAAUAAGAUGGUAACUAGAGAGAACCUGACAGAUUUCUAUUUGUUUCAUUAACUCCUGGUUCUUGUUUUGAAGAUCAUCAACCAUGGCUGCUUUUGCAAGGGCACCUUCAAUGGUCCUCUCAGCAUCAAGUAAGGCAGCUUCCUUUGAUUUAGUCAGACGAUCCAAAGCCCUGUUAUCUUCUUGAAGUUUCCCAAUCUAUGCAGUACCAAGCAGUUCACGAGUGACUUGAUUAAUUUUCAAUAAGAAAGGAAGCAAUUGUAGAAAAUACCUCAGAUCGUGCAAGCUUAAGUUCAGCUUCUAAUGGAGCAAGGAUGGCUUCAAUUGGAGGCAUGUCAUCGUCCUUUUGUGCAGCAUGGACCCGUCUUAAGGUGGCUUCAGCAGCAAACUGAGCAGCCAUUGAGGCUUUCUUCUCCUCAUUGAUUUUCUUGAUUUCUAGAUUCUGCAGUACAAUUGAUAUCAUAUUUGUAUUAGAAUAAAAACAUUUUUUUUCUUUUUUUAAGAAUAAAAACAUAACCAAGCUAAGGAGGGAUUAUGAGCAAUACUUUGCUUUGGAGGAUUGAUUCUGUCAACUUGAGCUUCUCAUCCAACUUAGCUAGCUCCUCAGUAAGCUAAAUAGUAAAAAAAAAAUAGAGGAAAAAGUCAAUCCAGUAAAAGCAUGACAAACUCACUUUAGACAAAGAAAGAGAAUGUAUCCUGUCUGCAAAUUUAUUUGACAUUUUAAAACAUAAAAGUCAAGAACAGACACAUGAUGUCAUGAUUGAUUAUAAUACUAGUAAGUAGUACCUAGUACCCCCACUUGGGAUAAAUGCACCUGAACCAUGCCAUGAUAAAUGAAUUUUUCAACUAACAAACAAAACAUAGACUAUGUGGUGAAAGGAAGAAAAUAAAAGUGACCACACUCAGAUGUGUAACUUAGCAACAACCAUCAUUGAUUAGCUGAACUGAAACAAAUUGAGAAAAGAUGGGGACUUCUCUUAAUAUUUGCUAUAUGUGAAAUUGAAAAAGAAAAACUUUUAGAAUUUCAAACGAAGACAAGACAAAGACAAAAAAUAGAAAAUCAGACAAGAAGAGAAAACCUCUUCAACAGCUUUCUCUCUCUGUCUCUCAGACAACCUUAACGCUUUGAUCUCAGCGUGUGCUUCCCCUAACUCUCGAUCCUUAUCUGCAUUUAUUAAAUCAAAUCAUGCAUCAAAAAUAUCAGAAUCGAAUCGACGGAUCGAGCAAGCAUUUUUUAUUUUUUUCGAACCUCUAACUUCGUUCUCUAGUCGAUUAAGCUCCACCUUCACUGGAUCCGAGCCAUGAAGCUGAGUGAUGAACUCGUUCUCAGCCGCUCCGUCGUCUAAGCUCAGUUUAAUUGGCCUACGCUUGGAAAAGCUUUUUCCUCCGCCGCUCUCCUUGUAUGACGCCGAAACCUUCAGUGUCGGAUACGACGAAGCCGGUUGCGUGAUCGACGCCGUUGCAUCUCCGUCACCGGAAACAUCAGACAUCUUCGAUCUGAUCCUUUCAAACACGUACGAUCCGAAAUGCUAGAAGAUGAAACACGCCAAAAAAAAAAGAGUAUCAGCUGAAUAAUGCUGAGUUCGAGAGAGAGAGAGAUAGAGAGAGGAAUCCGAAGCUAAAGAGUUACUUGGGAUGCAAACGAUGCUAACUCUUUGAGAGAACUCUUUCGUCUUCUUUGUUUUUUUUAUUUGUUUAAUGAGAGAGAUGAGAAUGUGAAAAUUAGAGACAAGAAAAGAAGUUUAAAUACUGUUACGGUUGUUGUUUCUCUCUCUCUCUCUCUCUUUUGUAAUAGAUUUGACAAGACAGCGAGAGUAUCAAUCAAAUCCAUCAUCUCUUCCUUGAACACUGACUUGGGAACAUGAUUACUUUUCUGAUUAAUCAAUAAACAAAUAAUCGAAUAGUACUAUGUUUCCUAUUUUUUUAUUGCAUAUAUAAUUUGUUUAUUCAGCGAGUUUGUGACGGCAGGUCUGUUUUUACCAUAAAAAGACAAUUUUUAUACAAAAGUGAUUUGUAUACGGAAUAGACAGAAUCUUUGUAGAAAAUAACUGAUGUACUUUCUUUUGUCAUCAGUUGGAGUGUUGGACUAACAAGGAAUAAUCCUUUAACUAACCCUACAACACGAGAAACACGAUUAAUUAGAUGCAGAUUUUCUUGACAUUUAAGACAUUUUCUUUUUAUGUUUCUUCUGUAAGUUAAACCAAAAAUUUAUCAAUCAAAUAGAGUAUCAAUUUUCAUUUUUUUUAUUUUAUUUACUAUAAGAUAGAUUUUAUAAGAGUUUUAUUAUUUUACUGUAGAAAAAGUACAUUAAUUACUCUAGAUUUUACGAGAGUUGUAUGAUUUUAUUAUGAGUUUUCUUUUCUUUCCUCUUUUCACAUUUUUUUUCUCUUCUCACUUUCACCUUUUUAUUUAAUUUCUUUUACUUUUGAAUUUACUAAUUAUACUAUUUUAGUUGAAUUUAUAUUGACAACGGUAUCCAACUUUUUCUUUUAAACUAUUUUAUGCAAAUGUCUAUAGUUUAUUUAGGGGUUUAUGACAGUUUAAUUUCAUAAAUACGUUCCUUUAAGACUACUCAGAUUUUCAUUUUGUUUGGACAUUCUUUUUCCAAAAGAUAAUUUGCAGAAAAUAGAACACCAAUCAAUCUUUAUUGUAUGUAACUUCUAGAUAUUAUAAGCAAUUUAUAUGAUAUAUGGUCAGGUGCACCGAUCUACCUUUUCCUAAUAAAAUAUAGGUAGAUAAUCAAUACUAUGAUUAAAAUAUGUUGACGUGAUCAAUAUUUUGUCUGAUUAAGUGAUUAGCGAUUAUUAGUAAGAGAAAGGUGUGAUUAGUGAAGAUUAGAUGCUUUGCGCGUGGAAAGAGGUAAAUGUUCGAUGUACCAAAUUUUUGUUUCCCUUUUUCCUUUUUCGAGGGACAGUGCUUAUUCUGUUUAUUCUCCUUUCGUUUAUCCAGUAAGGUUAGUUGGGUUCUAUCCCUUCGUAAAACUCAAUGGAACACGAGAAGAAAAUUAUAUGAACUUGUAACUACAAUUUUUACUAACAUUCAUUUAGAAUCAAUUCUUAGAUAUCACCUAAGAAUAUCAGUCAUUUAAGUUCGGAAUAAACAGAUGUAUGAUGUAUCCUCUUUUGCCAGAGACGCAGUAAAUAUGUAACCAGGGCCAGAUAUUUUGAAAGCUAUAGACAGUUCAAGAAAGAUUUCAAUAAUUUGGGAUUCUAAUUAUUUAUUUUACAAAUUUGAAGAUCUAUUUAUAUAUAAUCUUUUCAAAAAAUUUGUGGACUUGAGACGAAUGUUUCAUCUAGCUAGUUUGGUCCAGUACUGGCCAUGUAUGUAACAAAAGCAAAUGAGAGCGCUAGCUUCGUGUCUUGUAGGUUUAUAGAUUUUUUUUAUACAUCAAAAUAAAGAUAAAAAUGAAAAGAAAAUUAUUGUUCAAACCCUUUAAUUCUAUAUAAGUUUUCAAAGAUCUCGAAAUUCUUAAAGCUAUUUUAGUGUAAUGGUUAAGGUUAUGUAGGUGAGUUAUAUGAUACUACAAUGUAAACAAGUAAAUGUUUCUAUAAAGUUAUGAAGAUUUCCUAUAAGUUAACAAUUUCAAAACUAAGCAGUUGAUACAAUUUGAUAUUCCUGAGUCGGAAAUUCCGAAAUCUUAAAACGGUUUUAUUUAUUUAUUUAACUAGCUAGAGUUUUGUGCUCACAUGCUUGCCUCCACUACAACGAUACUUGUAGAAAAUUAUUAAUUUAUUAUUGCCAAUGUAAAGUAACAAACACAAAGGGCCUGAAUCUCAUUUGAUUUUCUGAAGAUAUUGCUGUAAAUACCAUAGUAACCAUACAUUGGAUCUAGUCUAGUACUCGGGCAUGUUGUAAUUUUAUCUGUUACAUUUACGAUCUGUUAGGGUUGUUUUUUUGGCUACCAAUUCUACUAUAACAUGUGGAUAGAUAACGCUUUGUCUGGAAUAAUCACAUAACGUCAGUCUAGAAAAUCUUAUGAUAGGUGUUUGAGAUGUAAUCGGUCUAGAACCGCGAUGUUACCAAACUUGGUACCACGUUAUUACUUUCUCUAAUAUUCUGUAUUUUCAUCAAAAUUAUCAAGUUUUUAUCACACCUUGAUCUUGUAGUUUCUUACAUGUUUUUUGUAGUUUCUUACUUCAAUAAACAUACAUCUUAUAAUUAACUCUUUGCGAAUUUGCGAUGUAUGCGGUCUAAAAACACAUUAUCAUCAACUUUUAACCGUUACCUAUGUCUUGCUUUAUAGUAAAACUGUAUUGUAAUGUUACCAAGAUCUUUGACGUCACCAAUUAAUUUGAAAGGACAGGGAGGGUACAAUAAAGUAGAAAAAAGGAAAAGAGAAGCAAGGAGGAAAGCUGUGUGCACACAUGUACACUUCUUUGCUAUGUCUUGAAGAAUCAGACAACGCUUGUGGAACGUAGAGACUUUGAUCCUAAUACCACUCCUUAAUGUAUGCCCAUCCUAUCAUUAUUUCACAACGCAUAUUAACUAAUGUCUAAAAGUUAUUUCCUUGAAAUGCUGUAUUAUAAAUAAUAUAGAUGGGUUCUAAUAAUAUAUGCCGGUGAUUUGCUUUCCCUCCAUAUUACAACAAAUUUUAAUAUGCCACAUCCAGGGGAGAAUAUGCAUUUUAUAAAAAUGUAUAGACUAAAAUAAAGAAAAUUUUAAGCAAAAACAUAAAAAUUUCAAAAAGCACAAUACUCAAUAAAUUGGAUUAAAAAUUUUACUAUCAUAUUUUUUACAUACAAGAAAUUCUAACAAGUUCUAAUAAUACUCUAACCAAAAUCAAAAGGUACAAUAACACAAGUAAUAAAAACUUAUGAUCAAAAGCAGGGAAAAAGAAAUUCAAAUUUAAUGCAAAGUUAACCUCCCAAUAAAUUGGAUUGUCGAAGGAAGUAAUAUUCACUUCAAAACUCGAAUUCUUGUUAGUUCAAAACACCUCUAAUAACACUUGUCUGAAAGUUGCAAUUGUAUUCAGAUUUAAAUAUCUAAACCCUAAUCUUAUUUAUUCUAGUGCCAACCCAAAUUUUAAGCAUACCCUAAACACUAUUUGUAAAAUAAUUUUGACUCUAUACAAUCAUUUUCACUAAACAAAUGUAACAUAUCAUACUAUAACGAUGACAUGAUUUAUAGAUAAAUGUGACAUGAACAUUAAUAAAAUGAAGUGUUAUAAAAAAAAACUCUAAAUCCAAUGGACAUGCAUAAAUCAAAGCAUACCGCUAACCAGUGCAAAACAUUGGAUUACACCUUAAGCCUAUGAAUCAGAGCNNNNNNNNNNNNNNNNNNNNNNNNNNNNNNNNNNNNNNNNNNNNNNNNNNNNNNNNNNNNNNNNNNNNNNNNNGUUCAAUUUAUCCCGGUUUAUAUUUUUCUUAUUGAUCCCGGUUUAGAAGCUUACUCCAAACCCGGUUAAUAGUUAAAUUUAAAAUCCAUAAUCCGUUUAGGUUUAACUUAGUCGGUCAACGCAAAUCCACUUUUCCUUCGCGUACGACUUCUCUUAACUGAAUCGGACGGCGGUGUGACGACGUCGUAGAAUCAAUGAGCCUCUCCGCCGCCGUCAAAGCCAAGAACUCUACUCUCAUCUCUUUGAUGCGACUAUCCUCCUUUUCUUCCGCCACUUCAUCAACAGUCUCCUUGAAACCAGUACACACCUCUCUCUCUCUCUCUCUCUCUAUGCAUACGACUUGAUCCCUUUCCAUUAGAAUCAUUAUGAUUUUGUUUACUAGAGCGGGCGGUUACAGCAAACUCUCGCGGCGUCUGUGGAAGUGAACGGUAAGGCUCUGCAUUCCGGUAAGCUCUCGACGGUGAAGCUACUUCCGGCGAUCGCGGGAGCUGGGAGGUACUUCGAGUUUCGUUCGAGAUCAAUCCCGGCGUCGAUUGAGUUUGCGCAGGAGUCGCCUCUCUGCACAACGCUGUUGAAAGACGGUCUCAGGAUCCGAACCGUCGAGCACUUGUUAUCAGCACUUGAGGCUAAGGGCGUUGAUAACUGUAGAAUUCAAAUCGAGAGCGAGAGUCCAGAUGAUCGGGAAGUCGAGGUUUGUUUAUAGGCAUGGGGCAUUUUGUAACUGAAUCCUAACUACCAUACCCGAUCCAAACCGUAAAACUAUCCGAUAACCCGAAUAUCUGAAUUACUAAUCCAGUGUUGUAAAAAUAGGUCGUCCGCCUGGUCAGCAAAUCGGACCUAAACUAAAUAACGUUUCUAAAAUUAAAAAAAAAAGUUGGUCUAGGCGUUCAAAAAUUGGCCUGUGUCUGGCUAAUCAAUAAUCUCUUAUAAAACGUCUAACUACCUUCAGAUUUUUUUAUUGUAAAUAAGUAUUUGAAACAUAAAUAAGUACAUGUAACGAAAUGAGUUCCGACCCAAAAUAGAUCUUAGAAAGAGUUAUAAAAUCUAACCGAACCCGAUCCGAACAUAUAUAGAAUCAACAUGUGGCCUAGGAAUCCGAAAACCCGAUCCGAAGCUAUAUCUGAACUCACAUAACCAAUGGCAAAUGGUGUGUAGCUUUUCUAGUGAAAAUUUUGUUUCAGAGCAUUGGUUAGUUGGUGAUGUGAUGAAUGCAUGCAAUACUAAUCAAGUGACAGGUCCCUAUUUGUGAUGGAUCAGCUAAAGAAUGGGUCGAUGCGAUCGAAGAAGCUGGCAUAAACGUAGCUCAAAACCAUGGUGGGGAAAAUGUGGAGAAGAUGGUAGCACAUGUGAACAAGCCUGUCUACGUUUGCAAGAACGAUUCUUUUGUAGCUGUGUUCCCUGAUUUAGAGACUCGCAUUACUUGUGGUAUCGACUUCCCACAGGUUCAGUCUUUAUUCCACAAACUUAUUUCCUGCUUGUGCAUAGAUGGGUAUUGACUCUGGUCCUGUGGUUGAUGAUGAUGAAACCCCUACAGGUGCCUGCCAUAGGCUGCCAGUGGUUUUCUUGGAAGCCUGAACAUGACUCUUCCUUUGCAAGAGAUAUCGCACCGUCGAGAACGUUUUGUGUCUAUGAAGAGGUUAGUCCCGUCGUUGUUGUUUACUAGUUUAUGAGCUUUAGCAGGUGUAACUGGUGUUUCUUUCUUUAAAUGUCUGUGUCUUGAGUGUUGCUUUUGUAGGUGGAGAGAAUGCGUGAAGCAGGGCUUGUUAAAGGAGGUUCUCUGGAUAAUGCAAUCGUUUGUAGGUAAAGAAACUUGCAUGUUCAAGGCUCUGGACGAUAUUAUGGUAGUGAGACAAAAAAAUAUUCAGCUGAAAUCGUCUCUGAUGCAGCGCCGAGCAUGGAUGGAUGAACCCUCCCCUGCGGUUUGAUAACGAAGCAUGUCGACAUAAGAUCUUGGACCUUAUCGGUGAUCUGUCUCUUGUAGCACGAGGCGGAAAUGGAGGAUUCCCUGUGGCUCACAUAGUAGCAUUUAAGGCAAGUGCUAUUUUAUAUCAUCUUCUAGUUUUCUUGACAUCAAAAGAGAGAACAGUUUUCUGAUAAAACGGGUUUGUGUCUUUAUCAAAUGCAGGCGGGUCAUGCACUGCACACUGAGUUGGCACGUCAUCUUACCAUCGACUGAGAAGAGUAUGCUCGUUGCCUACCACAUUCCGCAGAAGAUUUUGAUCCUCUUUUUGUUUUGUUUCUUUACCCAAAGACACUACCAAUAAGUGAAUUUUUGGUUUUGCCCAAAUCGAGUUUUAUUACUUAAGGUUUGGAUGAUUUAGUUUUGGAUGAUUAGAAUAUUACUGAUAUUAGAAUAUUCAGAUGAUUAGAGUUCAAGAAUGGAUGUCCGUCUCAUCUUGUUGUACUAGUGUUCCUGUCUUUGUGUUGAUAUUUUUUUCUGCUCUCAUUAUGUCUCGGUUGCAUCCUUGAUCUUCUUAGGAUAGGAGUUUGAAUGCAGAAAGAAACUGAUCUGAUAACUUCUCUUUUAUGUGACUGGUUUCUAUUACUGGAAAAAGUGUUCUGUUGAUCUGAUCAUGCUGUCAAGACAAGUUGAUUGUUAUCUUGUUGUUCAGAAACCGUCUGAACAUAUUAGUGUCAUUAUAAAUUGCCUGCCUGAUCUUAGUCAUGUCCGCUUAAUGACUUCUUGAUCGGUAUGUGAAUGAAUAACAAAGCUGUAGAACUUUUGUGAACUCUCUUGUAUAUCCCUUGUUACCUUUGAAGCAAUAUCCGUUAAGAUUGCAUAUGCUUGUUACAGGUAGUUUAAUGGUAUCUCAAUGGACCAAGUUUCAAACUAUUGAGAUACCAUUGGCAAACUUUAAUGCAUGUAAAUUUGGAGGUAAGCAAAGAUAUAGAAUUAACCAAACAAAACCAAAACAGUAUCCAAAUAAAAACUGAAAUGCAUGUGAAUUUGUCAUUUUUAUUGAUAGAAAUAAUGGGAAGAUGACAAGGAACGUUUUGCAUUGGCAAACUUUAUAACAGAGACACUAUUCGUACACAGAUGAUUAUCUAUGAUUCAUGAAAGCUCUAAGUCAACUUCUCAGCUUCCUUUUUCUCUACAAGUUUAAUGAAAUUGCGGACAAUUGUCUUGCCUUCAGUUGUUAUGAUACUCUCUGGGUGAAACUGAACUCCCUGUGAACCAAUUUUAACAAGACUUUAAGACUUCUGUCAUUCAAUGGAGGCAAGAAGAAACAUACAUGAAAUCACUUGAGUGAGAUAUUUUUAGACCUGUAUAUGCUUGUGCUUCCUGUGUCGAGCCGCCAUAACCAAACCAUCUUCUGUCCACGCAGUAACCUCGAGUUCAUCACUGGGAAAUGUAUCCUUUUCGAUCACGAGGCUGUGAUAUCUACCUACAAGGAAAGGACUGAAAAAGGCAGACCAAUCUCAGGCUUGGUUUUCGCAGAAACAUAUAACAAAACUCAUUGAAUGAACCUGUUCAUACUUACUUAGAUAAUCCAGAGAAUAAACCUUCUUCUCCUUUCUCAUCAUAGUGAACCAUGGAGCUUUUCCCAUGCAUUACACCAUACGGUGACCUUACAAUCUUUCCUAUAAACCAAAAAGUUCAUACAAAAGUGCAUUCAGAGUUGAGGAUCCAUUUUACACAAACGUAUGAGAAACCAUGUUAAAUGCAAACUAACCUCCAAAAGCUUCUCCUAUACACUGCAAACCCAUACAUACUCCAAACAAAGGAACACGUGGUCCAAGUUCCACAACAGUCUGCAAGGAGAUCCCAGAGUCUUGUGGUGUACCUGGGAUCAAUAGCAAGAAAGUUGUUUACCUUCCUUUUUCUUCACUAAAAAGAAUCUUACAAGAUACAUGACGCAGUCGGAGGGCUAAUAUAAUUUACCAGGCCCAGGAGAAAUCAGCACCCCUCUUGGAUUUUUACUGCAAAAAAAAAAAAAAGGAGAGAACAUAGUAAAGGAAUCAAAACCCCUUGAACUAACAGCCAGAAAGAGAUUGCAUAUUGGUUUCUUCUUCCUCACCUUUUCAGCUCCUCCACAGUAAGUUCAUCGUUGCGGUAAACUUCAAAAUGGCAUCCUAGCUCUCCCAUAUACUAAUGAAGAAAAGAUAAGUAAGCAAAUAUCAAGACAAGAUUUAGACAAAUUUCAGUAAGGAGGAGCUUGUAUAUUAGGGACCUAUACGUUACGUGGACCUAUCCAGAGCAGUCAAAAAUUUAAUGAGACAAUUGAGUUAUGACAACUACGAAUAACCCAAUCUGAAGCUCAAAGAAGUGAUGUAUUCAGCUUCUGCUAGAUCAAGAACAAGGGAGGUUUCUACUUACAAACAAAAAAACACUACUCCAGAGAACUGGAGGCUUUGGACAGUAAGCUAUACAACGGCUGACCACACAUAACAAAGAGAGAACAUCGCAUGUUUGAACACACUCAUAUAAAGUUAAGAGCUUGAAACUAGCCAAGAUCAUAUUCUUGCAAAAAAAACAAAACUUUUCUAAAAUUCUCCAAUUACUCAAUUCAUUUUAUCAGAUAAUGAUAAAGAGCAGAUUUUGACAUUAGUUACGAAAGUCAAACCUGACAGAGAUUGUAAGUGAAGCUGUCGUAAUUAUCGAUCACGAUGAUGGGACCCUUUUGCUUACUCGAGGAGUUGACAACAACAGCGGCAGGUGUCGAGUUCGAAUGCGCCAUUUCAAUCGAAGCUUUCGUAACGACAUGUCCACGACUCUUCCCCGAAAACGAAACUCCUAAUCACAGAUAUAACGAAAAAAAAUCAAAGACCAAUCAUAAAUCUAAACAGAGAUUGAGCGAGACUUACUGGUCGGAUUCGGACAGGGCUUGAGGAGAGAAGAAGGGUUUAGGCGAGUGGUGGAGCCGGACUUGGGUUGGAGAAGAGAAGAAGAGUUGUUCAAUGUAGUAGCCGCCAUUGUCGGAAAACUAAAGAUGGUUCCUUUUCUCUGGAGAGAGAGAGAGAGAGGAGUUUUUAUACAGAAGGAGCUGUGCAAGAGAAUUGGGAAAUGACAGGUGAAACGAUGCGUUUAUUGAAACAUGGACCACGUGUUUAGUUAGUAGGUGAGUCAUUUGUUUUUUUAUUUCUUUGGGUCAAACAAAGUCUAAAAGAAUGGGUCGAUUCGCAGUGGAUUAUAUUUAUGGACAAGCAGCAGCCCAAAUCUAAUGUUCUUGUAAAUAUAUUAGAUUAGAUAUCCGAUUUUUUUUUUCCUAAAAGCAUUUCAUCUCUAAUAGUAUAAAGGGUUAAUUCGUAGGAUAAACCAAUUAUAUAAAAAGAAUUAACAAAUCAAAUAACCAGCUCUUGAGAAAUAUGUCAAUUUGUGACACAAAUAGAUAACAUUUUUUUUGGCGCGUGUGCAUGUAUAUAAUACAAUACACAUAACAACGAAAUACCAUUCUAUUUAUGAAAUUGAUAUAGAACAAACUGUUUAAACAAAAAUGUAGCUACAAAAGAACUGAUUGCCUUUAGUGAUAGUACAUGAGAGUGAAAAGUAAGGAGGAGUACCAUCCAGAUGCUGGAAAGGAAGAAGCUGUGGUUGCUCUUAAGAUUGUAAAAAAGGCGUGAAUGAGGAAGUGGAGGAAGAAAAAGGUAUAAUAUUAGUGGAGAGACCAGAGUUCCAGUCUUCCACACAAUCAUAACUAUAAAUGGGAAGGUUUCGAAGACGACUAUUGUUUCACAUGUAAGGAUAUCAAAGAAACUGAUCAACAUAGAAUGUAUAACGUGGAUCCGAGUUCUUUGCCUCUUAUAAGUUAUGGACGAGCCAGUUUACUUCUCUCACAAGUUACCAAAUUUAAUUACCUUUUCUAAUUGCAACUUGAUCAGAUUCAUUUUUUGUUCCUUGGUUUUCUUCUGUUUUUGUUCUCAAUUUUUUUGGUUGAAUAUGUGGAUCGAUGAUAAUCAACGUCAGAUAUAUCUCAAAAAAAUUCAGAACUUUUAGUAUAGAUUUAUUUUUCCAUUUCAUUUAAGCAUAUUUGAGAAUAUAUCCUUGUCAAAUAUGGAUGUUAAUGUCGUCUGUGGAUUGUACCAAAUAAACAUUUAAACAUUAUUAAUAUCCGUUGCUUUAGAAGUUAAAAUAUAUCAGUAACUGAAACAUAUAUGUUGUAGAUAGCAUACACCACAUGUUUUUAUGCCAAGGUUUAGAGUAUAAGAAGAUGCUAUCUUAUAUUAUUGUUUUGACGUUAGAUAACAUUUUUAAUUAUUAUUUUUGUAUUUGUGUUAUAUUACUAAACUUACCUGGCAGAUUAUUUAUAUGAAUGAAUCAAAUUGUCUUUUAGAGUUUUGGUUAUAGAAAGGUAAUCAUUUUUAUUUGACUUGUUUGAUAUGAAAUGUUCGUAAAUUUGUAAUGAAAGCAAUAACGUAGAUGACAAAUCGCUAUCGAUCAUAAAAAUGGUAUGGCCAGAGCAAAGACUUUAAUGGAUCAUAAAUAUUGGAACUAGUACUUUCUUACAAAUAAUUAUUAAUUAUAUACCCCAACCAAAAGCCUAAUUUGCGUCUCUUGCUUGAUUAUAUAGGGAACAAAAUGAAGAGAAAUCAUAGCACAUCUCCAAACAUGUCGUGGGAGUUUGUUCUAUUCACACCAGAUUUGGUCGUGUCUUAUCGUAAAGUUGCCUAAAUGAAGACAGAUUGAUAUAAGCUGUAAAAAUCAAGGCAGUUAUAAGCAAGUAUCAUGUAGUCUUUUUUAGUUUGCAAAAAAGGAACUCUGCUAAACCUUCUAAAGCCUAAUAGCCUAUCACUAGAAGUUUUCUUUCUAAAAGGCUUUAUGCUUUAAUCAUCUUCCCCAAAUGAAGUACCAUUUGUAACAAUCAGUUUACGCUCAGAGAAUCUAUCAUUAGCGUCGAUCCUCAGAAUUUGACAAUUUGAAGGCUGAAAGCAAAAAAAAAAAGAAAGAAAGAAGAAAAUCAAUAAAACUAAAAUUAUGAGAUUUUCGUGAACAUAAAAAAUGUUUAUGGUAAUAGGGGUGAAACUCGAAUUGCAAACAUUUCCUUCAGGUACAAAGGUUUUACCACUACAUCACACUAGACUACAGGAAGGUUUGAUUAAUUUGGAUUGAACGUUAAUCUUAAGCUUCCUUUGUAUGGGUUGAGGUAAAGCAUGUCAAAAUAUAUAUCUAAAUUGUUUUUAGAAUAAUUAUAUUUAAAAUUAAAACUAACCUUUUGAUUAUUCUUUUCCAUUUGUAAUUAGUAAUUAGUAUGCUGUCAAAAAAUAUAGUAAUUAGUCAUAUAGGUCGAAUGAUUUUCUACUCUCUAGAGUUAUCUCUUAAUAUAACAUUCGAACUCUAAUAAACUUUGCAGAUGCUUAGUAGAAUUCAAACCUACUUGUAGAAAUUGCUUACAAAGACCAAAUGAUACAACGCUCACUACUUAAAUCUUCAUGAGCAAGUUCAUACAAAAAAUGAAUGUUGAGACAUUGUAACAACUUAAAAGCCUAGACAAUUAAUCGAGGAGAAGAUGACUGUGUCACCACUUCUAUACAGUCUCUGUUGGCUUCUAGCUAAAGACGAUGUAAGUCAUAAUGCAGAAGUCAACAACUUUAAAGCAGAAAAGCAAGUGUGUUACCUCUUGAAGAGAUGCAAUAAUAGUUCACUCCUGGUUCCUCAAGCUCAGUUUGUUCUGCUCUUCUCCAAUGUCAAUGAGCAGCGUUCUCGAAACCUGCACUCACUCCGUCUGGAUCGGAUGGUAUAACAGUAUGAUGUACGCAGCCUAAAUUUUCACAGUAGUCCAUGUAUAGACACUGCUAUGAAGUCAAUGACGACAUUUAUGCCAUUAAUCCACUGACAAACUUUGCUAACAUAUGAUAUGAAUAUAUAUGUUAUCAUGGAAAAAAACACUAAUUGUUUGUACUAUCUCAGAAGAACUAAAUUAGCCAUGUGGUGUAUAUGCUAUUUCUUUUAUCAUGGUACCAAAAUCUUUGAUUGGAAACAAUUUACAGGCACAUCUUGAAUUCGUCAAGGGUCUUAGAUCCGAUAAAGCCAUUUGGAAAAUAUGCAACACACGCUGAUCAACUGAACAAAGAGUAUACUAGAGACAGAUUGAAGAAACAUUAUCUCAACAAAGAGACGAUUCAAUAGUAAAUCUUUUAACGAAAGGAAUAAAACGAAACAUGAUCUUAAUAAUUUAUAUAAAGCAAUAACAAUAAUCUCGUUUCGAAACAUUAAACAAAUAAAAUGAAAGGGAAGAGAAUUACAAGAAAUUUCAAAAUAAUCGAUUUGGAUCCGUGUUUCAUAUGGACCCGGUCUUUGUACACUUUUUACAUGAUUGGCUCUUUCGUGAUGCUUCAAAAUCUGUCCAAAGAUCUUCACUGGGUCUACUAUACUAUAUGAUAUGUUCGUAUAAUGGCACCAAAUUGUAUGGAUUUCGAUUUACGUUCCUCACCCACACAGAAACAUGAGUUGAUUAUGUGCACACGACAAACGUAAUAAUAAGUAAUUAUUCGUCCAACUUCCAGAACAAAAAUUCUUAAGUCGUCCCUUUAUUUACGUACCUGCUGGCUGCAACAUUAUAAAAUUUGUAUUGGGCACCAUUAAUACAUUUUAUUCGUAUACUAUUGUUGCUCCUUAUUUCUAAUAGAAGAUUCCUAACAUAACUUUCGAUCUAGAGUACCUUUUUCUCAUUCAUAUCGAAAUAAAUCAAUUUUUUUUCAUAUUUUUGGAUCGAUUGUAUCUACCUGUAUGGACCUAGCUAGUUAACUCUUAUACCAUAUUAAAAAUCAUAAACUUCCAACUGAAAACGUUUUUUUUUUUUUGAAAAGGCCAACUGAAAAAAACGUAUUGAUAAUAGGUGAAAUGAUAUUAUCUCUUUGACGUUAGUGGUCUCGCUCCUCACAAAUACGGAUUCAGACAUGAAAGGGGCAUGAAUUGUCGAGAAUAAAAAAUAUAUAUAUCCAAAUUCCCACGAGUCCUUAACUAAUAAUUUUCUUGAUAAUGCAACUUGAAAACUAAAGAGUAAUUUUUUUUUUGUAAAUUAACUAAAGAGUAAUUUGUGGAGAAGAAGAUUAUGUAAUAUGAAAUAUAAUAAUGAUUUAGAUUUGUUUUGUUGUUAAAAUGGGAUGUUAUUUUGUUUCUUUUCCAAAUAUCUACGUGGGCUCUAGUCUCAAUCCCGUUUCCUUUAGACCAUCUCUAAUGACUUACUUUAUUUUUUACUCUAAAACAAAGUAAUUCUAUAAUAGAAUUUGAGUUUACUUCAAUGGUACUCUAUUAUAGAAUAGAAAAUAAAGUGAUGAACAAAAAAAAAACAAGUUACUCUAUAUAUAGAUUAAACCUAUUUUUUACUCUAUUAUAGAGUGAAAAAUAGAGUACUAUUAGAGCAUUUUUACUCUAAACUCUAUUUUAGAGUGAAAAAUAGAGUGGUGUUGGAGAUGUCAUUAAGUCACAUGUAUGUGUGUAUGUAUGCAUUUACAUAAUCAGUGAGAAAGAAAGAAGAUAAUGAAUGUAUGUAAAGAAGAAGAUUAAAACAAUCAAAGACCAUACAAUGGCUUCUCCAGGUAAGGUGGUAGGUCAAUGAAACAAUUAACAAAAGAAAAAGAAACCUUUUUCAGGAAAAUAAGAUAGAGUAAAAGGGGUAAAAAAAUAAACUUUUAGGCCUCGGAAAAGAGAGCUGAAACAAAAGUUGAUUUCAGAAAGCAAAAACCUUUGUUUCUCCCUCUUAACUCAUCUAUCUUUCUUCUAUUAGAUAAAGCUGAGACAGCACUAUCCACCAAAUAAAAGAUGAAAAAGAGAAACAAUCUCUAAUCUCUUCACAUGAAAAAAACAAAAGAUUCUUUGAUUUUCUUUUCUUUUUCAGUAGUCACAAAGUAAUCGGUACGCUUCUGCUAAUACCACCAUCGUUAAGAGAAAAUAAAAUAAAAGGAGAUUAUUAUAAACCUCAACCGAUGAUAGAUUACGAGAAAAACAACAACCAUCAGAACUUUCCCCCUUCAUCUUCUCCCGAUCUUCUUCUUGCCAUCAAUGGAGCCGCCGUGAUUAAUAAGAGGAAACGAAGACCAGCAGGGACACCAGGUUUUUUAUAAUAAUUUAUAUUUAUUUUCUUGAAAAUAUGUAUUGUCUACUAGUAUUAGGUUUUCAAUAAUUCAGGUAAAGUUUUAACUAUUGAGAUUUGGAUUUUGAUAACUUCCAAAAACAAUUCUUGAUAUUCCAAAUGAUUUAUAGAUGAUAAUAUUGUGGGUUGGCUUUCUUGAUACUCAGCUAAAGAUUUUUAUUUUUUUGUGUAUCAAUAUAAUCAUUUAUAGUCCUGUGUAUCGGUGCCAACAGAUCCAGAUGCUGAUGUUGUAUCUUUAUCCCCAAGAACCCUGCUAGAGUCAGAUCGGUACGUGUGUGAGAUCUGCAACCAAGGCUUUCAGAGGGAUCAGAACCUCCAGAUGCAUAGAAGAAGGCAUAAAGUACCAUGGAAGCUUCUGAAGAGAGAGAAGAAAGAUGAGGAGGUGAGAAAGAGAGUCUACGUGUGUCCUGAGCCAACUUGUCUGCACCACGACCCAUGCCACGCCCUCGGAGAUCUGGUUGGAAUCAAAAAGCACUUCCGCAGGAAACACAGCGUCCUCAAGCAAUGGGUUUGCGAGAGAUGCUCAAAAGGCUACGCUGUUCAAUCUGACUACAAAGCCCAUCUCAAAACCUGCGGUUCACGCGGUCAUUCAUGCGACUGCGGCCGCGUUUUCUCCAGGUUCAUCAUUUCUUAUUGUACUCUCAUCUAAAAAAAUUAAGUUCUGCGGAAAACCCUAAUUAAUGUGCUGAUGAUUGAAUUUCUUGGUUUUUCGAAGUUUUUUUCUUGAUAAUUAAUUUAUACAAUUUUUUACUGUUUAGAAAAAGUAUGUAAUAGGAAUUUUGGAAUCCUUGAACUAAACGAAAGAAUGUUUUUUUAGAAUGGUGUGUAUCUAUUAUCUAUAAUGCAUAAAGAUUUGUUAUUUUUCUUUUGAAUGUGGAUAUAUUCUUGACAUAACCUACCAAUAGAAGGUCAGUAUGUGAGUGUUGUCAGAUAUGAUUAUUUUAAAUAAUUAAAUUAAUCAGAUAGUAGUAUGUUUUAAUAUGUCAUCUCAUCACAUUGACAACAUUACAGAUUUCCUUUACCCACACUUUGUUGCAUUAAUUUAUUACACAAACUAAAAAGUCUUAUAAUCACAUUAUAUAUCCCUUUCCAAAGAUACCUAAGUCCACAACUAAGUUUUGUUUUAUAUAUAUUAUUGUCUUUGAUUACGUACGUACUCCACCAAGCAUUUUUUUCCCUAAUGUUUUAAACCCUAUUUCCAUCCACUAUUAUCAUUCAAGUUUAGACUUUAGACCGUAUAUAUAUGUACACCCUAAUUUUCAGUUUGUUUUGGUUAUCAACUAAACAAAUAUGUGUGCAAUAGUAACUCUUUUCUUUCCUGGUUUUUUUUUCAGGGUUGAAAGUUUCAUAGAGCACCAAGAUACUUGCACCAUCCGGGGACCUCAACCCACCAACCACCGUCCUCUACAUCAGAACACAGAGGGCCAUGCAACUCCAUCAAGAACCUUUUUAACCCCAAGCAUUAACCCUUUAUUGCAUGGAGUUCCUUUCUUAAGAUCACCACAAGCGUCCCAUCAACAGUCUCUAGCUUUCGCUUCAUCAGCUCCUUUCGAGAACCUCCAGCUUCAACUAUCCAUAGGAAUGACGAAAACACAAGUGAAAAGAAACGAAAAGGGUGAGUCAAGUUUAACAAUGGAGAGAGCAAUUGAGGAAGCGAGGAGGGCGGAGAAAAUGAGACAAGAAGCGAGGAGGCAGAUUGAGAUGGCACAAGUGGAUUUUGAGAAGGCGAAGAAUAUAAGGAAAGAAGCGAAGGCCGAGCUGGAGAAGGCUCAUGUUGUUAGAGAAGAAGCAAUAAAGAGGAUUAAUGCAACAAUGUUGGAGAUCACUUGCCAUUCUUGCAAGGAUCUGUUCCAGCUCCCCGUUAUGGCUGAUGAGAGUACGUCGUCUCUUGUUACGUGUUAUGUUUCCUCGGCGACAACGGAAGGGGAAGCCGAGUGAUUCAAUACUUCUUCAUAAACUCACACAAGGGCAAAAGACAACAUUAAUAGUUUUUAAUGAAAUGAUGGUAUUAGUGGUUACCAUAUUGUGGAUCAAUUUUUUAUUCUAUGCAUCGUUUGUGUCCACUGAAAAUUCCGAGAAGGGUUUGGAACAUCGGUUAAAGUUUUUCCGGUUAUUAUAAAUUUCAUUGUUAUGGAUAUUUGUUCCUUGUUUUAUAUUUUUUUUUGUUUUGUUUUAUAUAUUUGGUUUUGGCUACGUUGAUAUUAAUAAAUGUCUCUAACAAAAAGUUGGUCGUAAUGGUGUGGUGUUUUGUUGAUUGGUUGGUGUAAGUUGUAACUUUUCUUUAUGGAAGCUAUCGUAUCGUAGGAGUAAUAAUGUUUUAGAAAAUGCUAGUAUUAUUCACUUUAUAAACUAAGGGACCAUUCUAGAGAACAAAAAUGAAUGGAGCAUUGAUUGAGGGAAGCAGAGUAGUAAUUUGCAUUAAACUGGAAAGAAAAAUUUGAUGGAGUUCAAAGUUUUGUGCAUUAUCUGGUGGAAAUGAUUGAUGUACACCUAAUAAAAUAUGAUUACGAGUCGCCUCUUUUCUCUUUCCCAUCUUUACAUUCUCGUAGUUGUAGCUUAGUCUCAAUCUGACUUAACAAGAAAUCAUUUUCACUCUCAUAAAGACCGAAUCUUAUAAGAUGCCAUUUGAUAAAAGGAUAUGUUUUAAACAUUUCAUCAACAAAAAUAUAUUGUCUUUUACACUAGCUAUAAGAGGCAAAUCUAUUUAGAAAAUUCAAAAAUACAUGUAUUAAGAAACGUGGAGCAAACCUGUCCGUCGAGAAAAAAAACUUAGUUACUAAUGAUCCUUUAGUUUAUAAAGAGGAUAAACCAUUGGGGUAAAAUGUAUUUGGUUUUACGGAAAAAGAAUUUAUAUGAUUUCACGUCAAUUGACCAUGGGUAAAAAAAAAUUGUUUGCUUUCAUAGAAAGUCAAAAGUUGUUUCAAACAUCUCAGUUACAAUACUAAAUAUUAAGGUCACGGAUAUAUAACCAUGUUUUGGACCCUUAUUUAAAUUUUCAGAGAGAAGGAUUCUUCGCGGACUACAACUAUCUCUCCUUGAAGACUAGUGUAGACAUUUUCAAUAAAUUUGAGAUACCCUAUAUUAACUUUAACAAACAAAACUAUGUACAUAUGUAUGUUAUCUAAGCGAACUGAAAAAGGCAUUCUAUUAUCACCAUCAUAUUUUGAUAUGUUCAUAAUCCUUAACUUUUAAAUGGUUUUUUUUCUCAACUUUCUAAAAAUUUAUUGUAACAAAGGCUGUCUCAUUUGGCUAAACUAACUAAUACAAAAGGAAACCAUGUGCUAUAAAUGGGAAGAACAACAUUAAAAGAUGCUCAUCCAUCAUGAAAAAGCCAAAAUCAGUGUCAACGAGAGAAAAGGAAAGAUGUGCAAUGAUGUAGAGAGAGAGAUGGAGAGGAGAGUAAAUGCAGUGUUUCAGAGCAGAAGUGGUUGUCGUUUGCCUUUUAGAAGAAAAGAAACGACAUGGAUUUCAGUGCCCAAAAAGAUUGAAAAUGGUGGUUAUGAGUCAGUCAGGCUUCAGUCUUUCUCACCUGAUUUUUCCCUCACUUUCAUGAUUUCAUUUCUGCUCUCACUUUUUCACUUUUCUUGCUCCUCCUUUAAUGCCCCACACACCCUCAUCUGACAUCUCAUGUCACUUCUUCAUCUCCACAAAUUUACAAUUUUUGUAUGUUUGUAUUAUUGUCUACGAAAUAUAAAAAGCAAAAUUUUAAGGAUAAAUAUAGGGUAUGGAACUUUGUAUUAAAAGAAUAAAUUCUACAUUUGUUGUUGGGCAGGCAAGUCCGUAAACCGUAAUACAAGGCCCAAUUAUUUGAUAUGUCAAUCCACCAAGAUAACAUACAUCAAAAUGCCAAACUUUGGAACUUUUGUAAACCUUGCAUUUUUGUCAGAUUCAAUAAUGUAACUGAAUAACAGCAAAAUAAGAUUUAAAAUAUUAAGCUUGAUAUUGUAUUAAAGUCGAGAAUACUAGAAUAGGGAAGUCACGAUGAUAAUUUGGUAUUCUACAAACAUCAAAGAAACAAAACUUUGAGAUAAAACAUCCAAGUGCAAAACAAGAACCAAACCGAACAAGCAUAACCCUGGUGAAUAAUACGAUAUUAAGAAACUUAAAAGAGUUGAUCAUCAAAAAUCUUGGCUUUUUUCAAGAGGUUUCAACGUCCGAGAGAUCCAAGCCUUCUCGGUAAAGCUCAAAGUCACUAGGGCUCCAUCUGCAGACUAAGUUGAGUUUGAAAGUAGCCAACUUGAUUCCCAACAGACGCUGCAACAAGUAAUUACAAUAACCAAAGCAUAAGCAGAUUUUUUCAUAAAACAAACACAAGUAUGAAAGGCUUUUGGUAAUAGAGAUUCUUAUUUACCAAAAUGCGAGAAGAUUCUGGCGAAAGAGGCUUUCCUUCUUCACAAACUACAAAGUCGGAGAGUAACUCCACCGUACCUACAUAGCGAAUCAUCAAGAUUACAUUCAAACUAGUAGUGUAUUGACUGAGAGAUGGAAACUAAAAAUGGUGAGACAACAAACCUUUGUUAAGUCGAACAGGCAUACCCUGCUUCCUUAGAAACGGUUCCAUCUCAUGUGUGAACUGUUCUAGAGGUCCUUCCUUCAGCUCAACCUGAUCAAUCCAACAGAGUUGUUCAAUAACUAGCAAGAGAUGCAGAGAUGGCACAACAAGUUCUAAUCAAACAACAAACCGUUUCUACUGCAGUGCUUCCGGUUCUUGAAAAGUCUGAAUCCUCAUAAGCGUUAAAUAAGCUGCCAAUGAAGAAAGCUUUGUCAACAGUUGCAACAACGAGACAUGGAAGGGAUUCAAGAGAAAGAUAGAUACCUUUCGACCUCUUCCUUUGGCAUAUCAGUAACAAGAAGUCCAGCAUCACCACGAAGCAUCUGAAACAACAUUCCACAAACAUAAGUAGCUGACAAUAAAAAGGUCAAGUAAGAGAAGAAGAGUACACAACCUUGGAGACUUUGAAGAUACCAGGACGCAUUUCAUCAGAAGCAGAACGACCUAGAGCAACCUGCAUCACUUUGUUCGAACCGAGGAAGAACCUAAACCCAAUUAAAAAAAAAAACCAAAAUUAUAAAUCAAAGAGUAAAAGACAAAACCAUCUCUUCUUAUGUCUUUGACCAAAAGAAAACUGAACCUUCCGUUGUGUCUAAACUGCUGUCGGAACUCCUUGAACUUGAUGUUUCUCAUGUUCUCAAAAGAGAAAACAUAGACAGAUGAAUACUUCUCAACAGCCUCUCUGAUUCCAUUGACAAUAAUCUCCUUGUGCUCUCUUCCUUUCUUCUUUGUCUUUGACAAAGUGACUGCAAGCAAUACACAACAACAAGUAGAAACCAUUCAUCAAUUGAUUCGGACAUAUAAGCAAAAGGUUUAAGCUUUUAUGCAAAAGGGUUCCUCUAAAAUAUCUUUAUAAACCCUAAACCCUUGACGGCGGCUAUAAAGCUUAGAGCUUUCCAGCUCACUUAACGAAGAUGCAAUAGCUUCAGACAAUAGAGAGAUGAAAGAGUUCUGACCUGGUCUGUCUCUCUUUGAUUUAGGCAUGUCUUAUUGGGUUUCUGAUGGAUGAAGAAGUGAAGAAGCGAGAGAAAGCAAAGGUAACGGCUUUGGCUCCUUUAAGCUUCUUCUUUCACUUUUCUUCACAAAACAAAAACCCUACUUCCCCUUCUCUGCUUUAAUUCGGUUUUGUAAUUCGGAUCCCUAAUUUAACCCGACUUGGAUCCGACUAAGUUGAAUCGAUUGGGCCCAGUUUCAGAUAUAUGGGCCUUUUGUGUUGUCCGUCCAAUACUUAGUCUUGAUAUCCAAUAAAACAUGAUAAUUUGUAACUAAUAUCCGAACCUAAUCUGAUUUGAAAAAAAUUGUAAAAAUAUUAUUUUGUGUGAUAGUUUUUUAGAUUAUGGAUAUUAUAUGAACUCUCGAUCUGAAUCCAAAAAAUUCUGGAAAAGACAUGAAAAAAACAAAUUCAAAUAUUUGAAUUAGUUUGAAACUAUUGUUUGAAACCUAAUAAGCAGCUAAAAUACUCGGUUCAUAUUUAUAUUAUCUAUAAAAAUAUUUGAAUCCGAAAUGAGUUGAACCAAAAUAAAUCCGACGUAAAAUUAUAAAAAUCUGAAUCUAAAAUAUUAUUAUUCAAACACAACCUCAACAUUUUUAAGGCUGAACUCGAAAACAAGAUCCACUGAACGCCCUGACCUAUCUAAAAUCCAAAUAUUUGGAAGUUACAUAUCCAGAUUCAUGAAAACAAAUACUAGCAUUUACUCAAAGAUAAACAGAAGUGCAGAAACAUAACUUAAGCAAAAACGCAUGUAGUAUAAAAGAUCUUUAUUAUUAAUAGACAAAGCCAAAAGGUUUUCAUAACACAAGAGAACAUCAAAUUUACAGACAACAAACAGUAAAGAAAGGGGUUUGAGUAAAACAUCAUCCAUGAAGACAAUGGUCUUCAAGGCCUUCCUACUAAAUUCAGAAGGACACAGAAGUAAAAUAUAAACAACAUAAAUUGCUAUCCAGAAUUGUACAUCAGAAUACAUUCCCUUUAUUUUUUUUUCGAAAAUUAAAACAAAGAAAGCAAAUGGAUAUUAAGAUUUUGUACCUUCUACACAAACCCAACAGAGAUUUUUCCUUUUAAAGAGUAUUUGUAUCAUCUAGAAUGGUCUGAGUUCUGGUUAGCUUCUCUAUCUCUACCUCUCCUACUAGCUGAUCUCCCUAGGAGAACCCUUCUCCGGCUCCUCAUCUGGUUUGCGAAUGAUCUAGCUCCAUCCUCCUCAUCUUCAGAGGAGUCCACAUCGCUCUGAUUGACCGUUAAGUCAUUUGCAUCUGAUGAUAGACCAUGGGAUGUGUCAGAUGCGAGAUCUGAUCCCCCAAAAGCCUGCAGCAGAAGGAAAACGUUCACUAGGUUCCUACCAAUCCCAGCACCGAUCCUGCCUACUUCCUCCCUCUCCUCAUCCUCCUCCUCCUCCGAAUCUGAACCGUACGCACCUCUCUCAAUCACGUAAUCCCCAAACACCGUUGCUCCAGGCAUCGUCGACCUGAUCGUGCUGAUCACAUCGUUACGGUCCUGCUCAACCUCGAACCUCCUCCACUCCUGCUCCACAUCUGGAUCCACCUCACGCGGCUGCGCGCAAGGGUGGUCUUUCUUCAUGUGUUUCCUCAGCUCCUUAAAGGCUCCAGAAAAGGAGCAACCCUCCUGCAUACAGCUCCUCUUCUUCAGAUUCAGAUCGUCUCUCGCAGGCUUCACAACAGUCCACCCUUUCACCUGCCCCCUACAAAGCGGACACUUCAGAUUCUCAACCUCACGCUUACUGUUAACCACUUGCUGAUGCGACGGCGUUAGCUUAGCAGACGCCUUCUUGUACUGAUCUAAGCAAUUGGAGUAACGGAAGCUAGUUCCGCACAUGUAGGGACGGCAACCCUUGUCGUGAGACGAACAGAGGAGAAGCACAGCGUUGUGUGGACACUCCAUACAGACGGAACACACAGCGUCCGCCCAAUCAUUCUCCUCCAUUGCCUUGGGACAUGUGUUUGCGAACACGCUCCUCCUCACAACUCGCUUUGAUGAAGAUGCGAACUUGUAUGGUCUCGCUCUGAUCCGUCGAGUAGAAACCCUGCGUCUAGCCCUUCUAGCCUUCACCAUCUUAUGAAAAAAUUACACCUGAAUCAAGAAGCAACAUAUGUAUCAAGAACAGACAUUUAACAAGAUCAAAGGACAAAACAGAGUUUUGAAGGAGACAAAAAACAAUGAAACAGUUAAGUUUCUCUACCUGUAGCAAAACAGAUUGUUCUAUCAAUGUAUGUAGAGAGAGAGAGAGAACAAGUCGUGUCUGAUCAAUAGAAAUGAGGUGUAAUAAAAAAGAAGUGCAAACACGUUACAUGCCAGAGGCUCAAAAAAAAAGCAACGUGCUUGACCGAACAUUCACGCGACAUAGCAGUGAAUCAAUUAAUAAACAAUUAAAUAACAAACCAUAGUCAUGUUCGAUAAUCCUUUAAACUCACAUGGAGGAGCAAAACACAUCUCAGAUCCACAACUAUUAAAAAAAAAAUACACAACUAAUCCAAAUCUUUUUAUUUUUCUUUCCUGACAUAUUAAAUAUUUUCCAAGCUAUUAAACAAUCCCAAAUUGAAUCUGAAUCAAAUCGUACUCCUAAACAGACAACUAAAUCAACGGCGAUCGUAAGUCCUACCGGAUGAAUGUAAUCCACGCAAGCGAAGGAAGUUUAGUGUUGCGAGACCGGCGACGUGAAAUGACGCCGGGAAGGUGGAUAGAGAGAGAGAGAGAGACGGAGAAGGAAAAUUAAGAGAUUAGAAGAAGAAGCAUCUUCACGGCUCCAGAUUAGAAUAUUUUCUCUCUUACACGUCACGUCUUGUGGAAGUUAGUGACCUCCUCUUCCACGCGCCUUUCGCGGGCGUUAGAUUGACGCGCGUGUCCGUUUAAGGCUUUUAAGGGCCCGUUAAGGGUUGAGGCGAUGACCAUUGGGUAUGGGCCAUCGAUUAUGUUACGUCAAUAACUUUGGUGUAUUCCAUCAUCAAUCAACUAUUGUUUUCUGUAUGUGAAUCUUAUUCUCUGUAUAUUUUGCAAAAACUUGCAGUAUACAAUUGGUGCAAUAACAAUUGUGUGGAAGAGUGUAAAGCAGCUCCAAAGGUAGAACUUGAGUGAAUAUCUUAUAACUAAAAUUAAAGAAACAAAUUACGAAUAAAGAGAGAGAAUAGCAAGAAGUUCUUAAUUAACAGAUAACUCAUAAGAAAUCCAGAUCGAAAUGUCAGUUGUGUGUUGGUUUAAGUUUUUUACAAAAGAUCAAAUUUAAUUAUUUAACUAUCUUUUAUUUAAAAAUUAAUAUAUUUAUUUUUUAAGAACCUCAAUGAGGUGGUGCCGUUGAGGCUGAGGCUGCUCUGAUAUGCGAAUCUUAUUCUCUAUAUAUUUUUUGUGUCUAAUGUGUUUCAUUAUCUAAGUGGUCGUGUUUUCUCCGUGAAAAAAAAUUGACAACUAAUUCCAACGGCUCAAGAUAAAAUAAACAAUUUCCUAGAUAUUUUGUGUGGGACGUAAUGAGCUAUGAUGGUAGGUUAUCACUUAUCUAAUGUAGUUGUGUUGGAUCAUGGAACACUUAAUGGUAUAACCACUAAUUAGUCCAUUAAUUUGUGUUGGUCCACCGUCGAUCUUGAAUAGUAAACGAAAAAUAUACAAAAAUUCAGUAGAUAACUUUGCAGUAAUGUCUUGACCAAAAAAAUUAAAUAAAUUUUGCAGUAAUGUUAAAGGGAUAGAUAAUGUUAGGAGAGUAAUCAUGACGCGUGUACAUGGAUGGACUAGUGGUCAAACCUGGCAACUGCGACAUUUCUAUAAAUAACCACAAAGGGUCACAUUUGAAGAAAGAGAAAGGAACAAAAAAAUCAAAGAUCUAAACAAAAGAAUAAUGAUGAAGAAGCAAGUGACAAUAGUGGCGGCUCUUCUGAUUCUGGUGGCUUUAUCUUCCAAUUUGGAUAUGGUCGCUGAGGCUCAGUUAGGCCCUGGAGACUGCUACGACGGUUGCUCCACCGCCUGCGUCCAGCGCGACUGUGAGCACCCUCUCCACUUAUAUGAAUCCCCAACGCUACACAAAUUCUGGGGAUCAGUCUAAAAUAUCUGUUUUUUUUAAUCUUUCUACCUUUUUUAUGUUUUCCAGCGAGAAAGACGGCCCGAUGCGAUCGCAAGUGCUCUAUUCGAUGUGGCCCAGGUAACUAAUGAAACCUUAUCCUUACCACACCGGUAUAUUGUACAUUUGUAUAAUCGGUAGUAACCCUAACCGGUCGGUUAGCUUUGUAUGUUCUAUCAUACUUAAAGCAGUGUUGUCUAUUAGAAUCAGAUCAUACGUCGUGAGAUACUGAGAUGAGUUGGUUUAGCAUCUGAGUGAAACCAAAAAAGGUCUUGAAACUAAUGUUUUUUUUUUGUAAUUGCAGAUGCUAAAAAGGCAGGAAAGACUGGUGCUUGAACUUUGAUAUUUACUAAGAUCCAUAUUUUAGAUUUAAUAAUGUUGUAAUCUUUGUUUCAAAAUUUUAUCUCUGCAAAACAUAUUACGUAUUGUUUAUGUUGUUAUUGUAGUCAAUAGACAAUAACCAAUAAUUACUGCUACGAUGUUCCAUUUAACUACUAAUAGUACCAUAUGUAUUAACUUUGAAACGUAAUUAAAGCUGGUCGGACUACGAUUCAACGAUUCAGUGAUCCAAUCAAUUUGCCAUGUUAGUAUCAACUCGUAUGAAAACUUGCUAAGAACCAGUGAGCUCAUGUCUUGUCUUCUCUUUAUUAGACUAUAUAUCCGGCUAUAGGAUAGGUAACACGUACCAGCUAAUUGUCCUAUUUUUAUCUUCUCUUCCUCUGUCAGGCCCAACUCUAGGGUAGCUCAUUGGAACCGACUAACUUAUCUCCCUCUUGUCUUCUCUUAAAUAGCAAUGCGAUUCAAGUGUGAUAGCGAUUUGAGUGUGGAAGCCAUGUGAUUUGGUAGGGAUGCAAUGGGUUCGGAAGCAAUGCAAUUAUUACACAUCUUUUAAUAGCAAAACGAUUUGAAAGGAUUGAAAUAACUAGAAUGGACCAUACUUAAGAUUUUUUUUUGUAUUUACAUAUUUUUAAUUUCGUAAAAGUAAAUUAAAUUUAUGGAUAUAUGAUUUACUGAAAAUAUAAUCCUAAAUAAAUUCUUCAAGAUAUAAAUUAAUUGAAUAUUUUGGUCAACUGUAACACCUCCUGAUCAAUAUCAAGUAUAGAGAAGUGCUAUUUGUUUAGAGGCAUAACAACUUCGAUAUUAACUCUCUUUUUUGUCAUUCUCUCUAGAUGUUAUACCUUGGAAAUGAUUCAGAUUUUUUUAGUUCAUUACUAUCAUUGUCAAUUAAAGUGAAAAUGGAACAAUGGGAGUAAUUUUGUGAGGUAAGGGUUCUCUGAGUUGUGAAGAGAAAACAUGCAUGAUGCAUGUCGCAGGUUUUGAUAGGGGAAAUAUGAUUCUAAAAACAGUAUAUAGUGACGAGAGAUGGAUAACUGAGAUAACCAUAAAUUACAGAAUAUAUAUAGAUUGAGGCUAAAAGAUCCAAGAAAAAGGAUUAUAAUUUCUGAUUUUUGGCUCGAUUUAGAGACCGGUAUGUAGAAGGAUAUACAUCCUUGUUCCAUCAAAAGGCAAACUAAUCAUCAGAAUGUAUUUUAGAUGGAACGGUUUGAGGUGGAGUCUUCCUAGUCUAUCCAGAGAAAAUGGUUUGGAUAUUGCAAUUACUUCCUAGUCUAUCAGAUGUAACUUAGAUGGAUCGGUUUACCAGCUUACAUAAUUCAAAUCUGGGAAAAUAUAUUAAUCAAGAAUGCUUGUCAGUGAUAACACUCCAAGUUAAACGGUGAUAAAUCUCUUCCAGUAACAAUUAGGUAAAAAGGUUUAUCAACACACAAAAAAGUCAAAAUGAUAGUUAGGGUCUUUGCAUGAUGCGAGGCGAAGGUCAUGCCGCCUCGUGGACAAUAACGCUUAACAAUGUCCACUUAUUACCAUUUCAUUCUCUCUCUCUCUCUCUCAAGAAUACAAAUAAUUAAAAAAAAUCAUAUAAAUUCGAGUACAAUGACGUUCGAAAGCUUUUUUUCUCGCGACGAGAAGUUAGAGAGAGAAAAGUUUUUCUAAGGGGAUCCGGCGGUCGGCCGGCGCGUGAGCGUCCGUGCCGUCGCCGGAGCCCCUUUUCCUUCCGAUAAAAUCAUCCGGGUCUGUCCCUCCUUCUCUUUUUCAGUGUCCGUCGGUCGGAGCUCAGAUCAGUCACCAACCGGUGUGGUUCUGGUACGGGAGUUACGGCGGGGCUUGCGGGUAGGAGGGGGGGGGUGUCAUUAGUGCGAGUUUUAGUUCCGGGAGGCGGAGGCUCUCACAGCUCCGUCGACGCCGGUUUUUGUCUCCGCGGUGGGGAAGCUCCCUUAGUUCUGCCGUCGUCGGAUCUAGCUCCCGGGGGGUAAAGGCUGUCACAGCUUUACGUCGCCGGCUUCAGUCCCCUAGUCCUUUAGGGUUUAUUUCGGUGUUUAGUCGUUGGUUUGGAGUGGUUUCUGGUCGCGUCGGAGGAGAGAAAGAUCUCCGACGGAAAGGGUGAAGUUGCAUGCGAGGUUUUGGGCGGUUGCGGUGAACGGGGGUGGAUGAGAUCUCGCCACGGCGAUCGAUUCUCUCCGAUAUUUGAGUCCUAAAAGCUCUUGACGGUGAAGAGGUUCGGAACUUUGGAGUUCCGGCGUGGCUGGUGAUCCGGCUGAUGGAUCUCCGGCGAGGAUGAGUUGCAGGUGCGAUGCGUCGAUCUCGCGACACGUGACCCUCGACGCCGAGGAUGUUGACACGUGUCCAAGCGUUGAAAAGAGUGAUCUGCGAGGCGGCCGCGCUUCGAAACCGUGUUGGUUUCUAGGGUUUCUCAAGGUGGGCCGCUGGAUUGGGCCCAAUUGUGUAACGAGUUUUGCCCUGUAGCUUUGUUGGGCUUUUAUUGUAUUUUGUUUCUGGGCUGGGCCCGUUUUUAUAAAUUAAAAAAAAACUAUUGACGGAAAAAAAAAAAGAAGCAUUCCAGAGUAUCAUUUAAUAAUAAUUAAAAAAUCUUAACUGUUUACUUGCUGGCUCGUGAAUGAACUAUUAAAGAAAAAAAGACAAGAAGGCUCCUGGUACUGCGAAAAAGCAGAGAGAAGGACGACUUUAUCUUUUUCUGGUUUUAAUUGUUCUCUUUGACUUUAUGGGUUCUUUUGUUCUAGUCUCCUACGGAUCUGCUUAAAUCCGUGUGAUCUGUUUACACGUAAUCUCUGGAGGAUCUGAGUUGUUGAGCCAGACCCAGAUUGUGUUCUACUUUUUUUAGCUGAACUUCUUGAUUUGGUCGGAGAAAGCUUAAGGGUAGGUGGGUUUUGUCUUUGAAGGUUCUGAGUUAUCACCUUCUUGUCUGAAAGGUUCGUUCUCUAACCCUUCUUCUGUUCUGUCUUUGAUGUUUUUAUGCACUGAGAUUAUAUGUCCUAAACCCAACAGCAGUUUCAUCUGAAAAUUAACUAAAAAUCUUGACUUUAUAGGAAGUGAAAAUCAGAUGAUAUUUUGUAAAGUUUCAAGAUUUAAUUUUAUGGAAACCGUUUGAUAUCCUUGAUUCUUAUGUUACAUACGAAUUUGUUCAAGUUAUUUAUUUUGCUUUAAUUAUCAAAUUGACUCUUGAUUUUACCUUCUACACAGCUAUGUGAUCUGGAUUUUGCAUUUGGUGGAAUUGAUAUCAGAUUCUCUUUGAUAAAUUAUUUGUCAUAAAGAAAAAGUUUUCUCUUUGCUUGAUUAAAAGCUAUGGCCUAGUUUCUUUAUUGGGCAUGCAGUGAAGCUUUAGCUAAUCGUCUUUCUCUUUUAGCCUCCACUUGGCUUUUUUUUUUUAACUUUAGUUUCUUACUUACUAAGAAGGUGACUCAGAAUUGCCAAGCUUUAAUGACUUUUUAAUCUUAUGCACAGUCAGUGGAAUCUCUCAUCUCACUCUGAAGCUUUCUUUGUUGGAUUUGGAUAUAGAAAGAGAAAUGUCGUUUAGGAGCAUUGUUCAAGAUUUGAGAGAUGGGCUUGGGAGCUUGUCUAGGAGGAGUUUCGACUUCAGGAUUCACAAAGGGAAAUCUCAGGGCUCUUGUGAGUAUUCAUCUUCACGUGACCUCUUGUCACCGUUGAUAGUUCAGACAAGCAGAUGGGCUAAUCUUCCUCCGGAGCUACUCUUGGAUGUGAUCAAAAGAUUAGAGGAGAGUGAGAGUACUUGGCCUGCAAGAAAACAUGUGGUGGCUUGUGCUUCUGUUUGUCGGUCGUGGAGAGCUAUGUGCCAAGACAUUGUCCUGUCUCCUGAAAUCUGUGGGAAGCUCACUUUCCCAAUUUCCCUCAAACAGGUUCACUCCUCAAGACAAAUUUUCUCUUUUGUGUAGUUUUUUUAGUUCAAAACAAACUGAUGAAGAAGCUUGUGUUUACUGUGGUUAAUGUUUUGCAGCCAGGGCCUCGCGAUCCGAUGAUUCAGUGUUUCAUCAAGAGGGAUAAAUCAAAGCUAACGUUUCAUCUUUUCCUUUGUUUAAGUCCUGGUAAGCUUUGUUGUUAGGGACUUAGCUGCAUGUGUUGGAAACAAUGUUUAAAAAAUCGCUAGGCGGUAACUAGGCGUGCUAGUCGGACUUAGGCAAAGCCUAGUUGUUAACAAAUUAUUAAUUUAGAAAAUUAUAUUGAAGAAUUAUAAAAGUUUGAUAUAUAAAAAAAGAAAGAAGUUAGACAAAUUUGUGGGAUUUGAACUAAUAUUAUUGCUUUGAUGAAGAGAUUUACACCAAUUUAGAUUGAUUUAAACCAAUUUAGAUUGUUUUUAACCAAGUUUAGAACGUUUUAAACCGAUUUGAGAAGCAUAAACCGUUUCAUUUGUGACCCAUUUUUAGAACAUUUAGUUUGAGUUUCAUUAGUUUAUGUCUGAAGACUAGUCGCAUUAUGUUUUUUUCUUUUCAGCUCUACUUGUGGAGAAUGGGAAGUUUCUUCUUUCAGCUAAACGAACUCGUAGAACUACUCGAACCGAGUACAUUAUCUCCAUGGAUGCUGAUAACAUCUCAAGAUCAAGUAACUCUUACCUCGGAAAGCUCAGGUUCGUUUUUUGAGCUCCUUGAUAGUUUUGAGCUACUUUUUGAUUCCCACUCACGUAUUGAAAGAUUCUUUCUUCCCUUCUCUCAGAUCAAACUUUCUUGGGACAAAGUUCUUGGUUUACGACACACAACCACCACAAAACACACCAUCUUCCUCAAGCGCACUCAUCACUGACCAAACAAGCAGAAGCAGAUUCCACUCUAAAAGAGUUUCUCCUAAAGUCCCAUCAGGUAGCUACAACAUUGCUCAAAUCACCUACGAGCUCAACGUGCUGGGCACGCGAGGGCCGAGGAGAAUGCACUGCACCAUGAACUCCAUCCCAACUUCAUCUCUCGAACCGGGCGGCUCGGUUCCUAACCAGCCUGAGAAGCUCGUCCCUGGCCGUCUCGACGAGUCAUUCCGCAGCAACAUCUCGUUCUCCAAGUCAUCACUCGACUACCGUUCAGUAGAUUUCAGCAGCUCUAGGUUCUCUGAGAUGGGAGUAGUAUCUUGCGAGGAGGACCAAGAGGAAACGAGUUUCAGGCCGUUGGUUUUGAAGAACAAGCAGCCGAGGUGGCACGAGCAGCUGCAGUGUUGGUGUUUGAAUUUCCGUGGACGUGUGACCGUUGCGUCCGUUAAGAACUUCCAGCUUGUGGCUGUGAGACAGCCGCAGACGCAAGGGACAGGCGGCGUUGCACCAGCACCGGGGGCUCAUGGAGAGCAAGAUAAAGUGAUACUACAGUUUGGUAAAGUGGGGAAAGAUAUGUUCACGAUGGAUUAUAGGUAUCCAUUGUCUGCGUUUCAAGCGUUUGCGAUUUGCUUGAGCAGCUUUGACACCAAGCUCGCUUGUGAAUAAAUGAAGAAACAUUACUUCUCCUUCAACAUUCAUGCUAAUCGUUUGUCUCUUUAUCUAUGCUCUUGUCUAUGAAUUUGUGAGAGUCAGACGUCUUAUUAUUAAUCUCUUCUCAACAUUUAAUGUGCAAUCUUCACUAACUUAUAACUGAUAUCAUAAACUUUGAAACGGUUUUCUUUCUCAGUAAUAUUAUAUAGCUAAGAUUUCAUAAAACUGUGUGCUAAUAAACAAUUUUUUUGGUUUGUUACUUGAAAAUUAUUUUCAGAGCUGCAAGAAAAGAAAGCUAAAAAAAUAUUAUUUCUUGUUUUAGAAAAUGUUUGUUAUUAAAUAUAAUAAGAUGGUUGAUGGGUGACCGUUUGUUGAACUAAGAAAAAGAACACAAAUUUAUUUGAAAAAUUAAGAAUUAAGAAAAUUUGUAUAAAUUGUUCUUCAUCAAAAUUGGAAAGGAAAAUAUUUUUUCAUAAUAAAUUCUUAUAAAUUUGAAAAAUGAAAGAAAUGGAACCUGCGUGUCAUCUAUUUGACAAAAUAUUCAAUUUAAUUGGUUUAGAAUUUAGGAAACAAUCAAUUUAGAACAAUUCUCUCAAAUAAUAGAUUUUUUUUUAGCUUUUGUCACAAAAUAACUCUCAAAAAAGUAAAUAAUAAAAAUAGCAUAUUUUUAUUUUUUAAAUUUUAAUUUUAAUUUUAAAAAAUUUGAAACCUUAUUCCUAUUGUCUGAAAAUGGUCAUUUUUUUUAAUUGAAAACUAUUUUUGAGAAAUUUGUUUUUAAAAAAAACUAUCCUAAGAAAUUUCUCAUGAAUUUAUCUAAUAUUUUCUUUUAAAUUAAAAUAAUUUAAUAAGAGAGAUUUUAAAUAAAUAGAUUUCUUAAUAGUAUUAUUUUUGGCUAAAACAUCAUAUAAUAGAGUGUACCGUACCAAAGGUGAAAAAAAAAGAAGAAGCAAAGGUCCCAAGUUCGAAACUGAGAAACGUGAAAGGAGAUGGUACCUUUGUCAUUAUCUCAACAUAAUCUCUGGCCGCCGGAAUCUGGAUCCACGGCGUUUCGAAGUUUCGCAACCGCCGCAUCCAUACACGCGUGCGAUCAUCUUCGCCGUCACCUCCGCCUUGGCUUACGUAUCCGCUCCUCCCUUCAGGUUCAAGCUACUCUCUCUCUCUCUUUCUUAUACUUCUCUCCGAAAGUUGAGUACUUUGGAACAGAAAGGCUUAAACUUUCUUCAUCUGGGUUGCUUUGUGAUUAGCUCUUUUGCAAUUCUACUGUAUAAAGGUUUCAACUUUCAAUCAUUUGUCUUGGACUCUCUCUCUGCUGCUUUUGACAGAAACUGCAGCAAGUCUCUGAUGCUGCACGAACGGAGUUAUCAAGAAGAGUCGUUCUGUUCAACAGUGCUAACUUCCUCCACUCCAGAGAUGAUAUCAGAUCUUCGUUGCUAUCAAUAUGUUUCUUUAAUGGAGGAGGAGAGAGUAGGAUAGAUCCUAGAGGUGAGGAAGGAUCAUCAUCAUCAUCAAACCAGGAGACUUCCAAGAGAAACACAAGCAGUGGACGGAGGUGGACCAAUGUCCUCCUUGCCGUUAACGUUAUGUAUGUGUUUGUUUAGUUCUUCUCUUUGUUACAGAGAACAAAAAGAUCAUGUCUUUUGGUUUCAUAUGUUUCAUUCUUGUGUAAUGACAGAAUGUAUAUUGCACAAGUUGCAUCCAAUGGUAGAGUGCUGACAUGGGGAGCCAAGGUUAACAGCUUAAUCGAUAGAGGUCAGUUAUGGAGACUGGCUACAUCUUCUGUUCUUCAUGCGAAUCCUAUGCAUCUCAUGGUCAGUUUCUCAUCAACCAUUCAACCCUUUUAAGUUCUAUUCUCUAGUCAAUGCUGUUUACUUCUUUUUUAUUUGUAUGGCUAAACUGUUUCCUCCUUUGUGUUUUAGAUUAAUUGCUAUUCUUUGAAUUCUAUUGGACCAACUGCUGAGAGUUUAGGUGGCCCAAAGAGAUUCCUUGCCGUUUACUUGACAUCUGCAGUUGCAAGUAAGUAAUGUCUCAUAGACUUUCUUUGACGUUGGGUGAUUAUAGUUGACUAACAGAAACCAUCUUAAGAGUUCUAGGUUCAGCAAUGAGUUACUGGCUCAACAAAUCGCCAUCAGUUGGUGCUUCCGGUGCAAUUUUCGGAUUGGUAAGUCUGUUGGAACCAUAAGCCUUUCUUCUCAUACAAAAUGAAGUUUGUUAAAUGAUAACCUCUUUUCCUUUUUGUAGGUUGGCUCGGUAGCUGUAUUUGUCAUGAGACACAAACAAAUGGUCAGAGGUGGGAAUGAAGAUCUGAUGCAGAUAGCUCAAGUUAUUGCCUUAAACAUGGUAAGUAAUAGAAUUUUUUUUAAUUUUUAUUAUUCUUUCUCAAGGUCUAACAAGCUUUGACUAUGCAGACAUUGGGUUUAGUGUCAAGAGGCAUAGAUAACUGGGGACAUGUAAGUAACCAAAUCAUGCCUUAAAAAUUUAUUAAACAGUAGUAGAUGUCUGAGAAAUAACAUCUCUGGUGAAUUUCAGAUUGGUGGCUUACUUGGUGGAACCGCAAUGGCAUGGCUUGUAGGACCACAGUGGAAGUAUGAGUACACAACAAGAGACGGUCGGAGAGUCUUCGUGGACAGGGCUCCAAUGCCACUCUUUUUGCGGUGGAGAAAUGAACGGGGACGAAGCUGAACAGUUUUCUCUUUUAAUGCCAUGUGAAUGAAUAUAUAGAGAGAUUGGAUGUGUAUUUGGGAGGACUUGAUUCUUGGGUCAAAGUAGCAGCUCGUUACUAAAAUGUUAAUGUUUGAUGUCUUAAAUGUUUUUAUAAAAACCAAGUUUGGAUUAAUGUUUGUUUAUUAAUUUAAAUAAAUGUUAAUGAUAGAUUUAAUUGUAUUUGGGUUGUCUAGGUUUAAAACUGGAUAGAUUUUAUAUUAAAUAAAAAUGAUAUCUGAAGUUAUUUAUUAAUCAAUUUUAACAAAUAAAUAAAUGAUUAGGAAACUAAUUAACUUAUACAUAUAAAUACUAGUAAAAUAAGUCAUGAGUUUAAUUAUUAGCUAAAUCUAAAUGGACUUUUGAAUAUACUUAAAACCUAAAUAAAUUUGGAAUUUUCAGGUUAGAUUAAGUUAGAUCAUUGAUUAGGUUAACCAACUUUGUCACCCAUAAUGAAAGGUGCAACAAUCAAACUUUUGGUAGCAUUUAAUGAUCGAAGCAGCCAGAGAAAAAAAGCCAUGAAUUUUUCUUUCAUAUUUGGUAGCAUUUUUUACUAACAGCAGUUUUAAUUUGCGACAAUUCACCACGAUUUGAAAAUUUUCUUAUAUAGUAGUAGCUAAUAUAAACAUACUGUUCUAUAUCGAAAAUGUGACAUAUUACUGAGUGACUAUACCAAAUUGCUGUUACGUUUACGGUAUUGCAAAAGUUGUAUAUUCAAUUUGAAAACAAAUUAGUUACAUUUUUAUUGAUCAUAAAUAUUAUUUUUUUGAUGAUAAAUAUUAAGCGAUAUCCAUGAUAUGAAGGGACCCAUAUAUAUAUGCAUGUCUACAAACUAAAAAACACAAACCAAAUCUCGACAGAAAACUAAACAAACCAACAAUGAAGCUUUACAUGUUAUGGCUCGUGUUGGUAUUAGCCGUCCAAGCAGAUGCAGCAAAGCAAAGAAAGAAGGCUAAAAUCCCUGCAUUAAUAGUUUUCGGAGAUUCAAUAAUGGAUACUGGUAACAACAACAAUCUCUCAACUUUUCUUAAGUCCAACUUCCCUCCUUAUGGCAAAGACUUCCCCGGCGGAUUGGCUACUGGAAGAUUUUCUGAUGGAAAAGUUCCUUCUGAUCUUAUUGGUAAUUGUUUGAACUAUUUUUUAUAUUUGAUUAUAUAAAGAGUUAUAACUAUUUUUACAUCGUUCUACACUUGUUUUAACCAAUUUUAUUUCAGCGGAAAAAUUGGGGUUGACUAAGACAUUACCAGCAUACCUAAGUCCAAAUUUGAAGCCUAGAAAUCUUUUGAAAGGUAUAACAUUUGCGUCUGGAGGAACCGGUUAUGAUCCAUUGACAGCCGAAACUAUGGUAUGUUAUCAUAUACUUACAGUUAAUUAGUUUUAUUUAUUUAGGAAUACGGAGUUGGAUUGGAGGCUAAAACUCUUAAAUUACCUAGUAAGAAUUUUGAAAAGUCAUGGAUCCAGUUCCGGUUGAGAGAGGCUUGCUCUCCUAAAGAAUGCUAUUUAAAAUGGGGUGGAUCUCGUCCAAGGGGAUGUAAUUAAGGGCUUUCGGGAUUGAACCUCUAAAUAUUCAAAAAAAAAAAUAGUAAAUAAUAUAGAACUUUUAUUUGUUGAUCUUUUGUAGUCGGUGAUAUCAGUGGGGGAUCAACUAAUAUAUUUCAAAGAGUAUAUAUCAACGAUCAAACGACGUUAUGGAAAAAGAAAAGCUCGACAUAUCUUGAACCGCGGCAUUUUUCUCGUGGUUUCUAGUAGCAAUGACCUUGCUCACACUUAUAUAGCCCAAUCUCAUAAAUAUAACCCUGCAUCGUAUGCUUCUUUCUUGGCUAAAUCAGCAGUUAAAUUCGUAAGAGUAAGUGUGUUAGAUUUAUUCAAAUAUUAAAUCAAACAACAAUAAAAUAACAACUAAUAAUAUUAUUUAUUUAAUAAUAUUUAGGAAUUACACAAGCUUGGAGCUCGAAAAAUUGGGGUGUUUAGUGCACUUCCUGUUGGAUGUGUACCACUUCAAAGAUCAGUGCGUGGAAGUGUAUUAACAAGAGAAUGUGUUAAACCCUUAAACAAUAUGGCAAAAAAAUUCAACGCCAGACUUUCUCCAGCACUGAAAUCUUUAGAUAGAGAGUUGGAUGGUAUUAUCUUCUACGUUGAUGUUUAUGAGACCUUUUUGGACAUGAUCCAAAAUCCUAAAAAAUACGGUUAAUUCAUCUCACAAACAUAUAUAUAUAUAUAUAUUUUAUUCCUUUGUAUUAAAAACGUGACUAAGUUUUAAGUAAACAUCCUAUUAUGUUUCAGGUUUCGAGGUAGCUGAUAGAGCUUGUUGCGGUACUGGUUUUCUCGAAAUUUCUUAUAUGUGCAACUCAUAUAAUCCAUUCACAUGCUCUAAUUCGUCGGCAUACAUAUUUUGGGAUAGCUACCAUCCAACUGAAAGAGCUUAUCAAGUUAUGGUUGAUAAGUUAUUCGACAAAUACUUUAGCAAAGUCUUUUGAUGUUAAACAUUAAUUACAUCCUUGUGUUUCAUUGUAUUUAUCCUUCUUAUUGUUUCAUGUCUGUGAUUAAUUCAUUGCAGAAUGUUCAAUGCCUUGUGCACUGAAAUAAUUUGAAUGAAAUCUUAAUGUUCUAUGUUUUCAACCAACAGUAAUCUUAAUGUUUUGAAAACGUGAUUCUACCCAAUACAUUAUUGGAACUCAGUUUUAAUACAUAUGUUAAAAUUGAAGUUUGCUAAAUGAAAAAUGUUUAUCCUAAGAUUAUUUCUUUAAUAUCUCAAAAUAGACAUUUUAGAGAAGUAUAACAAGGUUAAGUACCUUGGACAAUUGUAGAUGAAUGCAGGUUAACAGCUUAAUCGAUAGAGGUCAAUUAUGGAGACUGGCUACAUCUUCUGUUCUUCAUGCAAAUCCUAUGCAUCUCAUGGUCAGUUUCUCAUCAACCAUUCAUCCUUGCAAUGACCCUAGUCAAUGCUGCUUACUUCUUUCUGUGUGGCUAAACUGUUUCCCCCUUUGUGUUUCGAUAAAUUGCUAUUCUUUGAACUCCAUUGGACUAACUGCUGAGAGUUUAGGUAGCCCAACGAGAUUCCUUGCCGUUUACUUCACUUCUGCAAUCGCAAGUAAUUAAUGUUUCAUAGACUUUCUUUGAUGUGGGUGAUUAUAGUUGACUAACAGAAACCAUCAUAAGAGUUCUAGGUUCAGCAAUGAGUUACUGGCUCAACAAAGCGCCAUCAGUUGGUGCUUCCGGUGCAAUUUUCGGAUUGAUAAGUCCCUUGGGGAACCAUAAGCCUUUGUUCUCAUACAAAUUGAAGUUUGUUAAUGAUACCUCUUUUUCUUUUUGUAGGUUGGCUCGGUAGCUGUAUUUGUCAUGAGACACAAACAAAUGGUCAGAGGUGGCAAUGAAAAUCUGAUGCAGAUAGCUCAAGUUAUAUUGCCCUAAACAUGGUCAGAUAGAAACUUUUAGAAUCUAUAUAAUCUCUCUCAAAUUCUAACAAGCUUUGACAAUGCAGACAUUGGGUCUAGUAUCCAGAGGCAUAGAUAACUAGGGACAUGUAAGUAACCAAAAGCAUGCCUUCAAAAUCUUUUAACCAAGUUCUAUUUUGCUUGGAGCAGUAGUGGUCUGAUGAAUAACAUCUCUGGUGAAUUUCAGAUUAGUGGCUUGCUUGGUGGAACCGCAAUGGCAUGGCUUGUAGGACGACAUUGGAAGUUUGAGUAUACAACAAGAGAUGGUCGGAGAGUCUUCGUGGACAGCGUUCCAGCUCCUCUGCUUUUGCGUUGGUGAAACGAACGCGCCGACGGCUUUGAUAGGAGACCAACGAAGCUGAACAGUUUUCUCUCUCAGUGCCGUGUGAAUAUUAGAGAGAUUGAAUGUGUAUUAUGGAGGAUUUUGACCUUGGUUAGAAGUCGCCAGCUUAUUUUAUUGUAAACAAAUGCAUUUUUACAUUGCUAAACUAUGAAUGUGUUUAAUUGUCAAGUUUACCCCAUUUCGAAUACAAUUUGAAGCAAAGAAGGAGAACGCAACAAAGAGAACAAUACUAGUGCAAGGGUUAAGAACACACGUGUAGCAAGUAAUGUUAGUCCUAGUCCUAGAGGAAGUGUAAGAAGAAGGCUUUACCCUUGGAUAAAAUUGAGCCAAGUUUGGCAAAUCAUUUGCCGCAAUGGUAUUGAUUAGGGUUUUGGGCAUCUAAUCUACUUUUCAAUAUCAUCAUCUUCCUUGUGCAUCCAAUCUACUCAGAAAGAAGUGUCAGUAUAGGAGUAGUGUGUAGUGUACUUACGGUUAAGUUUUCAUUUUCCUUAUUUAAUGUCAAUAUAUAUCAAAGACAUUGUAUCUAAUGUCCUCAUUUACUUUGACUUAUUUGGCACCGAUUUCAUUUUAUUUUGUUUUAUUGGAUCAGAAACUUAUUGGAUCAUAAUUUAUCUACCAACAGUUUAUGAAUCUAUUAAAAUCCACUAACCAAUAACCUCACUUAGAUUUGCCACCACAAAAUACAAAUUUACUAUAAGACAUAUAGGUUACUGCGUCAGAAUUAUAUUGAGCCAUAUAUUAUUACGCCUUUGCCAAUAUCUUAGCAUGUAGAUCAAGUUUAGGAGCUAACUCUUCCUCCAUAGGGCUGUUCGUUUGGUUGCCGCAGGUACCGGCGGCAGCGGCAGCGUCAACAUUCUGCGUCAACUCUUGUUCGUUUCGUUGACGCAGCAAGCUGUGUCUGACGCCGCGUCCGAACACCGCGUCCUACGGCUGACGCCGAUAAAACCUGUGGUCGCGAUAUAGUAUGCGGUAGCGUCAGCGGCAGCGUCAGCGUCUGCGAAACGAACAACAACUGUAUUCAUUGACGCUGCCGCCGCCGCUGACGCUGACGCUGCCGCCGCCGCCGCCGCUGACGCUGCCGCCGCCGCUGACGCUGAUGCUGCCGCCGCCGCCGCCGCUGACGCUGCCGCUGACGCCGAAACCUGCGGUAACCAAACGAACAGGGUUAAGAGCCUUGUUCGUUUCUUAACCGCCAGAUGCAGCUGGAGCGGCAAGAAAAAGCACGGGGACGGUGGUCAAAAUAAUAGAAUCUGAAGCUAAAAUAACAGUACACAUCUUUUCUCUUGUUUCGCUUCAACAAACUUACAGUAACUUCGAUUUUGUUAAUACGAUAGAAAAUUCAUCUAAAAAGAAUCAUAUUGCUUGGAAUUUAUUUUAUGCAAUCAACAAAUUUUAGUAACUCAAACUACAUCUCGUGCACGUAAAACAUAUACAUUAAUUAUAAUACCCAUAUCAUAUGUGACUUAGAGAAGCUUAUAACAUCUAUCUUUUUUUUUUGAAUAUACAAGCUUAUAACAUCUAUCCACAUCAAAUAAACCUUGAGACGCGAAGUCAAAACUUUAAUUGUGAAAAACACAUUCCAAUGACAAUACAUCAUACCAAGAUGAAUCAAUAUCUACCAAUAUAAAGACCCACACCUUAUGCUUCUUUGCCACACACAGCUCUGGAAACACAAAUCAAGAAAUGUCAAGACGAUUGAAAGCUUAUCUCACCUCCAUACUUCUCAUCAUGGCAGUCUCUCCCCUUUCACACGGUCUUUCACUUGGUGGCCUCAGCUUUGGCCAAGUCGAAAUUAACGGUAUCGCACGGUGUAGCCUUAAUGGAGACCCUAACGCCCCUCCUAUCUCAAAUGGCACUGUUAUCUUAACAUGUGGUGGCUUAACCGCCAACCUCGCUGAAACAUUAAGUCAACCGAAUGGUUUUUUUCUCAUGUUUCUCAGCUUUUUACAAACACUUCUGUUUACCCCUAGUUCCUGCUAUAUCACAAUUAAUCUUCCGACGGGAAAUUGCUCUAUUUACUCACCGGAUGGCGUCCUCAGUGCUGUUCUUACACUUGCCAGCGUCGCGGUGGGUAAUAACACAAAUGUCGCUUAUUUUGUUGCCGGCCCAGUGCUCGAUAAUAUUUUCUGAUGCAAAGGGGGACUUUCAUGCGCAUGCUACAUAUAAUAAUGUUCUUAUGUUUUACGUUGAGGUGUUGCAUAUAGAAAUAAGUGGCUUAUACUCCACAAAAAAAUUAUAAAUAGCACAUCUCUUUAUUGCCUUUUUAAAUGAGUGAAUAUCAAAUAUAUAUACUUGGACACGGAUAUUUAGUAUGGGGGGUGUCCCUAAAAAUAAGGAGUGUCUUGCAUCAUGUAUGUUAUAGAUUUGUAUUUAUAAUUGAUGUAAAUAAAAGUUAUAUCGUUUAUAAAAAUGAUUCUGAAAAUGUUGAUGUAUAUUUAUAUCAAUUACUAUACUUGAUGUAAUUAAUAUACGUAAGAAAAUUAUGACUCAAUAAAAUUUUUAUUGUAAGGAUUUAAAUCCUAUUAAAAUAACCAAAUUUUAAAUAAUAGUUUUUUAAAAAGAAAAUUAUACAAUAAAAACUCAGGUAAAAAAUAAAAAUAGAAAAAGAGGAUACAUUUAUAUAAAUUCAUAACAUAUUAAUAAAUAAUAUGACAAUCUAUACUAUUAUUUGCGAAGUAAAUUUUUGAAAUUGAGCUCUCACGUUAAAAGUUUGAGCGGUUAAUAUCUAUAUUACCAUUAAUUUAUUUCAUUGCGUGAGAUGAUUGAUAAGUGAUUUCUCAUAGUUUUUAGAUUCUACUGAUGUUCAAAAAAAUGAAAAUUUGACAAAAACCAAAAAAAAAACAAAUUGUGACUAAAACUAUAAAAAGUAAUUUAGCAUGAUAGUUUAAAAUUUAUAUUUUUAUUAUACCCGCAUGUGCGGGCCAAAUACCUAGUAGUAUAUAAAACACAUGUUUUGUGUCUAUAUUGUAUUAACUUUAUAUCAAUAAAAUAAUGUCAAAUUUAAAAGUAAAAACAUAAUAAUAUUCCCUUAUAUACUAAAGCACAAGUCACUUGCCCAAUAAUAUUAUGACACAUAGAUAAAUAUUUUAUUUUUCAAAAACAACAAUUACCAAAAAGAAAAACAGUUAGUUUACAAAAAAAAAAAAACAGUUGAAACAAAUCAGUUUCAGAACAUAAAACCAAAAGAAAGAAAAUAAUUAUUUUAACUGCCUCAUAUAUUACACCCACAAUCUCCAGCUUAUUAUGUAUUACAUUGGGUUAGUGGUGUAGACGAAUUCAUAUAACAAGCGAGCAAGUGUUUUAUUUAGUUAUAUGUAAUUUUAGUUUGUGUGAGUAUUUAAUCUAACUUCAGUUUGUUAAUUCGAAUCAUGUCUCUAAUAUCUUUUUAAGAAAAUUAAGUAUAUAAUAGAUUUAUCCAGUGCUACGGAGAUACACUAGUUAUUAAAAUAAAAAGCGUUUAAUUUGAAAAUGACACGCAAAAAAAUAUAACAAGCAACAACAAAAUUUGCUAUUACCGAAUGGACUAUCGGUUAUGUUUCCAAUCGCCCCUAGAAUAUAACAAAUAAUGUAUUUAUUAAAAAAAUGUAUAUAUAUUACAAUAUUUUUUCUUAAAUAUGUUCGAUUCGUAAAUAGACACAAUCCAACACAAAAUUAAGAGACAAAGAUAAAAAUAAAUAAUUAAAAAAAAAUACUAAAGAUAAACUUAUAAACCCAUAAAAACUGGGAGAGAGUAUAAUCUUAUAAGAAGUAUAAUUCAAACUGAGAUAGAAAAGUGGAAACCCUACAGCCUCUUAACAAACAAAUCUAUCUGCCAAAACCUUCUCUCGACGUUCUUAGAAAAGUGGAAUCUCUGUUCCAUCAUGGAACCGCAAGCUCCGUCGCUAAACCCAAAGCUCCGUCUGCUCUGUAGCUACGGUGGCCGGAUAACGCCCAUCUCACCGUCAAACUCCCUGGAAUACAUCGGCGGAGAGACGCGCAUCGUCGCCGUUCCACGUGACAUCUCCUUAACCGCUUUCUUCCAGCUUCUCUCCAGCAAGCUUCUCUAUGGCAGCUCCUUCUCCCUCAAGUACAGACUCCCCAGCUGCGACCUAGACUCUCUCAUCACCGUCAAUGACAACGAAGAUCUACAAAACAUGAUCGCAGAGUAUGACUCAGCUAGUCCCCAGCGUAUCCGUCUCUUCCUCUUCCCGUCAAACCACCCCGAAUCAGCAUCAACUCGACAUCCUCUCUCGGUUAACUUGCUUGGACUCGAACCGCCUAUACAGAAAAUAAUCUACACCUCUUCGUCUUCCGUUGUUCCCUUCCCGAUAUUCCCGCAAAAUAAUUGUACGGCGACGCAGCGUGUGGAUCACGGCAAGAUCCAUGCAACGUCGGACGAGGAUCCUAUAACUUCAGCCUCUUUGAACACCGGAGUUUCGGAUAAAGAAACUGAGAGAGAAGAGAUUCAAGAUCAACCACGGAGAAUAGUUAUCCAAGAGCCUUUGCAGCAGCAGCAGCAAUUUUUACCGAUAUUCUACUUACCGGUCUUGCCGAUGCCGCCACAUAUGGUGACUCGUUCAGUGAAUGGUUACGCCUUGUCUCCGGCCAUGGAAUAUUCUACUGGAGCAGAUCCAGUGCUGGAAAAUAAGGAGACGGCGACCUGAGUGGAGUUUCUUCCAUGUCAAGUAAGCUAAUCCAUUUGAGUUUAGGAAUUAACCUUUUAAAUUAGGAUUUGACUUUUGUUAUAGAAUACGAGUAAUGGACAUGUGAACCGAUAUCUUUUGGACUGAUGUGGUUUGUAUCGGAUUUUGAUAAAAGCUAUUAAAUACUUGGGUGGGUUAAUCACUGGAUGUAGAUUUCUAGUUUGAAUGCUUGAAUUUUAUUUACGUAUUCAACUAUAAUAGUUACUAGCAUUUGACCCGCGCGUCCGCGCGGGUGUUUGUUCUUCAUAAUUAUAUGUUUUUACUUUUAAAUAAUUUUAUAAAUAUAAUUUUUUUAUGUUCUUGUUAUAGAUUCAUAUGUUAUUGAGUUUUGGCAUAUUUGUGUUUUGUUCUAUGUGUUUAGGGUUCAUUUAUAAAUUAUGAAAUUGUGUUUUUUUUUAUUGUGCUUUUUCAUUUUUUGGUAAAAUAAAUAUUAAAGUGUAAAAUAUUAGAGUUCUAAGUUUAUUGUGAGUUUUGCGAAAUUAAAUUAUAAAUAUCAUGAUUUAUAGAUGAAUAUAAAGCUCAAAUUUUACAACGAUAUUUUUUUUUAAAUACAUUAUUUAAAUAGAAACAUAAAAAAUAGUGAAAGCAAAUUACGAAAAAAAAUAUAUUCAAAAAUAAGUACAGAUUUUUGCAAAUUUUAUUUAGCAAGCCUAAAUUUUUUAUACAUAUGUAUAUUUGAGUUAUAUAAUAUAACAACUAAACAUGUUAUUUACAAUUUGCUGUUUUAAAUUGGUAACCAAUUUUGAUAUUUAAAUUUUAUUUAAUACUCCCUCCGUUUCAAUUUAAAUGUCAUUAUAGAGUAAUUUUUGUUUCAAAAUAAGUGUCAUUUUAUAGUUUCAAUGCAAAAUUUAUUAAUUUUAUAUUAUAAUCCAUUUUUUAUUGGUUAAAAUGUGGUUAGAUUUAUUGGUAGUGAUGUUUUUAUCUAGUAAAUAUAUAAAAUUAAAUGUUUUUUUUUAAUUUGUGUGUCGAAGUCUAAAACGACAAUUAAAAUGAAACAGAUGGAGUAAUAUUUUGUUAGUUAUUAUUUACCCUAUUACUGAUAAAAAUAAAAUUUAUGAAAAGUUAUAUAUCAACAUUGGAUACCAAUUUAAGACCGGUACAUCAAAGUAAACCAAACUAAACCAAUUUUUUUAAGAAAAAAAAUAAAAAGUAAACAUAAAACUAAAACCUAGUCUGUCUUCUCUCCUUCUCAGCAUCUCUUCUUCUCCGCCUCUCUUUUUCUUGUUCGGCUUCACCAGCGUCGGUGAAGAGAAGACAGGCUCUGUCGCAAGACUUCGUUAACUUCCUUUCUCUACAGAAGAAUCAAAACACAAAACAAUUAUAAAAUUAAGUUCUGCACCUAAAUUAAUAAGUGAAGCAUGAGAUUCAAAAGCUUUAGGAGUCAUAAGCAUGGAACCAUUCACAAUAGUUGUAAUCUCGUUAGCUCUGUAACUCGCCUGGACACAAAAAGAAUAAAUCAAUCACACAAUGAAUCAAUCCUUCAUUAAUGAAAUUAAGUUAUACUGUGAGAACUUCAUCUUUUAUAGAAGAGAUUACUUACAUCGCUCACAUCGUUCCAUCUUCGUUUUGGCAAUGGCAUGUGUUGUAGCUCUUCUUCUUCCUCAUUUUCUGAGUGUUAAUUCAAUGUUAACCCAAAGCCAAGUAUGUACACCGUGAAGGAAGAUGCACAACGGAUUUGGAGUAGAUGAAUGUAGUACCUGCCAUAAACGAUUCCUGAUUUAAGGUAAGGAUUUAUGAUCUCGCUAAGUAAUGAGGGUUAAGAAAAUUAAAUUAAACGCUGUGUUUUAUGUGAGUGGCAUAAGAUUGUAAUUAUUGAGGAAAAUUCAGGGUUUAAUACAAAAUGUACUUCAGUUUUAAUAGUUUAGAUGAGUAAUAGUUUUGGCAUUGUUUUAAGGACAAUUUUCUCAAAUAUUAUUUUUUUAAGUUUUUGUCACAAAAAUAACAUUCAAGGAGGAAAAUGACCAAAUUUUUUUUUUUUUUUGGAAAUUUUAAUUUUUAACUUUUUAAAUUUGAAACUCUAUCCUUAAAACUCCACCCUUUAACUCUAAACUCUAGUCUAGAUUAGUUAACCUUAAAGUAUAAAUAUAUUUUUACCUUUUAAUAAAAAAAAUUUGGUCAUUUUCUUUUUUGAAAACUAUUUUUUGUGAAAAUAAACUAAAAAAAUUUAUCAUAGAAAAUUUCUCUUGUUUUUAUUUCACUCUAUUUGAUUAUAUUAAUGAAGCAACAAUUACAUUAAACUUCGGAAACAGAAAUAACCACAACGAAAAACAGAGAUCAUAAUAACACAUACAACCUCCAUAAGAGGCUUGAGUUGGUGAAGAUCUAUGAUAAUGCUAUUCACAACUUGAUUAGAAGUUUUCAUAAGGUCAUUAAAAUCAUACGCACGACCGCAACCACCACUCCGCUGCAACCUUAGCAUGCAAUUGCCAUGUCCAGUCGUCGCGAAAGGGUACAAUGCAUUCAAUCACCUUUAGAAGUGGUAAAAAGUUGUCUUUUAGAGUUCUCGUUAAAGAUAAUGAGAAUCAAAGCGGAGAGGUGGUCAUCAAUGUGGACAGUGGCGGACCUAGAGAUUGACUUUAGUGGGGUUAGAUAUGUUUGAUUUUCAAAAUUUUAAGGAAGAAUGGUGCCAAUGAGGUUUGAACACAGGUUUUUUGUGGUGUCAAAGAGUGCAGAACAACCACUUUUGCUGCAGAUUCUUUAAGAAACACUAUGCGAUUUUAUUUAUUUCAAUAUUUUUGGAGUGUCCUCUGACCCCACUUGGGCAUUACUGGGUCCGCCCCUGAAUGUGGAUGAAGAGGCUAAAAACCCUUUGAUCUUUGGUAGACCUUUCUUGGCUAUACUUGGAGCUAUUGUGAAUGUUAUAGAAAGGAAGAUAAACUUUCAUCUUGACAAGGGGAACAUUCUACACUUUGACAUUAAAAAAAUGAUGAAGAAACCUUACUAUUCAAGGUGAAGUGUCAGAGAAUAUGAAAAUUGCCAACUCUUCCAAAACUACCAAAACUACCAAAACUAACGAUAAAUCAUAAAAAGAAACAACCACCAAAGCCAACAAAAUUUAGGGUUUAUCAGAGCUUGGAAGAAACAUGCACAUGGAGAAAUUUAUUAGCUUUCCUAAGAUUACUCCAUUUGCUCUUUUUUUCGAAACACUACUCCAUUUGCUAUUUUAAAGGAAAAAAAAAUACUAAAAGUGAAAUUUGAGUUAAGAGGGGACGAUGAAAUGAGUUGAGAGCGGGUACAAUGAAAGUUGUUUCUUCUUUGUGUUAUAGAAACACUAUAAAUAUUUACACUAGGAGAAACUUUGUUAGAAUCAUUGAUUUAUUAAUUUACAUCUAAAAUAUGACCUUUAAACAUUCUAAGAUUAACAAUUAGAAAUAUAUAUUAAAAAUACACAUGUGAGCUCAUACUCUAUACCAUGAUGUUCCACAUCAUCCUAGUAUAUUGGCGAUUAUAUUAUUAAACUGAAAUAUUUGUUAUCUCGUAGAAUUUACUUUGAAGAAGUCCAAUAAAACCAAUUAGAAUUAUUAUGUUAAUCGUAUCUACUGAUCUCAGGCCUAACUGUAUUGUUCAUCACUGGGUCUAAUACCAGAAACUAAUCUGCAUGCUUAACUGGUAUAAAAGGCAAGAUUUCAAAGGCUUAUAAGACAAAUCUGAGAUCUCUCUGACCAGAAACACAUGGCCUUUAUCAGUUAUCACAUUGUUCCUUCAACAAGUCCUAAAAGCUUUAUAACCUGAACAAGAUCAUAUUGCCUUGUGGUAGGGUAACAAAUCCUCUUCCUUCUUUAACACUUCUUCAGCAGGGCCGGCAGGGCCGGUUUAGAUAGAGGGGCGAGCGGUGCGACCGUCCCAGACCUAAUCUGUUGUCCUCUUAUUUUUUAAUAAAUAAAAGUCUCAUUUUUUAAAAAAAUACAUGUAUUUUUAUAUUAAAAAUAAGAAAAAUGAUUCAAUUUUUUUUAUAUGAAAGUAUUUUUUUUUUCGUAGAUUUAUUUUUAAAAAUAUUUCUGGUAAAAACAUACAAAUACCAUUGAGCUGACCCUGUUUUUCAAAAUAUUUUUAAAGAAAAUUAAUAGUAGUUUGAAAAUUAAAUUUUUUGGUAAAAACAUACAAAUAUUUCUGGUAAGAACAUACAAAUAUUUCUGGUAAAAAUGAUUCAAAAUAUUUCUAAAGAAAACUAAUGGUAGUUUGAAAAUUAAAUUUUUUUUUGUCUAGAGCCCAUAACACCAUUGAACCGACCCUGUUCUUCAGCCUCCAUCACUUAUAAUGGUCCACAAAACUCCAUUAAAAGCAUCCAAAUACUUAAACAAAUUUGAUCUUCAAAUAUUCGUGAUCAUCAAAACGGCCAAAAAGUACUUAUUCAUAUGUUUUUACACAUUUGUUAGAACAACGAGCAAAAAAGUUACAAACUUGAUCACCUCAAGGGACAAAAAUAACUUAAAUCGGAAUCGACUUUAGAAGUAAAGAAAAUCUAUGUAGCCAUGAGUCAUGGUCUAGAAAAUCUUUUAUUUGCUUCCAAGAGGGAUAGGGGAAGUGAUCUUAUUAGCUUGAGUUUGUGAUUCUCUCAAAGCAGAAUCUUUCUCUUCUACUCCUUCUCCUCCAGGUUGACUAACUAAACUCUUUUUUUCGUCAUCAUCAGACAUAUUAGUCUCUGGUGGAACAACUUGUCGGAAAAAUCUAAGCAUCAUCUCAUAGGUUGUAAAUGUAAUAACUGCUGAUGGAGUUGUCCUGAGCAGAUUAGUAGCACAUCCACGGUACAUUCCAGGGAUCCCUUCGCUUCUAAAAACCUUCUUUACGCAAUCAAUGACUCCUGAAUACUUGUUCUCAGAGUUUCUCAUUUGCCCUUGUUCUUGAAGCUUGGCUCUAAUCACCUGUGGAAGUAGCAACAUAAGCCCCAUUUAGUUUAUGAACCUAAGAGUAAGGCAUAUAGAGAAAGAGAUGAGAAACCUCAUGUGGGUAAGUCAAAACAGAGGCGACGACUUUCGCUAUGGAAGAAGCAAUAGCAACACUCCCAGGACUCAGAUUCUCUACGGAUGUAUUAUCUGAGAACUUAACAAAGCUUUGAUCAGAAACUAGCAGAACAUGAGAAUUGAUUAUGUAAUAAUAUAGUGGAUGAAUUAUGUUUUACCUAUUUUUGCCAUGUACUGCUUAAUCUUUUCAUAAGCUGGAAACUGGAUUGCAACAUGGCUUAUUCCAGCCAAAGAAGGCAAAAGGCCACUGCAUUCAAAACAUCUUAAAGGUUAACAUGUGCACAAAAUCACAGAGGCUUCAGUUUUGAUGCAAGAAUACUACUGACCUGUACAGCCCUCGGAAUCCUUCUUCUUGACAAAUCCUACUGAAAGCAGACAUUACGCUUUUGUAAGGUACCACGCCUGGCCUAAUCCCUUGCGUCUGAGAAAAGGGGAAGAGUCAAGAAGAAUGUCUAGUAAAGCUGGAAACCAAAAGAAUAUCUAGUAAAGCUAAAAGAAAGAGGACAAAACUCACCAUUAGUCUUGUCUUGACAACCCAAAGUGGAUUCGUUGCAAUAGAUGUGGAAGCUCCGGCACCAGCAGCAGCUACCAUGUUGGCCCCAACACUAAGUGUGCCAUCUAUCAGGAAAACAUAAGCAGUUGAAAGACCGAAUAAUAUAAAAGACUUUGGUUAGAGAACAAAUAAAGCAAACUCAGGACUGCAACAAGAUUUUGUAACUAACCACUAGACUGCAGAACCUCCUUCAGCUUCCCAUAAACUGAGAAGUACACCUGCACAUGAUACCAGAACAUCAACUACAAGCAAAGACAUCACAAAUCUCAGCAGAGAGAAAAGUGCUGCUUACAGCCCAAUUCGGAAGGAGAGCUAUGAUGGUUGGUGAAAGUCCUCGAUACAUUCCUCUAAAGCCUUCAUUCUUCACUAUAUUCUGUAAACUUGUAAUGAUCACACUACCUGAUAAUUCACAACACAUGCAGAGCUUGUUAGCAACUAGUCUUGAUCAAACAUCUACUACUAGUUACAUUCUAAAGCAAAGUACCUCUCUUUCCAGAGGCUGGAGCUUCAGGGAGACCAAGAACUUGCAACCUUGUCUUGAUCACAUCUAACGGGCAAACAAAAGUCGCUGCAAUCGCCCCUGAACAACAACAAAAAAACAAAACCAAACUCAAACACACAAGAACCCACCAAACACACAAGGAAACAAAGAAUCGAAACCGAACCUGCGGUGGCUCCGGCGCCGGCGUUGCAUGCGGCCUCUCUAAUGCUCCGGUAAUCGAAGGACGAGCUCCCAUGAUCAAUCAUCUCCGCAAAGCUAAACCCUAAAUUCAAUGCGAGAUCCAGUAAUUGGGUGGCGCGAUUCGAUGGGUUAAAUAGAGUUCACGAGGCUCAUGGCAUUGACCCGACACGGAAAGGAUUGAGAUUUGAACGUGUGGGAGGGUGAAAGGAAGAGACUUUGUUUGUGUCUUCUUCUGAGCAGGUCGCGUACGAUUCAGGCGGUCCAAGUCGGGAAGGGGGUUUGAAGAUAAGUAUCUGAUCGAUUCGAUUCCGCGGAGAGAGAGAAAGUGUUUCGCUUUGUGAUGUCGUCGUCACGCAGAUCAAUCAACACACACAACCCAAGAAGAAAGUUUAACACUUUCGCUUCUGUUUUGUUGACACCGAUUAUUAUAGGGGAAUACGUCUGUAUAACCAAGAAAAAAAAACAUAAUUCAUCAAGUAGCCAAUCUAUACAAUACUAAAAGUUGAAUAAGCUCAAUAUUUUCGCCACGUCAUUUAAGCCCAUAUCGAGAUUUAAUGUUGGGUUUCUUAGCCUAAACCCUAAAUUAUUUUGUCAUGGCCCAAAAUAAAGUCCACCACCCGUGGCUUCUUCGAUCAUAUUUUCCUCCGCCAGUUUCUCAGUUCGUCUUUUCCAAUUCGAGUUCAUUCAUAAAACCUCCGUUACUGUGAUCCACUUAUAAUCAAUCAAUUGUCUUCUUUACUUCCGUAUUUAUUUAUGCGUUUCACCUCGCUAUCUAUCUACUUCUAUAUAAACCGGUUCCUCGAAGCUUGCUGCCAUUCGAUUGAGCAAAGAGAUUCAGGUUUCGUUCUUUGGAAAAUUUUGAUGCUGAUUGCGAUAACAGAGGUGUGUUUUCUGCAAAAUAUUUACCGGGAAGUUUUUGUUGCAAUUUUCCAUUUCAUUUUACCUCGCGUAUUACGAAGUCGAUAAUCGGUUUUGGAGUUCAUGUCGUUAUAUGUUUUUCAUUAGAUAUUUAUGUUUGGGCACAAAACUGAUUUUUCAGAAAUCUGUGAUGGUGCUAAGUGGCUCACGGGGAUUCUGUUACACAUUGGAAUUGAAAAAUGAGCAAGAAGCAAAACAAAUGAAGAAGAAGAAGAUUAGAACUCACUUUCAUGCUAUUUUGUUAACUGGCGGUUGUUGAGUAAUGGUAACUGGGGGUUGUUGAAUCAUGGUAUUAGUGUGAUAUGCAUCUUUCUACGUAUUAAUGAAUGUUCUUUAUUUUCUUUGUUAGACUGGAAACCGUUUCAUGGAUAGAGGCGUGAGCAAGGUAACUUUGGCUAACUGUUUGCGUUGGUAAUAUAUGGUUUUUUUUUUCUUGAACAACAAAACAUAUGGUUAUCUAUGUAGAUUUUAGUCUAUAUUCUUUUAACUGCUGUUGCUUUCUCCCUCUUCAGGAGUUGAAAACCCAAUAGCUUCUGCAACCCUAGCUGGUGAUUUAGGAAUUGGGGCUGAACAGCUUCUGCUGAUGUGAAAAGAUCACACCUUGCUUCUCUGCAGUAAUGUAGAAGGUACGUUCUCUGGUCUCUUUGUUGGCUUUUCUGUAUUUUAUCAUUUUGGUCUGCACUAUUGUUUUUGUUUGUGGAAGAUUCAGGGUAAAUGAUGAUGAUUUGCUGAAGAUCAAGAACACUUAUCGUCCUAUCCUCUCAAGAAAGAGAAAGGGUUUAUGGUAUGUAUAUAAAGUCAAUAAUAUUGUUACAAUUCAAAAGCAAAUAUAAAGUCAUUGUUUAUAAUUUGAUCAAAAUCGUCAUGUUUCAUUAUGAUAAUAGAAAAGGUAGGUAAUUUCCUUUUGUUUACCUUUUAAUCAUUCUUGCAUAUUAUUGAGCUUUUCGAAUAACUCAGCUAUGACGUUCCAAAUCUUAGUCAAUCACUCAAUCUCCCGUAGUAGCCAUCAAAGGCAAGAUAGAAAUAGCUUUGGGUUAGGUCGCAAAACUCAAAGAAAAAAAGAAACAAAGCUGGAGAAACCUAAAACGCUUUCACUGGGAGAUUGGAAGAGCAUAUGUCCACGAAUAACUGCUUAGGCAAUUGUAAAAAUAUUUAGAGUAAUACAAAUCACAUUUGUAUUUCCUACAAGAAGAUUAGUUAAGUCUAUCCUGCGGCCACUUCCUCAUUUGUUGUUAUCUUGAUUUUCUUUAUGAUAAAACCAUAGCUAGCUCUUUUAUUUUUCUUUUAAUUUACUUAAUAUUUAGUUUGAUUGUAAACUUUUCUAUUGACACAGACUAAAAGAAAGACAGUUAAUUAAAAUAGAAGCAUUUUAUCUAAACAAAGCAGAAAUGACAAAGCCAAGUUUUAAUUUAUUUAUUUCACAAUUAUCAUUCCUCUUCUUGAAAAUAUCUAAAAUAAUAUACCUCGAAAAUCACAUGUGUCGUAAUGUCACUUCUUAUCGUAUCUAAAUUAAUCUUAACUUGCGUGAACAUCAACUUCAACCCAUCAAACUAUAUUAAACAAAAAUCAUUAUAUUAAAAAGAGACCUGACAACGCGUACACAAAUCAUAAGACUGGGAUAAGCCAAAAAGCAUUAAACAAACCAUAUCAAAUACAUAAUGUAAUUGGUUAUCAAUUAGAGUAAAAUGGUGGGAAAAUAUGGUGAAAACGAGAGGGAUAGAAAAAUAAUAAAGUUAGAAUAAUUUUUUUUCAUCUUAUUAGUAGUCGAGGUAAGAUUUACUCUAUUUUACUGUUUUUGUUUCUCAUUUUUUUAGAGUAAAUGAAAUAGAAUCAUAUUCCACUUGAUUGGAUGAAAGAAGAAUAAAUGGGCUGAAAUAAUUUUUCAUCCGCUUUAAUUUACUCUAACUUUACCAUAUAGUCAUACGAUGUAUCGUACUAUAUAAAAGGGACUAAAUCCAUUCUUUCUAAGCCAUGCAACAUGGACAAAAUAUUGUGAACCAACCAAGAUGCCAUGUCAUACGGACUGGGCUUGAGUCAAAAUAAAAAGCUAUUUUCAGAGCCCAUUCGACCCAUCUUGAAGCUCAUUCCCGAGCCACUCUCUCAUAAGCAUAAUUCUGUAUUCUAAACAUCCCGUGUUAAAUUUUUUUAAACACUCAUAUCUUAGAAAUAGUUUAGAAAAUAUCUUUAUAUAAAUAUUUUUUCUUGAAUAAUAUUUAAUUAUAAUUUUUUGUUUCUUUUUAACUUUUAUAAUAAAAAUAUUGUCUUCAGAUAACAACAAAAUAUAUAUAAGAAUUAUCUUAUUUUAAAAUUUUUUGAUAAUUUUAUUAUAUUAUUUUAGAAUCAAUUAUUUAAUAUUAAUAUAACAUAUCAAUUUUAUAUGAUUAAAAUAAAAUUCAUUUUUAAUUAUAUAUAAAAUUCAUUAAGGGUAUUUUUUUAAUUAACACAUUAGAGAAUCAGUUAGAAAUUAAUAAUAAAUCAAUAACCUAUCUAAAAGUCUAAAACCUAAUAAAAUAUGAAAAAUAAGAAAAACUAACUAAGUUUUAAUAUAAAAUAGAAAUUUAAUAUUACUAAAAUAAAAUUCAUUUUUAAUAUAUAUAUAAUAUUCAUUAAGGGUCUUUUUAAAUUAAUAAAUUAACCACUUAGCUAAAAAUAAAUAAUAAAUCAUUAAUUUAGCUAAAACCUAAUAAAAACAUGACAAACAAGCAAAUUUACUAAAAUUAUGGAUAAUAUAAAAUAUGAUUGAUUCUUUAAUACAAAAUUGAAAUAAGAGUUUUGUUAAAUAAAACAUAAGUUUGUCGUAUCGGUGUUACAAAAAAAAAAUCAUUAAUAGUAUCGUAGGAAUUAUGUCUUUCCUAUUAGCGAAUAAAAUUGAAGCAGAGUUUUGGAGGAUAGCUCAACGUGUAGACGAGAUUAUGGAAAUUGAUAUGGGAGUUGAGGUAACGGACACAACUGUUCCUCCGCAAAGAAACGCUCCUGCUAGACAUCCUGGAUAAAUGAAAAAGACAUUUCUGGACUUGGCUUUGUGUUAAUGGAUGGUGACUUUCCAAUGCUGUUCGGAGCAAGGGCCGAUAUACACGCACCAAAUCACCACUGCAAGCGGAAGCUGAAGGUUUGCUAUGGGCAAUGCAAGUGAUACUGAAGUUUGGACACAGAGAGAUGGUCUUUCAAUCGACUGUGAACAACUGGUUAUACUCAUUCAAAAGGAGGAAGAUUGGCCUGCGUUAGACUCGGAGCUCGACGAAAUACAGGCUGUAUCCAAAGAAUUUUCUGAAUUUUCUAUUGCUUAUAUUCCUAGAUCUUUAAAAUUCCGUACGAAUAGCCUAGCAAAAGGUGUCCGAUCACGCGCAUCUCGAUCAGCUUUUGUAAAUCCUUUUGCACCAAGUUGACUACCCCACAAGCUAGCAUGAGGGUGCCAAAAAAAAAAAUAAAGCUGAAAGUGAAACUAAAUAUUCCAAUGAACAAAUUUAUCAUAAGUCCAUAUUUAUGUGGAUGUCUAUAUGGGACAAACAAUUGUUUUCAGAUAAUUAUAGAAUAUAGUCACGAAAAUCAAUCCUAAAAUAUAUAAUUUAAAAAAAUCAUUUAAACAAACCAUCAAAAUUUUCAAUAUUACACCAAAUAAGAAUAUAAAGACCAACUAUAUUCUCUUCAUGUAUAAUGUAUUGUGGUAAGGUUCAAACAAAAUUAACUUACUUUACAGUAAGGAAAAAUUAGAUUUUUAAUUCCAAAUUUACAGUAAAAACAUAAUAUUUUAUAAAACUAAACAAUUGACAUAAUAGUACAAAAAUAUGGAAAAAAAAAAUUAAAAUACUAUCCGCGCGUAGCGCGGACAAGGACCUAGUUUCCCUAAUAUAAGGAUACACAAUGUUAUUGUGCUUUUCUAUAAUAUUACCAUCAUAUUCUUUCAUUCAACCAGUAAAACUUGAAAAAAAAUUAUAAUUUAAAUUAAUAACUAGUGAUUCUAAAAGAAAGACGUGACCUUUAAUUACUCUCAUAUAGCUAACAAAGCAAAUGGUAAAAUAUGGAAAGGUUAAUAGAUUCAUCUUCAGAUUUGAUCGAUUAAGACGCCACCGAUUACAUUCUUGGUGAGUUUGUAGAGAAGAAGACCAUCAUCGAAGGCUCGGUAGGUGACAAAAGGCAUGAGUAAGACGGCACCGUAUAGCGGUAAAACAAAGUCACAUUGCCUAUUAUGUAAGUUGUUUUACUACUCUUAAAUUCUCUGAAUUUUUAUUCAUUGUAUGUCGGAAUCUGAUAUUGUAAAGUAAGGAAACCAGAAGUUUGGGAUUUUCUGUUUAUAAGAAAAUGGUGCUUUAUUCCAUUUGGAUGACAAUAUAGUUGACUGUGUAUAUACAUGGAAUAGACCCGAUAAAGAUAACUAUGUCAAUCUCUAAUAAAAUAUACUAUAUAUAUAAGUAAAUAAAGUAGUAUAGAUGUCUAUUUCCAUAAUACAUAAACUAUAUUGUGGUGGGCGACUGUGUUGUAUAUAAAUGGAGUAGUACAUAUGUCUGCCUGCAUAGUAUAAUAAUUAUUAUGUUAAUAGUAUAGUAUAUGUUAUAGAAGUGGUUUUCAGUUUAAAAAUAAUGUGUGUUGACAUAGCUACAUAAUUAAUAAUCAUAAUUUAAUAUGUGAUGUUAUGUGAUUUAUGGAAUUAUUGAUGAAAUUGUCUCUGUUGAUGGUGAAGGAUUGUGGUGAAUAAUAGAGUUUUGAAGACUCGUGUGGCGAGUGACAGGACUUGUUCAGUGGUGAUCACCUCCAUCUAUACAAUCGAAACUAAUGUAUUCGUUUCUACCGCAAUUGUCCCUCUUCUCAUAAUUUCAUGACCGUAUGUUCUACUCUUCUAUCUAGUGAAUCAAUAACAAAAUUCUUUUCUCCGAUGCAGUUGCAUGUACUAUCUCCACUGAUGUCGUCAGAUACACUUAUCUUUUAUUGUUGUGAAUGACAAACAAUAUUGAAUGUAUUGACCUUUCCAUAUUUUAUAUUGAUGUGUAUAUGAUUUUGUAAUGAAAAAUAGUAUAUUAAACAAAAAUGGAAUAAAAUUUAUUAUGGCAUCAGAUAAAACAGAAUACAAUGUGAUGUUGAGUCGAAUGAUAUUCAUAUGAUGUUUAUUUAAUAUUACAUAAUUUUAUGUACUUUUUAAAUUUUGAUAUUUGGGUUUAGGUUUAUCUUUGGAUUAAGGUUUAGUGAUUUAAGUUUAGGGUUUAGUAUUUAGAAAGUGAGGGGGUAUGGUUUUGGGUCGGCAUUAACUUAUUCCUUGCAAUCAUAUAUAUUUCAUAAUCUCACCAAUAGGUACUAUGUUAUUUAUUCAUUCUAUUUGAGUUUAUGAUUUAUAUUUAAGUUUAGGGUUUAUAUUUGGGUAAAGGUUUAGUGAUUAAAGUUUAGGUUUUAGUAUUUAUAAGGUGGGGAAGUAUGGUUAUGGUCGACGUUAAAUUCUUCUAUACAAUCAUAGGCAUUUCAUAAUUUCACCAAUAUGUAAUAUGUUAUUUAUUUUGUUUCAUUCUAUUUGGGUUUUGGGUUUAUAUUCGAGUUUAUGGUUUAUAUUUAUUUUUAGGGUUUACUGAUUAAAUUUUAGGGUUUAGUAUUUAGGGGUUGGGUGAGAUUGAGAUAAUGGUUAGUAUCUAGGAAUUGUGGUUAAGAUAUGUUUAGUAUUUAGGGAUUAUAAGUGGAGUUAUAAUCCUAUACUACUUAGGCGAUAUGGAACAGAACACUCGUGCAUAUAUAUGUAAGAUAUACGUGAAUGGUUCCUUUUUUUUUAUUUGGAAUAGUUUUUCAGGUGCUCUUGACCUUUUAUUUGGAAUAGUUUAAAUUGUAUUAAGGUCUACAUUUCAAUGUAUGAUUUAGUUCUUAUUUGAUAAGGUUCAGUUUAUUUCGUGAUAUAUACCAUUUUACCAUAUAUAAUAGUAAUUCAGGUAAUUUAUUUGUGACUUAAGUUAACAUAAGUUGUGUAACGCAUACAAUUAUUAUCCACUCAUGUCGCAUCAUUUUCUUACAUCAUAUGCGUUAAUUAUGUAUCACAAAAGACAACAACGUCGCUUACUUUAGAAAUUGCAACUGGCAACUUGUUACGUGAAGGAGCAGAACCGGAGAGAAUAUGACCAAAAAAUCUGAUAUUUAACCAUGUCAAAAUCACUGUUACCCACUUAAUUUAAUACUGAAAUAUGGUUACUCAGCCAAUAAACCCUAAGAUUUAUCUUAUGAUGGUAUGCUUGCUUAUACGUGGUUAUAUAUCUAAAUUAUUAAUAUUCUAUAAAUAGAUAAUACAACAAAUGCUUCAACAUCCUUUCAAGAAGAACAAGCAAUAAUAAAUUAAUGAUCUAUAUCGUAUAAUGAGGUAUUUUAAAUAUAUGGACCUAAUGUUUGGUCGUUAGCAUUGGUCGUUUAUAUUAUUUCACUCAAAUUAUUAGUAUUGAGCCACUCUAAUUCCAUCUACCAAAAAAAAAUAAUCAUUUGCCAAAUACAGUUGGAUUUUGUAAGCCAUAUAUAUUUGAUUAGGGAUUUGCAUAUUCAAUUAUAUUUUUUUCUUUUAAAGUAGCGGUUUUAUAUAUAUACACCAACUACCAAAUUAAUAAGUGUUCUAUAUUUAUGUUUAAGAAAUUAAAUACUCUAAACAUAUCUAUGGAUGAGGUUGGAGCUAGUGCUUUGUCUCACAUAGAUGCUCUUUACAAAAACUUGGCCAGCGAAAGAAAAUCUUUUCACACACUUUGAUUAUAUGUAUUGAAAUAAUUGUAAAAGGUAAAAAUGUACCGUGGCCUAUCAGCAUAUUAUAGUCUCCUACCAUUCUCUCAUACAUACAAUUUUUCACACAUUUUUACCUUUUACAUUUAUUUCAAUAUAUGGUGAUUAUAGUUGGUAUGGUGGCUUAAUAAUUUUCGUAGUGAAUUUCCCAAUAAGAAAUUUACUGAUCAUUCUUAUACAAUUCCAACAGUUAAAAACCAUAAGAUUUUCUAAAAGGAAAAAAUAUUAGUAUUAUAGUAAUUCAAUCAUGUUUUAUUUUUUCUAAACCAAUAAAAUAUUAAUUUUUUUGCAUGAUGAAAUGUGUCUUUUGAGUAUACUAGAAUUAAGCAGACUAUAGUUGACAAAAAAAAAGCAGACUAUAAGCUUAAUUAGUUUGCUUACAAGAAUAUUGUUUAUUAGUAGUGUUUUGUAUCUUCUUUUUGUUAAACAUGUAAUAAUCCUGUUACAGAUCAGCUUAAAUCGGUUAACCUGGUAAACCCCUCAAAAAGGUACAUCCCAGUAAAUAUUUGUUGAUAACCAUGAGUUGGUGUACCGAAGACCAUCGAUAGGGAUAUUUUGCAUAUGAAUAAAACAUUUCAAUUUGACACUAUGCUAGGUGAGUAGUAUCUAACAUUUUUUAAAAAUUUAAAUAAAGAAAAAAUAUGAAAUAAAAGCGUAUGAGGUUUCUCAAAGAAAAGCUUUAAGAUACUAAACUACCGCAUUUCUGUUUGUUAGCUUUUCUAGAAAAAUGAAAUAAGAAUAUUUAAUAAAACAGCAUUAAAACACUAAUUACUUAUAUAUGUAAUGUAUAUAAUUUUAUAUAAUAAAUAUAUUGCAUACAAAGAAAAUAAUAUGAAAUCAUCACUAUAUACAGUAUAUAGAAAAAAAAAAUAUAUAUAUAUAUAUGUAUGUGUUUGGGCACGACAACUACCCCGUCGCUACACUUGCCGUGAAAGAUUCACCUUGUGGAUCUUGUAAUAGCAAUAAAUCAGCAGGCGGUUUAGGAAGACUGAUUAACUCGUUUUGACUCCCAAGCAUCAAUAUAAUAGAAGCCAUGGGGGGCCUGUCCUCACGGUGGGCUUGAACACACAAGAGGCCAAUUUGAAUGCACCUGAGAGAGCUUCUUCUGGUUGAUACGAAGAUGAUGAUGAUGAUGAUGAUGUGAAAUAUGGGUCUACGAUAUCUAGCACUUUGCCUUGAAGCCAUAGGUUCCACAUCUGUAGAAUCUGAGAUGAUAAGAGAUCUCGCUGUUUUGUAAAAGUAAAUAAUUAUGGAUUUGGUUGCUAUAAAUAAAAAUCUUACGAAGCCUACGAAACUUUUAUAGUCAUUUUUCCAAUAGAACUCUCUUGCGUUUAUUCCGCUGACCAUUUCAAGAAGCAGCACUCCAAAGCUGAACACAUCAGCUUUAACGGAGCACACGCCAUCUAUUGCGUACUCUGGAGCCAUAUAGCCGCUGCUAUAUAUAAAUAAUAAUUAUUUAAAAAAAAAGGUAUAUAUAUAUAUAUAUAUGCAUGAAUGGAUUGAGGAUCUUUAUUGCUUACUAAGUUCCAGUCGCGCUACUGGCAACAACUUCAGUAUCUUCCCCAUCAAGGCGCUUAGCCGUUCCAAAAUCCGAGAUCCUAGGUAUCAUUUGGUCACAAAGCAAGACGUUGCUAAGUUUGAGGUCAAGGUGAAUGAUCCUAACCCUAGAGUCUUGGUGAAGAUAUAGUAGCCCUCGAGCAAUUCCCUUGGCGAUGUCCAUACGUUUGUUCCAAUCAAGCACAUCGCUCCGGGUUGUGUCUGUGCAUCACAAACCAAAAUUAGAUCAUUUCUUCUCUUUCUUUUUUUUGGUAUUGAAAAAAAAAGGGAAAAAAGGCCAGUACUGUAAAUGUAAGUGUUGAGGCUAGAUCUUGGCAGGUACUCGUAGACGAGAAUCUUGGUAUCGGGGUCAUCGACAAAACCAAUAAGUCGAACUAGGUUCGUAUGUUGCAGAACUGCUAUGAGGUUCACUUCGUUCCAGAACCCUUGGAUUGCGUGAGUUGUCAGUUUAUAAAGACGUUUCACCGCUAUGUCUCUCCCGUCAAGUAACCUCCCCUGUAUGUUGUUAAAUAUUAAAUGUAAGUUAAAGAAUGCUCACACAGAGUCAUGCGCUCUUUACCUUGUAAACUUUGGCGAAGCCACCAGAUCCGAUUUCAUCUGAAAAAUUGUUUGUGGCUUGGGCGAUGACGUCAAACUCCAUGAAUAAAGAUGUCAAACUACCAGUCGUCUCUUCCUCAGGAGCGGAUCUAGAAACAUUUUCUGUAGGGGUGACAGUGCUAAAAACAACAAUAAUUAAAUUAGAUUGGAGGCACCUUUUAAUUUUUUCCAUAAUUAUAAGAUUAUUAGUUUAGUGGAUAAACUAAGUUAUUUAAGCAAAAAAAAAAAAGAGUAGGGGGCACAGGACCCCAUACCCAUCCACCUCCGUCCGCCACUCCUCCUCCUCCUCCUCGUCGUCCUCCUCCUCCUCCUCCUCGUCCUCGUCCUCCUCCUCCUCCUCCUCCUCCUCCACAGGUAGGUUUUGGUUCGUUACCUCUGCAGGUGCUACAAUUGACAAAGAGAGAUCAGGACCAACUUUCUAAGUCGAAUUUGAACAACAAGUGGUAGUGUUUACCUAACAAAACUGCAUUAUUGUUUCUUAUUAUCUAUAUUGGUCAUUUGUAUAGAAAGAGUCCUUGUAUAGCAAGAUAUUUGAGUCUGUACAUAGUAUAAAUACCAACACUUGUACAUAGUCUGGUUACUGCAUUUUCAUUGGUACUUCUCUCAUUGCUUGGCGUUCCAAGAAACAGAAAGUGGUUGCGAAAAGUUCUGCUGAAGCAGAAUACCGGAGUCUCUCUGUUGUGUCUGAUGAGCUAUUCUGGUUACAUAACUUUCUCAUCGAGUUGCGUAUUCCUUUAGCCAAGAAGACUUUGCUGUUCUGCGAUAAUACUGCUGCUAUACACAUUGCUCACAACUCCGUGUUCCAUGAACGCACGAAGAACCUGGAAAUGGAUUGUCACAGCGUUCGGGAUAGAUUGGUUCAGGGUUUAUUCACGUUGUUACAUGUGCGAACAGAGCUACAGUUAGCUGAUCCGUUUACAAAACCUCUAUACCCUGCAUCGUUUAAGAAGUUGUUUGGCAAGAUGGGUCUCUUAAAUAUUUUCGUCCCAUCUUGAGGGGGACUAUUAUCUAUAUUGGUCAUUUGUAUAGAAAGAGUCCUUGUAUAGCAAGAUAUUUGAGUCUGUACAUAGUAUAAAUACCAACACUUGUACAUUGAAUUAAUUAAUGAGAAUGAGUUUAUUUUACUCAUAUUUCUCUUCCAGCAGCAGCAGAACGUGACGACGACAAUUAGAAGAAGCAAAACGAUUGCGCCAACGGUAAAUCCGAUGAUCCGUUUCUUUUUGUUUUGAUUACUCCUUUUUCUCUCUGAAGAAAACAAGAUUCGUAUUUAUUUAGUAAAAUAAAAACACAAUCAUAGACAAGAGCAUAAUAAAUUAAUUUUAGUACCCACCCAUGUCAAGAGCAGCCAGUUUGACGUAAAGAUUUUGACCCCGGUUACGUCGAGUAUCCUCCAAGCUUACUGUCCACAUCACACAACUCCGCACACCAGUUGGCAUGUCCGUGUUUGCAAACGCCGUACAGUUACAGGUCGUGAGACACCUCUCCUUACAUUCCUCCAAACCCACUCCCUCGUAAGAAAUUGUCCAAUUAUCAGUUUCUGGAAGUUUCAUAUUCUUCAGCAGCUGAAACCCAUCAUCAUCGGAGCAGGCCAGCGGCGAUUUCCUCACGCAAUGUCCAUGUAAAGCGUAGCUGUCUUGAUUCCUCUCCGAAUCAGUUUGAGGCCGAAACCCUGGGAAACAUUCACAAGACUUGAGCGGGUUCAUAGAGCAGUACGUAUUGGUUCCACUUCCACAUGUAGUGUAUUUAUCGCAAAUAUCAGAUGGUGCAAUCACCAAAUCCUUCCACUUUCUAUCUCUCCGAGUCCACUCGGACCAGAUCAAAAAGCCAGUAUCGCUCAUUUUCAAACUUGCGUAGUAGCUGGUUGUCGUGUUCCUACGCAAACUGUAAGUGUAACUACUGGUUGUUCUUGUCUGGAUCAUUGCCUUUGUAGUGUAUAUGGGGUCGAUACGGCAAAUUUUAGUACCACUACUCCCCCAUAUAUAAUGUUCAUACCCUGUUUCUGUUCCUCCCUCGUGGAAGAUGUCGUCAUAAGUUAUGGUUCGGAUGUAAUCCAAUCCAGGAUAAUACCCUAGCACCAUACCUGGAAUUAAGACAUUGCUUGGGUAGUCAAAGCUUCCCCACAAGAUGCCACCAGAGUAAUUACUCACAAUGAAGUUUCCAGUAUCCGACAGAUAAGCAGACAACGGCGCGUCGUCUUCAGCAGCAGGACUUGUGAGAUCUCUAUGCCACGUCAUGUAGCCAGACUCGUCGAAGAGUUGGAUCCCAGCUGAACUGCUUAUUUGAAGUUUUCCUUCUGAACUGUAGAGAGGACUGCCCCGAUUACCGGUCCAUACUACUCUUCCUGGGAACUGUCUGAACCAGAUUCCCAAAUACCAACCAGUACGAUCUUUGAAGAGACCGAGUUCAAAGAUUGAACUCGGGGACACAAUUCUCUCAUUUUCCGAAAACCACACUUCGAAGCUUAAAACAGACGUAAAAAUAAAAACUAAGAAAGAAAGACGUCUAAACAUUUUUCUUUUUGACAAAAUGACCAGAUAUGCUCUUCAGAAGAAGAAGAAGAAGAAGAAGAACCCCAUUACCUACAACAUGGUCAUUAAAUAAUAAACCCAUUCCUCUCUAUUAUAUGUUCCGGAUAUCAUUACCUACAACAUGGUCAUUAAAUAGUAAAACAGAAAAAAGAAAAUGAUAGCUUAGGUAGGGUUCCAUAUGUUCGACCUAGGCUUUGGACAUUUUAACCUAGACCCAAAAAUCCGAACCGGAACAGAUCCGAAAAAUACCCGACUCGAAACUGAACCGAAAACUUACAAGUACCUAUUAGGUUCAAAAUUCUUCUACCCAAAGAACCGAAACCGUAAGAAAACCGACAUGAAUAGACCCGGAUCCAAAAAGAACCGAACCCGAAUAGAUCUGACUCGAUACGAACCGAUUCAUACCCAACUUAAAAACAUGUAUAUUAUCCAAAACUAUGAUUUUUUGUGUUAUAUUUUAUGAUUUAGUUAAAAUAUUUUUUAUUAACAAUAUUUGUUAUUAUUUUUUGUAACAUUUUAAGUAAAAUCAAGUUUUAAAUUAAAAUUUAGAGUUAAAAAUAUUUUAUUUAAUUAUUAAUAAUUUAUUUUAAGUUAUUUUGUAAAAUUUUAGAUAUAUGUGACAAAUUUUGACUAAUUUGAUAGAAUUUGGGUUAUUUUUUUAUGAUCCUAAAUACCCGAACGCGACCCGACCUGAAAAUUACGGGUAUUUUAAAUGUAUUUUAAAUAUAGACCUGAACUGACCCGGAUCCGAGAAGAACUGAUGUGCCGCAGACCACGGAUCAUUACAUGGAACCAGCUCAGCAUGGAGUUCAGGACGUUCUGAACAUUUCAACCGAGGUUCAUGUUUUUCACCGUGCCAUACUUGACUUGGGUCGAGCCAGACUUAGCUUGGGUGGUGAAAAAACCAAAGACGGACAUGCAUUCUCAUCCGACGGACCAUCCGGACAGUUCCGCAAGCGUCCUUAUCUUUACCCCGUGCAUCCAUCUGGUUCGGAUGAAUCUAGACAUCUUGACUGGUCUUCUCCGUUUUCCGUGCCUUGACCAGAUCUAGUCUUCUCUAUUUUCCGUGCCUUGACUAGAUCUAGUCAAAUUUAUAUUUCCUAUGCAUUGUUUUCCCACAUUUUCUUUUAUUGUCUUUGACUACAAAACACUAUAAAUAUGUAGUCCCUUUGAUGAAUAAAAUCAGUUCAUUUUGGUUGNNNNNNNNNNNNNNNNNNNNNNNNNNNNNNNNNNNNNNNNNNNNNNNNNNNNNNNNNNNNNNNNNNNNNNNNNNNNNNNNNNNNNNNNNNNNNNNNNNNNUACUCAUUUUAUGUAGAUGCGUAAGGAAUGCGUGUGUCUCACUCCAUGAGAAAGUCAAGUUGCAUCCACUGGAGUUUCUUUUCAAAUAAAGUAAGAAUGUGUAACGUUCAUUGUUCAAGCUUAAACCCUGUACACAGUCAACUUCUUCUUGGAUUCUGUUGUAUGUCAACUUCGUUAUUUGAUCAGACAUGUCUAGUGUUUUAUAGCUGUGGUGGUUUCGAUAAAUGAUGCAUCUUGUAACAAAUUUUUUGAGGUUGCUAAGAUAAGAGUGGGAGUAGCUGAAAUGUCAAAGUCCAGUAGAGACAUACAAAAGCCCCAACCAGCCUACUAUCCACUGUUCAGAUGACUUUCCAUUAUGAUGAGAAACACAGUUUGCGGCAGCUUCUUUCUUCUCAGAGACGGCAAUGCAACCUUAAAAUAAUAAACAAAAAGAUACCAGUUCUCACUUCUCAGUAGUCGGUACUAGGCCCGGGACGGAUCGGAUAUCCGGAUAAUUUUAAGGUAUCCGGAUCCUUAUCCGGCGGAUCCAUAAUUUUAUUAUCUUUAUCCGGAUCCGGGGUUCUCGGAUAUCCGAGUGUCAGAUAUCCUUCUAAAAAUUGUAAUAUCCGGCGGAUAUCCGGAUCCAGAUUUGGAUCCUUAAAAUAAAUAAAAUAAUAAUAAUAAUAUAUAUAAAAUAUUAAAAAUAAUUUAAAAAUAAAAAAUAUAUAAUGUUUUUUAAUUAUUUCUAUGUAUAAUAUCACAAAAUUUACAUAUACUAUUAUAAAAAUGAAAAUAUAUUAAAUAAAGUUAGUUUAUAUAUAUAUAUAUAUAUAUCUAUUACUAUUUUUGAAAUAAUUAUUAAUAAAAAUUACGGAUCCGGAUAUCCGGACUAAAAAAUCAAGAUAUACGGAUACGGAUCCGGCUUUGACGGAUCCAACAUUUUAUUAUCCGGAUCUGGAUUCGGCCUCUCCGGAUAUCCAGAUUUUCGGAUCAGAUCUGGAUCGAAUCUCGGAUAAAAGUCUCAGACCUACUAAAUUUUCAGUAAAAACUCAAUAGGCACUGUGCAGUUAAAAUAGAAUGCAACAUAAAGAAUUAAACGAGGCUAUUAUUGCCACGUAGACAUCGCACGUCUCUGUACCCAAUCAGAAUGGGCUGUGACAACGUGCGCUGUGAGAAUAGCAAUUUUCGAUCCACAAAACCUUUUUUUUUUAGGUUUGUGAGGUAAAGUUGAAACGAGGACGACCAUACAUACCAACUCGAACGGAAAUCAAAAACAAUUAAAUCGAAAGAAAAAUUUCUUCGAGAUCGCGAUCUUCUUUCUCCCUGAUCCAUUCAAAUCUUCUCUUCUCCGGCGUAAUCAUGGUAUACUUCCUCUAAAGUCAACCCUCCUUUUUUGUUAAAUCUGCGUAGCUUCUUCUUCUUCUUCUUCUUCUUCUUCUUCUUCUUCUUCUCUUUGUUGCUCCGAUCUGCCAGAUCUGAUCCACGAGCUUAACUAUCAAUGUUUGAAAUCUGAAUCACGCGAAGAUUGUUUUCAAUUAGCUAAAUGGAGAUCCUAAUUUCGAAUCGGAUUAGCUGAAUUUCUUUUACUCUUUUUUUUUUUUUGUUGUGGUGUUAGGAUGUUCGAUCUCCUGCUCCCGUUCCCGUUGGAUCUCGGCGGCGUGAUAACAAGUGGACAUCUCGUUGGGGUCCUGACGAUAAAGAGAAAGAAACCAAGGAGAAGGAGGAGCCUGAAAGUCAAUCUGUGCUUGGCAGCAGCCUCCGUGCUACUGACUCUGACGCUCGUGAUAAAUGGAGGCCACGUCAUCGGAUGGAGCAGCUCCAUUCCGGUGGACCUAAUUCUUACCGUGCUGCGCCUGGGUUUGGACUCGAUAAAGGACGAAGUGAGAGUCCGAACAUAGGUUUCACCGUUGGUCGAGGAAGGGCGAGGGGUACUUGGUCUGCGUUCUUUGGCGCUGGAGGAUUCUUGAGAAAUGAAAGUGUUCCUGGUAAACCUGCCCCUACGUGUCGGUAUGUGAGGGGGAAGUUGCUUGACUUGUAUAGAAACCAGAAGCCUGAUAGGAUGCCUAUUGAUAUGGAGGAUGUUGACUCUGUAACUCAAGUGGCUUUGAUCGAACCUCUUGCUUUUAUCGCACCUGAUGUUGAAGAAGAGGUAUGGUUUUCACUGAGGACUUGCUUUGCUUCUUAUUUGUAACUAUUUUUCUAUUGUUGGUUGUUAUCUGUCUAUUAGGAAAGCCUUAAGGGUAUAUGGAAAGGAAGGAUCACUGGUAGCGAAGCUCACACUUCACCUGGGGACGAAUCAUUAGCUGAGAAGAGUCUGGGUAUACAAUCUUGUUUUUUUUUUGUUAAUUGGCUUCUAUCGUUCCUACUAGCGGAAUGUAACUAAUGCCUCUCUGACUUGACAGGUGAGACAAAAGUGGAUGGUGGUUUGCUAGGGGUUGUGAGUGGUGACAGUGUUUCCAUGCAUAAUAGUAAUUCAGGUAUGUGAAUAAUAGGUGCUAAACGGUUCUUCUAAUUCAUGUAUUUUUAGCUUUCUUUGGUGUCUGAUGGCAUUUAGUGUUCUAUAUAUUCUGACCCAAAUCCAAACAACUGUUGCUGUAGGAUUACUUGGUAGUCAUGGUGGAGGUCUGUGGGGUGCUUCUGAAAGUGAUAAAGUUUCUCAUGGAAGUCCUGAGGCAGUUAGAUCUGCAUUUACUAAAUCAUCUAUGUUGGAUGCGGGUGAACCCCUUGUUGAGCAAGGUUAUACGGGAAAGCUGCAGCAACCUGAUAUUGAAGUGAAUCACUCCGAAGGGACUCUGCCACCUGAGGAGUUUAUGUUCUCGUACAUUGAUCCUCAAGGAGUAAUACAGGGACCGUUCAUUGGAUCUGACAUUAUUUCAUGGUUUGAGCAAGGGUUUUUUGGGACUGAUCUACAGGUCCGCUUGGCAACUGCUCCAGAAGGGACUCCUUUUCAAGAUCUAGGUACUGUCAUGUCAUAUUUAAAGACGGAAAGUAUGCAAGCCCAUAUCAAUGAUCAGAUCAGCGAGCUAGAAGAGACUAGUCGAAAAGCAAAUUCGGGGAUUGGUUUAUCAUUUGCACCCGUAUCAGAAUCUAAUGGUUCAGCCUUAGGUCACGAUAAUGUUCAAAUGAACUCUAAAUCAGAAGCUUAUGUGAAACCACCACAUGUUGAUGACCGAAGUUUCUUGGACUAUUCUGCUCAAGAUGAAGGUUUGUUAUUCUACUGACCUUUUCUCACUUGUGUGCAUUUGUAUGGUAUAAGACAUUUCUUUCUUCGGUUUAAUAUGCUUGUGUAGCCGAAUACAUUUCCUUCUUUCAUAAUGAUAUUAAUUAACUUUCUGUUCAUGAUAACUAAACAUACUUUUUGUAUUUUUUUCUUAUUCAGAAAUCGUAUUCCCAGGAAGAGCUGGAGUUUCUGGUUAUGGAUCGGCAAAAUCCUCUACAAGUAUGCAUGAUGCUUUAAUGGGAGUUUCUGGCCACUCUGCUAUUCCUGUUGAAUCAGCGAAGGUUGCUACUCAAAAUCAGAAUGAGAACAAGCUGCAUCCGUUUGGUGUGUUGUGGUCUGAGCUAGAGAGCAGCAGUACACCAGUUGAUCUUUUGCCUAACAGGUCGUAUGAUACAGGACAUGACCAGAAGUAUCUUGAUCAAGCUCAGGAUUUGGAUCAUUUAUUAACUCUCAAAUUGCAGCAGCAGCAGCAGCAACAAAAGAUUCAUUUGCAGCAGCAGCAGAAGAUUCAGUUGCAACAACGUCAACUAGAGCAAGAGUAUCAAUUACAACAGAAGCUCUUACAGGAGCAACAACAGUCCCAUGCUCGGAAUUUACAUUUUCAACAGAUUCUUCAAGGACAGACUCCUGAUUCAAGGAUUGGGCAGUCACAUGAUUUCCCUCGAUUCAACAAUGUUGAUCAGAUGUUAUUAGAGCAGCAACUAAUGGAUGAAUUGCAGAGUUCUGGCCAUAGAUCACAAAAUUUUACACCGUACAUGGAGCAGCUUGCCGCUGGAAAUUUUGGGCAGUUACCACAUGAAGGUCAUCAAAACGAGCUACUACUUGAACAGCUACUUUCCGAACAAAUGCAAUCUCAAUACAGACAGAUGCGUUCUCAACAUGGACACAUGCAAUCUGAACCGAUACGGUCUUUGGAGUACCAGCUACUGCAGCAAGACCAGCUCAUGCGAUUGGCAAAUGGAGGGAGGCAAAAUACAGAAUUGGAGGAACUGAGACAUAUUGACCCUCAACAUGGACAAUUGCAGUCUGAACCAAUACGGUCUUUGGAGUACCAAAUGAUGCAGCAAGAGCAGCUCAUGCAAUUGGCAACUAGAGCGAGGCACAAUACGUUAUUGGAGGAACAUAGACAUAUUGAUCCUCUAUGGCCAUCCAACCGUAAUGAUCAGCUUCUAGGAGCUCAUCCGGGGAUCCACCGUUCACACUCUUCUGCAGGAUUUAGACCAGUAGACUUUCAUCAACAGCAGCAGAGGCCACCCUUUGAGGAUCACUUUAGUCAUCUUGAGCGGAACCUUUCAUAUCAGCAACAACUUAAUCAGGAAUUAUUCGAGCAAGGUCUACCCUUUGAGCGAUCUACAUCGUUACCCAGAAAUACAUCGGGGCUGAAUCUGGAUGCAGGAAGAGGUCUUAACCUCUCUGAGUUGCGGGAUGCCCAGAUGCAAUCUUCUGGUAGAUUAGGAAAUUCUACUCCGGGUUUCAGUCAUCAGAAUCCCCAUACACAAUUAGGUGAACCUCAUUUUUCAGAAAUGGAACCAAGGAAAGAACGCUGGCAUGGAGCAGAUACACAGCUAGCUGGUGGCUGGGCUGAAACUCAGUUUCAUAGACCAAAUACUGAAGCUGACCAUCAUAAAAUGAGGAGGCAGGGCGAAGAUUCCAACUCAUGGAUGGUAGAUGGACAUACAGAUGAAAAGUCAAAACAGCUUUUUAUGGAGUUGCUUCACCAGAGGCCUGGCCAUCAACCUCUCGAGUCACCAAGCAUGAAUCGUGGGGAACCCUAUGACAGGAUGGCUGCUUCAGGAUUCGGCUUUGCAGACCAUGGUGGUAGACAAAACGCUUCAUCUUCUUUUGGGUCGCACGCAU
This 208976-nucleotide long non-coding RNA is filed under the name Brassica napus (rape). Lineage: Eukaryota; Viridiplantae; Streptophyta; Magnoliopsida; Brassicales; Brassicaceae. The record is from RNAcentral.